Molecule: long non-coding RNA, 326001 nt
Filed under: Prunus persica (peach)
Lineage: Eukaryota; Viridiplantae; Streptophyta; Magnoliopsida; Rosales; Rosaceae
Description: long non-coding RNA (PPER_LNC007528)
Rfam family: tRNA (bases 160414-160504)
Source: RNAcentral
CCCAUCCACCAUCUCCGCUCUCAAACCCUACCUCUCGCCACCCCCUUCCCUCGACCUCUUCUCCGCCAUCGCCUUCCCUUCACGCACCGCAAUCACCUCCCUUUCCGCGGCCGCCGCCGACAUCAGUCACCCUCUCCUGUCGCCGCAUGGCGAUGCAUUCAUUAUCGCCGCGCUGGGCAAGGACGCCGAGCUCAUGGACGACAACUUCGUCCAUAAGCUCUGUUCAAAUACUAACCGGGUUAGAAUUUUAGUCCCUCCGACUGCGACUCCGAGCGGCUUAGUUGAAGCGCUAGGAGACGGACGCAAUCGGAGGGUGUUGUGUCCAGUCCCGGUCGUGGUGGGACUGGUUGAGCCUCCUGUGGUCCCGGAUUUUCUCCGAGACUUGGAGGCCAAGCGUUGGGUUCCGGUUAGGGUUAAUGCGUACGAGACGCGGUGGGCCGGGCCGGGGUGCGCUAAGCAAGUGGUGGAGAGGAUUGAGGAGGGAGCGUUGGAUGCGAUGGUGUUCACGAGCACUGCGGAGGUGGAGGGCUUACUGAAGAGCUUCAAAGAGUUUGGGCUGGAUUGGGAGAUUGCCAAGAAGAGGUGUCCCAAGAUGUUGGUUGCGGCCCACGGGCCCAUCACGGCGGCUGGGGCCCACAUGCUUGGGGUUAGAGUUGAUUUGGUGAGCUCUCAAUUUGAUAGCUUUCAAGGCGUCGUUGAUGCUUUACACACUGAGAUUUCAAGGCUGAGUUAGAUUUGAAGCAAAAGUCUCAUGGAAAAAGAUUUUGUAUGUAACAGUGUAAUGUUAAUGUGAAACAAACAACUGCUUCUGUUAACUUAAUACCAAGGGCUAUGGAAAUUGGAAAAACACAACGACUUAUACUAUAUUAUAUUAUAUUUAUAUGCCGUUAUCUAUAUAUAUAAAGCAAAAGGCAGAGAAUGGUGAAACAUUCAAAAUACCAGAAAAUGCCCUUGGUUAAUGCAAACAUUAAGAAUUAAAAUUAUUAAUUAAAUGAGGAUAAUAUGGUAAAUUCACAAUUUUUCAUAUUAAAAAAAUUAAAAUUAAAAGAAAAUUCAGAUAAUGGAUCCUAUUUUUAUAGAACACAACUAUCCAUUAUCUUUUUUAAUUCUAAAAUAAAAUAAAAUAUUUGUAAAAAAAAACCUCUCGCAGGCGCAGAAGCGCAUGCAGAGAGGCUAGUUAAUAUUAAAAUUAAUAUUAUACAGCAAAAACAUUUCUAAUGCUUAUGGUAGAAACAAGCUAGAGAACAACAAAUUCACUACAAACAGAAACAGCCAACUCUCUCAGUUAAGUACUUCAUCUUGUAUAUAUAUAUAUAUAUAUCUUUGUUUUUAAUUGGUAAUAUGCAUCUAAAAUCAUAAUCCUGCUGCUGCUGCUGCUGCUGCUUCAAUAGUUGGGUUAUUUUUCUGGUUGCUUUUCCACUCUGAUAAAAGCUUCAAUGUAUUCUCCAUUGAUGGCCGAUCAGAUGGCCUACUCCUAGUGCAAAGUGUAGCAACCUCAAGUACCAGUUUUAUCUCCUCUCGCACCGGAACGUUCGUACCAACUUCAUUCUCAUUGUAAAUUUCUCUCAGAGCAACUUCCCUUGACUUGCUCUGUAUGCUUGCUCCUGAAUUCGUCAACCUGCCAUUGCUUAAAAUUUCCAGCAUGAUCUCCCCAAAGCUGUAUACAUCCCUGUAUAGCUCCUCUUUUGUGGCACUAUUGGUAUCACCUGUUCAAACAUUUACAAACAAAGUUUUCAACAACUGUUUUUGGGUCCAAACAAAAGAAGAAAAUGAGUAAUGACAGAAUUGAUAGAGGCUAAUCGCAAAAGAAAUCGAGGUGUUCAGAUAAUUCUCUUUCACAGCUUCUACAGGCAAAAUAUCUUCUAGAUUUGCUAGUCUUCAUUGUAUCAGGUGACUGACUCUACUUUUAUGCACAUCACAAACUUUCUUGUUAGGACUUCACUGAGUUCCAGAGGGUUAAAUACUUAAGGUUGCUCAGGUAUAUAUAUUCUCUACUUUGGUUAUGGUAUUGGUGAUGGAAGGCCUUAAAUUAUAUGUUUGGCAUGGCAGGGUAAAACUUUUUGAAGACAACUAUCACAUAAUUGAUGAUCUCUACUACACGAAAGAACACAUUUUGUUAUGCAUACCUGUAUCCCUUUUGGAAGUUGCUGCUGCUAAAGAACCUUUGUUCAACUCGAGCAGAUGCUUGAACCCGAAUUCUGACAACUGAGGUUCCAUAUUUUCAUCAAACACUAUAUUACUCGACCUCAAGUCUCCAUGAGCAAUUGCAGGAUAACAGUCAUGGUGAAGGAAGCAUAAUCCCUUUGCGAUGCCGAUCACAAUUUUGUACUUGGCUGCCCAUUCCCUUUUCACUCUUAUCUUUUCAGCCAAAUUUCCAUUGGGGGUGUAAUCGUACAAGAGAUAAGCCAGAUGCUUGUUGUAGCAAAAUCCGUGCAAUCGAGCCAGAUUCUUAUGCCUUGCAUUCCCUAUUUGGGUAAUAAAUUCCAACAUAACUCCCAUUCUCUUUGCUUCCCAUUCAAUCUUCUUCACUGAAACUGUGAUUCCUGUGGGCAGAACUGCUUUGCAUGCUGAAGCUGACAAUGGAGGCAGUGCAUCCAUGGAUUCUAUAGAACUGAAGCUCAUCAAUACAUCAUUUGCUGUGAAUUGAGGAAGUCCAGCAAAUGAGAUCAUCUUCCAUUGGCUUUUGCUGCCUCUUUGGAUAUAAAUUAUCCCCAGAAUUGAUAGAGUAAUGAACAUAAUUACACCUGCACACAGUAGCAGGACCCAUAUAAGCUUCCCGGCACCUCUGCUUCCAAAUAUCGCCACUGAACUCGGACAUGGCCUCAGAGGUUUUCCACAUAGCUUUGGAUUUCCAAUGAAUGCGCUACUUCCCAUUGCUCUUAAUAGCUUUGCAGAAGGAAUGGUUCCAGAAAUAUCAUUGAAAGACACAUUUAGAAGUAAUAAGCUCGAAGAAGAACCAAACUUGGCAGGUAUUGGUCCACUGAAACUAUUAUGUGACAGGUCUAGGACACCAAGGGUAGGAACACCUGCAAGCUCCUCAGGUAUAUGACCGGAUAAAUUAUUGUUAGCUAAAGCAAACCUCUCAAGAGCCUGGCAGUUAGAAACACUUUCUGGAACGGUUCCUUCUAAACUGUUCAUGCUCAGUUCAACAACAGAUAUGGAUUUGCAGUUUUGGAAUGGGGGAAGAUAGCCAAGGAUACCACAUGAAGAUGCAGAAAAAUUCUGAAGAAGUGGCGAAGACCAUGUUUGUGCAGGAAUUGUACCCCCUAAUUCUGGAUUAUUAGAAACAUUUAAGUACUCAAGCUUGGGAGCUUGUGAUAUAUCUAUUGGAAUCCCACCAGUAAGCUUGUUCCCAGAUAAGUCAACAUAUGUGAUAUCAGGAAGACGGCUAAAUUUCAAGGGGAUCUCACCUGAGAAUGAGUUAUCUUCAAGUCGAAGACGAACAAGAGAAGAACAAUUGGAGAGAGAUGUGGAAAGACCGCCUGUAAAAUUGUUUGAAAAGAGCAUCAACUUAAAUAGCACACCUUGCAAACAGAUAUCUGCUGGAAUGCUGCCAUUGAAGUUGUUUGUAGAGACAUCCACCCACUUGAGGUUUGAGUUCCUGCCCAAGCUCUGUGGAAGGUUCCCAGAGAAGAAAUUGUUCCAUAUAAGAAGAGUCUCUAGUGACGGAAGCUCUGCAAUUCCUUCAGGAACUGUGCCACUCAUGUCAUUGUAAAAAAGACUGAGCAGUCUAAGGCUCUUCAACUCUAAAAGGCUCUCGGGGAUAGGCCCAGAAAGCAGAUUAUCAGAAAGAUCCAAGCUUGCGAGAGACCUGAUUUUGCUAAAUUCCCCUGGUAGCAGUCCACUGAGCUGGUUUCUGAAGAGAAAAAGUGACUCAAGCUUGGUGAGAUUGCCAAGUUCCCUUGGUAUUGAGCCGGAGAGGUUUGCAUAAGCAAUAUCAAGAUACUGAAGCUCACUCAUGUUGCCUAAUUGCCACGGGAUGCUUCCCUGAUAAAAAUUGUAGCCAAUCUCCACAUGGGUGACUGUUUUGAGCUUGCCCAGUUCUGGUGGUAUGCUUCCACUGAUCAUAUUCCCUGCAAGAUGAAGAAACUCCAGGCUCUUGAAAGAACCAUAUUCUGAUGGGAUUGGUCCCUUGAAAUAACUUCCAGCUAAAUUGAGGACCUUUAGAUGUGGAAGCUGUGAAACCUCAGUAGGCAAUGACCCUGAAAAGCUGUUGCUAAAGGCAUCAAGCACAACCAAGUUUCCAAGACCUGAGACUCCACCAGGAAAGUGACCAGAAAAGUUGUUUCUGCUAAUAUCCAAGCUUCUUAGACUGGUGAGGUUGAAAAUUCCCACAGGGAGCUGGCCAGAGAAUGAAUUGUAACUGAGGUUGAGAUCAACAAGCUCAGUGAAGACGUUAAAUUGCUUUCCAGAAAUUGCACCACCAAGCAUCUUCAUUGACAGGUCUAAACCAGUAACAGUGGAGUUCUUGUUACAUUUGACACCAGACCAAGAACAUGCGUAGAUUUUCCCAGAUGGGUUAUAUCCGGAAGGCACAAACCAGUCUUCCAAACUACCAUGGUCAUCUACAAGCUCAGAUUUUAAGCUCAGAAGGGUGUCUGAGUAUAGAUCAGCUGCUGAAACCGCCACAAAGAACAUCAAAGGGAUAAGCAGAAAAUUUAAGUAGAAGAAGCAAUGGAAAAUCUCCAUCGGAACUCGCAGUUGAGAUGAGAGAGGGACAAUUUUAGAGACCCGAAGAAAGAAAAAUGUGUCAGAUUAUUAUAAGGUAUCCGUUUGUUUUGGUGAGACUUUAGCGAGAGAUGCAUGGGAACUAGCGAAAGGAGGAGGGCUCAACAAAGAAAGGGAAUGGGGACUGGCUGAUAUACUUUUGAUUAGUUGAAAUGAGAAUAUAAUAUAAUUAAAUUGUAUGUUAGGUUGCUUUUGGGUGCAGGAGGGACCUCUAUUUGCUUUGGGUUUAUUUGGAUGGUGUUGGCCAUUAAGAAUAAAGCUUUUCAUCUCACAGGAAGGCAGGGAAUCUCUUUUUCCCACUGGAAAGAAUCCAAUAAGAGAGCAGAGAGCAGAGAGCAGAGAGCAGUGACUUGAAUUCUGAAUUGGUAUUUGCGCACCGUGGGACAUAAGUUAACAGGAGAGAGGAUCAAUCAAUAUCCAUGUUUAUGUAUUAUCGAAAAUAGUAAAGGUGUAUUCUGUACAGUCUCUUUCGGCUGGAUGGCUUCUCCAAGCAAAUUGCUCCUCGCUAUUAUAUUAUAACAAGAUAUGUAUUCUUUGGUAAUUAUAAAAAGACUACUCUGUUUAGGCCUAAUAAGUAACCAACACCUUUGUGAUGUUCAGGUACAAAGUUUCACUCAAAAAAGGUUCCUAGUGCAACUUGAGGAGAUGAUUCAUUAGUUAAUUCGAAUACGUGAUUAAUUGUUUAAUUUAUUAUUUUUGGACUAUCAACUGUUCUUUGAUUGUGAUUCUUAUAAGAUAAUCUUCUCAGUAAUGAUGGUCCAUUAUGCAUGUUUAUUGCCUUUUGCUGUUUCCUUGCAAUAAUGGCUGUCACCUACAGUGUCCAUGGUGCACAUCAGCACAAGGGUGGGCACAAGAAACACUCUCAUGCAAGGAUAUCACUUUAACACAAUGACACGCGAGGUAUCUUUUUCACAUGUUAUUGUGUUAUUAGUCAGAUAUAGCAAAAUAAUGUUAUCUCCGUUACAAGUGAGUUUUUCUAGGUGGGCACAAUAAAUAAUUUCAAAACUUUGAGAAAAAAAUAUGAACAAUACAUACACUGGGGAGGGAGGGGCACAAUUUCAAAGCUUAAAAAAAAAGAAUUUAUAUGCAGCCAAAUCAGCUUCAAGGUAAUAACUUCUUGUUAAUGAGAUUGUAAUAAGUACAAGAAUUGAUAAAUAUGAUUGAGGAUAUUUGAAAUGACAGUGGCAGGUGCUGAGGAGCAGUGCAGUGCAGGGGGAAAGGGAAGGUAAAGGAGUAAAGACAAGGUUUCUGUUCAAUAAAAGAAGUCACCUUUUUCUUGAUUUAUGAUCAGCAGAGCCUUUUGUGUUCCUUGAGGGAAGGACAUUCGCAAAAGGGUUUCGCCCAUUCUUGAAUCUUGACCUUAACAGUGAAUUCCAGGGAUGAGAGAUCGUGUGCGUGCGCGCGUGUUUUCUUGAACCUUUUUUGUUCACAACAUUUUUGCUAUACAUUUUCUAAAAUUGAACGAUUUUAUUGAGCGGUAUGCUGUGGCCUCUAUGGCAGUGGCCCCCCAGGAGGUUAUAUUACAGUGGAAACAUUUUGCCUUUGUUAAGUAUGUAGGGAUGGAUUAGUUAACUCAGAGGCAUUGAAACCCUUCAAACAAAACCAGAUCUCUGUUGUUGGAUCAUGAUGGAGGUAAAAUUGAGAUAGGUUUCCUUAAGCACACAUCAUGUACAUGUACAUCCUUAUGGGUGGAGAAAAACUUCCAAGUUUUUCUAUCUUUCUUCCCGUGUCACUUAUUAAAGGAUGAUAGAGAUAAGAAGAAUGGGGCAAUGAAACGAAAAUGGGGAAGUGUUUCUCCUAUGGAUGGGCGGCUUUGUGAUGAAAUGGGUCAAUAUCUACUUUUAGGUUAAAACGUGUGAUGCCCAGAAGAAAAGCAAAUAGAGGAAACAUAACUGGAACAGAGGAAAGUAAAAGUUAAAACUGCUAAAAAGCAUUAGAGUUUUUAGAAUUAAUGUAUUAAAAGUGUAUAAAAAGGACCAGAAAAGCCUGUCUUAUUAUUAUCAGUACAGAAACAGAAGCACUUAUUUUGGUUUAAUACAAAAUGGAAAAAUCUAGGGCCAUACAUACAAAGUACAAAGUUUACAAACAUACAUGUCAUGCAAAUCUCUGUUGAUUCAAAGGAAACAGUUCCAAUUGGUAAUUCAAGUUUUGGGUUUACCAUUAUCACGGCUCACGAGACCAGAGGGGCCUGCAAGCAAGCAAUGGUUCACUAACUUCACACACAGAGACAGAGCUACCCUGACAAUUAAAUCCCUCAGGAAAUCUCGUGACUCUCUUAAUGUAAACCGGCUGCUAUGCCAUAUAAUGCCAUAUAUAAACACUCACACUUUUUAAAGUACUGCAUCUGCUCUGCUGCAAGACAUUGCACAUUUUGUCAUCUUCCUAUUUCACUUUGCCGCUUGCUUGUGGUGGCUCUGUGAUAAAAGUGGCAACAACCGUUCUUUAAGAAUCUAUGGUUCUUUUUUGGCCCAAGUAAAAGUGAUGGUAUAAAUGAGUGAUCAAAACAUGGUAUCUUGUGUUUUAGCCCGGAAGAUGAUGCAAUGGUGUUGAAUGUUGAUAAAAAACAAAAAACAAAAAAAACUAGCCGAAGAAGUUUCCAACCGACAGGGUAGGUUUGAAAUUGAAAAGCAAACUUCACUAUUUCAAGUUUCAACCUCUGCUUUGAUUUGAAUUGGAUUUGCGUUUGCCCGUGUGCUGAGAACAUGACAUCUUUUUAUUUAGGAAAGUAAUUUACCCGAAUUGGAUUCCCAUUAGAGUCAAAAAGUGUAACAGCUUAUUAUAUUUGAUCUGAUACCUCCCUCUUCCAAUCAUAUACAUGAAGUACAAUUAAAAAAUUAUUAAACCUAGAUUUUCUCAGAAAUUCUGUUUUACCCCCAUUCUUCAUAUGUGGGGCAAGAUACCCACUGAUCACCUUGCUUUGAAAUGAGAUAUGCUGUACAUGAAGUUAGUUGGGUCUCGUUUGGGGGGAAGAUUUUCAUGCAACGAGGAUAAUAUUUUUUGUUAUUUUCACUCAAUAGCGUAAUGAUAUACAGAAUAAUUUUUUCACAUGUCAUUAUAUUAUUGGACGAAAAUAGCAAAAUAAUCCUAUCCUCGUAGUAAGAAAGUUUGUCUGCUAAUUUAGAGAUUAAAAUAGGGGAAACAUUCAGUCAAAAUAUUAGUGGUGCAGAAACUAACAAGCAAAAUGGGAUUAACAUUUUGCUAAAAAAAAAGGCAUCAAUCAAUCAAUCAUGCAUAAAGUAUUGUAUAAUACAAAAAAGAAAAGAAAAGAAAAGCAAAGAUAGAGUGGGUGGAGUUAAUAAAGUGAUUGAAGAAAGGGACCCUCUUCAUCCAUCCAGGAUCUAACUCUAUAACACUCAUCCAUCUUUCAAUUAUAGUAGUUUUCACUUGUGCUUUUGAUUGUUAGUAAUAACCCUUAAACCUGUCUUAAGCGUUAUAUCACCAUUAUCAGCAUAAUCAUCCUACUUAGAUCUAACAUCAUUCAGGAUUUCGUGAAAAAAUAGAUACGGGAAUGCUAGAGUAAAUGUAUAACCUUCACAUAUACAACUCUCAAUCACCAAAAGUAAUGUUCGGUAACAAUAAUAAACUCUCUGAAAUAUACAUGGUUGCAAUUUACUUGUUUGCGCCUCUGUUUUUUUUCACUGCAUCUUUUAGCACACAAAGCUUAGAGUCUUAUAUUAUACAGCAUAUUUGGGAAGAAUUGAAAUAUCAUUUUGUUAAGUACAUCUUCUACAAGACCAGUUUUGUAUGCAUCAAGGACUCGAGUAAAGAGAAGAAAAAUGAAAUGGAAGAAAUCAAGUAUAACAGCCUAUAUACUGACAAGGUUUGGUCCUUGAAAGUUGAAACUGCAAACGGAAUUUGGAUAAAGAAAACAAGUGGAAGAAAUGGUCUUCCAUCUUUGUAUGACUUCAUAUUUCAUGUGAUAACAGUCAAUUUAUGUUUUAUUCUACAGUAGACCGUGUAAUGCAAAUCAAAACCCCGGUGACUCUUUAAAAAAAUGAGGAAAAAGAAAACCACCCCGUUGAACCAAUAGCUCAUGACAAAGGUCGUAAAAAUGACUAAAGAAUGUUGAUACAACAUCAAACCUCCAAACGGACAGCAGAGUCGAGCUUCAAACGAUUUAGUCGAACAGUCCCAAGAAUGUACUCGGGCAACUCCGCCUCUUCUUUUGCCUGCAAGCAAAGUAUGUGUUUAUCACAUGCAACCAGGUUACAUCAAUAUUUUUGCAAUGUUACUAGAAGCUCUCUUUAUUUAUCCUUCUCCCUAUUGGUUAUACCUCUCUCUCUCUCUCUCUCUCUCUCUCUCUCUCUAACAAGUUCAGAACACGUUUAUACCAAAAGAAGACCAAAAGUUGAUAUAAGGAACACUGUACCCAAUAAUGCAACAAUCAUAAAGACACAAACCUCUAUCAAAAUGGCAAGGUCAACCACUAUGCUCGUGACAUAUCCUAGGACAAGUCCGAUGACACUCCUUGCUACAGAUGAUGAUCCAAUAUCCACAUCAAUCUGAAAAGUUGUAGUAGUUUAUUUCAUUAAAAAAAACAAGCAGAAUAUAGCAGGACAAUCAUUAGAGAUGCCCCAUAAGCAAUCAAGAAAGGUUAAUAAUGCUUGAAAUAACAGUUUUAGUUCUACACUGUCAAGUAAGUCUCUGCUUGUAUCAUAGAAAAACUGCACUAGGAAAAAGCCACUCAUAGAUUUGUUAUUGCUACAAAUAGUUAUAUAGAUCCUUUGAAAGUUUGUUCAGUUACUAAACUUACCAAACUAGAAAAAACUCAAAAAUAAUUUUACAGUUGACUGAAGGUUGAGGAACACAUCAGGAUCCUCAAAUAGAGGGAACUGCACAAUAAUAUGAUAAAAUUACCUCUAGAAAGUUGUCUUGUCUGAAAUAUUUGCAAGUCACAGCUUUUCCCAAUAGGCAAGCUUUUGUUCCAACAGCACGCUUGACCAUCCAAUAUCCCUGUAACAGUAGACAACCAUUAGCUACUCUUUUCCAUCAAACGUAGAACACCCACGCGCUUAUGCAUCCUUUAGAGUUAAAGCAUAACAUACCUCAACGAUACUAGGAAUUAACUUAAAUCGUGCAUCACGAAACAUGUCACUCCCAUCCACAAAUUGAGCAAACAAAGAACCUGGCUUUGCAGGUCUGUCAGAAGCAUAGUAAAGUGCCAAACUAUAGUUUGGUUUUGCGGGAACCUGAAACAGAAAAACGACAUGUCAUAAAGAUAGUAAGAGGGCAGUUCACUUAUCAACAUAGUUCAACGUAUACCUCUCAUUAUCUUCUAAACCUAGCAUUAUUGGUCUGUAAAUGACAAACAGUCAUCCCAUUUCCUAGCAAAGGAAUGGUUUGGGAGGAAUACAUAUACGUACCUGGAGAUUAAUGACAAGUACAAAUGGAAGCUUCUUUCCAGCCUGUGACUGAAAUCAAGAAGUGUAUGCUUAGACAGAAAUCAGAAAUGAACUUUCAAAUUAACAAUUUACUUUAUCAAUAUAAAAGCAAUUCGAACAUGAAAAACUAACUCUACCUGAAGAAGACUCCGUGGAUGGAGUGCAAUCCUAUCUAAGCUUUUAUCAACUUUGAACCAAUCUACUGCUAUGAGCUUGAGAAGGGGAUCUCCUCCCAUUACCUGGAAAGAGUUAGUCAGCAAUAAGCAUAAGAAGAUGACCGGAAGUCAUCGAAUUUUGUGCAGAAUGUUCCAAGGAAAAAAAAGGGAAACUAAACCAAACACCACAUACGGAUCAAAUGUACAAACACAGUGCAAGUUCUCAGUCAAAUUAGUUCAAGGCAGAGUACAGCCCACCUUGGAAUUGUCCUUUAGGUAGUUCUUUCCCCUGAUCAUAAAUCCCGUACCGCUUGGACAUGUCCAACAGUUUGUGUCAGCCUCAUCCUUCCCAUUGCGCAAUGAACCACGGAAUUGGCUUGGAUCAAUCAUGACAGGAGCCACUUCAGAAUCCAGUUCCUUAUUAGCAUCUGCAGCUGUAUCCAGAAUGACCUGUACUUAAGCACUGAUAAUUUUUUAAAAAGGGUAAACAAUAAUGACAAACCAGUCUUUGAAUGUAUUCAUGUCUUUUGGUUCUUAAAUAAGUAAAAAGCUUUAUAAAACAGAAAGCAAAAAGAAGGGACACCAUUCUAGUACGCAGGAAGUUUACAUAAGAUAGCUUCACUCUUGAACUGAUGAUAAUAAUUUAUAGUAGCAUAAUAGAUCAAUGCAUAAUUAAAAGUACUUAGAUGUGAGCAAACCUGAGGUUCGUUUCAAGGCCAAGUUCAAUUUUGAAUCCUGCAAAGUAUAGAGGGUGGCUAUUAAUAUCUGGAAUUCAAAAUAAUAUCUCAAUACAAAUGUGAGAUGCAUUCAAUUGGACCACAAAUAGUGUUCCAUUCCAAGAUGAAGAAAACCAGAAAAGGAAAACCUUGUUGUCAAGUUCUUCGUCAGAAGAUGAAGAGUCCGCAGACAUUGCAUCAUAAAACUCAUCCUUGACUUCUGACUCCUCAAAUUCAGCAUUGGAAACGGAAACUUCAGAUAGUUUUGAUUGGAUAACUGUAGUAGAAGAUUCGAAUUUGAGUGCAGGAUUUGCUCCAAUAUAUUCCUUAAGACCUGAACAAUUACAAAAACAAAAGAAACAUAACUGCCUUUGCAAUAAACAUUUUACGAAAUACUUGAGAUAUCUCAUGUUAUAUGGUUUCGGAAAUCAGUUUAAGGGUAGGUUUUGUGACAGUUCUCACAUGAAGGUUUUUUUUUUUUUUAUAGCAUAGAACAUUCGGAUCAUAAAUUCAAAACAAAACAGAAAAAUAUAGAUAAUUAAUGUCUCAACCUCCCACUUGGCACAAUAAUGCAUAAGGUACACUCUUUUCAAACUUUGAGCAGUGAUUUUUCUUCCAUCUGCACCAGCCCGCAGAAUUUAUCUCUAACAUUUGAGUGACAAGACAUCUUGGAGUAUUUGAACCCAUGGAUGUGUUCAAAUUUCUAAUCUCCCAAGUAGAUGCUGCGAUACAAAUUAAAAACAUAAAAAGAACACCAACUUAAUGAAGAAACAGAGACUUUCUGAUAGCAGAAAUUGAGCUUCAUUGAUGAGAACAAAAAAAAAAAAAGAAGCGUCAUCAGAUUUGGAAAAAAAUGUCAUCAAGUGCUACAAAUCUGUGCUAGCAAGCCAGUCAAUUCAUCCUAAAAUUUGCAAGGGUUUUAUAAAACCACAGCAAGUGGUACAAAUCUGUGAUAGCAAGCUUCACUAAUUAUCAAUUUCUUCUGUAAAGCAGAUAAAAUCUCUUACGAUUUAUUUUUGUACGACGAUAUCCAGAUCUUGGAGGCUUCUUCUUAUGAACAGCUGGGAAAUGCAAGAUUGCUGCAUUAAGAAUAACAAAAGAUAUCAGCAAAAUAGGAAGGCAAAAGCCAUGUUUUCUAGAGGACAAAAAUGAAGCAAGCGACAGUUAAGCUCUACUCCCUACUUCACAAAGUGAAAUUAUGCUCAGAUUGAUAUCGUCUUACUAUAUGUUCCGUCUUGUCCGCAAAACCAUUGCCUAGAAAAUAUAAAAUCUCUUUUCGAAUGCCACCUGUAUAACAUGUUAAGUAACAAAUGAAAACCUCAUGAUGAUGAAACAAUAAACAGAAUGCAGACUGACUUUAUUAUGUUAAGAAGCCAUGUUCUAUUAACUAAUGCAUUGCAAAAUUUCCACUAUAUAUAAAACAUUAAAUAAGGGCUUGAUCAGUAGAAUUAAGACGAAGGUAUUUUCUCCAAGAUUAGAGAGAGCUAGUCACAUAUAACAUCAUUACCGAGUAAGAUACCUAGGAUCAAAUGUCCCAUAGACAACAUCCAGGUGCCCAUCAUAAGAAUCUAACAGCUCCAAGUCACCUGUCAGCAUAUCCCACCUGAAACGAAAACUAUUAGACAGAGAAAAUUUGUUUAGUGAUAUAUUUAUUAUGUAAGACAACUUACUCAUAUCUCUGAUGUCGCCCAAGGUUUAAAAGCACUUCGAAAGCAGUAUCUGCACUUGCAUCGAUGACAGCAACAGCCUUGACAAUAACACCUUUACCACUCUACCAACAGUGGAAUUAAUAACGCAUGAGAUGAUGCUGAGAAUGUGAUGCAUUCUCUUACAUGCGCGCACAAACAAACACACAGAUGCUCACACACAAAUACAGAAAAAUGCACGUAUCUAUCUACAAUGAGAUACCUCAGAGUUAGCAACAUCUUCAAAUAUUCUAACACCUGAAACCAAAAACAACAUACGCAUGAAGAAAAUAAAUCAGAAGAUUGCAUGGUUCACUGAAAUCACCAAACUGCAGUCCUAAAAAUUCAGUAAGAGAAAGAGAUAACUAUUCUUUGCCUGCUGAUGUCUAUCAAGUGAUUAGUAUGAGAAGAAUACCAUUAAUUGUUCGCACACAUUUCCACUCAUAUGCUUCAAUUGCAUCAUUGAUAUCUCUUUCGAAGUAUCCAUCUGUACUACCAUUUGCACCCAAGCUUGAGGACUGGCACAAAAGCGUCUCUGGUCCUGUAAUACAAAGAUUAUUAUUUUUUAAUUAAUAUAGAACUAGUAUUAUGUCUCUCAACUCUCAAAUUUGAAGAAAAAAAGAAAUGGAUGCUUGUGAUUAUGCGUUCAAUAAACAUGUAAAAGAACUUAUCUAAGAACACAAGCAACCGAUAUAACCAAGCACCCAAAAAGACUAUUUUUCAAACCAGAUUGUAAAAAAAUUAUUUCUCUAACAUAAAUUUCAUUAAAUAUGUCAAUUCAAUGACCAAUGACCAAUGAACUUUGGGACCCUGAACCAACUCAGUCCCAUUGUAAACAUUAAAAAAUAAGCCAUUUACAUACUACCUUACCUUGCCCAAUUCUUAUAAGCUUUUUCAAUCCACUUGCAUAGCGCCUUACUCUAGGUCGAUGGACAUCGAGAUUGAGCCUUCAAUAUUAACAGAGCAAGAAAAAAGGUCAUUUAAAAAGAAUAUGAUAUGCACAUUGAAGAGAAUCAAAUUAGUUGACUUAAUGAUAAGCCUGUAUGGUAGGACAUUCAAAAGAGAUUAAAAAAAGAACACGAUAAUAGAAUAUAUCAAGUUAUAGUGCAAGCGUACAGAUUCCAUCAUCAUAUAUGGAAUCCAACAAUAAAAACGUGGGUCCUAAUCAACAUGGCUAAUAUGAAUUACUAUGCACGUGUAUCACCAAUCCAGGAAUUAUAAGCGUACUCGGUCUCCAUGUUCAGUUUGUUUCUGGCACUACCUCCUCUUGUCAGCUCGAACUCAGCCUGUAAUCAGAAGCAGAGUUCCAGUGUAUUAAACACAACAAUGAACUGGAAACAUGCAAUUCUCAAUCGCAUUUGGAACUACAGUUUCAACAUUUGGAAAAUAAAGUACUGGCUCUGUCACAAGGACGACGGUAAAUGUUCAAUUCGCAAAGUAAGAACACUCUCUACAAGGAUAAGUGCCGCCUAAAUUUUGUACUAUUUUUGUUUUUUUCUAUGUUAGCCAUGGAAUUUUGGUAGGAAACUUGACGUACCUGUUGCUUGGCUUGAUCAAAGGCCUCCAGCCAUUUUUGGGCUUCUCCAGCCGUAACACAAGCAAUCUUCAGAAACCAAUUAAUUGUCAACCAUCUCAUCAAAUAAGAGAAAGGAAAUCCAAAUGUAAUGUGUAAAAAGAAUCAUUUCAACAAGCCUAGGAAUAUCACAGAGUAUGAGAAAUGGCUCAAAACUAACAAACACUUGCCAAGAUCACCAAUUCAGUAUAUGAAAAUUCACAAAAGUAACUCUAUUCAAUAUAUUCGCAUCAUUUCUUGUAAACUGAAACAAUGACAUUCGCAUUCUAGCAGUAGCUGCAAAAAUGAAUAGUUAAUAUGGCGCCAAAACUUACUUCUCCCUUCUUUGAUUCAUCCAAUCGAUUGAAAAACCGUAGAACGUAAACAUCCUGCAAAAAGAGAGAAACAAGCAUCCACAGCAGCUUGAAAAUGCUCCAAAUUAACUAAUAAAUUCAAUGGUUGCAUUGUAUAGAAUCACUUAAAAGUUAAAAGUAGAUAUAAAUUUACCCCAUAGUAGACCUUUCGACGCCCAACCUCCUCCAGCAUAAGUGUAGGCCCAACAACGCCCCUCCGAAUGGGUUUCUGGCCGACGCAGAGCAUAUAUUUACAAACAAGGAAAUUGAAAAAGAAAAUGGAAUUGGUAAUUAAUUAAGUAAGAAAGGAAUUGAAUUAGGCUUACAAUGCCGGGGUUCUCGUGAGGGUCACGCUUGUACAUCUCGACAUACUUGCCGCGGAUGAAGAGGAAGCGGAGGUGACAAUACUCGUGGCCGAUGGAGUUGACGCCCAAAUGAUAAACCCAACCAAAAUACUCAAAUGUGGAGGACCCUCUCUGAUCUUCUCCUCCUCCUCCUCCUCCUCCUCCUCCUCCGCCGAGUCCCAGUAAUCCGCUCAUCGUGCUCACCUCGGACCGUUCGCUCCCCACCUUCUUCAACGUCGACGGCGACGACGAUGACGAGGGAGACGGUAACGCAUCCAUCGUGCUCAAAAGCUAGCCUAGCCUACUAGGAGGCAGAGGCAGGGGAAGCUAUAUAUUAAUUAAUUGGGAGCUGCUUAGCUUUGUGCGAUCGAUCCUUCUCUCAGGGAAACGAUCGGGGGAGGUCCGAGAGGAGCGAGAGAGAGAGAGAGAGAUCAUGGAGGGAGGGAGAGGGAGGAAGAUGAUGAUCACUCUCCCAUUGCUUUCUUGCAAUCCUGUAUUUGCUAUCUUUGAAUUUCUACUUUCUAUAUUUUCCAACUUACAAUUAACCAGCGGGAAAAUCGGUGUGGCCUUCCUUCUUAUAUGUAAUUCGUUUCUUCUUGUAGGCGUGGGGGGACCGUACGUUUACGUUGUUGGUGUUGUGGGCUCCACUUCACAUUGAUGGAGGGGGGUCAACAUGCAGAAUUUGGCAGUACACGGACUUGCUACGUAAAUUAGUAAUAAACGAAACGCGUCGUAUUUAUAUUUGUAUCCCCUUGUAAUUAAUAAAAUACGGAAUUAAAAUACAUUAUGAACUAAUUUACCCAAAUAAGCUAAUCUUCCAAAUAAAAAAGUGCAUUAAUAACCAACCUUCUAAAACAAGUACAACGAGCUUUGAUUUGGAACUUCCCUAGCCUCUAAUGAUGGAUGAUGAUAAGUACUAUUUCUUUUGGAAGGACGAUUGGGACAAAUAACUCGUAUGGGUUUUUUCAUGUAGCAAUUUGGCAUUACUGCUUCUGCAUGGGAAAAAUAACUCGUAUGGUUUUAAUGCAUGACACGUUUUUUCUCUUUUGGUUAAUACAUGGCACGUUAGUUUUAAGAUGCGUAAUUGAAUGGUUUAAACGGGAAGGGAUUGGGAUCAAGUCAAGUGCAAUAUAGCUUUUGCCCCAUCCCUCUCGGGAUGGUGAGAUUCUUACAGUUCAUAAUUUUCCCAUGACCUUUUGCCUUGUGGUUGUAUUUCCGUCUAAUUCAAGUAAACCAAUUCCCAGGACCACACAACAUCAAGAGAGAGCUGAUGAGACAAGAGAGACUCAAGCUAAAACACUUUUCAUUCUUUCAUGUCAAUGUAGCGUCACUUCCACAUUGCUCUUUUAACUCUCAGAAGACGUUUUCAAUGACAGAUUCUCUAACAUCAGAUGAUCAAGUUCACCUUCAAAGGGUUCUUUACACUAGCCAAUUAAGAAAAAAGAAAUUUAGGUGCACCAACCAGAUCAAAACUAAAAGCUCACAACAUUUAAUACAUUGAUAAGCCAAUUCUCACCCAACGUAGUUCAUAGAACUUACUACUGCCAAAACUUACGACAAACAUAAAAACGGAAUUUCAACAAAAUGCCAACGAGCCAUCCCUGACAGAAUUACAUUAUCCUUCAGUUGGAUUUCCUCCUUGGUCCACAUCAUAUUCAUCAUCGUCAUCAUCCUCGUCCUCGUCCUCGUCCUCAUCAUCAUCAUAUAUGCUGCUCCGAUGAAGCCUAUUGACUUCACUAUUUGCAUCCUCUUCACUAAGAAAUUCCAGUCCAUACUUCGUGUCUCGGUGUUUAACCAAAAGCCAGCGCAGCAAUCUAUCUUCCUUGUUCAAGUAAUGCAGCUCCUUGUUGAUGUUAGGUGUAGCCAUCAUCGUCAUUUGCAUUAGUUGACCCUAUACCAUAUACCAAAUUGAUUUAUAAUAAAAUUUUAUCUGGUCAAAAUGAGAUAAGAAUUUGUUUGUAUUCAGAAAGAAAUACCAACUAGACAACAUACGGAGAUAGAAAAAGGACAGAAUCCUAUGAAAGUAUCAUCCAUGAUUUUGCGAUACAUUGUCCUUUCUAAUUUCUAGGUAUGAAAUACAAAUUAAUUAUAUAUAUCAACAGGAAGCUUCAGUGGCAUCAUCGUGACCCUAAAGUUAUAGCAAAAUAGCAUCUAACAAGUUCACUUUGAAAACAUCCGCAAAUGCAAUGCAAUAAACAAUAGGCUUGCUCUCACAUUGCAAAAUGAAACAAUACAAAACAACUAAAAGAGGCCCGAAAUCUAAGUUACAAUAACAACUAUUUCACUAGGUUGCAGAAAAAACAAACCCACCUGAUAAUAUCUGCCAUCAAGCUUCUUAAUACCAUAGCCCAACUGAACAGUGCCAAAUGACUUCAUGUCAGUAAGAACUCCAUUUCUUCUGUAAACAUGUUUGCUUACUCUAGCAACCAAGUCCAUCAGAGCCUCCUUCCUUACAUGGGGUUUCACCAGAAGCAUACAAUCAUACAGAGGCAUUUCUUUCUCUUUUCCUUUUGUGCAGCUCAACUGCCUUUUUAAAACUGUACGCAUAUACACAAAUAUCAUUAACAGAAAUCCAAGGCCAGCAAAUUAUAAACCCUAAAUCAAUGAAAAAAUGAACUUCCAACAAUGUUGUAUAAUUUAUAAAUUAUAUUCACAGUUAAAAUUGAAGAUUAUUAACCAAAAUCAUAAUUAUUUUGAAUUAUAAAUUAUAAAUUUAUACCAAAAUCAUGCAAAAUAAAAGGAUAUAUAAAUAUAAAGUACCAUAAUUGAUAUAAAACAUGGGGGGAAAACGAAAAAGUUAAGCAUAAUAGUACUACAAAGAAAAAUACUUGAAAUGAAAGGCUAGGCCUCUAAGUCUUAACUCUUCCUCCUCUCCAUAUCCUCCGAGCCGGUCACGGCCUGGUGGUGGUGGUCUUUCGUGAGAGAGAGAGAGAGAGAGAGAGAGAGAGAGAGAGAGAGAGGGAGGGAGGGAGACGGCUCAGAGGAGAGAGAGGCAGCGUGAUGGUUUUCUUUAAAGUCAGGAAUUUUUUUUUAAAAAAAAAGAACCCCACCCGCCCAGACCCGCCUAGCGCCCGCCUAGGCGGUGUCCUUCCGCCUAGCGUCCGCCUAGGAGCCUAGGAGCCUAGGUGCCGCCUUUUCGAACACUCACAGGUCCAUUAGAAGAUGAAAGUUGAACAUUUUCAGCAGCCCCUUGAAAAACGAAAAAGUUAAGCAUCAUAGUACUACAAAGAAAAAUACUUGAAAUGAAAGGCUAGGCCUCUAAGUCUAACUCUUCCUCCUCUCCAUAUCCUCCGAGCCGGUCGCGGCCUGGUGGUGGUGGUGGUCUUUCGUGAGAGAGGGAGACGGCUCAGGGGGGGGGGGAGAGGCAGCGUGAGGAUUUUCUUUAAAGUCACGAAAUUUUUUUUUUAAAAAAAGAACCCGACCCGCCCAGACCCGCCUAGGUGGUGUCCACCGGCCUAGGAGCCUAGGUGCCGCCUUUUCGAACACUCACAGGUCCAUUCGGCAGCAAAUAAAGAUGAAAGCUGAACAUUUUCAGCAGCCCCUUGAAAAUAAAAAUAAAAAGGACUAAUGUAAACAAAUUAGUAUAUACAUAAUCACAACCACCACAACCCAUACCCGACGUCAACGAAUCCCAAAACAUGACAACCCUAAAUCCCCAAAAUAACAGCCCUAAUUAGACUCAGACGAAGUUACGGGGAAAAUAAAACCAAUUUAUAAUGGCUGAUAAAGCAAACAGAAAAUGAACCAAGAAUUGGAAAAUUAAAAUCAAAGGAAUGAGACAAUUGCGUCCAAAAGUUAAAAUCCAAGGGGAAAGGGGCGGGGAAGGAGCUCAGUACCUUGUAGUCUUUCUUAGGGGACUGAGAAAGCUUCAAAGAGCGCCCGCCCAGACGGAGACGGAGGAGAAGGCGAAGGCGAACAGGCCGAUAAAAAUGGAGUUAAUAUCAUUCUCUGUGAUCUCUAAAUCUGGGCCCGUAAAUUAUGAACAAACGGAUGAAAAUGGGCCACGUUCCCCAAACAUUUUCACCUAACGCCAGCCCGAUCCAAUUUUUUGAUGGAUCAACGAUCCCACUAAGGCCUAACCUCACCCGUUGAAGAGGUUGGUGUAUGAUAGCAGAAGAGCACGUGGUUGGCACGUGUAGACCAAAAGGCCUGCCUCAGCGUCUUUCGGGGUUCAAAUCGAUCCGUUCGUAGGCCGGACCUCAACGAAGGCGGUUUCAGACUCAAACCGCCAAAACAAUUUAAAAAAGAGAAGGCCCAAACCGCCCAACGAAAGUCUGUUGUUGACAAAGGCAACACGUGUUGAUAAGAACAACCCCUACAGCCAUUCACUUGAAGACACGUGGUUUGUCGGUCCCUUUCUCGGCAACUAAGGUUCUUACCAUACAUAUCGUUAGCCCAUCUAUCGUACCAAAUUUACAAACGCACCAACACACAGUCAAUCGAAAUUCGUAAUUUUAAAAAGAGAAAGUGCAACAUGGUAAUUGAAUAUUGGUAAAAGUGCAAAACCAAGUUGGUCAAAUUUUACCAAGCGGGUAAAGCCUAGCCUACUCACGCGCCUUGGACGGUUCCAAACCUCACGCCACGUCACGCGAAUUACCGAAACCUCUCUAUAAAUACACACUCACACAUGCUGUUCAAAAUAUAGGCAUUCCUUUUGCUAAAGCAAAUUUCCAGAAGCGUCAUAAGUAAUAUCAUUUUCUUUUUUCUUUUUCAUUUUCGUUCUUUCUGCUCUCUCUUCUCCUCGGGGAAAAUGGGGACGGCGAUUCUUCGCUCCCAGGAUUGUCUUCGAGGGCGGUUUCGCCACGAAGCCCUAACCCUAACCCCUCGCUCCGGAUCACGCCGAAGCCCUAAUUUUUCUAACCCGAACCCUAAUCCCAGCCCCAACUAUGGGUCUAACGCUAAUCUUCAUCAAUCUCGCCGCCGGAAGAGAAGUCCGAUGGGAUUCCAAUCCAAUCAACAUGAUCGCGCCCGAGAUCGGUACUCUGAUCGCGCCAUGGUUGCGAAGGUCCCGGCCAAAAACCUGGUGAUGGGCCAGGUCAAGAUCCUGAGGCGCGGGGAGGCCUUGAGCCCGGAGAAGAACAACCGAGGACUCGGAGUUGUUUCCGGCGAUGCUGGCAAGCCGAGGGCAAAGAGCGAAGAUGUUCCAGAUUUGGUACUGGGAUCGACGGACCGUUUGGGCCCCGACCCGGAGACCGUGCAGAAGCAGAUUAAGGUUGCAGAAUUCAAGGUCAUGGAUGCGAUUUACGCUGGAUCGAGCGCCUUCUACGCGUCUCCACCCCCGAGCUCAGUGCCUUUGCCUGCUUUUUUGGGAAGAAACGGCACGGCGACGAGCGAUCUGCGUCGGCUGCUGCGACUCGAUUCGGUGUGACCACUCGGUGGCAUUCGAUGGCUGGAAUGCAGGGGAAAGGGUCUGGCUUGGCAAUCUGGCAGUAGGGGUGCUUGAAUCAAUUGAUAGAUGAUGAAUACGAGAGAGUGUUGGGUAUUGUUCGGUUUGUCUCAAUUGCUUCCUUUAUUUUUUCAAGAGGAAAGUUAUAUUGAGUGCUAGCAAAUGAUAGCGUGUUGCGAAGUUUCUUAAUAUGAAAGAAGAAGAAGAAAAGGAGUAAGUAGUAGGAAGUUUGGGUCUUGCUUUGUAUAUCCUCAAGUAGGAGUAAAUGCGUGUGAGUUAAUGGGCUCGUAGAAGUUAUAAUGAUGUAAUUUGAGUCUGCGUCUGUUUCGUCUUCUAUUCUCUCACUAUAAUGUUAGUAGUGUGUACUCAUAACUCAUCAAGAACAAAAGAAUGUGUUAGUUUUACAUUUGUUGGAAUAAAAUCUUAGAUUUGUACUGCUUAAUGUUGCUGGCAAUUUUGCAAGUUCUCUCUCCCGCCGUUGGUUUGAAUGUUCUUUGGAUGCUUAUCGUUGUUGUUGUUGAUGCCAAGCCUCUGGUGCUGAUGAUUGGAAAUGGGAUUCGAAGUUUUUCUUGUUGGAAAUGGUUUCGGGAAUAAUAUAUGUGCCCUGCCCCUACAACAAGGCUGCUGCAAUUUCAUUUCUUGUUGGUAAAUAAAAGAAUCUGUUAAAACCAAAACCUCUGGCUCACACAAGAAGCCAGCAGCACUGCAAGGCACAAGGCUCAAUCCUGUGAUCAAAUAAGAAAUGGACAUUAUUAUUUUUGAAGGGUUUCUUUCUUGCUUGCAUGCUGCAGUGAACACAAGAGAUUGCUCUGGGUCUGAGAAUCCUGAGAUCGUGUAAAUAAAGGCAUAGAUAUUGAUUUGAUACUGCUGCUGACUUAAUUGUAAGGGUGGUCGUGUGCUUACUUCAUUUAUAUCCACUAGACUCUAAAACAUGUCACACUGUUGAGUUGUUUGGCCUACGACUAACAGAGCUAUCAACUUCGGGAUAUUCAGGCACUAUCUUCUUCCAGAACCAGUGCUUUCUCCACAUCAGUAUCAUCUCUUCAAUAGGAAUUCCCUUGGUUUCAGGCAGGAACACGUAAACGAACACCGUCAUCACAGUAAUCCACCCAGCAAAGAAGAGAAAGAUCCCGAAUUUUAACGCACAUAGGAGGGCAAGAAAAGACUGUGCUAUGAUGAAGGUGAACAGAAGGUUCACAGCCACUGUAAUGCUUUGUCCGGCUGAUCGGGUUUCCAGUGGGAAUAUCUCGCUUGGCACUGUCCAGCCGAGCGGACCCCAUGACCAUCCGAAAGCUACCACGAAGAGGCAGAUCACUGCCACCACCAAUACUGAGAAUCCUUUUGAUAGCUCUUGAUUCUCACCCAACUUGACCCCCAAGAUUAUGGCGACUAUGACCUGUUUCACAUUCAAGAGGAGAGAAUAUUAAGUGUUUAGAAAGCCUUCUAGAAAUCCAAAGGAAAGAAGGAAUUUUAAUCAAUUGUUAGUGUUUAUGAAGAGAGAUCAAUUUUACCUGGCAUAUAAUCAUCAUUAUUCCACCACUAAUGAGCAAAACUCUUCGACCGAGCUUGUCAACUAUUGCAAUAGAUAUCAGUGUAGAUGAAACAAGAACUGCUCCAGUUAAAGCAGAGGAGUAGAGAGAAGCAUUUCCGCCAAACCCCAUACUUUGAAACAACACUGGAGCAUAGAAGAGAAUUGAAUUUAUGCCUGUGAGGAUCUGGAAUGUUGGCAUGAAGAUUGCCAUAACCAAUUGAGGCCUGUUCCUUCUAUCCAGGAUGUUUCUGAAAGGGUGCUUUAUUGCACUAGCAAACUCACUUGCAUCUAACAUGUCCUGAAACUCUGCACUGACAUUUUCGGUUCCUCUGAUUCUCUCCAGAAGUUUUCGUCCUUCUUCUUUACUUCCUUGUUCAAUUAAGCUAUUUGGUGUCUCAGGAAGAAAUAUUCCUCCCACUGUCAUUACUAUAGCAGGUACUAUAGCCAGGCCUAGAGAGAGCCUCCAACCCCAUGGUUCGAGCUUUUGUGUUCCGUAGUUUACCAUGUUUGCUAUGAAGAUUCCUAGCGUAGUUGCCAACUGAAACAUCAUGUUUAAGCCUCCUCGAAGAUGAGUUGGUGCCAUCUCUGAUAGAUAUAGUGGAAUAGCCUUUUAAGACACAAGGAGGCAGAAAAAAUCAGUUUUAUUUGAACAUUGAGGGUGCUUAACCAUACAGUUGGUUAUAUUCUGAUUCAUCUACAGUCUAUGGUCAAUAAAUUGUUGCUAGAAAGAAGUCAUUGUCUCUUCUGUAAAUUAGAUACAUUUGAGUCCUUAAUUAAUAUUCUCACAUUCGUGCUUCUCACCCUGUCAUUUGGCUCAUGUGGUAGGCCUUAAAGGAAAACAAAUUUACAUUUGGUAGUGAUUAAGGGUAAGCAAAGUGUGAUACCUGAUUUCCAAAUCCGAUACCAAUACCAAGCAUGAUCCGACCCAAGAGAAGCAUGGCCAAAUUGGCAGCUGCAGCAUUUAGAGUUGCUCCAACAAGGAAACUGAUUCCACCACAGAUUAUACUUCCGCGCCGUCCAUAGUUUCUUGUAACUGGAGAAGCCACCAAAGAUGCAACUAAACCGGCAAGAUACAGAGAAGAGGUGAAUGCUGCAAGACCUUGGUUGUCGUACUUGCAGUAGUUGUUUUCAUGUGCAAGCAUUUUUUGUUUGUACACCGUUUUGAAGAAUUUAUGAAGAAAUCCAUCCAUUGAGGUAACCCCACCUAUUGAUUGUUAACCAACAUUUUAAAUGAAAUCUUCAGUAAGACUAUCCCCUCAAUAUUUCACACGCAUUCAGUUACAAAUUAACGCUGAAGUUCCAAUAGUUUGUGAUAGCUUCAUUUUCUGCUGAUUGAUUCUUUCAUGACCAUCAAAAAGUAGAGUAAAAUUCACAUGAAUCAAUCUGCUGAUAGAAUAACCACGACAUUUUUCACACUUUCUAAAUUCUUAUAUUAUAUUAGAACAAAAAGUAGCAGAAAUCAGGAAUUGCAAUCUAGAUCUCGUUAGAGCAGCCACCGGAAACACUGCAUGUUGUUAAUUCAGUUUCUGUUCCGUUGUUACUGGUUUCAAUGAUAAUUAAUCUCAUCACCAUUUGUUGCAUGUUAAACUUGUAUUUCUCUGUUUCUCAACCAGAUUUCUUAACCAGGGAAAAGUGAUGCAUAUUUUUCUCCCUUCUCUUUUUUAGCCAGCCAGAUAUGCAGAAUUUAUAAUACCAGGUAAAAAAGCAGAACUUUUCAACAUUAACUUUGCUUUCGUGUCAUCAUUCUAUACCUGUACGUCUUGGUAGAUUACCUCAUCAAAGCCAAAAAAAGCCCAGAAUCUAAAGAAAAGAGCUUGCCAAAAAAGCAGGUGGGUGGGUGCGGUGAGGAAAUGAAAAGAUUACCUGAAAUUCCGAUAUCAUAACCGAAAAGUGAGCCGCCAACGGCAGCAACAACGCAGGCAACGAUAACAUAAGCGGUGAGCUUGCCUUGGUACUGCUCUGCUCUCUCCUUGGCCACGCCGGCUGGAGCAAAAGACCCACCUGCCAUUUCCAAACAGAGAGGAGCUGCUUCUGAAACUUCACCAAUUUCUCUGAGAUUCUGAUGGUGCAACACACAGAAACAACGUUUUCAACCUUGUGAAAUGAAAUGAAUGAAUAUGAUGAGCCUGCCUCACUUGGGUUUGGUUCGGGGUUUUUCUAUCAAAAUCCCAGUUGACUGAAAUGAAAAUGAAAUCCCCACUUGGCUCUCUGAAAUAGGACAGAAGUAAUAUCCCGCAGUGUAGAGCUUAGAAAAAGAAAGAAAGAAAAUUUGUUUAUGUUGACGUGUGUGUGAGCAAAGAAAGGGGAAACUCUAGUUUAUUGUCUUUUCUGUUGACUAGCCCCUUGAUGCGUGCCAAUUGGUUUUCUUUUUUAUUUUUAUUUUUAUUUUUGAAAUUAAGAAAAAAUAACAGGGUAGUUAUGUUUCAUAAAAGUAGGACUUAUUAUUUUAUUUUGUUUUUAAUUUUAAUUUUUUUAAUAUUAAAAAAUAUGAAUUUACUAUAUUAUCCUCAUUUAAUUAAUAAUUUCAAUUCUUAAUGUUUGAAUUAACAAAGGGCAUUUUUUAGUAUUUUGAAUGUUUCACUAUUCUCUGCCUUUUGCUUUAUAUAUAUAGAUUUUCACUGCCUUGUAAAGUCGUAUUGAUGUCACGUGGUGUGUUGUAUGCCACUGGAGUGCGGAAGUUAUGCGGGGAAGAGUGAAUAGCUCCCCUUUUUUUUGUUGCAAUGUUAUAACUAACAAUGGUCGACAUAUCUAAUUCUUACCUUAACCUGGAUUUUUUUAAAGAUCUUGCCAUAAAUUUUCCAUUUUGGUUAAUUUUACAUGGUAAUUGUACCGUACGGAUUAUCCUUUCGUUAUCCCAAGUGGAUGAGACAUUCAUUUAUGGUAAUUAAUAAAAAGCAACAAACAGAUCCCUUCACAUAAGGAAAUGCAAUUCCUUGAAUAUUUAGGGUAUCCACAAUCAUGCUCUCUAUUUUUUCGUUAAAAUUUAGCUAAAAACACUAGAAAAUUAUUUUAAGAGCUCUCUAUAAAAUUUCAACUCCAAUCAUACUCUAUAGUUUAAAGAGUAAUAAAUGUUUUUAAUUAAUGCUCUUACAUUUGAAUUUUGAGUUUAUUAUUUCAUUGUGUGUGGAUAGCCCUGUUAUGGUGCGUGAAUAAAAAGAGAGUAUUGAAUUGAGUCAGUGAUUUAAUGCCGUAUCUACAAUAUUCAAGAAUGAAAUCAUGAAGCUAGAGAGAGAGAGAGAGAGAGAGAGAGAGAGAGAGGUCUCAAUUCACUUUUAUGAUGAUGAUGAGUCAAAAUGAGGAUGGUCUUUUUUGUUGAAUUGUAGCCUCCACUGUACACUUUGGUGGGCUGGGCAGAUUGUUGCAUGCUUUUGGUUUCAUAUUUGAUGCAGAAUCUCAGAUGUUGUCUGCUCUGUUUGGAGUUGGGUGAGUGAGACACAUCAUGUAUGUAUGGUAUAGUCUUAGUCUUACUUUUGCAAGCCUUUAGCCACUCCGCAAUUAUAUUAGCUCUAAAGUUCGAUGCUUUGGAUCACACACAAAAAGGGCAAAGAAAAGGUGCUGGAUUUUAGUAAGAUAAUCUUCUUCUUUUUUAUAUUUUUAAUAUUCUGGAUUUUAGUAAUUCUUGUAAUUUAAGAUGAGCAGCUGGCUGUUGAACUUGAACCUCUUGAAUGAUUGUUGGUUAGUUUGCCUCUUGAAUGAUUGUUGGGGAAUAUCCCAAUCAAUAUUUCUUUCUUUCUAGUAUUGCAGGCAAAUCUGAUAGAUGAGGUCCCAGAAAAAGCAAAAAGGUGGUGAAAGUUGGGCUAUUUUAUGAAAGUUUUCCUCCUCAUAUUCAAUAGCACCAAAGUUAGGCUUAGGAUAGAUAGAUGAACUUCCCAAUGUGGAGGGUAUCUUUUCUCAAUAUAAACAAGUAAAUAAAACAAGGGUUUAAAAAGACAAGUCACAGCAACGAAUUCAAGGCUGAGUGAGUGGAUUCUACAAACAUCAAGAUCAUUGUACAAUUUGUCAUCUCAGUCUUAUCAACAAAUAUCAAGAAAAGAAAAAGACAUUUGACCAUUUCAUUUUAUUUUGUUUAUUGAUUACGUUUACCAUUUUGAUUAUGAAUCCAAAAGAAAUGAGAGAGAGGUUAGGCAUAUGAGGUUGCGUGUUGUGGUCCAACUAACCUCGGUGGUUUCUUUUCGUGGAUCAACUACUAAUUCCACAACAAAGUCACACUAAUUUAUUAGAUAUUAAUAAUCAGAAAGGUUGAAUUGUGUGUGAUUUUUCUGCGGUUCCCUCUUAUCGCAUUCAUAACAAUAAGCAGAAAUUUCUCAACCAGAUCGUUUCAUUGGAAAGGUUUGAUUACAUUUUGUUUCUCUUCUCUAUAUACCCCUGCUUUAAGCUUCCAUGAUGCCUAGAAGCAAACUCCCCAAUUUACUGACAGAAAGCAUUUUAAAAGGUAAUUCAUCCUCGUUGGUUAAUAUACUCGCAUGUGAUGCAGACUACAUAUAUACUUCUUUUAGUUUCCACUCAAAAUAUACCACUUAAGAAUCCCCUGCAAUUUGAAAAGGAAAGAAGUAGUUAAAAUAGCAUACCAGAGCGUUGUGGGUACAAACACUUCUGUAAGUUGAAGGUUUCUUACCAGAAUCCCAAGGCUUUCUUACUCUCAUUUCUGCAAAAGUUGAUUGAAAUGGAAUCAUUCAGUCAGGGAAGUGCUGGUCUAUCAAUUUUAAGGAAUGAAACAAAGAUAAGGGCAGGUGUUUUCAAGAAAACAAAUGAUCCUUAGUGAGAGUUUACCUAGGCUUUCCUUCGAAAGCAUCAUUCACUUCAUCGGUACUUGGCUUUUCAGGAAAUGUAGACAAGAUAACAUACUUCUCUUUCCCAGAAGGGUCAUCCACCCUCUUGUACAGUUCGUAACGAUAUGGAUAAGACAUCCUAAGACAUGAGGUGAAAAGUGUUGAGUGCACUUUAGAAAUGUCAAUGUUCAUAACAUUUCAGUGGCAUAGUGGAGUAGCAAGUCACACUAAGCUUACCUGAGAGCACCCAUAAUUGGAUAUUGGGUUCCUGCAUAAUAGAGAAGCCGAAAGAAAUAGCAAUUUUCGAAUGAUGAAGCAUACUCCAAUCUCUUGUCGCGCCCCAUGGUCUUUAAAAGGAAACACAGUCAAGAAAUUGAUUGGUUUCUAUCAAGUUAAUUGAAGUCGCUAGUUCUUGACUUACUUGCAUGAUUCCACUCGAAGCAGGCAAAUCCUGAAAUUUAAAAAACUCUAUCAAUAUAUCCACUUAAAAACAAGAAAUUGCAUAGUGUUGCUUAAGGUUUUCUGCAAAUGCAUAAUGUGAUACCAGAAAAGACCCUAGAUCGGUCAGUGUACUACUCAUAAGCCAUAACUUCAAAGUGAAACAAUUUCAUGAUUUUAAAUUAGAUUUCCUUUACAAAGUAUUAAGUAAUGAGGAAAGGGAAUAAAUGUGGAUAAGAAUUACUUGGACAUGUGGAUAUCACAUAACUAUAACUGCAAAUCAUUCCAUCAAGAUGUAGCAUAGAAACUAAACCUUGAGCCUGGGAUUGAUAAGAAUUACUGGUCGGUCCCCAGCAGCAUCGGUCAUAGCUCUUAGAUCCUGUAAAUUUAAUAAAAGGGCUCUUAAUAACAACAGAAAGGUAGAAAUAAAGCAUGUCAAGUACAAUUGCUCUCUCCAACUAUAAUAGUGGAACAUUCAAUCAUCAAGAUGCUUACAUCGAUAAUACAAUUCCCAACAGCAUUUUGAGGAGCUACUAAGAUAAACAGGUCAUCUUGCUCAUCUACCUCUUUGCCACCUGCACUUGCCAAAAGAGAGACUAAGGGUAUGGCUAUCAUAAUCAUGUUCUGUAGAACUUUUCUUUUUUUAUUUUUUUGGAAGGAAAUUCUAUAGAACAUAUGUGGAAAAAAAGGAGGAGAAUUUUCAUGUCAAGUGGAGAAACUAGAAGACAAGGACUGAAUCUCCAAUGCACCAAUCAUUGAUGUGGAGAAGAGUUGUGUUAAUGAGUUAUACACAUCAUCACGAAUUCAUAAUGGAAGGAGCAUUAUUCCAAAUGUCUCAAGGCAUUUGGAGGACCAAUAUCUAGAGAUGCAGUAAAAUGAACAUCAACUGUCGAGCUGACAAAUGCAUGACAUUUCUGUACCUAUAGAACCAAUAUUGAUAAACGUCCCCAUAGCCUCAUAUUCACCCCAGUCCAUGAACUCCAAGAUUUUUCGAGUACCAGCAAGCUGUAAUGGCAUUCCAGCAAGAGCGCCUUCCCCCAUAGAGCCUUGAACACAAACCUGACAAGCAAAAUUUUGGAUGACUCCUGGAAGAGCUUACAUUAUCAUUGGCCACUAAUCUAAAUCAGUAGCAACCAGGACUAAAUUACCUUGACAUGUUUCCCAUCAUCGGCAAAUGAAAGAGCAAGAGAUCGAACAAGUUCCAUUAAGGUACCUAUUCGAUAAACAUCCUGUGCAUCAUAAGAUAUGGUUAACUCCAAACAGAUUUAGGAAUACUAAGUUAAAUGUCCCUUACCAUUUCUGGGUUCAGCUCUGGAAUAUUAAUCUCCACCUGCCAAUUUUCAAAGACAGAUUAAGAUAAAUAAUAGACUUAUCGAAACAGAAAAUGAUAGUAAAAUAAGACUGAAAAUGAUUUUGUGUAACAUAGUGGAUGAUGUCUCCGGAUUAACCAGACCCCUAAGUCCUAACUGACAUAAUUGUAAUCCCCUGUUUACCAAGGUUAUUUGAUGUCAGUCAAGGGGUCCCAAGAACUACAGUGCAGUAGCCAAAAAGAAAUCAAAUGCCCAAGAAAGAGACGAUAUGGUAAGGCUACGAGUUUGUCCACUGCUCCGAAACUAUAUUAGAUGAUAUGUUCUAAGUUCUAAGCAGGAAGACAAAUUUCGUCUUUCUAAAGUAAGAAUAAUUCCGUAUGAUAAAUGGAUGAGAAUGUACAGGAGCAUCUCACAACCCAGCUUGAAAAUAGGUUACAAAAUCAACAGAGAUUUGUAUAUGUAACAAGCACAGUUCACCUUGGUACUUGAAGUUGCCUUAACAUGCCUUACCAGGCCCAAUGGUUAAUAUCCAUGAUCACCUAUGCAUUAUAUUUAUAAGUAGAAAUGACCAAUAAGAAACCUUUAGUCGAGUUCUUCCAUCAUUUAUUGCUCUUUGGGUGGCCUGCAGCACAUCCUCAUAGAAAUAUUUCCUGAUGUCUCUAGAAUGUGGAAUGUUAUUCAAUUUAGUAGGAAUUCCCCUCCAGUUAUCCUGUAAAAUUGCAAAAUAAAAAUUAGAAAGGAACUAUAACAAAUUAUUUAUCUGGAUUAAAGAUGACUGAUUCUAUAACUAAACAUAUACCUGGACUGAAGUUGACUGAUUUGAUUUCCCUGGAAAAUGGAAAAUUCUUAAAAUCAUCAUGCACAGUAAUUUAGAAAACUCAUUUAGGAACAAGUAGCGUCACCAAAAAUAGAUUUAAGACUCUCUUACAAAAUCAAUGGAGAAAAAAGUUGCACACAUUCUGAGAGAAACUCAGCUCCAUAUAAGUAUGAAUCACUUAAGUUAGGACAAACUCAUAUAAUCUGUGAUGCACCGAUACGUCAGUUUGGAGGGGUAUGCUCGUAUCGGAUACGGCUCCGAUACGAUACGGCACCGAUACGGCUCCGAUACGUAUCCGAUACGCCACGUGGCGUAUCGUUGACUUAUAUGGCACGUUGACUUCUCGAUACGGAUCCGAUACGUCCUCGAUACGGUCCCGAUACGGUCCCGAUACGGCAUCGAUACGUGUGGGGGUAAAAACGAAAAUAUUUGCAGACUUUGGGGGUGAUUUUGAAAGUUUCUAAACAUUUGGGGUUAAAAUGUAAAAACACAAACUAUAAUUUCAUAUUGUUGUCUGUCGAGAGGCUAGGUUUUUGGGGUUUCAUUUCAACAGAACAGAGGCCAAACAAAAGAGAAGAAAGAAGAAGAAGAAGAAGAAGAAGAAGAAGAAGAAGAAGGAGCCGUCCGUCGCUCGCACCCAGCAGGCAGUUUAUGGAUACUUGUAUUUUGUGUGUUUUGGUUAAUUUUUGCUUUGUUUAUGGAGAUUUGAAUGAAGUUAUGUGUUUUGUUAAUGUUUUGAAAUUAUUAUUGGUGAAAUAUCAAUUUUCAAAUUUUCUAGUUAUAUUAUUUUUAAAUAUAUAUAUUAUUUUAAUCACCGUAUCGGUGCCGUAUCCGUAUCCUAUUUUUUGGAGAUUUGCCGUAUCGGCGUAUCGUAUCGUAUCGUAUCGCCGUACCCGUAUCCGUAUCGGUGCAACAUAGCAUAUAAUGAGCUUCAGAUCCUGAACAGACUUACCUAAUUUCAUCUUCGUUUCUUUAUCUUUCUGCACUUGUGACAGUAUAGAGUCUAUUACUUCAAAAACUACUUCCUUAGGAUGGUUCCCAUCGAUCUGUGGUUUCAAGAGCUUUUGUGUAAAACAUGAAGUCCUCUAGACAGAUUCAUAUAAAGAAACCGGAAAAGGAAAAAUGAUAACACUAUAUCACUAAACACUCACCUUUUUCAUUAUGUGGGAGUAAGUGGUUGAGAUUGCAUCAGCAUUUUGCUUGUAUAUUUCAAGGCGUGACUUCACCUAAAUGGAAAACGGAAUGAAGUCAAAAGCUUCUGAAGCCCUAUUUGAUGGAAUUCACCUAAUCUGAACUUAGUAUAUCCUAUAUACUUUCAUACUAAUACCAUACACAUCCUAAUGGAUUUUAUCUGGUCCAAAGUAUUGCCACAUCACAUAUAAAGGAAGAAUGGACAAAAUAUCAAGUUACAUGUGCAUAUUAGAAAAUCACUUACAAGUUACAUACGUUUAUGAGAAAUCACUUGGACUAACAAUGUAGGACAGAAAUUCAUGAUGUCAAACCAUACCUUUUCCUCGGUGUCAUCAGGACGGGUAAUAAGUCUUGCUUUUAUUUCCUCAGUCUCUGGAGGGAAACUUUUGAGAUGGUAAAUCCUCCCUGUAACUGGGUCUAGCCUUCUUCCAAUACAUCUGUCGAUUAGAAUUUCAUCAGGAACCUGAGUAUUAAGAAAUAACGACUAUGUAAAGAUCAAUUCUAUUUGUACAAAGCUUGUAUGGAUGCAAUUGAGAUGACCAAGGGGAAAAACUUUUUAAAAAUACACAUGCAUGAAACUCCUUCUUUUCAGCAAAGUUAUAAUUUCCUUCCCAAAUGUCACUCACCAAAAGACACCCAACCGUAUUUGUCAAAACAAAGAUAUUAUGAGUUGGAAUUAAAUGAAACAGCUAACAUACAUCAUAAGGAAUUCAGUAGAAGUAGAAAGCUUCCAUUCUAUACAAGACUCACAUACAUCUAAUACAAUGUAAACAUCUGGUAUUAUCUUCAAACUUUGCAGGCUUUGUGCUUGGUUAAAACUUCGGGGGUAGCCAUCUAGAAGCCACCCGUUUUCUUUUGCAUCUUCCCGUGAUAAUCGUGCUGUGACCAUCUACAAAGCAAGUGUUUUCGAUACGAUUACCAACUAUUUGAUAAGGGAAACUUACACCAUGUAAGAUUUUGAGUCAUGAGUUGAUAGAAUACCGCAGUCACGACUUCAUCAGGGACUAGACGGCCAGCAUUCAUGAACUCUUUGGCUUUAUUUCCAAUUUCUGUCCCAGAUGACACUUCAGCUCUUAGAAGGUCCCCCGUUGAUAUGUGUACCAAUCCAAACUGAAGAACCAAGAGAAAGAAAGAACUCAUCAGUCAUACAAAACGGGCUAUCCAUUCCAAACACACACACCAGGCCCUUCUAUAUAUAACCGCAACGCAUAAACAAUGAACAAGUAACUUAUAUCUAUUAAAAUGGUUACCUUGCGGACAAUCAAUUCGCACUGAGUUCCUUUGCCUGAUGCCGGUGCACCGGAUAUCAUCACCUUCAGAGGCUCUUUUAAAGAACAGUUGAGUUUCAGUCCCUGUCAAAAACAGAACAGAAAGUGUACAAUUAAUAUUCUUGUUUAAUUUUAAAAAAAAAUUGACAUCGAGCACAAGGUUCAUAUCUGUUUUUUUUUUCCUUAUACAUUGGAUUUGUAGGUAAUCCUCAAAUGGGCAUUGUUGUAGAGUCGCAGAGAGCAGAGACGAUGAGAAGAUGGUUCAAGCGAUACAGAGGAAGAAGAAAAAGAAGAAGAAGAAGAAGAAGAGGGAAAAGGAGAAAAAGGAAACAGAGAGGGAGAAUAUAAACUGAAGGAGUGAACUGGAGAGAGUGAGGUGGGCAACAUUCUUCUGCUCUCACUGUGUAUGAAAGACAGAGAGAGAGAGAGGAGAGAGAGUUUUGGGUAGAAGUUUAAGCAAUGGGGUAAAGGCAGGCCAACAAGUUUAAGCGGCUGAUGCUAACGGAAAAACGGACACCACGAGUUAUGUUUUCUCAAUUGGAAAGGCUGUCUUUUUGGUGGCUUUUGACAGUUUUGUCCUGCUGGCCAUUUAUAUGAUAGGGGCCUUCCUCUCUUUUGGGGGGCAAGGCAAGGCAAGGCCCGUGCUAUUUGCCUUGCGUUUUUGUUGAAGAUCGAGGCUUUGGAACCGAGGGAAGCCCUCUCUUCAAUUAGAAGGAACAGCUAGCUGUUGUUGGUAUCUCUACAAAAAGUCUGAAUUUUGGCGUCAUCACUUCAUUUUCUUCUAUUUCAAUUUUGUUUAAUUGGUUCUUAUGAAAUAUCAUUAAGCCACUAAAUUUUUUAUAUAAAAAAAAUAAAAAUAAAAAAAACUUCCUCAUGUCGAUUUGUUCUUCCUACUCAUGCAUUGGCUAUAACUGGUUAGAACUUCAGUUGGUUUAUCGUUGUAUCUGUGUCCUCCAUAGUUGAACAUGUUUAAUGGAAAAAUAAAAAAUUGCACUAUGAUGCAGCAACUUGGCCAUGAAGGGUCCACCAGUACUGAGACACUGGUGCUCUAAUUCAUACAAAUUGCCUGGCAGAUAUGCGCCCAGGGAAGAAAAAUCAGAUAAAAGAAGCAUGACAUGAAAAAACCACUAGAAUGCCACAAAAUGUAGAAAUAAUAAUAAACAGCUUUUGCAUUCUAAAAACCAUAUAAACCAAUCGAGUACAGAACGAUACGACUCUCCUAUCCGCCAGAAUGCAAAUAAACUUUGGUAUCAAAGCUAUAACCCAUGAUGUCCAUCUAUUAAAGAAUUUAGCAAAACUGGACGAAUUAUUGUUAUUACAAUGAACUAAGUUCCCUAACACAACAAAAUGAAAAAGUAACACAUGAUAGAGCACAUCUGUAGAGUUUGCAUUCUUUCUUCCCUUAAUGAUAUCAUUCACUGCUACUCUUUAAAGUGCCAAUCUUUGAGUCGCUAAAGUUCUUCAGUCCAGCUUCACCGAAGAGAACAGGUAGUGCACAAACCAGAAUGACGAAAGGAAUCCAACUGUGCCAGUUGCAAGCAUGAUGGCCACCACCAUGAAGAGCGAGUACCCCAAGUAAAGCGUGGCUGAGACAGGUCCACUCAGGCUCUUAAGAUCAAAUACAAGGUAGUUUAUGGAGUACAAGAAAAUGUAUAUGGCAACUGAACCAGAAGCAAAGAAGGACUUCCACCACCAUUUCCAGUCCUCCACACAAAGAUGCAUGUAGGUUAGAACUAGAGAAACCUCAGCACAAACCACAACGAGAAGGAUCAAUACGAUGAAGAGAAACCCAAACACAUAAUAAACACGGCCCAUCCAAAUGCUAGACAUGAUAAAGAAGAGCUCAAUGAAUAGGGUGCCAAACGGAAGAGUGCCAGCCCCAAGAACCAACAGCCAGGAUGGGUAUUUCUGUGCCGGGAUUUCUCUAGGAAUCUGAUUGGUUCGUACUGGGUACUCAAUGUGAGGUGCCUUGGCCCCAAGGUAUCCACCAAUGAGGGUAAGGGGAACAGAGAUGCAGAACCAGAGCAAAAGGAGAAUAACAAAUAGAGAAAAUGGAAUGGCUCCUGUGCUGUGACUACCCCACAAUAGGAAAUUCAGAGUGGUCAGAAUUAAAAAGGCAAUUCCAGGGAAGAAACAAGCAACCUUCCAUGAGACUGAAACCCAUCCCUUGUGAUCUCCACAACCAAUUGUCCUCCAAAGACGAACAGCAACAUAACCAGCUGCAAUACCAAGGAUCAUAUAGAAAAAUAGCAUACCUGUAAUAAGUGUCCCUCGAGAAGCUGGUGACAUGAACCCAAGAGCAGCAAACAAUAUGGUCACCACUGCCAUCCCGAGGAUCUGAACCCCAUCACCAACCAUUAUACACAACAGGGAAGCAUUGCUUGGAGCACGGAAAACAUCUCCAACAACAAGCUUCCAGCCAGACAACUCCUCAUUCAUCUGUGCUUGAGCCUCUUUGUCAAGCUCUUCAUAACGAGUAAGAUCCCUCCGAACAGUCCUCAAGAAAAUCACAAGGACAAUACCAGCAAGGAAAGUGAUCACCAUCAGAGAAUUGAGAAUUGAGAACCAAUGGACUUUGGAUCCCUCCAUCUUCAAAUAAGCAUCCCACCGUGAGGGCCACUUGAUGUCACUCUCCUCAAAUUCAACCUCAUAUGUGAAGACAAUUGGCUGCUUUUCAUUAACGGGCAUUGCCACAGUGGUGGGAUCACAUUUAAUAGGAGCAGGGUACUUUUCAUACAUUUUCGACUUCUUCACAGAGUCUGCAUUAUGCAUGAAACUGCAAGGUAUCACCUCAAAUCCUACAAUAAUAUACCCGGGGACAUCUGAAUCUGAUUUGGCAACUGUUGGGAUGACCUCCGCCCCAUCACCAGUACCCAUCACACGUGCUACAUUGGGUUCCUCGUACUUAUGAACAAGUACCUUGAACUUCAAAUGAUUAAACACAUAGUACACAUCCUUAACCUUAAUUCCUACUGGAUACCCAGUCCACCGCAACACAAAGCCCUCCUUCUUGGUAUACCGGAUCGCAGGCAAAUUAUCGAGAAUCAAAUUGACCUGAUACAUCUCAUCAAUCCUCUUCUUCAAGAGAUUAAACUGAUCUCCCGACAAUGGACCCGUGUGACACAAGAAGAUCUCAGACUCAUUGGUGUACAUCUUAAACUGAUAUGGAGAGUUCUCAAUGCGGUCUCCCAUGAGGAGCUCACCGAGAUUCUCAGCACUGUCCUUAACCCCAUCUUGGGGCUGACAAAAGGGCAAACUGUAAUAGCUAAAGGGUAUUUCUGUAUCAAUGGAGGUCAGAGAGUUCACUUUCACCCCUAAGGUGUCCCCGACAACGUACUUGUGAGGGUAACUACCCGGAAGGUACCACCCAUAUCCCGAUUGAAAUAUCAAGAAAAUGGUCAGAACCCAGGUCGUAAGUCGAUGAGAAAAUUCCAUUCUUCAAGGUUUGUGUCAGAUCUGGGAGACCCAGAAGAGAAAAUGAGCAAAAUUAAACCAAAAUUUAGCAGUCUCUAUAUGGGUUUUCAAAUUCAAGGAAGAUUCGGUUACAAAAUCUAAUCAGACUAUAACAGCCACAGCAUUAAAGAUCCAGCAAUAACCAUACAAAUAGCAAAAUAACUUGUUUUGUUUCUUUUUCUUUUUCUUUCAAAUGAAGUGAGGAUCUAACUGACCUUUAGCAGAGUGUCAGACAUGGACAACCCAGAGAAGACGUCUCUGAGUGAAGCGGCAGAGAUCUUGGAGCUCCGGAAAUCUGCUGGGUUUGGGAUUUUAGGAAGGAAAAGGCCAAAUAGGAGCGAGGAUUGGAGCGCAAUGCAAAUAGACAAUCAAUAUAUUAUAUAUGGUUGGUCUUUCUUCGAGAGAGCGCCACUGUUUUGGCCUUUUUUCUGGAUGGAUCCUAAAUGCCCCUACACAAUGUCUGAAAUGCCAGAUCUGAUCUCGCCUCUAGUCGCAUUUGCUUGAUUUACCAUUUUCAUUCAUUCGUGUCCUUUUCCGAUAAUUGCUAUUUUGCCUAAUUGCCUGCGUGGAGGCUGGAUCAGACUUUUAUUAUUUUUAUUUAUUUAUUUAUUAUUUCUUUGAUGAUUAUUUAUUAUUUAAUAACGUUGUUGUUAAGUCAUUAACACGGCGGUUAAAGAGUACAUGAAUAAAAGAAAAGAAAAAAGCCAUUUUCAUAAAUUUUGGGAAUAUAAAUUGCGGUUUUUCUUUUUCUUUUCGUAUCAUAAAAAUUUAGUGAAGUUAUUCAUAAGCUUAAUAUUAGCACUACAAUAUAUACAAUUAAAUCAGCUUUAAGUAUGCUAUAAUCAGUCGUCUACACAUAAAUAUUAAUAAAAUUUAAUAAGCUUUUAGAACUGCGCAAUUUCUUUUUUUACAUAACACUCAUUGUACGUAAGUAUAUAUCUUUUAUUUUAUUUAUUUUUUUGUGAAAGGUAUAUAUCUUUUAUUAGUCGCUAUAAUAUUCAUGAUAGUAUCUAUUUCCCUCUUAUCAUCAUAAUAUGCUAUAACAUCCCCUUUUUACUCCUUAAUCAAGCAUGCUUUUUGACUAGCUUUUAGUGCUUUGGAAUCAAUUUGAAAAAAAAAAAGCAAGAUGCCAAACUUUGAUUUCAAUUAGAAGCUUAGAAACUUUGUAUUAGUAUUACUAUCUAUCAGGAAGUUACGGCGGAAGAUCUUAUUUAACAUAUUUUUCUUUUUUCUUUUUUUCCAUAAGUCGCUUCACAUUGACUUCUUCAAUCCUAUUUUUACACAAUAUAAAAUGCGUAUAUCUGCCGUCGAUCCAUUAUUUAAUUUUUAAUUUUUGAGACAGUGGAUAAAAUUAUUUUUAAUCUGACAAGAUGGGAAGUAAAGACAAAUAAGGCUCAAUAUCGAAAAAUAUAGUAAGUAUAUCUUAAAUGAUUCCAGUAAUCACACAUUAACAUACGAUUCACGACUAUGAUAAACCCCCAUAAGUAUUUGAGCUCUCUGGUUUAAUAAUUUUUCUUCUUUUUGCUUGAAUUUGAAAGUAAGAUGCGAUACAUAAAAGUUUAAAAUUCUAUUUGAGACUGCUCAUGAGAAAUAGCAAAAUAGUGAUAUCUCUAUUAUGAUCAAAGAUAGCAAAACAAUGAUAUCUCCGUCGCAAGUAAGUUUUUCUCUUUGAAAGGCUCGUGUUGUAUUAGUGAUUGAAUCACCUUCCAAUGUUUAACACAUUCUUCCCUCACAUUUUGUCAAAUUAGAAAGCGGAUGUUCUUCCAUGACCAUGUUUAUAUCUCACAAGACAAGCCCAUGUGAGAAAACCAGCCUUAAAAAGACCUUUAUUAACUUUGCUGCGAAUUGCAACAAGGCUUCAAAAUCACGAAUAAAGACAGAACGAGACCGAGCACACGUUUUCUUUUCAAUGAUAAAAGUAGAACGUACAGACAGAUCUAUGGUGUGAGUAAAAGACAACUAAUAAGUUAACAUAAUGGUAACACAUGUAUGUGCAGAAUUAGCAGAACUACAAGGAAACGAAAUUGAAAUUGAAAUUGAAAUUAGCUUAGCAAUUUCAACAACAUAUAAUAUCUUAACCUGAGGCACCUAAUCCCCUCGAUUUUGGUAGCCUGACUGCAGCCAGAGGGUUGACGAUGCCUUGGGAAUCUUUCCCCAAACCCAUGCCUUCAACAAAACCCAUCUUUGCCAUCAUCUUUGAUCCAAAGCCUUUGGUAUGUUUUUCAAAAGAUCCAACUCUCUGAGGUUGAGAAACUCUUUGAGAUUGAGAUUUGUUUUUCACUGGAUAACUCUUUACUGGGGUGUUAUUUACUGGAAGGUCAACCGUGUUGGAAAAUUCCACACCCAACCCAAGUGAUUUAGGCCGUUGGAUCACUUCAAUGGGCGCUGCCAUACCUUGUCCAUCUUUUCCUAAUCCACCACCUUCAAUAAAUCCCAUUUUAGCCAACAUUUUUGAUCCAAAACCCUUAGUGUGUACCUCAAACGAAUGAAACUCAGCUGCUUCAACAACAUCCUUAUUUUUAGAACUUGGGUCUAUUGAAUCAACAGUUGUGCUCUCAGUCGCUGAUUGCAUCAAGCCACUUGACACAAACGAUACCGGUUGAUUGGCAUAUGAAUCCAUUUUUCCACCAAGUUUCUGUUCAUAGGCUCUGCCACUGCCACGCUUGGCUGCGAUCUUCGGAGUCUUUAUUUGAGUGUAAUGUUUAGACUCUGGUGGCUUUAAAUAAAUUCCUUUUCCAAUUUUCUUUGACCUGCUUUUGUCUCCAUGGGGCUCAACAACAGAAAAAUCAGCAUCCUCCAUGUCAACUCCAAUCAGCUGAAAUACAGAAAAUAAUCACUCAAUUUUGCUGCACAGAUAUAUAAGGGAUCCAAGCAUAUAGUGACACAAUUCACAGCAGAACCAGAAAGGCAACGAGAAACAAAUAAAAUAUGAAUAAAAAAGAGCCAGACCAGGCAACACGUAAUUAUAACUAUGAAAUCUAAUGAACCUUUUCAAGACGAAGUCUAUCGCUUGCUGAUGGCAUGCCUGUGUGUUGUGUCCGCAUCACUGUUACAAAUCUGGGAAAAGAAAAAACAUCAAUACCAUGUUUUCCUUUUGUAGAAAACAAAAGGAAAUUAUGUACCUCUUCUUGCCAGAUCCUUGGCAGGAACUCCUCAGGCGAUAAAUUGCUGCUAAUCGUUGCACCUAAAAUAUCAAAAGCACUAUCUAUCAAAGAAAGACUUUGAUGGACACUCCUUCAAGGGAUUUUUAAGCACACUCAAAAAUGGCUACAGAACUUAGGUUAAACCCUAACUUUUCAUAUGUUAUAUUGCGAUCAAGAAUCUGAGACAUGGUAACAAAAAUUUAGGCUUAAAGCUUACAAGAAAUCUCUAAAUUUCAAUGCUUUGGCAUGAGUUUUGAGUGUGUGUGUGUGUGUGUGUGUGUGUGUGAGAGAGAGAGAGAGAGAGAGAGAGAGAGAGUUAAACCAAUUUCAAUUUCAACAAAAGUUACAAAAUUAAGCACCUCAAACAAUAUUCCACUAAAUAAAAUUCCUAGAUGAUCCAUGCGAGCAGAAGUGCAAAAAUUGAAACUGCAAGGAUUUACAAAUUGCAACUUAGAAGAUAAAUUAAAAUUAUGUACCUGGGCACAAUCCCGGGAAUGCAUAGGUUGAAAAGAAAACAUAUCCACUCCAUCCAAAACAAUCUGCUCUAUUUUCUACAAUAGAAAAGAACAAAGCUGUAAGAUAGUGCGUGGCUGCUAGAAUGAAUAACAAAAAUGAAAUUUUGAGAGGAAUGAAAUAGAAUCAAAAUAAGGAACAUAGAGAGUUAAAAAUCACCAAUGAAUGUAAUUGGUACCAUCCAAGGUUCAUUCCCGUUAACCGGACACUACCUAAGUUCUUUCAGAGAGUCAAAUGUUUAGAACCGGCGUGGACAGCUCUAUUUAUAUUCACAAUCUAACUAAAACGCAUUACACCAUAUAUACUACAUGAGUAUACUGAUCGGUACACAACUUCACUGAAAAAAAAUAAAAAAUUUACCAAAUUGAUUUGCUCAAGAUCAAGACCUCGCCGUAGCAUUCUCUCCCUACGCUUCACAGCAAUCAUUUCUUUACGAUGUUUCUUUUUCGUACCUGAACGGAAAGUUAGAACAAUAAAUAGUAUGAGGUGAAAGCAUGAAGGACAAUCCACCAAAAAAAUUACGAUGUUUUAUUUUUCUUUACAAUGUUUCUUUUUCGUACCUGAACGCAAAGUUAGAACAAUAAAUAGUAUGAGGCAAAAGCAUGAAGGACAAUCCACCAAAAAAAUUACAAUAUCAUAGAGGAAUCAUGUCUCUGAUGCAAAACAGGUCCUCAGACAUUUAUUACCCCAAGGUUGGUGAGCAAAUUUUCCCACACAGUCAUUCAAUGGAGAUCCUAACUAUCUACUUUUUAUCAAAUUCCAUCUCAAAAAGGAUACUAGGACGGCUAGAAAUUAUGGAAUCUAAGAGCAAAUGUCAGAGACAUAUUAACUUGGCGCUCGAGAGCCAUAUCACAUCCCCUUCAUGGAAAAGAUGCAUGUUAACCAAGUUAAAUAUAUGAAAGCAAAACUUAUAGAGAUAAGCAUAUCUUAGCAAUCUUAUACCAGGAAAAUGUCUUGAGAAUUUACUCCUUUGAGCUUCUGAAGGCCAAGAUUGAGGAAACCUAGCAACGGGCUUCUUUUUUGCAAAAACAGUUCUCGGAUCCUUUACAAGCAUUAGGUCAUCUAUAGCCAAAGACUUAGCAUGUCUUUCCGUCACAUUGUAUUUCUUCUGUGAAUGGACCUUCCUCCUACCAUAUUCUCUAGAUGCAUCCUGAAGAGCAAUUCCGCCCAACUUCUGUAAAGUCUCAUCAAAGCCACUCCUCAAAGAGCUAUGCUUAUCCGGACCAUCCAAUUCCUGUCCUACCAACCAUUUGGAACUUAAAAUGCUGUCACUCCCUCCAAUUCCCUCUAAAUAAUCUUCUGCAACCUCAUCAUCUAUAUCUGAAUCACUAUCAGACGUGUCUUCAGAAUCUUCACUUUCAGAGGAUCCAAGUAUUCCUCCUGGCUCAGAAGAGCCUGAGCUUCCUUCAUAUGGUGAGUCUCCAUUUUCAUCUUCUUCACUUUCUUCAUCAGAAAUAUCUUGGGUGUAUAAUUUCAUGCCUCCAAUUGACAAAAAUCCUGAGUUUUUCAUAGGAGACAUGUUUGUUGGCAGCUCUUCAGCCAUCUCAUCGCCAACUUCACAAUCCAUCCCUUCAUUGACAUCCAUAUCUUUCUCAGAAGACAACGAAUCAAAACAUGAAUCUUCUGGCUCUUCCAUUUGCUUUGACGAAGCUUCAAUACCACUUGCAGUUCCCUCAAGUUCAUCAUAGAACCCCAACCCUCUAUGAGAGCUUUCACCUAACACAAAACUUGAACCGUAUUGAUAUGUAAAUUCUACUUCGUGGGGACUUGAAGCUACUGUCUGGUCCACAUGAGCUACAAUUUGGGUAUUCUUGAAAUCAACUAAAACCAAAGGGCAGGACUCGUCCGUACUUUUACCUACAUCAUUGCCCUCAUGUAGUCCUGGACGCAAACCCUCCUGUUCACCAUCAAAGCAUAUUGAAACCAAGUCCAUUAAAAAAAAUGAAAGACAGGAAAAUCAGUUCCAAUCUCAUAAUAGUCUCCCUCUAAACAUAAAUUUAGCUCGUUUGCUCUCUGACAUUGCUGAGGUUGCAUCCUGACAGCUAAAAAUGUAUUUAACAAGAUAAACUGUAAAAGAAAUGUUUAAAAGAAGAAGAAAUAGGACACACCUGACGUUCAACGGAAGGAUACUGAUAUCCUAUAGCAUUAACAUUAGAUUUCCGAGACUCACUUUUAGAACCAGAAGCUACUUUUGCUCCCGAUUUUGAGGCAGAUUUGUUAUUAGAACUCGGAUUUUUCCCUGAAAUUCAAAACCAAAACGAAAUCCAAAACAGAAGCACAGAGGAAAUCGAAUCAGAACAAAUGGAAAAAUAGAAGCAAUUACAAGUCCAAUCUCUUAAAUCCCUGUUUGGUCGCUCAGAAAAAUUUAGGAAACAACAAAAACGAAUUAAAAAAAUUAAGAACUUAUUCCAUUCUGGGACGGUAAUAUGAAAUCAAUUCUUACCCAGUUCAUCAAAACAAACAAAUUUUGGCUAUCUGAUGUAAGAAUCUUCAGUUCAAUAUAGGUUAAAAAUGAAUCAAAACUUUCAUUUUCCAUCUCACUUUCCUCUGUUUUUCCCAGGAAUCAAUUAGCAAAGUAUGAUCAUUGAUAGAGAUAAAGGAAGGACCUCGAAGAGAGGUUUGAGGGGAUGACCAAUCAGAUAAAACACCACCCUCCACAAACGGAGCUCCUCGAGCAUUGGAUUUUGAUGAAGAUGACGACGAUGCUCUUCUGCUGCUCCAAGUUACUUUGUUGUUAUCAUUGGUGUUGGGUCUUCUUCUUCCUCUUCCUCUUCCUCCCGCCAUAGCUGCGCGUUUUGCCUCCACAGAGAAACGGAAACUCAGAUGAUAUAUGAUCAGUUGGAGCUUUGGAUACACAGAGAAGGGUCUUCUGGAUCUGGAUGGUCGCAGUCAAAGCCCAUGCGUGCGGUUCUAUCUCGACCGUCGGGGAGAUCAAACCAGUCGAUACUUGUAGAAUCAUGCAGUAGAAUAUGCUUAGCAGAAACCAUGAGGCCUGCUCGAAAAAUGGUCCAAUCCUACCAGCAAGGCAAAAAGGUCCGAGCCCAAAUUCAAGUGGGCCUGUACUGACUAAUUCAAUUUGCGAUCUGUUCUUGGAUUUAGCGGCUGCAAUCUUCUCCUGUACGGGUUGGCCCGAAGCAGGACUCGGCCUUUUCUUCCCCCUUAAUGCUGCCAUAAUGGGCAGAGGACCAUAGCCCAGCUGGAUAGAUGCAAAGGCGUAUAUACGUACCACAAAGUUGGCAGUUGAUUGAUGAUGAGGUGUAAAAGAAAAAUUGGGUUUUCUCCUUCCUUUGAUUUGAUGAUUAGUUGGUUAUUAGUUGGUUAUUAGUUUGUUAAUAUUGUAUGUAUGUUUUAUUUGCUGGUUGUGGUUGCGAUUGCGGUUGCGGUUGCCAAUUAAUGGUGUAAGACUAAUGAUGAGCAGAGGCAGUUGGAAGAAGAAAACCGAUGAAUUAAAAAUAGACGUGAACUCCAAGUGGGGCAUUACCAAGAUUCAUAUUGGCAUGGCAGCGGCAGAUAUUGACAUUGGUACUAGAUAUUUUUAUAAAUUUAUUAUUACAAACAUGAUAGACGGUCCAAAAACCUCCCCUCUACAACUAACUACAAUGUUUGCCAACUUUAUUAACUCCAAAGUUUUUCACUAGCCUGACUGACUGACAGGUGGGGUGGCAACUACAAUCUGCAAUAUCAUUGUUCAAUGUUGACUUAGCUGUUUAUCAUGACGCAUCUAAUUUGUAGGUACGGCAGGCCCAAUUACUCUUAACUUUUUUGUGUCCUGCAGUAAAUGUAAAUUGCAUUGAUUGACUGGAGCCCCUUCUCCUGUUGAGGUUAAAAAAUUGGUAUAAAAUAGGAAUAAUAUCGUUUUGUUAUUUUCGGCCAAUUAUAAUUUAUUAUAUGAAAAAAUUAUCACACGUGAAAUAUUGUGAUUAUUGACCAAAUAUAACAAAGUAGUGCUAUUCCUGUAUUUAUAAGUGUUUCCCCUGAGGAGGUGUUGGCUUGGCCUCACCUCUUCCGUGGCGCUCUCACAAUGCUUGCUUCCAGUCUCACGUGAUAUGACAGAAACAAUUCGUCCAUAUGUUGCUGCUGCUGCCGCAUGCUACUUUGUUUCUAGAGACUAGAUCCGAUCCCAAAUUCUAAUUAAUUUAUCUUUAGAUGAAUAUUAAUUUUCAUUAUUGUCUAUAAUUGAGUAAUGAAAGUUGGCUGGCUCCUAAUCCCAAGAAGCAAAGCAAAACCCAUUUUACAGUUUUACAUGCUACAACACUUGUUAGGUGUUGUUGGUUGAGAAUCUGGAAUGAAAUCAGGCACCAAAAUGUUAAAAUGCAUGAAUAUAUCUGCUUUAAUUCUGCACAAGGCACCAUUUCAUUUCUUCAUUUUCAAGCUACACUAAUAUAUCUUGAAUUAAUAUUAUGAGUUUUGUGUUUGUUGGUAACUUGAGACCCUAAUUUCUCUCCUAACUCUUGGUAGACACAUGGACAAUUGCAUGCCAAGCCUCGUGGACAUGUACUGAGUCCAUUAACCGACCAAAACACACGGCUUCAAAGCUUAAUUUACUGCCGCAUAUGCCGAUACAUUAUACAUACGCACAUUGACAGCAAACCCAAAAGCUGACAACCAACUUUUGUCUUGGCACCGAAACCUUGUAGUUUUCCACUAUAUAACUACCCGACGCCAAUAUUCUAUAAAUGCCCACCUCUCUUCCUAAUAACCCAAAAAAACUUCUUUCUUUUAGAGGUGGUGGUGCACGACAUUAUUGUUUUGUCAUUGUGACCUGUUCCAAAACGGAAAAAAAAAUCAAGACCACCGCAUGGCCGCCACGGGAGCCGCCGCGGACGGGCUAUUCCGGUGUGUUUACGAGGGGUGCAUCGCAGGGUCUGAUGUAGGGGUGGAGCGGAGGCCUUACCACCGCAACUGCGGGUGCGCGCUGCAUAACAAGUCACGUAACAAACAAUGUACGCACGGAGGGCCAAAGUGCAAGAAGGUGUCAUAUCCAAUGAGGCGGGCUUGGAGCGAGGGCUCUUUGGCAUUGGUGGCUGCUUCUUCUGCUCACUCCUCACCCUCUUCUUCACCUGCUCAGAAUCAUCAUGUGGUGGCGGUGGGGAGGCAGCAGCAGCAGCAGCAGCAGCAUCCUCAAUUGGGUACUUUGUGUGAUGAUGAUCAGGAGGAGGAAGAAGAUGAGAAUAUUGUUUUCUUCAAGGUUUGAUUUGUACUAGUCUAUAUAUGAUGAUGAGUACUAAAUACUACUACUCUUUUGAUCCUCAUUACAAAUAAGUAAAUAUACUCUGUUCUAAUAACUAUUGGAGCCCAGUUGACAGAUUUCACAAUCAAGUUUUGUAAUUAUGAAUCUAAUUUUUGAGUACUUUCUAGAUUUUUGGUGGAUCCUCCUCUUGUUCCUCGAUCUCCAUGAUUCAAAUCAAAACCGAAAUUGGGGAUUUGGGUGCUGAUAUUCCAUUGGAACCAGUGCCAUAAACAUAUAAAAAUUGUAAACAUAUAUAUGCCUCAUAUUAGAUGGGAUCUUUGAUCAGGUUUUUCUGGAGUUUCCUGGAUCCAAGAUUAAAUUGCAGUGGAGUUAGGUAGCAGAAAGAAAAGAAAGGCUAGAGUUAAAGAGUCGUGGUCCAGUCCAGUCCAGGUUGUAAAUUGGAAUAAUCAGCCUUUGAAGUGUGUGUGUUUAGCAAAUAAUCAAAUUAAAUGCGAAUAAAAUUAUAGAAUACAAAUGGUGCAGCAACAGCCACACAAGUAUUCUUGGCUGGAUGGCUCAUUUGGUCGGCUACUAGUACUACCAGGUUUCAAUCAACACGUUCCAUUCCAUCCAUAACGACUUUUACCAAACAGAAACAGAGGAAAAUACAAAGUAAAAACAGAAACAGAGGAAAAUACAAAGUAAAAACAGAAACAGAGGAAAAUACAAGGCAAACAGAAGAAAUGAAAAUGGCAUCCAUGUUCUGUUCUGAUGUCCACGUGUGGUCUCAGUCACACUCUGGUUUCAGAAAUCAGAUUAUUGUUAAUAUCAAUUGAAAAUACUAUCUUUUUCAAAGUCUUCAUUGAAGCUGGCUCGGAUGGUUGGUGGUGGUACCACAUGGAAUGGAAGAGAGAGAGAAGGACAAAAGUGUCACAUGACAUAAAAACAAUGAAAAAAAAAGAAAGAAUAAUAAUAAUAUACACAGCUUCUCCAAUUGCAGGGGUCUUUGUAAUAAACUGUAUGUGUGUACCAAGAAAAUGGUACAUUGAAGAUACAAACUAGAAAUCAGGUGGUGCCAAAUAUAGUUCUUGGUUCCAAAGCUCAGAGUCACAGGUGCUGCCAAACCAAAACUGAAACAAGUAGUGAGCAAAGGAAACAUCAUCGACAAAGGCGUCAAGUACAUGAUCCAACAUAGAAAGGUGGAGAACACAAAGACAAAGGACAGGAGAGGACUAUAUCAUUUUGUUGACUGCAAUGUAAUCCCUAAUUCAUUACCAUUACCAACAAAAUAUAUAUUCAUAUUCAAUUCCUGCAUGUUUGGAAUGCGAAUGUUAAUAUAGGAGAGGAUCCAAUCUAAGUCCUUUUAAGUAAAGCCAAAAGGUGCUCAUGGGAAGUACCAAAUAGCCAUGCCAAUGCCAUUGGUUUCUGCAUCAAAUUCAAUAUAAACAGUGUUUGAACCACAGAUAUUCCAGUGGCUAACAUAUGAAGAAACAAUUAUUCUGAACGUAACUCCAAGAGGGGAGGUGUUUAAUGGAAAAUGAGUUAAGGAUUGCCAAGAAGGAACAAGGCUUUUCUCUUUUUAUUGAAGGGGUUCAAGUAGUCCCCUUCUACAUAAAAUUUCUGCUCUAUUUAUAGGAGAAAUCUAAAUGUAAUUUACAAUCCGGCCACCUCGGCUCAAAGCUGAGCCAUUUGUGUCACUUCAGAUCUGUCAGAUGAUGAGUGGUCUGGGUUCGUUCACAUCAUCUGCUCAUGAUGACCCUUUUAUACUUCUUCUAAGGGGCAGGCGUGGGCAGAGUAGCCUGUUGCGCACAGCGACAGUCCCAUUUGGUGAGGUGGUGAAUUGGGCAGUUUACACCUAGCUUUUGAAGGGACGUGGGCACGCUUGAUGAGGUACGUCAGGUCGGCAGUAAAAGGGAGUCUUGUCAUCGAUGUGGCCGAUUUGCAUCCUCUUGAAUUUCCUAAGGCAGCUCAGAGUUCGAGGCUGAGGGAGAUUUUGCUUGUUUCUACUGGUGCAGUGCACGAUGCCCAUGUGUUGCGUUUUUAUUGGGCGAACCGGCUCGGUGCAUGCCAAGCGUCAACAAACAGCAUGCUAUUCACAGCCUCAAAUGACAACAGAAUAGAAACUAAAGGGAAAAUCCAACACCUUGUAAAAAAAAAAAACAACUGAUUCUAACUAUUGAAGCCUCUUGAACACUUCAUCUCAGUGACAUAGAAAAAAAUUACAAAUUAUUUCCCACAUGUUUAUCCUUAAGUGAUAUGAAUGAAGAGUCAACUUACGCAACACAGAAACCACAAGGUGUGCCAAUUUCUAUAACUAAAUGAUAUCUCUACGGCCAUCUCUAGUAAUGUUGGGGCUAAACUCAAAUUUUCACAUACAAAAGACAACUAUUCAUGUAUUGCCCGACUCAAACUGUUUUUUCCUCCAACCAUGUUGACUCAUUGUAGCUUUAUUAAAUUGUUUAAGAAUGAUUAACCCUAAUUUAACCAAUUUGAAAACCCCAAUUAUAUAUAUAUAUAUAUCUAAAUAUCAUGUCACAUAAUAUCAUGGAGUCCACUGUUUCUCAUGAUAAUUUUUCCUUGGUGGGUGUUGUUUUUGAAGCCUAGGUCCCAUUUUGUUAGAGAAUAGAUGGAAAAGGUUGUAACUGGGCUGGGCUGGGCUAGCCUGACUUAAAUUUUAUGAGCUUAAGCUAGGCCAAGCUUAGCUUUAAAAGAGGAGAGAAAAAAUAAUGAGUCGAGUUGAACUGGAAUUUUUCAGAUAAUAAAAAGCAUAAGCCCGCCCUAUGAGCUAGGCCUGAGCAAGCCCGUCGAGUCGAGCCUGGCCAAAUGGUCCUUUUGUGUGUGUGUGUCUGUAUUUCUAUGUAUAUCACCCUUUUAUUGUAUUGUAGACUUUGUCGGCAUUCUCACUGGACAAUUUAUUCCUAUUCAAAUACCAACACAAUAUAUCAGAAACAAACCAACCCAUUAAUCUCAGCAAUUUCUUGAAUAUCCUAAUAUUAUUAGAUGAUAUUAGAAACAAACAAUAUAUGAUAAGUUGAUAAACAUAACAUUAAUACUGAAUAUCCUAAUAUUAGAAGACCAUGAACUUCCAAUUGACGAAUCGAGCCUAUCUUCAAACAUCUGGAGAGCACUUACCACCAUCUCCACGAUCUACGAGUAAGGUCCUAUCAGCUAAGAGGACACUCUAGUCCACACCUAGCCCACUAAUUAAUGGGCUGGAUCACCUCAUGGCCCACACCAAAUUGGGUCGAGCUUGUUUUUUGAUGGGCUAGACGGGCCCAUCGGCCCAUGAGUCCAUAUGCUAAAUGAUGACCGGAAGUGCUCUAAAGGUCGGGUCGGUUGUCCACCAGAGCUGUGAUCAGCUGCUGCAGUCGAAAUCGAAAUCUUUACUUUUGCUCAUUUUCUCGUAUUGGGCAUGGCUAUUUACCUCAACACAAUAGUUGCUAAGACGAGAAAAUGGCUGUUGAGAUGAGAUGCUGCGACUGAGAGGAGAGGAGGAGAGAGAGUGUGGGGGGCAGGGGCAAUGUUGUGAUUCUAAAACACGGGUGGGUUCACGCGUGCAAACGUAAAAGAAUAAGUAUGGAUAGACAAAAGUACCCUUGUUUCUUUUUUCUUGUCAAUAUUUGCGCAUUGGCCCCAGGGUCGUUUGUCGUGUCUGAAAAUAAUUGCCUAUUGAGGACAAUAUUUGAUUUAGAUUGAAGUUUUAGAAGGUGUCUCACGUGCUCUACUAACAGUAACAGACGCUUGUUUCUUUCCUUCUGAUUAUCAUCUCUCUCCCAAUUCCUUGGUUGGUUCUUCUUCUUCUGAUGGUUGCUUGGCAUGUUUUGAACCCUGGUCUGGUGGGGAACUUAUAAUAUUUCUAGAUUUGCAGAACAAAAAGAAGAAUUCCAGUUAAGUCUGAUCAGUGAAAGCAGCAAAAUAUGAAUGUAUAUCUAGUUUUAGUUCUGUAGGGCUUGAAUUGCAGUACUUUCUUUUGAGUAUCUGCUGUUUGUUUGUUUGUUUAUAUAAGAAACUCAGUUGUUGUGUGAGAUCUUGUAUAUUAAUGUCUGAAGCUAUAACUCCACUGACAAAGAUAUCAAAUUUGAAACUCAACCUUAAAGAAAAAGGGGGAAAUAUCAAACACUUUGCAUGCAGAUGCAGUCAUAUGUAUUCAUCAAUUCAAAGUUCCUGUACGACUUGAUGCUAAACAGUAAUGAAAAGGGUAAGCAAAUGUGCAAAUUUUAAUGCAAGAAAGAACCAUACAUCGAUGAAAACUUGACAGACAAAACAAAAUUGAAGUAAAAACUAAAGAUCCACCAUCUCAACUCUUAGUGGUGCAAACUAAUAUAAUAAUUAAUUAAGCACAAACCAUAUUAGGUUUCCACAUCAGUGAUUAGUGGGUUGUUUACUUGCCUUACUUGUAUAACUAACAAAAAAUUGAUGCUUGACUCAGACCGUUGUUAGUUAGUUUGUUGCAUAGAUUAAGCCACCAACCCCCAGCAUAAUUAAUAAUAAAUAAAUAAGAAAGAGCAGCAUAUACUUCUAAUAUCUAGUUAGGUAAAUAACGUCUUCCGGAUCAAUCUAUGCUAAAAAAGUCCCCACCCCACCCAACACCACCCGCCCCCCCUUCUCUCUCUCUCUCUCUCAUGUGUUGAAAAACUAGGGCCCUGUUUACAAAGCUGAACAGUCGUCCUAGAAAGAAACGUUGUCUUUCUUACUUUGGCAAGAACCCCUUUUACUCAAUAAACUUGUCUAGAGCUGAACAAGAGUACGUACCUGGGCUGGGAGGAAUAGCACAAAGAUUUUUCUUGAUUUCUCCCACCCCCAUUUAUCAUACAUUGAUGAUGGAUCCCCCUCUUCUGUAAAUAUAAAUGUUUUUGAAAAGCAUGCAAAAGUUUCAAGGCAGUCAAACACAACAAAUACACUUAGCUACACCGCUUACCUUACACACAAAUUAAUACAAGAGAUUGAAAGAGAAGAGAAUGACUAGCGCAGGAGUUGCUGGGAUGAUGCUUCAGUGUGCAUUUGAAGGAAGCCUGUCAAUGCAGGACACCGAAAUUGAGCGAAGGCCAUACCAUAAGAACUGCACUUGUGCUCUGCACAAGUUUAAGGGGGGUGCUUGCUCCAUCGCUUGUCAAAGGAACGUUUCCUUCCCAAAGAAACAUUCACUGAGUGAUGGUUCCUUGUGCAUGCAGGCAUCAUCAACUUCCAAAUUCUCCUCUCCUCUCGUCGGCGACAUGUCCAUGUCCACUUCCACAUCCACAGGAAACAGAGAAAGUAUGAAUUGGGUUCAUUAUUCGGCCUUGUCACAUAGACGGUAGAUAUGGAGACACCUUUUAGAGGCCAGCUUUGAUUAUACAAUGAUGAUUACGGGUGAGUUAAAAGAGAUUAAAAGGUUAAUUAGGAAGUGAGAAGCAAUUUUAAUUGUGAAUAGUUUCUCAUGAUCUUAUUCUUGUCCUUAAUUAGUACUUUGAUUUUGAUUUUGAGGAAAAUAUUGUGGGUUAGUUUGUUAUUUUCUUCUUCCUUCUUCGUCCAUGUAAAUUCUACAGAGUACAAAUUCUUGCUGUAAUUAAACGUUAUUGUCAUCUUUCUUCAAUACAACUGAAACUGCAUACAAGAGACUUAUUCAAGUACCUCAGUGUCUGACUGUUUGAGUUCACAAUUGCAUCGCAGAGCUACAAGUCAUUAGUAUUUGAGCCUUCUGUUCUGUUUUUUUUUUUUUUUUUUUUUCAUUUAAAAGUUGCAAAGAUCAAAUCUCUAAAUAGCCUUAGAUAGGGCAACAGCAAAGAAAGUAAAGAAAGUUCUUAGCCAAUUGAAAUACAUGUAUGUAUUGGACAAAAUGCAGGCAGGGGUUAUUUGAAGUCUCUAGAGUUCUCUACACAAAUGUAGUAAAAAACAAGAAGAGGAAAAUGAGUUCCCUUUUAUUUUCUUUCCUUCAAAAACAAGAAGAGAUAGAAACAAGAGAAGAUGUCAAUGAAGAAACAGAGGUAAGUGAAGGUGAAAAGUAAAUAAAAUUCAAACAACUUUUCAAAUAAUUUUUCAUUUUCUUUCACAGCUUUCCCUCGGAAAAGUCUUCACGUCUCAUUCGUAACAUUUUACUUGCAUCUUCUGAUUACCGACUAAAAAAGAAAAAAGCAAAAAAGAAUUCAGAGUAGAAUGAAAUUCUGUCCGUUCUUAAUAUGGAAGGGAGACAUGAAGCCAAGAAUGAGGCAGUCAAACAGGUAAAAUGGACAAGUAUCCUUGGACGCACCAAAUGCAUUUUAAUUAGUAAUCUCUCUGGAGUGUAUAUGUGCUGCUAAAACAGACAGAAAGGCAAUGUGGAAAUGAAAUCCCAUUUGUCACAAAACUAAGUGAGAAAACGAUGCUCACUUUUAUAAUCUGCAUUUUCCAAUUUCAGUAAUUCUUCUGCUACAAAGCAGCUCACAGCAAUAAAAGAUGAAAUUGCAAGAUUAUGCAUGUCAGAAUAACACAAUCUAGAAGGAAUGCCUACAAACCAAAGGCACAUCAUGCCAUGGAUAUUGGUGAAGUAGUUUGAUUGAGCAUCUAUAGCAUCUAACUUUGGCUAAUCAUCCUCUUUACAAAACCCUCAAUUAUUUAGCCAAAAAUAGAGUGCAGAGAAGUGAAAUUCUUAUUUGGGUGUGAUAAAAGUAUAAAAUAUAAAACUCUCAUAGUCAAUAAAGCAUAUAAUCAAAGGACAGCAGAAAUCUGUGCAAAAUACCAAGUACAUGGCAAUACUCCUUUGCAAUUUCUUUUUAACAUCUUCUGUAUGUUUAAAUAAUAAUUAUCAGUUGGGUCUUGUAUGAAGCUAUAACCAAUGCAAAGCUCCUCUAGGACUUGAUGCUAAAUAAUGAAAUUAAGGGUAUGCAAAUAUGCAAUGCGAAGAACAAUAAACUGUAGUAAAAACCAAAGAUUCAUUGUCUCAACUCCAAGUGGUUGAAUCUAAUAUAAUAAUAUUGAAAGAGCACAAAACUAUGUUAGUUAGGUUUCCACACGAGUGAUUUGUAGGUCCCUUGUUUUGCAUAACGAAAAAUGAUGCUUGACUCAGACCUAUGUUAGUUAUUUGCAUGGUGUUAACCGCCAAGCAUAUGCAUGCCUUAAUAAUAAAAUGAGCAGCCUUUCUAACUAGUUAGCUUAAUAACGUCUGCUGCGGAUCAAUCUAUGCUAACAGCCUGAAACUCAACUAACUAAUACUUAAUUAGAUACCGAAGCCGAAGCCAAGCCGAUAACCAAAAAGCCAAGUCGAACACUUCUCUUCUCUCUCUCUCUCUCUCUCUCUCUCUCUCUCUCUCUCUAUGUGGAAAACACUAGGGUCCUGUCCUGUUCACAAACCUGAACUGCCCUAGAAGAAAACGCUUGCCUUGCUCUGCUUUCCACUUUGGCAGGAAUCCCAUUACUAAUUAGGCUUGUCUCCAGUGGGAGCAAUAGCACAAAGAUACUUUCUUGAUUUCCCCCACACAUAAUUUAUCAUACAUUAAUCGCCUCUUCUAUAUAAAUGCUUUAGAAAGCAUGCAAAAGUUUCAACGCACUCAAACACAACACACAAUUGCCAUACAAAACACACUUAGCUACACUUGCUCACAGGCAGCCUUAACAUAAAAUACUUUAGAGACUCAGAGAAGAGAAAAGAAAAGAGAAUGACUAGCGCAGGAGUUGCUGGGAUGAUGUUUCAGUGUGUGUUUGAAGGAAGCCUGUCAAUGCGGGACAUUGAAAUUGAGCGAAGGCCUUACCAUAAGAACUGCAGUUGUGCUCUGCACAAGUCCAAGGGGGGUGUUUGCUCCAAUGCUUGUCAAAGGAACAUUUCCUUUCCCAAGAAACAGUCAUGGAGUGAUGGUUCCUUGUGCAUGCAGGCAGCAGCAGCUUCUUCCAAAUUCUCUUCUCCUCUCGUAGGCGACAUGUCCACGUCCACAGGAAACAGAGGAAGUGUGAAUGGGGUUCAUAAUUCAGCCUUGUCACAUAGACAAUAGACAGAGGCUUUUCAGAUGAUUUCUUGAUCAUACGACUAUGAUUACGGGUGAGUUAGAAGAGAUUAAAAAGGUUAAUUAGGAAAUGAGAAGCAAUUUUAAUUGUGAAUAGCUUCUCAUGAUCUUAUUAUUGUCCUUAGUUAGUACUCCAGCACUAGUACUCAAAUACCGAAUUGGUUUUGAAGAAACUGGUGCUUGUGGGCUAGUUUAUUAUUUCUUUUACCUUCAUCAUCCAUGUAAAUUCUACUGUAAUUAAACUUUUUCCCAUUUCUCUCUUUAAUACCACUGAAACUGCAUACAUGCAAACAGACUUAUUCAAGUACCAAAGAGUCUGACAGUCUACUUUAAUGUAUUGGUGACAGUCUACAUUCCACAAUUUAUACCUGGCUCUAGAAGUCAUUUAUUUUCUUCCCUUUUGGUAGAUAGCUUAGAAGUCAUUAGUAUUUUCAGCCAAGGAAACUUUGUUUUGCUGUUCCUUCUUAAAAACAAUCUAGCUUCCCUAUCGUUUCCGAAAAAAUUCUGUGAAGAUUAUCGUUUAUUGGUUUUCCAUAGGGCAGCAACAGAAAAGGCAUAGAAUUUCUUAGGCAGUUCAACUACAUAUGUGAAUGGACCAAAUGCAUGCAUGAGCUAUUUAAAUUCUCUAGGCCAUUGAUAAUGCUAUAUGCAAAUAGAAGCAAAACUAGAAGAAGAAAAAGAAUUUCGUUUUCUUUUCUGCAAGAAUUGCUACCUAGGCUAUGCUACAAAGAAGAUCAAUGGUGGUACUGACGAAAGAUACCUCUUUCUCUUUCUCUCAGAGGCAUAAAUACCAUCAAAUGGAGAAGGUAGAUUCUUCUGAUCACUUCGACAAAGUUUUUAUCCGCCAUCUGUUACAAAUAUCUCAGAAUUAGGAAAAACCAUGGAUACGGCAGCGGCUAACAUCCAGUAUAACCGGUCGGCUAUACUACUUUUACGAAACAUUAAUAAAAUCGAGUCAAGCCGACCGGCUAUACUUUUUUAAAAAAAAAUUUAAAAACCGGGUAUAGCCGAGCGGCUAUACUAUUUAUAUAUAUUUAAACAAGGACCCGCCUAGCGCCUAUGCGCCAUGUGUAACAACAGAGCCGCACGGCUAUAGUUUUAAAAAAAAACAUUUGCAAAGUACAGCCGGGCGGCUAUACAUUUUUAAAAAAAAUGGAAAAACAAGUACAGCCGAACGGCUAUAAUAUUUUUAAAACAAUUUGGAAAAAAUCCGCGUAUAGCCGCACGGCUAUACUUAAAAAAAAUGGAGUGUAGCUGUAAGGGUAUACUAUUUUUACGAAAAAUUACGGAAAACGAGCCGGGCGGCAAUAUUUAAAAAAGAAAAAAAAAAGGAGUAUAGCCGACCGGCUAUACUAUUUUUAAAAAGAAAAAAAAAAAUAUAUAUUUAAAAAAUGGGCUAGCGCCUAGGGGCCACGUGUCAACAGUACAGCAGCGCGGCUAUACUAAUUUUUUCAAAAAUUAGGAAACUCAUAUAGCCGCCCGGCUAUACUAUUUUUAAAAAUUUGGAAAGCCCGGGUAUCGCCGUAUACUAUUUUUUAAAAAUACCUAGUAUAGCCGAACGGCGAUACUAUUUUUAUGAAAAAUUAAGAACAAAAAACCCAGUAACGCCGACCGGCUACACUAUUUUAUUUUAAAAAUUAAAAAAAAUAGAGUAUAGCCGCGCGGCUAUACUAUUUUUAUGAAAAAUUUAUAAAACCGAGUAUAGGCGCCUUAUGUUUUCUAACUCUAACUAAAGGAGAGAGAGAGAGAGAGAGAGAGAGAGAGAGAGAGAGAGAGAGAGAGAGAGAGAGAGAGAGAGAGAGAGAGAAACGAGAAACAAAAGAUUUCUUUUAUUUUUAUUUUUAAUUCUCAUUUUGUGUACUAUUUCACAUCUUUCUCUCGGAAAAGUCUUCAACGGAGGCGUAGAAAAUGCCACCAUCUCUCACAUUGUGAAUAUAGGACCCUCAACCAUUGUGAGUUUCGACAGAAAAAGAAGUCAUAUGCUCUGUUUUUCUUCUAGGAUGCCGCCUUGAAGGGUGUAUCACUUGUGUCUGUGCGGAAACAGAUUAGCAGAGCUUUUUGGACAAUACCAAAUGGUCCAAACAAAGAUAUCAUGCCAUGGAUAACUGUGGCUAAUCAUGCCAUUUAUAAACUCCUUAAUCGCUUAGCCAAAAUGAGAGUGAUCAAGACAAGUGAAAAGCCACAUCUGGGUGGGAUGAAAAUUGAAAAGUAAAAAAUUAUCAUGGUUAAUCAUAAAGCAACUGAUCAGUGAACAACUAACUGUGCAAAAAUACAAGAUACACAACAGCUCUCCGGCAUUCAGAAAUAUAAGUUGUCUUGUCUGCAAGUUAUAUGUGCUAGGGGUAGAAAAUGCCAACGUUUAAACAAUUUUCUAACCAAUUCAAAGUUCCUAAAUUGUUAGACAACCAUUAGUCCCAAAAGUUAGGACGCGCAAAUUCACGUCACGUGCACCAUACAAACUAAUAAGGAAAUGGGGAAUGGCAACUGAAUUUAGGACCACUUGCAAAGUCUAUGAUACCAUUUCAAAAGCUUAAGGUGUUGGACAAAUAAUGUAUAUCAAACUUGCAGCAAGCAAAUAUGCAAUGCAAGAACAAAUUAUGAAAACUUGAAAAACAAAAUUGGAGUAAAAACUAAAGAUCCAACAUCUCAACUCUAACUGGAGCAAACUAAUAUAAUAAUGAAAUCACAAAAUCAUAUUACGUUUCGACGAGAGUUGCAUUAGAUUAGUGGGGACGUCGUUUACUUGCAUAACGAAAAAAUGAUGCUUGACUCAUACAUUUGUUAAUUAAUUAGCUGCAUAGAUUUAGCCGUCGUCAAGCACGCAUUAUUAAUAAUCAAAUGACUAUGAGCAGCCUUUUUAUAACUAAUUAGGUAAAUAACGUCUUCCGGAUCAAUCUAUGCUUAAAAGCCUGAAACCCCACUAAUACUUAGAUACCAAGGCCAAGCCGUGAAACAAAAAGCCAAGUCUAUGACAUAUGUGUGUGCAAAAACUAAGGUCCUGUCCACAAAGUUUAACUACCCUAGAAAGAAACGUUUGUCUUAGUCUCCUUACUUUGGCAAGAAUCCCAUGCUAAACUUGUCUCGAGUUCACCAUGAGUACGUGGGAACAAUAAUAGCACAAAUAUUUUUCUUGAUUUCCCCCACACCAUUUUUCAUAACUUGUAUAUAAAUGCUUUAGAAAGCAUGCAAAAGUUUCAACACACUCAAACACAACACAAAAUUUCCAUACACAAACACACUCGGCUACACUUGCUCACAGCCAGCCUUAACAUAAAAAAUAGUUAAGAGACUCAUAGAAGAGAAAAGAAAAGAGAAUGACUAGCGCAGGAGUUGCUGGGAUGAUGUUUCAGUGUGUGUUUGAAGGAAGCCUGUCAAUGAGGGACACCGAAAUUGAGCGAAGGCCUUACCAUAAGAACUGCAGUUGUGCUCUGCACAAGUCCAAGUGGGGUGCUUGCUCCAAUGCUUGUCAAAGGAACAUUUCCUUUCCCAAGAAACAUUCAUGGAGUGAUGGUUCCUUGUGCAUGCAGGCAACAGCUUCUUCCAAAUUCUCUUCUCCUCUCAUUGACAACAUCUCCCCGUCCACUCCCACAUCCACAGGAAACAGAGGAAGUGUCAGUGGUGUACAAAAUCCGGCCUCAUCACAUAGACAAUAGACAGACACCUUUCAGAGUCUAGCUUGAUACGACUAUUACAGGUGAGUUAGAAGAAAUUAAAAAAAUUAAUUAGGAAGUGAGAAUCAAUUUUAAUUGUUAGUUUCUCAUGUACUAGUUACUCAAUAUCAAAUUGAUUUUGAGGAAUUAUUACUUCCACCACAGUCCAUGUAAAUUCUACUGAGUACAUAUUCCUCCUGUAAUAGAACAUUGUCACAUUUCUCUCAGAUUUGAAUACAAUUGUCUGAAACUACAACAUGCCCUUCUCUUCCCCAUUCUACACUCUACUAUUUCUUUGCAUAACAUUCUAGAUUCUAUACAAUCUUGAAAUAUACAAUUAAUGUAUGUUGUGAACAUCGUUUCAGCUCUAGAACAGUACAAGUCAAUAGCAUUUUUUACCCAAACAAAAUUGUUUUGUUUUGGUUUCCGUUUUAACUUUUCUUUUGUGUUGCAACAAAGUUGCCAAGAUCAAAGUCAUCAUUAGUUAGCGUGCAUAGAUACCAUCAAAGGAAGAAGAUGGAAUCUCCUGAUCACUUUGAUAAAGUUUUUCUUGUUGUUUCAUGUUUUCUAACUAAAACAGACGUAAGAGAAGAUGUCAAUAAAAAAUAAAAAUAAAAACAGAAAUAUUAAAAUAUUUUCAUUUUCAUUUAUAAAAUAUUUUGUACAUUCUUUCACAUCUUUCCCUCGAAAAAGUCUUCAAUGGAGGCGGAUACAAUGCAACCAUCUCUUACAUUGUGAGUUUCACAUUGUUUUCGGAGUGUUUUUACAUCUUUGAUCCCCUUUCCUUUCCUCAUUUUGUUUUUUUUCAAUCAAAAGAAUAAAAAUAAAAAUGCCAUAUAUUUUUCUUCUUCUAGGAUACCAGAAAAAAAAAUAAAAAUAAUCUCUUGUUUCAGAUUAUGUCACUUGUAUCUGUAUACCGUUGGCAAGGACUGUGUCUCUACAAAAGAAGACAUUUUCUGAUUACCCAAAAAAAAGACAGAAGGAUGAAAUUCUAUCUGCACUUAAUAUGGAAAUGAGACAAAAGGCAGAUUACCUCUAAAAAGAAUGAAAUUGAUCAGUCAAACAGGACAAGUAUCCUUGGACACACCAAAAGCAAUUCAAUUUGUGCAGAAUGUUGCCUAAACGCACAGAAAGGCAAUGUGGAAAAAUGAGAAAAUGAUGCUCACUUUUAUAAUAUGCAUUCCCAACAGCACUUACUUCCUCCCAAUUUAAGUUUUCUUCUACAACAAUAGACGAUGAAAUUGCAAGAUCAUAUCAGAAUAUGUGGCUACUCAGUUGUUUAUUGUAUCAAACUAUAACUUCUAGCUAAACAAAGAUAUCAAUUCAAAAGUCAGCCUUAGUGGCAACUGGGGAAAUCUCAAUUGUACGUACAAAACUAUAUCUGCCACGAGUACCAAAUGCCAAAGCUGGAUUUAAUUCUCUAACUAAUUCACUGCUUCAACUAUUAGACAACCACUUGCCCCGAUAACUUAAAAUCCCAAGACGUGCAAAUCCGUCAUGCAUGCGGAGAGACACAUGCGAAGAGAGAGACAAACACAUAGUUGCAGCUCCACUGUGCACCUCAGAAACCAACAAAGAUGUGAGAAACUUGGAAAGCAAAUAUGCAAAGCAAGAACAUUGGAUGAAAACUUGACAAAUCAACUUACAGUAAAAAGUAAAAGAUUCAUCAUCUCACCUCUAAGUGGAGAAAGCUAAUAUAAUAAUGAAAGCACAAAAUCAUGUGUGCAAGUCAGUGAUUGGUAGGACAAUAUCUUGUAUAACGAAAAGUGAUGCUUGACCCAGACAUAUGUAUGUUAGUUGCAUAGUGUUAACCGCCAAGCAUUCCUAAUAAUAAAAGGAGCAGCCUUUCUAACUAGUUAGGUAAAUAACGUCUCUGCGGAUCAAUCUAAGCUAACAAUAAACCGCACGAAUAGUAUACUUAUUAUAGAUACCAAAGCCGAGCCACAAAAACAAAAAGCCAAGUCGAGCAUUUCAUAUUUCUCUGUCUCAUUCUGUGGGAAAAUUAGAACCCUGUUCACCAAGAUGAACUUUCCCUAGAAGAAAACGCUUGUCUUGCUCUUUUUUCCACUUUGCCAAGAAUCCCAUUACUAAUUAAACUUGUCUUGAGUUCAACACGGGUUCGUCAAGGCAAUAGCACAAAGAUACUUUCUUGAUUUCCCCCACACCUAAUUUAUCAUACAUUACUCCCCUUUUCUAUAUAAAUGCUUUAGAAAGCAUGCAAAAGUUUCAAUACAAUCAAGCACAACACACAAUUGCCAUACACAGAACACUUAGUUACACUUGCUCACAGCCAGCCUUAACAUAAAAUAGUUGAGAGAUUCAGAGAAGAGAAAAGAAUAGAAUGACUACCGCAGGAGUUGCUGGGAUGAUGUUUCAGUGUGUGUUUGAAGGAAGUCUGUCAAUGAGAGACACCGAAAUUGAGCGAAGGCCUUACCAUAAGAACUGUAGUUGUGCUCUUCACAAAUCCAAAGGGGGUGCUUGCUCGAAUGCUUGCCAAAGGAACAUUUCCUUUCCCAAGAAACAGUCAUGGACUGAUGGUUCCUUGUGCAUGCAGGCAGCAGUUUCUUCCAAAUUCUCUUCUCCUCUAGUUGGUGACAUGUCCACAUCCAGUGCCACAUCCACAGGAAACAGAGGAAGUGUGAAUGGUGUUCAAAAUCCGGUCACAUGGACAAUAGAAAGACACCUUUCGAAGGCUAGCUAUGAUUAUACGAUGAUUACGGGUGAGUUAGAAGAAACUAAUUAGGAAAUGAGAAGCAAUUUUAAUUGUUAAGUUUCUCAUGAUUUUAUUCUUGUCCUUUAAUUAGUACUACUACUCCAGCAUUAGUACUCAAGAUCAAAUUGAUUUUGACGAAAGUGGGUUAGUUUAUGAAUUUCUUCUUCCUUCUUCCUCCAUGUAAAUUCUACAGGGUACAUAUUCCUCCUGUAAUUAAACAUUGUCACCUUUCUUCAAUACAAAUGAAACUGCUACGUUACAUACACCAGACUUAUUCAAGCAUUAAUUUCAUUGCACAAAAUUUCUAAGAUGAAGACCAUUGUUAAUUAGUCUUAUGGACAAAAUGCAGGCAUUAGUCAUUUGAACUUUCUAGAUUCUAUGUAAAGAAUAGAGGCAAAACAAGGAGAAGAAAAAGAGUCUCCUUUCUUUUCUUUUCUUUUUCCAUAUAUUUUUAGUUUAAUGCACAAUAAUUGCUAACUACUCUACAAAGAUGAUCGAUGGUGGCAAUUGAUGCUCUAGCAUUCUGAUGAAAGGUACCUCUCUCUCUCUCUCUCUCUCUCUCUCUCUCUCUUAGAUACCAUCAAGAGGAGAAGGUAGUUUCUUUUGAUCACUUCGAUGAAGUUUUUAUUUUUGUUUUAUGUUUCCUAACUAAAGGAGAGAGGGAGAAGAGAGAGAAACGAGAGUUUUGAGAAGCUUUCAAUUAUAUUUAAAAAAACAGAUGUAAGAGAAGAUGAAAAGUAAAUAUAACCAAAACAAAAUAUUUUUUAUUUUAAAAAUCAUUUCCCUCGAAAAAAGUCUUCAAUGGAGGCGGGCACAAUGCGACCACCUCUUGCAUUGUUUUUGUAAGUGUGAGACUCAUUACAAGGCUGCCAACUCUAGCACAAGUUGGGUGAACGUGAAACCUACAAACACCAUGGCACUCCUGCGAAAUGUCAUAUGCUAUGCUUUUCUUCUAGGAUACCAGAAACAAUCUUAUAUUAUGUUUCAGAUUAUGUCACUUCUCACUUGUAUCUGUGCAUAAACAGAUUAAUAUUUGCUACUACACAAAGAUAUCAAAUUCAAAAGUCAACCUUAAUGGCAAAUGGGGAAAUAUCAGUUUUAUUAAACAAAUAUAGGUGCAAUAUGUUGCUUCAUGUAUAGUUAUAUGUGCUAGUAGUACAAAAUGCAAAAGUUUAAUCUAAAUUCUCUAACUAAUUCAAAGUUCCUACUAUUAGACAAGCACUGGCUCCAAAUAGUGUAUGGCCGGAAAGAGACAAACAUAUAAGUGCAGCCCCAUACGUCAAUUGCAAACCAACAAAGAAGUGGAGAACACAGGUAGAACUUAGGAUCACUUGCAAAGAAUCUCUGAUACCAUGUCAGUGAUCCCAUAAGUUUAAUGUGUUGUGUAAUAGAUCAACACUGUAUGUCAAACUUGCAACAUAAAAGUUUAUGCUAAAUUGAUGAAAAGGGUAAGCAGAUAUGCAAUGCAAGAGCAAUUUAUGGAAACCUCACAAACAAAAUUGGAGUAAAAACUAAAGAUCCAUCAUCUCAACUCUGAGUGGUUGAAUAACGGAACACUGAUGCUUGACACAGACCUAUGUUACUUAGUGGCAUAGAAUUAACCGCCAAUCAUGCUUAACAAUAAAAUAAACAGAGCUUCUAAUAACUAGUUAGGUAAGUAACGUCUUGCGGAUCAAUCUAUGCUAACAACCUGAAACCCCACCAAAUUAAUAAUUUGAUACCAAAGCCAAGCCACAAAAGAAAAGGCCAAGUCGACCACUUCUCCUUUUUGUCUCUCAUUCUACCUUGUUUUAGUCUCCUCCCUACUUUGGCAAGAAUCCCAUGCUAAACUUGUUCGAGUUCAACAAGGGUACGUGGGAGCAAUAGCACAAAGAUUUCUCGAUUUCCCCCACACUUAAUUUAUCAUACAUCAAUCCCCUCUUCUAUAUAAAUGCUUUAGAAAGCAUGCACAAGUUUCAACAUACUCAAACACAACAUACUUAGCUACACAUCACACACUGCUGCUCGCAGCCUUCUACACAAAUUAAUACAAGAGAUUCAAGAGAGCAGAUAAGAAAAGAGAAUGACUACAGCGGGAGUUUCUGGGAUGAUGUUUCAGAGUGUGUUUGAAGGAAGCCUAUCAAUGCAGGACAUGGAAGUUGAGCGAAGGCCAUACCAUAAAAACUGCAGUUGUGCGCUUCACAAAUCCAAGGGGGGUGUUUGCUCCAAUGCUUGUCCUCAAAAAAGGAACAUUUCCUUUCCAAAGAAACUGUCAUGGACUGACGGUUCCCUGUGCGUGCAGGCAGCAUCCACUUCCACAUGCACUGUAAAUAGAGGAAGUGUGGCUGGGGGUUCAUAGUUCGGCCUUGUCACAUAGACGAUAGAUAGACACCUUUCAGAGGCUAGCUUCAUUCGAUGAUUACGGGUGAGUUGGAAGAAAUUAAUUAGGAAGUGGGAAGCAAUUUUAAUUGUUAAAGUUUCCCAUUAUCUUAUUCUUGUCCAUAAUUAGUACUCCUCCAACACUAGUACUCAGCAUCAAAUUGAUGUUGAGGAAAUAUUGGUGCUUGUGGGUUAGUUUCUUCUUCUCGUUCAUCCAAAUGUAAACUCUGCGGAGUUUAUAUUCCUCCUGUAAUUAAACAUUGUCACAUUUCUCUCUUUAAUACAAUGCAACUCAAACUGCAUACAUACAACAGACUAUCGAAGUUCACAUGUUCUUCUAUUCCUGAUUCUACACUCUACUCUGUUAACAUUCUUUCUGCACUGGCACAGUAUAUGCCUCUACUACAACAUUAGCAUUUGAACCAAGCAAGUUUUGUUUUGUUUUGUUCUUUUUAAAUAUUCUAGCUUUCAUUGUAUUUCACACAGUUUUCAAGAUGAAGAUCAUUCUUAAUUAGAUUUACAUAGGGCAACAACAAAUAAAGCAAGGCAUUGCUUAGGCAAUUCAACUACACGCAUGUAUCAUGUAUGGACAAAAUGCAGGCAUGGGUUGUUUAAAUUUUUUAGGCGUUUUAUAAUUCUAUAUAAAAUAUAGUCAAAACAAGGAGAAGAAAGGAGUUUCCCUUCCUUUUCUUUCUCUAAAAUAUUUUUAGUUUAAUGGACAAGAAUUUCUAACUACGAUGCAAAGAAGACGAUGGUGGCAAUUGAUGUUGUAGCAUUCUGGUACAAGGUCUCUCUCUCUCUCUCUCUCAUGCAUAGAUACAAUCAACUGGCGAGUGUUCGAUGAAGUUUUUAUCUUUGUUUUGUGUUUUCUAAUUAAAAGGAGAGACAGAGACAGAGACAGAGGUAAAAACAAUGUUUAUAAAAAUAAAAAAAAACUGGGGAGAGAGAAUAUGAAAUAUAACUAGAACUAAAACAAAACAAGAUAAAAAAUUAUUUAAAAGCAAAUUUGUGAGUGUAGGACCUACGAGUAAUUGUUAUACAUUGUAUCUGUAAGUGGUGGGCUACUCCUAUUCCUUUCUAGAAGUUCUUCCAAUGCAGUUCUACUGUGGCCAUCUCUCACCAAACCAGUUAACUAUAUAGCAAGGCAGAUUGAUAAAGCAGAAUGCACAGAGAGUGAAAAGUAAAUAAGCCAGUGAAUCACGAAUGAAACCGUACAAGGAUCUACUACUGGAUAGCAUCACUAAGUAGGUGGGUUUGAGCUUUCUGCAGAUUUUUAACAUUUCGGAUUUACCUGCAUGAAACACUCAGUAAGCCAAACUCAUUGUUACCAUUGACAUCCUUUCACAUAUCACAUAAUGCAAUGUUAAAAAUUCUUUCACAAAUGCAAAUGGCAUGCCAUCGUCUCUAUUGCCUGUCUCGUUAGGUCAAUAGAUCUUUGAUUUUUGGCCAAUACCAAACGCAGAGCAGGCCAUGGAUUUUUACAAACCAGUAUUAUGACAACUUAAUUACUGCUUACUCCAAAGAGAGUGAAGAUAAGUGAAAGCCUUAAGUAGGUGUGGUGGUCAACCAUAAAGCAACUGAGAGGACAACCUAAAUCUGUGCAAAAUACAAGAUAUAUGACAGCCCUGAUUGCUUCAUAUGCCAACUAAAUGCAUAAUUUAUUACUACUAAUCAGAAUUCUGGUACGGACUUACUGCUACCAAAGCAUGACCCUGUAUUUUUCUGUGUUUUUUCUUUUCUCAUUUUUAAGCCCAAAAAAAAAAGUAAAAUUUAUUUAAAAAAACCAUUAGAAAUGUCCCGAAGAGACGAGAGGGGCCUUCUACUCAACAGCAUGAUUCUUCUUGUGAAAAAGCCGAAGUUAUACUCCACUUUCUAUGUUCUCCUAAAAUGACCAGUGGGGUCUUCCACUCGAAUUAAGUAACAGAAUGAUCUUCACCAAAAACAAGAGAGAGAGAAAGAGAGAGAGAGAGAGAGGACACUACUAAAACCAAAAUGAUGUUGCAUAGAAACAGUCACGAUAUAAUUGUUAACAAGAUUAGUUAAAAGACGUUAUUACGGAGAAUGCUAUGCUAAAACUCCACAAUUACAAUGACUGCUAAAGCCGAUCUAUUUGUCUUGACUCUCUUAACUUAAGUCCCUACAUUGAAAAGCUGAAUUUCUCAAACACAAUUGGCUUCUUGCCUAACUACCUUGACAAGACCACAUGAAAACAAAGCCAAAAAGAACAAUGUUUUUUUGGCAAGAACCACCACCAUAGCAAACUUCUCUUGAGUUCAACGUGCCUACAGUAAACCUCUCUUGAGUUCAACGGGACCAUCCUUGUUCUAUACAAAUACGUAAAAAAAGCACUUCCAAAAAAUGUAAAUGUAAAAAACAGCAAGCAAGAUUUUUAAGAAAAGUAAAUCACACAUAUGCACGCUUGCACUUGCACAUAAAGCUUAGGAAAGAAGAGAAGUAGGAGGGAGGAAUGGCCACCAGAAUAGCUGCGAUGAAAAAUUAUAAUGCCAAUACCUGAUGAUACAUAAAGUCUCAGUGAAAAAAAGGCAUCUCAUCAUAAUUUCUUCUUUUGAGAAUGGAACGGGGCAAAAUUCACCUUCAUUUCCUUUUUCUAAAGAUUUGUUUCUGGUGAAGCAAACAAGGUUAGUUUACUUAAUUCACAACUUCGUAGUGGAAUAAGUUUCAAAGCCAAACCAAGAACAAGCAACGUUCUACUUUGAUUUCUAAGUUGAAUGCAAUCUGUCUCUUUCCUCAAAGGACUGAAUCACAUAGAAGGUUUCAGAAGAGAAAAAUAUAAAUAAAAGAAACUAACACCACUUCAAAACAGAGUCGUUGUCGAGACUAACAACAUAACUAUAAAAACCCUAUCAAACAAGUUAAAAACGUUAACAGCCUCCAAAAUCCAACAGUAGCUUCAAUACCAUGCCAAACAGACAAAAUCCAAGUCAAGGAACCCUUACGCGCCAGUUGUUGUAGUUCCUAGAACUUGAUGUCAAAUAUGCAGUGCAACGACUAUCGAUGGAAACUUGACAAACAAGAGAUCCACCAUCUCAACACUAAAUGGUGCAAUUUAAUAUAAUAAUGAAAGCGCACAACCAUAUUAGAAUUCCCCGUGAGUGCUUAGUGGGUCGUUGUAUAACGAAAAGUGAUGCUUGACUCAGACCUUUGUUAGUUUGUUGCAUAGAUUUAGCCACCAACCCUGCACAAUAAUAUAAUAAAAUGAGCAGCCUUUCUGACCUGUUAGGUAAAUAAGGCCUCUGUGUAUCAAUCUAUGCUCUUGCCAGGCCAACAAUAAAUCCGACCAAUACUUAUUAGAUACCAAAGCCAAGCUGCAAAAGAUAAAGCCAAGUCGAGUUCAAAGCUGAACUGCCCUAGAAAAAAACUCUCGUCUUGCUCUUUUUCCACUUUGGCAAGAAUACCAUACUAAACUACGUGGGAACAAUAAUAGCACAAACAUUUUUCUUGAUUUCCCCCCACACCCCAUUUAUCAUAACUUGUAUAUAAAUGUUUUAGAAAGCAUGCAAAAGUUUCCACACACUCAAACACAACAUACAGCCAUACACAAACACUUGGUGGCUACUCUUUGCUCACAGCCAGCCUUAACAUAAAAUACUUAAGAGACUCAGAGAAGAGAGAAGAAUAGAAUGACUAGCGCAGGAGUUGCUGGGAUGAUGUUUCAGUGUGUGUUUGAAGGAAGCCUCUCAAUGCGGGACUCCGAAAUUGAGCUAAGGCCUUACCAUAAGAACUGCAGUUGCGCUCUGCACAGGUCCGAGGGGGGUGUUUGCUCCAAUGCUUGUCAAAGGAACAUUUCUUUUCCCAAGAAACAGCCAUGGAGUGACGGUUUCUUGUGCAUGCAGGCAGCAGCUUCUUCCAAAUUCUCUUCUCCUCUCGUAGACGACAUGUCCACUUCCAUAGGAAACAGAGGAAGUGUGAAUGGGGUUCAUAAUUCUCCCUUGUCACAUAGACAAUGGACAGAGGUUUUCAGAGGCUAGCUCAAUUAUAUGGUGAUUACCGUGAGUCAGAAGAAAUUGAAAGGUUAGUUAGGAAGUGAGAAGCAAUUUUAAUUGUGAAGUUUCUCAUUAUCUUAUUCUUGCUCCAGCACUAGUACUCAAACAUCAAAUUGAUUUUGAGGAAAUAUUGAUGCUUUGUGGGGUUAGUUUCUUGAUUUCUUCUACCUUCAUCCAAGUGUAAAUUCUACUGAGCACAUAUUCCUCCUGUAAUUAAACAUUAUUGUCACCCUUCAUCAAUACAACUGAAAAUACCAGUUAAAAUAGCAGCCCAUAAGUGAAACGUUGUGUUUCACUAACCCUAUAUCUUCACCUUUUUUUGGACGAACCCUAACCUCACUUAUCUCUCCUCUCUCCGCCUCCAUCACCUCCCAUCUCUCUCUACCUCCAUCAUCUCUCAUCUUUCUCUGCCUCCAUCAUCUCCUCUUGCGCGCCCUUGAAAUAAGGUGAGCCCAGCAGCAGCAACAAAGAAAAGAAGAAAAAUUCAAAGAUACCUCUGACGAGUAAAGAAGAAGCCGUCGCCGUCACUGGUUGGGUCGAGAAGAGUAGAGAAGCAGCCACCCAACCCGCCCAAGCAGCCUAAGCGGGAGCCCAAGCGCUGCCUAACUCCCUGGCGCCUACCCCUAACGUUUAGAGUGAACUCGGGGCAGUGUUCUCCCACCUAGCGCCUAGGUCGAUUUUUCAGAGUUUCUUCUUCUUCUUCUUCUUCUUUUGUGGUGGGGGGGUGAAGAGAUAAGAAAACAUGUAAAAACGGCAUGAAAGAUGAAGAAAAAUUAAUAAAAUAAAAACAAAAAAUUAUUUUUAAUUUUACUCAACAAUCAUUUGAUAUUAACUUGUCCUUACCAGCCCUUAAAUGUCAUAUGAAUCAUCGGAUUUUUGACUGGCAUUGGCCUAGUGCAUGAAAGCACUUGUGAUAAUAAGAGUAGAACGGAAUUGUUUCUGUUCUUAAUAUGGAGGAGACAUAAAGCCAUGGCAGAACUAAGCUGGUGGGUGUUGAGUUUUCUGCAUAUUUUUAACAUGAAGCCAUCUCACAACAACUAACAAUUGCAAAAAUCAGAACAAUACAAUUAGAUCACUCUCAACAAGUGAACAAUUAUAGACAGAGAGCACAUAGAUGCAAUGCAGCCACACCAUGCACCUUGCAAAUCAAUAAUGAAGUGAAAAGGGAGAUUGGGAGUUUUGAACCCUAAACCAACUGACAAUAUCACCAACCUAAGUCUGUGGAAAAUACAGGAUACAUACACAUGACAAUCCUGCUUUAUAUGCGAACUAAUGUAUAAUUUUAAAGUAUAAAAUUCCAACUUUUGGUUGAAUUUUAAAAUAGGUUUUAACUACUUACAUUACUUCAGAUACAUAUCUAAGUACAUACAUGAGAAGUUCACUUUCGGAUCUAAGUACAUACAAAACAAGACAGUUGCAUUGUGUUACCAACGUAUCACAAAAAAUAAAGCCAACCAUUUUAAAAUUCACCGUACAAACCAACACGACACAUGGAGUCUCGACGCACAGAAUGCAUUGCAAAUAUCAUAUCAGCACAUUGUUUCUCAAAAUAAACAGAAGCAACUUUAUGUACAAGGUCAUCAAGAUAACAAAACCUGCAUAUAGAAAUGACCACGAAACUGAUGAAAGCAGUAAAACAAGUAUUCACACUGGUAUUAGAUUUCUUUUACCAACAAAUAGAAACGCCCUGCAUCUAUAUAUUUUGAAAGUGUUUACCACCUUUAUGGUAGUGAAGUAGCUAUUAGUUAUUACCGAUGAGUUUUCUGGUAUGGACUUGGUACUAACAAAGCAUGACACAAAGGAAUACGUAAGAGAGCCAUUGAGACCCAUCAUUGUUAACAUCUGAUGAAAAGGGUAAAAUUAGAAAGUGGGCCCUUAUACUCGUAUCAAGCAACGCCAUGAUUCUUGUUGUAAAAAGGCCAAAGUUCAACACUAUAUUUUAUGUCCCAAGAUGACUAUUAUUCUAAUUGUAUUAGGUAACAGAAUGUGAGUGAGAGAGAGACAGAGAGAGAGAGAGAGGACAGUGACACCUUGCGAGAAACCGAGAUGGCGAUGCAUAGCAAACAACAGAAUUGGUAACGAGAUUAGUUAGAAGACGUUAUUAUGGAGAAAACUAUGUUAGAAUCCCACAGUUCCAACGAUCGCUAAAGCAAGAUAAUUUAUUUGUCCUGCCCUUCUCUCUCCCAUUCCCAUGUGUGUGUAUAGGCAAAACUUAAGGCCCCACAUUGAGAUGCUGAUUUUCUCAAGAAAAAAUAAUUGCCUUGUUGUAUAACUACUUUGACAAGGCCACAUGAAAACAAAAAGCUAAAAAAAAUAAUGCUUUUGCAAGAACCACCAUAGUAAACUUAUCUUGAGUUUAACGGGGCCAUACCAUAUUACCAUAGCAAACUUCUCCUGAGCUCAAUGAGGUAACGAAACUAACAAAAAUUCUACUCUUGGUUACUCCAACACUUCCGUGAAGAUAUACCAUCCUCGGUCUAUAUAAAUAUGUAACAGAAAGCACUUUCAAAAAAACAUAUGUAGCAGAAAGCAAGCAAAAAAUUUAAGAAAUUUAAUUCACACAUACACACCCGCACUCAAACCUUUACAAAGAAAGCUUAGGAGAAAAAGAGAGGUAGGAGAAAUGGCCACUGGAAUAGCUGCCAUGAUGCUUCGAAGUGUUAUUGAAGUAAGUAUAUCAAUACAUGAUUUGGAGAUUGAGCAUAGGCCAUACCAUCGCAAUUGCAGUUGUGCACUGCACAAGUUGAAGAGUAUUUGCUCCAAUGCUUGCCCUCCUCAACAAAGGAAUAUUUCAUUCCCCAAGAAAAAGCCUCCGUCUUCUAAGCGGCUCAUCACUAUGUGGAACAAAGAAGACCUGAAUGCGCCAUGUCAUGUAGACGACAAAGUUUAGAGAGCUUGACACAGCAGAGCAAGAAUAAAAAGGUCAGGAAACUGCGAUUUAGCUGUUUCUCUCUCUCCUCUUCCCCCCACCCCUUCUCUUUCUUCUUGUAAAAUCAUGUCCUACUUUCAUUUACUCUUUAUGACGCAAAUUGCACACAAAAGAUACCAAUAUAUGUUGGGCUCAAAUGCCCUUUUGUUGCGUAGAAAGAGUCUCACAUCUCAGACGUACUUCAUGAAUAUCUGUUAUAUCUCCACAAGCUCCCGCCUUUAUCUUCCUCAUCCUCCUUUAAGAACCAUUCAUCAAACGGAACAAGGAACUCAGUUUCCUUUCACCUAUUACAAUCUCUCUUUAAAAUGUAGACAGGCCAGGCAUGGGGUUAGAGGUUCAACUCCUACACAGACAAAGACAAAGGAGGAUUUGGGGGAUGGUGGGGAGGUAUAUGUUUCACCAAGCACCUACUCUACACACACAAAUAGACACGUAGAUGAUGCAGGGUUCAUAGAUCCUAGCUGAUAUUACUAGCUACAUCUAUACAGCUACAGUCAACAGACUCUACAGACUACACCAAGUCAUGAACCAAACUGAUUACAAUUUAGGAACAGGAAAGAAUAUCACUCAUCCAUCUUGACAUUGAAAGCUCUUCUCUUGAGGGGGCAUGGCAGCCUAUGUUGCACGGAUAUGGAUAUGGAUACGGAUACGGGUACGCCAAUACGAUACAAUAUGUCGAUACCGCAAAACUCGCUACCUCAAUCUCCCCCACAUCUUCUUUCCGAUGCGUACCUCCUAAUGCAGGAGCAUCCAUCAUGAUUUUAUUAUCCAUCAAGACAUAAAACCAAUUAAUACGUGUAACCAAAUUAAAUGCAUUUUGAUAACAAUUAAAAACGUGCAGCACAGUUUGCUCCUUAAAAAAAUGGGUCUGCUCUCUCAAAAAAGAAAAAAGAAAAAAGGUUUAUUCCUCUAAACAUGCGUUCGCUCUCUUCUUCUUCCUCAAGCAGCAUCUUCCAAAAAACCUUUGCUUGUAUCCAUAAGCGUUGCCCACAAAGGAAGAGGUACAUAAUUGCAGUGCAAUUAGAGACAAAAAUUUGGGUUCUGUUGACUUGUUUGAUUUGAAUAGGAUUGUGUUGGAGUUCGAUGAUACUUAUGCUUAUAGACUGUGAGAAUACAAGAAAGCAAAGGUUUUUUGGAAGCAGAAUUGGCAGUAGAACACGUUGCAAAGAAUGAUAAUGAAGUUUUGACAAUUCGCGAGUAACAACAGCUCUUGUACGGGAACAGUGUAACUUGUCCAACUCCUCAGUCAUCUCCCAGUGCAACAAAUAGGGGUUCCUUUGACAUGAUGAGCACUUGUUUCUCUCCAGUUGUGCAGUCUCAGUCAUCUCCCAGUCUAAAGCUGCCGCUUGGUCCUGCCAUCCAUGAUUCCAUGUCGCAAUGCAAGUCCGGUAAGGAUUCUCUUGAAGCGGAUUUAUUUAUUUCAUUUAAGCAGAAUUUAAUGGUUGAUUUUUUUUUUUAUUGUUCUUGACUGUGUGGUGGAUAUCUUGAAUUGGAUUUAUUUGUUUCCAAAAUCAAAAGAUUUUCUUGAACUUCUCCCUUUAAGAAAAUAAAAAAAAUGAACAAUUGGGUUGUGUUUAUUAAGCUCUUAAGAUUUCAAUUUUGAGGAAGGAUAGAAAAGAGGGAGAUAAAACAAAGGAGAGGAUCCUCUUCGUUCAUCUAAUACUGCUUGUGGAUUGAAAAAAAGUGUUGAAAAAUAGUUAGCUGCUCAUUGGUUUCUGGAUAAAAAAAAAGUGUUGAAGUUUUUUUUGCUGGAAAAGAAAGUAUUGAAGUUAAGAUCCUCCUUUUGUAGUAACUAGCAAUAUAUGAUCUUGCCUACAUAUGAUUGUGAUUCAUUUUCCAUCAAUGAGAACAAUUAUACUAUAACGCAUAAUUAUAAGAUAUAAUUCUAUCAUACAAAGAUCAUGAGAUUACAGAAAAACAGAGUAAGCUAUUUGAGUUAGAGUGAUCAAGAUUCUAGAAUACCCUACCGUGACAGAUAUAGAUUCUGGAAUUUCAGCUUCUGUUGCCAUUAAUCUGCAGAUACUGGAUUCUGAGGCGCAUGAAGGAACUUUGUUUUGAUCCAAACUCCAAAAGCUAGCUCAAACUUUGGAGCUUUUAAGUUGAAUUGAAUCCACGGAUGCAGCUAGCAAGCUUUUUAUGUCUGCCUUUGUUGCUGCUGCUGCUGCUGCUGACUACCUUUGCAGCUUUUGAGUAAGUGUUUUUUUUUCUUCAUUAGAUAUCUGUAUUAAUCUAUUGAUAGCUAUAUUAGCAAAAGCAGCAGCCACGGGAACUGACAAAAUUGCGACUUUUUAUAUGUCCCUCAAGAUGGAAAGACUGAUAUGCUUCCUCUUUUUUCUCUUUUUUAUAGGAUAUGAUUCCACUUUGGCAUACACCUUUUCUAUUUACCUCAAGUUUUUGACAGAGACACAGCCAUGCCAUGCCAUCCCAUCCAGAUUGACUUCUGUUCUUCAUAAAUGGCACCAUUUUGACAAAUGGUAGGAAAUCCUCUAGCAGCGUCAUUUCGUACAUACAGAUUAUAUGGUGAUAUAGCCCGCACCCCCCACUUUAACAUAUGUACUAGAACAUCAAAACACCUUCAAGUUUGGGUAUUGGAAGAAGGAUCUCUUUCUUUUCAAUUUGGUAAGGAAGCAGAGCAACUCCUUUUUAUUGAACUCAAAGACUCCAUGCCAGCCAAAGCUUCCUACUUUUUUUUUGAACUGACCAAAGCUUCCUACUUGCGAAAAGAAAAUUUACAAAGUACUUUAAAAUAAAAUUAAAAUAAAAAACCAUAAUUUUACGACCCUAAUUAAUUAUCCAAAAGUAGGCCCCACCAUCCUCCUCCGUGGCUGGCUAUCUAUCUCUCUGUCUCCUCCAAAGCCCCAAAUCAAAAGCAUGCCCAAUCCAACCCAACCAACCGGAGCCUAAUGGGCUACUCUGUGACUACACCACCCGGUCCGCCACGCAUUCUCUACAACCACCACCACCCGAACCCGAAGUCCAUUACACACUUGACCCGACGCUCCCUCCUCCUCUCCGCCCCACUCUCCCUCACCCUCCAGCCACCACCAUCGUCCGCUGCAGCAUCUCCUCCGCCACCCGACACCACCAUUACCGACCGCGUCUUCAUGGACUUCAGUCUCUGCCCCACCUACUUCCGCCCCUUAUCCUCAGCCGACUCAAAACCCACCCUCUGCCCCGACUCGGUCCCGCUGGGCCGGCUCGUCCUCGGCCUGUACGGCCACCACGUCCCCCUUACCGUCUCCAACUUCAAGUCCAUGUGCACCUCCUCCGCCUACAAGGGCACUCUCGUCCACAAGCUUUUCCCCGGCCAAUUCUUCCUCGCCGGCCACCAAGGCGACAAGCCCGGCGACGUCCGCCGCCCCACGGGUCUCGCCCGAAACACCGAGACCGUCGAUUCCAAGGCCUUUGCUCUGACCCAUUCCCGCCCCGGCCUCCUCUCCCUCAACCUCUCCGAGAACGACGACGAAGACGACAUCAAGCUCGACCCGGAUUACCGAAACGUCGAGUUCUUGAUCACAUCUGGGCCCGGCCCAUGCCCCGACCUCGAUUACAAGAACAUCGUCUUCGGCUCAGUGCUCGAAGGUUUACUCUUUCUGCAAGAUUUGAUUUUUAUUAUUUUCAAAAUUUGAGCUUGGUUAGUAUAAUUGUGUUUUGGUUUUGGUUAUGAAGGUUUGGAUGUUGUGACGGCCAUUGCUGCUAUACCUACAUAUAGACCAUCUGAGAAAAUACAGCAAUUCAACGAUUUUGCAGAAUUUCUUGGGGAUGAGAGAGCGAUGAAUGCUCGGGCUCUGUGGAACAAGCCUCUGAAAACAGUGUAUAUCAGUGACUGUGGUGAGCUUAAUGUGGCAAAGCCUUCCCUUUCUCCUCCUAGUCUUCCUUAAUUGCAUCAUAUAUAUACAUACAUAUAUAUAUAUAUAUAUAUAUAUAUCUGUUAUUAUUGUGCGCUGAUUCAAUGAUUUUGUUGAGAGCCUUUGUAAUUGUAUGUAAAUCUUCUUCUCUAAAGAUUUUGGAAUGAGCACAUUACAUGCUUCAUGCAUUUGAUGCAUGAAAAUUGUGUUAUAUUACAGGACUUGCAUCCUUUAGUGGCAGAAAAUGAUGUUCAAUCUGAUCCCAGUGAAACCAAUUUAAGGAUUUACAGACCUCUUUUGAUGCAUAUAAUGCAAGCUGUACUGCUUACACAGAGCAUGAGUGUGUGAUACUCUAAAUCUAUAUUUACAUUUUGUAGCACAAUCUCAAGGUUAGAUGAUAGAGCAACUCAAGGGAAAACUCACAAAUCAUGUGGAGGAUAGUCAUUCUAUAGUGAGGGACUUAUAUUGGCCGUUAGGUGAGGUCUUAUCUCUUAACCGUUAAAUCAAGCUAAUCAAUUUGAUUCAACGGCUAAUCAAUUUGAUACAACAGUUAAGAGAUAGGUCAUCACCUAAGUGCCAUAUAUAAAGCACUCACUAUAGAAUUCUUGGUGAGAGGAUAAGCGAGAACAUAGGUUGUGAUGCUUGGUGGCUGAGCUCAAUUGAUUUGAUACUACCAGUUAUGUUAAGGUGUUAAGGUGUUGGGUUGUUUAAAGAGAAGAUAAGUGCAAUUAAGAUGAAAGGUCUUAGAAAAACCUUGGAGUUGGACCAUGAACUCCUUUUUUCUAUGCUGCCUCAUUUCAUAUUCAUACAGUAGCAGUGAAUAUUUGUCCAUCCACCAGAAUAAGAAUUGGACCCAGAAUUUGAUACGUUGCAGCAGGAGAGUGAGUGAUAGAGGAAGAAUGACAGGUAAGUUGGGCUUUGCCUUGAACUUUGUCUGGGCCUAGCUCUGUUCUGUUUCUGUUGAGAGAUAGAUGGGUUUUUGUUUUGAUACUUGGCUGGCAAUGGCAAAGAAUUUAGAAAAAGUGAAAAAGAAAGAGAGUGUUGUGCUGUGCUGUGCUAUGUAUGGAUGUAUGUAGUUGAUGAUGCAGUGCAGUGCAGGGAAAGUUAGAUAACCAUUGGGGGGUGGGGCCACUGAUUCAUUUAACCAUUCGAUGCAUCCCAUCCAUCUCUAAGCCUGUACACUGUAACUGUAGUACUAGUGCUGACUUGUGCAUGCAUGGGCAAUGGGCAAUGGUGGGCAAUGGGCAAUGGGCAAUGGGCGAAGGGCAACGGGCAUGGGCGGAUUCUUUCUUUUCUUCCCCCAAAAGAAAAGUUGCAAAACAAAACAUACAACCAGGAGAUGUGACCUUUUCUCCCCCUUCAUCGGGUCAUUGCCCAAAGAAUCAAAAUCAAAUCAACUUCUCAUUACACUUUAAACAUUUCCACAAAUUUAAUUCAAUAUGCCAUUGCCUGCCUCUUUCCUUAAAUUGUAGGUGAUAACCAAAUUUUAAUCCUCAGAGAUCAUUAACCAAAUUAGAUAAUAAAUAAUAGUUUGAAACUAAACUAGCACGAGUCAAUUUCAGGAAACCAACUACUGUGUCUAUUACCAUUAUACAGAGAACUUGGAUCAGCGCCACAUUGGGCCCCACAGUUGCAGACCCAAAGCACAAAACGAUGAAGAGGAACCCCUUUUCUUUUCUUCCGGGCAUUUACGUAGUAGAACAUGUCAUAGUCAUAGAUGAUAGGUAUAGGGUGGGGACCACGCACAGGCGAGCGUGAAGGGCCUGCUUCUGCUCUUCUGCUCAUCUGCUCAUCUGCUGUGUGUGAGUGACUUCAGCCGCCAGCACCUCUCUCUCCUCUCCAAUCUACGACUGUGGAGUCUCUCAUGAGUGACUCUAUUCGCAUUUGCAAUGGCCCAGCCCAGGUGGUCCCCAUCUUCCCGCUGCUUUUUUACAGCUGUACGAACAGGAUUCUCUGACAGUGGCGUGUAUUCCCAAGUGGUCCAUGAAACCUACCGCGGACACGUGUACUUGUACGGGUCUAAGGUCGCUGUGCUUCGGUAGGGACAACUGACGACUGUCUGACGAGGAACACAAAAGGAAACGUCAUUCCGAGUUUGGUAAACUGUCUCCGCUGUAAUCACCAGUGCCCAUAUAAAAAAGAAAGAAAGAAAGAAAGAAAGAAAAUCUAACGACUUCCGCCACAUCUGUCAACCAAUGCAAACUAUGUUCCCUCCUUGCUUUCAUCUAUGCAUCAAAAUAAUAUUAAAACAAAAAAUUAGCUCAUGCCUUCAAUAUUUUCCCUUCAUUUUCAAAUUGUAGUUAGCCUAUUUAUAACAUAAGCUUUGAUCAUUAUGUAUUAAUCACGAUUAUUUCUUACAAGUCUAGAUUGAUGUGAGAAUGCUAAAGAUGACCAGUUCUUUUCAAUCUUUAUAAGUCGAGUAUAGUGGUUACCGUGGAGGGUGCACGGGGUCAUUGGGUAAUGCUCAAUAGGCGUUCGUUUGAUAUGUGGAUAUCAAGUCAUGAAUUGGAUAUACUAGAAUGAAAGUGUAUGUUACGAAGAUUAUGUAUCAUGUUUUUGGUGACUUUCUCAUAUUUAGCACAAUUUGGUUUGAAUUUCAAGUAUGCAUGUGUUAAGAGUCAUUUAAAAGUAAUAAAAAAAAACUCGAAUAAUUUUUUAUUUCUUAGAUGUAAGUACAAUAUAGACAAUAAAAAAUUAUAAUCAUUUAAAUAUGUAUGUAUUAGUAAAUGCAGAUAAAUAAAAAAAUAAAAUGAUUCCGAUACCAAUUAUUGAUAAAUAAGCAUGUCAUAAAUAACAAGUAAACAUACCAUAGAAGGAAGGUAAGAAGGAUUAAAUGAUGCGCGCUUAUUGAACAUCAUAAGGUAUUGCUUUCUUGUCUAUAUAGAUUUGUUAUGAGUGAAUAUUUUAUUGAGCGGUGUCCUGCUAUUUUGUCUUUGUCUUGUAAAGCUAUGUUGUUUGAGAGCGUAACCCAAGGGUUAAAGGAGAAAAGUUACUUCUGACAAAAUUAAAAAUAAAGGAGAAAAGUUGCUGCGUCCUGCCUACUUUCCUUCCACUUUUCCUUCCUCUCUCUCAAGACUCAACCAUUUAAAAAUAAUAUAAAGGAUUUCAAUGUCGACUGCUGUGCUGUCCUUGGUGCAGAUGAAGGGGGUGGAAACUUGUCUCAAAAUCAUGUAAGAAACUUCUUGCAACACUACAAAAACCUAACUCAUACAAAAUCUAUGUUAUAUAUAUAUAUUAUAUGCCUCCAAAUAUUGGUACGUCAGAUAUCCCAAGGGGUCAAGUAUGGAGCAAUUAACAAUCACAACGACAAUCACGCCCCAAAAUGCCACCCAACGGUCCAAAACAUUUCAAUAAUUUUUCCAUCAAAUCUCACCGUUGGAUGCGUUCUGAGCUUUCUAUACAUCAAUGGCUACUUACUAUUACAAGUCUACAACACAUCACAAUUUUCAAUCAUCAAUAAAUCAAUGUUUGUCUUAUUUACUGGGAACGGCAACUCCCAAUUACAUCGCCACAUGGCACUCUAUCUCACCGUCAAAACAUCCUCCUCGGUCCUGGCGUCACCCAUCCAUCACUCAACAAAGUCGUCGUCUCCCAAAAAAAGAGCUUCUGCGCUCCUUUAAUUGCUUAAUCCAGCAUUCAAGUUUCAAACUUUUAACAGCACCACUUUCUCUCUAACUCAGAACAUCACAAUUUUUUUUUUCCUCUCUCUCUCUCUUUCUCUCAGCUCCAAAAACUGCUUUUUUCCGAACCACGUUUUCUUGUAUGUACUGAAACUAAAAGCUCUGUGCUUUUUUUACAAUUUAAUUGCAAAGACCAAAGUAAUGGCGUUUCAUCAUCAUCAUCAUCACCAGCAGCAGCAAACCCCUCCAGAAAUGGCGUUCCACUCCUUCGCCUCGGACCAGCCGCCGCUCUCCGGAGCUCCGACGUGGCUCAACAACGCCGCGUUUCGACAACAGAACAGCUUCCUCCACGACGCGCGAAACGACGACGUCGUCAUAUCACCGUCGGGGAAGAGCAGCAACUGCAGCGGCCGGAACCGGAGAGAGAUAAGCGGCUACGACGGCGAAGAGGAGGAAGAAGACGAACUGGAGUGCGAGAGCGCGAGGUUCAAAGCGGACUUAGUGGGCCACCCUCUGUACGAGCAGCUUGUAUCGGCUCACGUCUCGUGCUUGAGGAUCGCCACCCCCGUCGAUCAGCUGCCGAGGAUCGACGAGCAGCUCGUGCAGUCGCAGCGCGUGGUGGAUAAGUACUCUGCGCUUCGAGCCAAUGGGGAUGUCCAAGUCAUGGAUGAGAAAGAACUUGAUUUAUUCAUGGUUAGUUUGUUUAAAUUAAAUCUCUUUCAACACUUAAUUUUUCAUUUCCUAUGAUCUUUUCUUCUUGUGGUGUUGUUGAAAGUCUACAACUUUAUUUAUUUCGGGUCUGGAUAUUUUAGUGGGAAAGUGCAAAUUUGGUUGAUCAAAAUAAUAAUCAGAGUGUCAUGUAAUUAGUUUCAGUGGCAACGAAGAAUCCUGUUGUUCAAUUCUCCAAUUAUUCAUCUUUACAAGUGCUUUGGAGAAUCCUUUACUCUUUAAUUAAUUUGUGUCAUAUUUCCCCCACUUACUAAUUUUGAUUAGUGGCAUGCCAUGGAAUCAGAAUCUGUUCUGCAAAUAAGUAUCGAGUCUUGUUGAUGUAAAUGGUUUAGUCUUCUAAAGAUUAAAUAGUUUCUGAUAUUUUUCUCAACUUUUCCUCUUUCUCACCUUCCCUCUUUGUCUUUGUUCAUUCGGCUACUGUAGACAAACUAUGUUCUACUGCUAUGCUCCUUCAAAGAACAAUUGCAGCAACAUGUCCGAGUUCAUGCCAUGGAAGCAGUGAUGGCUUGUUGGGAGCUCGAUCAAUCUCUACAAAGCUUAACAGGUCAUUCCUAUUUCUUUUCAUAUUUCUACAUGUACAGCAGAUAAGUGGCAAGUUUACGAAUGGUUUAUAACUGAACAGCUUGAGAUGCAUUGACAGGUGUGUCAACGGGUGAAGGCACCGGUGCUACAAUGUCCGACGACGACGACCAGGUCGACAGUGACAUCAACUCGUAUGAUGGAAGCCUGGACGGGCCUGACACCAUGGGAUUCGGUCCUCUCGUUCCGACUGAGAGUGAGAGGUCCUUAAUGGAGCGUGUAAGGCAAGAAUUGAAGCAUGAACUGAAACAGGUAUAUGAACUAUAGGACUUGCAAAGCAUGUAUAAUAUAUUUGCUAGAUGGGAUAUAGAAAUGUAGCUAAUAACAUCUGCUUCUCAGGGUUACAAGGAAAAGAUUGUAGACAUUAGGGAGGAAAUUCUACGCAAGAGAAGAGCAGGUAAACUGCCAGGUGACACCACUUCUGUCCUAAAAUCUUGGUGGCAAUCACAUUCUAAGUGGCCUUACCCUACGGUGAGUUUCAACUUUGAUAUAAUCCCCUUGUAGCUUUCUGUUUAGCAAAUUAAUUCUUUUUAAAAUGGCUAUUAAAACCGUCGUUCGCUUGGAAUAGGAGGAAGACAAAGCCAGGUUGGUGCAGGAAACAGGCUUGCAAUUGAAACAGAUCAAUAACUGGUUCAUAAAUCAAAGAAAAAGGAAUUGGCACAGUAACAUUUCCUCAACUUCUGUUUUGAAGAGCAAACGCAAGAGGUAGGAUUGUAUUUAACAUAUAUGGUCGUUUUGUUCACAUAAGUUUGUUUUCAAGAACUUUAUAUAAAUAUUUUUUUUUUUCAUUUGUAAUUUGGGAAAAAAAGUAAUGCAGGUGACAUCAGCAGCCAACGAUUGAAGUAACUGUGUGUGACACUUGACAAGUCCACAACUUAUGGAAAAAAAAAAAAAAAAAAAAAGUCUAGCAUCAGCGAGAGAGCAAUAUUUGGCCAUACAGAAAGAGGCCGCAAGGAACUUCGUAUUUCCGAUACAGUAAAAGGUUAGACCAGCAAAUGAAGGGCAUCCUGAUGUCUGAUGUACCAUCUCAUAAAACUUUACGCAUAUGUAACACGAAAAACUCGAACCAGGUAGUCUUUUUGUACCACGUUUAUGUGGAUCUAGCUAGAUAUAGAAUUUUUGUAUACUAAGCGUCUCUAAAUUAAACGUUUGCUUUCUAUAUAAUUUCUAAUUUCUAUGGAUGAGAAUGGCUACAAAGACAGAUGUCUAUAGCAGUUUAUGGAUGUUUUGAUGUGUUACACCCUGUAGAAAUUUGGUAUCAGUGGUUUUGAGUGAAUCGCGGCAAACAACACUAGUUGUGUGCCGCUUUCCAUUACGCAUUCUGGGUGGUGAGCUUUGUUUAUCACAAGCGCCUUGCUUCCUUGUGAGUAUUUGAAAUUUGCUGUGUAGUCUUCCAAAAACCUUAAUGCGAAAUUGAAAUUUUAAGGCAAAAGUACAACCCAAAAAAGACUUAAUUUUGGUCUGUUUCAUAACAGCGCACAAUUAACUUAUCAAAGAAGGAAACAGGAGAACACAAACGACACCCAAUCUAACGUUUGGAUUCUAUAGAAGCUGAUUCAAGGGUGGUUUCAUGAACCGGCCUGCCUAUGGAACCAUGCUCAUUAGACAAAGGAGCGGCAAACCUUGCUGCAAAAUCAAGAGCAGCAUCAUUUCCUUCUCUAGCAACACCGCCAUCAAAAUUGAGAGCAUAACUAUGAAAAUCAUACUGAAAUCUAGUAUUCUUUUGCUUUUGUUUCUUGGACAACCUGUUGUUUUGUUUUUGCUUCAUAGUCUUGCAAUAUCCAGCAAUCUUUCUGAUGAAGGUCUUCCACUUGGAGCCGUCCAAUACUUGAGUAGACUCCUUAGCCUUGGUCAAUUUCUUCCUCCACCACCAUGUCGUCUCCUUGUGCCAUCCACCUUCUUGCUGCAGUAAGUAUUUACGUUCAUAAUCGUUGUCGUGGUUUUGCCGCCAUGUACAUGAUGUGAACCCAAAGAGGCCAAAACAAUCACCAACACCACAAGGAGGAGAAGAAGAAGAAGAAGAAGAAGCAUCCUGGUCUUGAUGAUAGUCAUCCAAGUCUUCUCCUUCAUAACGUUCGUACUCGUAGAUGGGCGAAGUGUGGUUCAUGAUCAAGGUUGGUUUGUGUUCAUUGUUACUAGCCAUCGCCAUAAUCAUUAAGCAGAGAGAAAGAAAGAAUGUAAUCUAGGGUGAAAGACUCGGAAAGGAAAGGUCUUAAAUAAUAGGGGAAGCGAUAGAGGAGAGUUCAAAAAGGGAAACAAAAAUUAGGAAAUAUCAAAGAAAGAAAAGAAGGGUGGUUGGUCGUCGCCUGGUGCGAAAACCUGUUGUUCAUCGCGCUUAAACCAUGCUAGUGAAGAAAUAGAAUUCCGAAAUAAAACAAAACAAGGAAUUGUUGUGGGAUGGGAUGCAAUAAGGUUUGACUAGUGGUGUGGCCGGCUCAGUUGCUACACGGUGUCGUAAUGGGAAACAAUAUUUGACAAUGAAAGCCCAAACCUAGCAAUCAAAACGCGUCCGGGAUUGUUGGGCUUCGGCUUUCCUUAAUUAAUACCCACACCAAAAUAAAAACACACAACAUACGCACACGUCUUACUGUAGGACGACCUGGUUCUUAUUUGAACAGUUGAUUAAUAGAUUCCAUAAGAAAUUUAUUUCCCGGCCCUGGUUCUGGUUCUUAUCGCAAGGAACGAAACGAUCAUGUCCAAAUGUUUGUGACUUAAAAUCUUCAUGUACCUUGUUAAGCAUAACCCAUGAAACCAACCAACUUCGAUCCUUGUUUGUUAUGGUACGCAACAGCAGACUAUGGGAAAUGUUGAAUGUUGCUUCCUACCUAAUCCAAUCCAAAGUGACGAAGCCAACGCAAAAAAUGCAUACAAACCAAUCCAAUCCUCGUGCUUGUAUUGACGUGUCAAAACGUGAAAGAAAACACUUGAUUCAAAGGCAAACCUAACUGAGUUGACACUUCUAUAAGAUGUAAAUAUUUCUGUAGAACAAUGAAACGGCUUCUUCCCCUAUCACAUUAAAACAAGACACAAUAGUUAUCUUCCAACAGCCUCAAACACACACCCAAAUAAAGGCCCAUUGGAUGAUGGGAGAGACAUCUAUGAUGAUGCAACUUGACUGAUAUAUCAUUUUUGAAUCUGAGGCUGUGUAGAAGGGGGUUGCUGCGGUUGGCUUUGUCCUUUAGGAGGAAUCUUUGCGGUCAUAGCACGUAAUUCGUUUGCAAUUUCAGUGAAGUUCAGCCUCUCAGUUGGCUCCGAAGACCAGCAUCUCUCCAUCAGUGAUUUCCAUUCUGGAUCACAAGAGUCCGGGACUGGUGGCCGCAAUGUAUUGCUCACAAUACCUCCUGCAUUAUAUUAUGAAGAACUGGCUAUCAGCAUCUCUAAAUCCGAGUGAAAUCUUAAAAGGACUGAGCAUGUUUUACAAGUGACAAGUUAUUAAGCACUAGAAGAUCACCUAUGAUAGCACCGUAGUGCAAAUCUGCAUAUGGUUCAUCUCCGGUGAGGAGCUCCCACAACACAAUACCAAAAGAAAACACAUCUACCUAGUGUACCCAAAAAAACCAAGGGUAAAUAACUAAACAAUAAAAACAGGUUUAAGAGAGAUUCACAAUCAUUUGAGAUGAUCUAGAAUAAAUUUAAAAAGAAAAUACGAACCUUCUCAGAAACAAGGCUACUGCCACCAUUCAACAGUUCUGGUGCCAUCCAUGGAAGUGUUCCCCGCACACCACCGGAGAUCAGUGUAUGACAUUUCACUUUAGAUAGCCCCAAGUCACCAACCUGGCGUCAUAAGCAGAUGGUAAACUCAAUCUUAUAAACAGUUCAACCAAAUACAGAGCAUGUCACACUGGAUCAAUGUUUUGAACUGCAUAUUGCCAAUACAGUGAUACUGCUGAAAAUAAAUGCAUAUCAACAAAAAGAGGCACAUUAUAACAUAUGAGAAAUCAAGUGAAGUAGGCCAAGCUUGACUCAUUCCCAUCCAGACAAAGCCUUAUCAUCUAAUUGAGUUCUACAACACAAGGAGAAAGGAAAAAAAAAAAACAUAGCCGAAACUAGGUACAGUAAUUCAAAGAGUAAUUCUGUUUAAAGUUUAAAGACGGAAAAGGGCUCUAUUUUUGCUCUUGUUCAGCUCACAAGAAGCAUUAAUUUUCCUUAAGUUUUCAACAACAAAUGCAUGCUCUCGAAAAUGAUACUGCAUUUUAAAAAGAUUGUGGCUUAUUAUACGAAAAGAAAGAUCACAUCAACCACAGAACGGACCAGAAUGAGAAUGACCAACAUUCCAAUCACUUACCUUGCAUAUUGGGCGGUGUGGAUCUCGAAGAUUGACAAGUAAGUUGUCACUUUUCAAAUCAAAGUGUACUAUAUUCUUUUCAUGCAGGUACUCCAUCCCAAAUGCCACAUCCAUUGCAAUCAAGAGACGCUUGCGCUUGUCCAGAGUCCUGCUAAAAUGAAUUCUGCGUCACCUUUUAUCCAAUUGGAAAUUACAUACCAACUAGUCAACUACUACAUUCAUUCUAAUUUUAUCAAAUUAAUGCAAGGAAAAAGAAAGCCAAACAAACACAUUACUUCUCAUUCUUCUGCAAGGCAUUUCUCAGAGAGCCAUUAAUCAUAUACUCUGUCACUGUUGCCACUGAACCUCCCGGCCCAUCAAGCACAACGCCAUAGAAAGCUACCACAUUAGGGUGGUGCAAGUCAGCAAGUUUGAUGGCCUCAUUCCAGAAAUCUUCUCUCUGAUUGAAUACAAAAUCUCUCUGAUUAUCUAAGUGAGGUAUUAAUAAACAAAAAUUAAUAGCUUUUGGAAUCUAGUACAAAAGACAAACCAUGCGCUCUUGUUCUGAAGGCUUCCCAGCAAAACACCUAUCAUUUAUUCUUUUAAUUGCAACAUCAGUGCCCCUCCAUUUCCCAUGAUAAACAGUACCAAAGGUUCCAGAACCCAAUUCUCUUCGCUCUUCAAGGUCACUGUUCUUUAUAAUCUACCAAAAGAGUAGAAACCGGUCAAUGGUACAAGUUAACAUCACAAUAUCAGAAUAAGGAAAAAUAGAAAACCAAAUUUUCACCUGCAAUCGGCCUCGGCUAUCUGAUACUGGAAAACCAAUAUUUGCCUUAUCUCUGAAUUUGGUCUUGACAUCCUGAAAUAGAAAAUGGAAAUUAGGAGAGUCCAACAAAUGUUUUGAAAGUGUGUGCGUGGUGUGUGCGUGAGAGAGAGAGAGAGAGAGAGAGAGAGAGAGAGAGAGAGAGAGAGAGAGAGAAACUAGUACACACACAACCAAUGAAAAUGCUCAAACAUGCACAUAGAUGGCUUCCUAAAUACCUCAACUUUCGCUCUGUUUUGCAUGCCUGCAGUAUUGUUUUGAACAUCUUCAUCUUGAUUGGAUUGAUAAGCAUACUCAUCUUUAUCACGUAAGUCAGGAUUUGACGGCGAAGAUGACUGAAAAACACAGGCAGCUACUCCCUCAGCAACAGCUUGAAGUUCUUGCUUUAUUUGUUCCUCGGCUGAUCCUAUGACAAUGAAACAAAACAACAUUCUAAUUAAGCAAUUAACUUAAUACUAAAGUAAAAACAAAUCAACAUUUAACUAACCUUUGGAAGACUGGGCAGGCUCUGAACUAAGAUCCCUGUUCAAAUUGCCCAGUGACUGCUGACCCCCAUCAUCCAUUCGCAAUUCUGUAAAUGGUUCUUUUCUCAAUUGUAUUUUGGUUGGUUUAGGAGGCAAAUGAGUAUCGUGGCUCAAACUCCAAGGAUCCUGAUUGCUGAACAGUGAGUUUGAGGAGUCCUGGGGAACAGCAUCAUUUGAGGUAACACCGUCCACAUCAUUAGGUACCAUCUUGGGCUGCAAUCUUAAGUUCUCAUCCUUCCAUUCAGCAGGAGGUUGAAUUCCAUUAGUUAUAUGGGUAGAAACAACAGGGUUGCCAUAAUUAAAUUCAUAAGCAUCCUGAGGAUGGAAUCCAACUCUUGAUUGUGGGUAAGAUUCAGGAUUUCCCCACAUAGAUGGCUGUACCGCCUCAAAGAAUUCUACAGGCUGCGAAUUAUACCCAUGUGAGACUUCAGCAGGGGAAGAAGCCACUACUUCGGUUGGUUUAAAGUGACUCCUGCCAACAGUGUUAUCUAGAGUCACCUCCCUACCCCCAACUUGUGGUGCUUUAUGGUCAAAGCUGUCUUCCACUCUAGGCGUAUCAAUGGGUGACUUCCCAUGCUCAUUAUUAACAUAAACCUCAGUGGGGCUUAUCCUGAGGGUCUCCAUUCUCCCGUCGAUUUGUCUCAGAUGAUCAUAUGCAAUGCAAGUGUCUACAUUGUCUUCUUUUGGAAUAACUCCAGGAAAUUUGUUGGGGUAUGCAGUUGGACAUUCAUGAACCAGAUAUUCUGAAGUUUGAACAGGUGUGCCCCCAACAAGAGGUACAUCUUGAUUAAAAGGAUCAUUAACUAAAUUUUCCUGUUUAACCUGGUACUGGAAUGGCGCAGAAUGUUGUUGAACAGCAUCAUCUUGACAGCGCUGAGGAAUAGCCACCAUGAAUGUGCUAUUUGGUGACUGUACGUCACCCCCUCUCCUGAUAACACCAUGGGGAGCUGAAAUCAUUGGAAGAUCAACUUGUUGAAGAUUCAUUGUCUCAUUUUCACGAGUUCCCUCAGAAAUCUGCGAGAUCCCAGUCACCUCUGAAUGAGAUGUUCCAACAAGAGGAUCUACUUGACCUUGGACCCUAAGUCGAGCCUCAACUCCUUGCCCAAAAUUACCUUCUGCUAAUGCUCCACUUACCAUAACCAUGUUCAUUGGUUGAGCUCGCAAAUUGUCCUCCAGGCGGGGACUAUGAUAAGUUGAAUUUGAAUCAGAUACUGGGCUUCCACCACUGUCUCUAUGAACCUGUACCAAAGUAUCAGAAUGAGCAUGAGGCAAUGCUCUCUGACACAUAUAACAGUCCUCCAACCUUUGGGAUUUCUCAGGAUACAUUACCUGUUGGUGGGAUACCAAACCAUCAUGAAAAAUCACAUGCUCUGGUGGUGGAACCUGAUGCCAGCCAUAAGCACCUCCUACCACUGGUGAUGGGACCUGAACCUGAUAGGAAUUAUAGCUUUGCUCAGUAGGAAACUGGACUACCCUGGGAACAAAGGUGCUCUCAUCUACAUAAUGAUCUAAUCGAGUCUGCUGGGGUUGCAUCAAUGGCUGAAGCACAUUUGGUCUUAUAUUAACAUGAGAAGAUGAGGGAGUCAUUGUCAUGUGCACUGCAGGAAUGAAGUGAUGUUGGGUGAUGCCAGCAACACUAUCACAGAAUUGCUGUUGGGUAUAUACAGGACUAGCAGUCCCCAAUAGGUGAGCAUUUGGGAAACCCAUCUGAGGAGGAAGCUGGAGAUGAUCUGCUCGGUUCAUAACUUCUUGGCGAGGACCAACAUAAGUUUGCAGAUAAGGAGCAGUGGAUGGAAUGCCAAUUCCAGGUUGCUGCAACCCCACUUGCUGCUGCGAUACUGUAACAGGAACAGACCUUUCUAACUCACACUCAGGCUGAGAAGGUGAUGUUUGGGGAGGCGCAGACUUAACCACAGGAAUGCCCAAUGGAACUGUAGAAACUUCAGAAUAAACUGCAGGGUUAGGAUCCACAAUUACCAAUCUUGUACUAUUAUCAUGAGAAGUAGCUGAAUCCCCUUUAGGUGAUAAUUUGCCUGCUGAUGGAGGUCCAGUAGUGUCACCCUGACCAGGAAUUGAGCUAUCAACAAUAUCAGUUCCGCUAAAAUCAGAAUUCUGUGUUGAAGUAGCACUUGUCAUACUCUCCUUCCUCAUGAUACCACCACCGACCCCAUCCAUAAUCCCAUUGACAGCAUCAACAUAUCUUUGCUCACUAUUAUGUAAAUCCCCGAAUUGUACAGCACUAGAUGGAUCAACUUCUGAAGCAGAAAACAAAAACACCCUCAGUUUUGCGGACCCAUCUGGAGAUCGCUCAACCAACUUCCCAUACUCAUCCUUCAUAUUGUCAAGAUCAUCAACACAUGAAACUGACACCAGUGCAUCGAGAUCCUCAUCAGGGAGCUGAUAUUUAAUAACCACAGGUUGCCCAUAUGUAUCCAACAUCUUCUGCACUAGCUCACUGAAGCUCACAUCUCUCCGAACACUAAUAAUCCUUGUCUGCCCUCCAACGUAUCUCAACAUUCCAUCACUUGGUCUGGGCAAAAUCUUUCCCCCAAAGCUGCACAGAAGCUUGACUUUCUUCCCUGACACAGAAUCAUCUCCACCAUCGUCGCUUGCUUGAUCAGUUCCAUUGCCACCAACCCGAUUGCCAAAAUUGGCAUUAUUACCAUACCCAGAUGUCAAAUCAUUCCCAGUUUGAUUAGCAACAUUACCACUGACCUUAUUUCCCAAAUUGGGAUUAUAACCAAAUCUAACUGCCAUAUCAUUAACACCAUGAUCCAAACCAUUGCCUACAACCCUAUUAGACAUAUUAAAAUUACAGACAGAAGGCCCAGAAGCAGUUGUUGUAGUAGAAGAGCUUACAAGAUCAACAGCAUUGCCGCCAAGCCGACCGCCCAAAUUAGGACUGUAACCAAUUCCAACAGCAACGGCAGUGUUCAUCCCUGGAUGCCCCACCGGCACAGGGAUGCGAGGGCGCCAUGUGGGCACCCCAGACAUGGCAUUUCCAUACCCUACGCCAACAAGCCCAGCCUCCGCGACCGUUGAUGGGUAAAAGACAGGUAUCGAAUUAGGGCUAUUAACUUCAAGAGCCAGGUUGGGGAAAAGUCCAUCUGGGUUUCGUCCAGUUGCAGUAGCGAGCGCAAUGCGGGGCUCAUCAGCCACAGUUCGAGCUACGUUUAACGGUCUUAACUCUUUGGGAAACGAAUUUUGAUCAAACGCCAUAUCUUCAACAAUAAAGAUUUCAAUUAAGGGUCUGCAAAUCAAUCGUAAAUAAGAGAACGUAGAAUCAAAUACGAUAAAGCUAAGGCCUUUUCUUCUGGAUUACAAUAAAGCUACGGUUUUUUCCCCAAGAUUUUCUAAUUCAAGUAUUGAAUUUCUUUAAUAAUCUGGUAUAAACCCCAGCCAGAUUGCACCAAACUAGAAUAACAUUUCACAGCUUUCUAACGAAAACAGGGCAAAACAAGGAAAAAACAAUUGAGAAAAGACAGAGACAGAGACAGAGAGAUAAGUACCAGAUUGGAACGGCGUUUGAGAGAGAGAGAGUGGAGGAGAUAAGACGCAGAAGAGGAACGAGACAAAGAAAGCCUGAGUCGGUGGAGAGCAGUUCCAAAUUCCAAGGAAAUCAAAGCUCAGUGGCAAACGUCUCAAACAGCACCUCGAUUCAGGGUUUUGUUGAAUCUUGUUCCUCGUCACUUUCUUUCGCUAAAAAUCUGGUCUUUUAUUGUUUUUGUUCAUCUUUGAAUAUUUUCCGGAUGAAUAUUAUUUUUCUCGGGAAAAAUGAAUGAAACUACAGAAUAGCAGUGGGCUUAAGAAAAGUUUAUUGUUUUGGGUUGGAGUCUUGGAGAAGAGAGGAGGUGAUGUGGGGGGGCAAGGAGGCACGUGGAUGUCUUCAUGCAAUAUCGUGAGUCAAAAAAAAGUACACAAUCAUGUGUUCGUUGGAAACUUGGGAGGAUUUGAUUCUGUGAGAUGGUGACAAGUUUGCAGAGAAUGGGACCUUUCUAAGGUAGUGUUGUUGGUGAUACAUAUUUCCUAAAGGAGAGGAUCAUAUCAAUCAAUAUCCAGUUAAAGGGCAAGCGAGAGAAGACAAAAACUAAAGUAGAAACUUUCUUCAAAUCCACAUUAAAUUAAACUCCACGUUACACCUCUUAUUUAAUGCCCUUUUUUACAAUCAAAUUAUUUAUAAACCGAAAUUCAAUUGUGGUUUAAUUUUCUUUUACUGCAAUUAUGGCAUGACAUCAGAUCAUAACUAUAACCUUAAAAUCUCCCAACCAUGAUUACAGAUGGUUGAUAUUUAUUUUUGAUGGCACGAUGGUCAUCAAUCUGAAGUGAAGAGUUAAUUAUAUUUAUGACAUUAUUGUCUUAUUAAUAUGUCCAUCGUUUUUACUUUUGUUAAUAAAGAAUUAGUAAUCUUAUCUAUUCCUUUCAGGUUAUAGUUUCGAUUUUCCUUUUUUUGUAUUACUUUGUAUGAAAUCAUAAUAAUAAUAAUAAUAAUAAUAUAAAUAGUAAACAAGGGAGGAGUGCCAUUAGACAUUGGAAAAGGUAAAAUACAAUUGCUUACGAGUCUAUGUUGAAGCAUAACAUCUCUAACUCUGCCAAAUUUCCAUUGUUACCCGAAAGAUGAACGAAGCUGAAAAAUAGAGGUAUACCUUUUUAUUUUCUUGAGUAAUUUUACUUAUAUUCUUCAUAGAGAAUUCUUUUUGACGGGUAAUUGUAAGUAGUUGUUGCCAUGAAUCCUUAGAGGAAGGGAACCCUCCCCAUGUUCUUGGAGUAACUUAUUGUAUGACAUAACUUGGUUGUAGUUGGAAUAGGGAAACUUCGCCGUGAAGUAUAAUGAGCCGACACUUCUCUAAUUUCUUUCUUGGAUUAUUAUAUAUCCGUUAUCGUUUUGGCUUCAUCUUUUUGUUAUGGUCUACUUUCUAAAUCCCAAUAGGAUAAUUCGAUUACUUCUUCAAUUGUGACGUGUUCUUACUGGCCCCACAGUUCCUGGCGGGGGAGAAUGAGGCAAAAGUUUGAUAAAUUUAUACCAUGAGCUGCUCUUUUUACUUUCUUGGGUGAGGUCGGUCCAAUAUAUACUUGCUUGAUGUUUUUUUGUUUGAAAAGAAAACAAAGCAUAAAAACGUAAACCAAAACGUCAAUACGUACGCGGUUUCUUUUUUCUUUUGGAAGAAAGGGUGUCUGAUUGAUUGACUCAAAGUCAAGAAAGGUGAUCCACACUCACUCACACACACACACACAUAUAUAUAACCAAAUAAAACGUCCAACGUUUACUUUUUCUUAUCUUAUUGGGCAAGGGUUUUAGUAAGUUAACCGUUUUGAGGUACUAGUUUGUGUUUCAUAACUUACAGACAUCAUUCGUACAGUUGUGUGCAUAACAUCAUCAUUACCAUCUGUUUUAUUGUUUUCUUAAACAAACUUAAAGCAUGAUUAAAUAUAAAUAUUCACACUGAAAGAAUCACCUAGCUAGUCAAACUAAUUAAGGUCGGUUAUUAUUUUUUAAAUUUCAUGACGAAAGCAAUUAACUAAUUAUCAAUACAGUACGCACGUCCACAUCAUGCGCUAUAUCUUUCUGGUAUUGAAAGUCAAAGUGAAAGGAAAGUACAAGGAAGUUGAGUAGAUAAGCCUACACCAGUUAUAACUAAUAUUAUGUGUUGCUGGUGUGGUGGUGGGGUUAAGUGUCCUUCCUGCAUUAAGCAAUGAUGUGAUCAAGUGUACACACACACACACACAUGCAUCUGUCUGCUUGCUUUGCUGGUCAUCGGUCAAAACAACUAAUUGUGUACGUGUGUGCGUGCACGGUUGUGUGAGAUGCGAAAUAACUGGGAUGUUUCUCUCUAACACGGCCAAUUCCCAAUUGGCUUCAGCUUUUCAAAAAUAAAGACGAUGCUUGUUUUUGUUUCACUUGUAAGUUGUAUUUUACUAGGUUAAUUAGGAACUUGGCCUAGCUAUAAGGUACUUUGUCUCACUAAAAUGUCCCGUGAGAGGGUCCUUAAUAUUCAUCUGAUCAAUUACAAAGUUAUAUAAUUAUAAAAGCUGGUUGCAGUUGGGACCAGACAAUAGUUAAUGUAUGAUUGAUAUGUAUAUCAGGUCAGGGAGAGUCUGGUUUUGUGCAACCAAGCAGGCCAUCAUGCUAAUAAUUAGAGUGUGGGCAGUAGCCAUUUUGGACCAGUUCUUGCCAUGCUCAUUAAAUUUCAAGGCCCAGGCUUACAAUAAAUAUAUGAUGAUCUUGCUCUGGUGGGGGUGGCCCAUACUCUUGCAAUGCAUAUGCAUGCAUGCAAUUGUUUACAUAUCGACUAAUUGAUGACUUAACAAGAUUCUACUAAUUUAAUUAUGAUUUGAAAUUAAUCUCAAGAUGAUCAAAAGAAUUUGAGUACUCUGCACUGCAAAAUUACCGUAGCCGUAGCAAUAAUUACAUUUAAUGAACAGACCAAAUUUUGUGUCUGUUCAUGUAAAUAUAUAUACAUGAUCAAUAAUUACAUUUAAGUUUAACGAACCUAAUUAAUUAUUGAGAAACAAUUGAUGAAUAAAAUGAAUUAAUGAACCAGAGGCCCGCGCGAGAGAUGAUGAUCAACUACAAGCAGUUAUUUCCUUAGAGGCAGACGGAGAAGCGGCGGAGUCCUGCAAGGUUCGGGGCGGCGAGGGCGGCAACCGGGCGGAGAAGCUCCUGAAGGGAUAGUCCUCGAUGUUCUCCUCCUCGUGAUCAAAAUUGAGGGCGUAGCUGAGGGGGUCGUAUUUGAAGUCGGCGGAGGCCGAGUGCCUCCGCGCCGUGUGGCUCCGUCCCAUACGCCCGAUCAAGCUCUUGCACUUGUCCUUCAAUUCCGCGAACUCGUAAUGGCUGUUGUGAUGGCCGUGAUGGUGAUGGUGGUGAUUGUGGUGAUGGCUAGAGCGGGACUUGCUGGAGGAGGAGAAGGAGGAGUUGCGGACGAGGCUGACGUUGGCGGAGUGGGCGUGGGGGGUGGUGGGGGCGGUGAUGGAGUGGUGGUGCGGCGUCGUUUUGGGGAAGCACGGGAUGAUGCAGAGGGAGGAGCGGAGUUUCUGCUUGAGGGAGGAUGGGGAGCAGGGCUCGUGCUCGUUCAGGGGCUCUAUCAUUUUUCCCAGUUCGAGUUUGAGGCUGCUUUUGCAUGAAACUUGUUGAGAGGGAAGGGAGAGAGAUCUUGUGUAGGGUUGGGAGGCGGAGCCUCGUGGGAUUGAAAUGACGGAUGAGUACACGGGGGUUUCGGGGUUUUCAGGGGAUCGCGGGGACGUGAGAGGGAACCAACUUGUUGAGGCCCCGGAUUUCUUGGGAUGCUCUUGGGGUUUUUGGUCUUUUAAUCCGAUUGGACCUCAGAAUCGGAAUUCAAUUCAAUAUUCAAAGGUUGUCGCUUUUUCAGGUGUUUUUUUUUUUUUUUUUUCUCUCCUUUUUUUGGUUCUCCUUAGAUUUUGGAGAGGAUGAGGAUGGGCCCAUAAUCUCCUAGUGAAAUAUUCAAAGUCCAUUUGCAUGAGAUAUGGGCUGGGCUGUAGUAUAAUUGGGGAGUGAUGGGCUUAAAAUUGGAAUGUGGGCUCAAAAACUAUCCACAACAGGUCUAUGUUGAGAGGUUCAAUAUGGCCCCUCGUUAUUGAUCUGAAACCUAGUAAGGACCCCUCGUUAUAACCCCUCUUUCAUUGCAGUCUUUCUGAUAAAUUAUUAGGGAAGAAUAAUAUAAAGGGUCCGAAUCCAAUUUAAUAUGAGUUGGUAGGAUCCUUAAAAUCCUGGUAAUGAUGUUCCUACUUGGUAGCUCACAUGAUAUAGGAAUCUUUGUAAUGUAACAUGACUCAACUACAAUCUGCCCAACUCAUAUUAAAUUAGUAUAAUCUUAGUAAUGUAAAAUAGCGUUAUUCCCGUUUCAUUGAAGUCUUUCCUCUAAUAGAGAGAAGAGGAGAGGAGAGGUGAUUUGGUUUGGUUGGUCACGUGGUGGCUCACCCACUGAGUCAGCAGCAGAACCUCAUUCGCCACCGCUUGGCUUGGAGUCUUGGACACUUCGUAUGCUUUUGGACCAAAAAAAUUAAAAAAAACAGUUUGUAUGAUUUGCCAUUAAGUUGCACUGCAGCUUCCUCACCCUUUCCAUUCCCUUUCUCAAUUCUCACACGCACUCUCUCUCUGACCUUUUUUUUUUUUUGGUCCUGUUUUUCUCAUAAUCUUUUUACUUACUUUUUAAAGAUCUAACUCACAUUUAUAAUUGAGAAGAGAGAGAGCAAGAGAGAGCAGAAGAGGAUUGAUGCAGAUUGUUUUUGCAACCAUCAAUGGUAUGGACCCUCACUUGUCUUGUCUGCCACCACCAUCUUCAUUUCACUCUGAUUAUUCUCAUCAUUCACUACUCUCUUCUUCUUCUUAAAGCCUUUUUGCUUGUAUUAUUGCUCUUCUGUCUUAUAAUCUCCUCUUCCUUAAAUCAUAUUACAGGAUCAUAUUGGAAGACAUAGACAUGGAUCAUUUGUAAGACAAAUAUAAGCACUUGCUUUCUUUUGUUUUAAUUUUGAGCUGCCUUGGUAGCUAGCUAGCUAGCUGCAAUGGCUGGGAUGCUUCCUGGUGUGGAAUGCGCUCGAAGGAGACGAGUCCAUCAAAGCGGCGAGUCACCAGGCGUGGGCACACAUGGCUGGACCAGGCGCUCCUCUUUUUGUUUGUAUGCUAGCAACCAUGAAACUCACCAUACCUCCACCUUUUCCCUGGUAAUUAUCUGCCUUAUGCCUUCUGCCACACGAUAUAACAAAUUAUGUUACAAACCAACUAUAUAUAUUUCUUAACUUUUCUUGAUUGUUUUAAAGCAAAGAAGCAUAUUGAACCAAUCAUACAUGGAUGAGAAACUGGGAGUGGAAGCCCGAGAAGCUAAAGGGAGAUUAGAUGAAAGACUCAGAACACAGAGAAAAUCAGAACCCAAUAAAAGGUAAUUAAGAACAAAUUGCCAAUAACAUAACAUGUGUUGUUGAUUAUCUUAUCUAUGUGUUUUACAUGUUUUGUUGUAUGAUGAAUUCAGGCAUAGUGUUCAUAGAGAAGAAGAGAGAUGUGUGGAUGGUGGAAGAUCUAUGUUUCUUCUCGGAGAAUUGCAGAAAGAAGUCUUUGGAACAAAGAAGAGCGGGUCAAAGAGGUUCAGCUGGGCCAAGUUGAGCUGGAAGGCCUCAGACCAAGAUGAGUGUGCUGUCUGCCUGGAAAUAUUCAGGCCUCGUGAGACCCUGGUGCACCUGCCCUGUGCACACAGGUUCCAUUCUGGCUGUAUGGUUCCAUGGCUACAGAACAAUGCCCAUUGCCCCUGUUGCAGAAUGGGGAUUGUCUCCCAGUAAAAAUCUCUUUUGUACUUUUGGUAAAAAUGGAAAUUGUAAUCUAGAUAAAGCUUUUCCAGUUAUAGUUAUAGAGUUGGUCUGAGCAAUUAGCUUGUAUCUAAUCUACCAUAUCUUAGUUUUUCUUUGGUUGAAGUGAAAAGUUGCCAAGUAGUCUUUGAUUCCCCAAUCAUGGUAAAUACUUAAAGUUAAUUAGAAGCUGCAACAUGUUGUUAGGCCCAUAUAAUUCCUCCACUUGCAUGAGAAAGGGAGGGAGGGAGCUUCUUGUCAUCUUCCAUCCUUGAAGGAUGAAAAAUAGACAAGGUAUUUUGUUUGACAAGACUUCAAUUUGUGAAACAAAUAAGUGGAUGAAUCAAAUUGCACAAGAGAUCACUGUCUAUCCAUUGUUUUCUUCCCCCAACCUAAAAUUGAAUACCAGAUGAGAAGAUGCACCACUCACUCAUCAUGUGGGCAGUGGGCCAAGAACAGCUUCAUUAUUUUGGGACAAUCUUUGCUGUCUUGUCUGGUCGACCUAUUUUUUUUUUUUGUUUUAGUGGAAAUUAUUUGUGGUCGUACUAAUCAAAUGACAUAUCUUGGCUGUAAAUUAUGGGAAGCAAAAUGACCAUUCGGCUAAGUAAGUGGUAGAUGAGAUUGUUAUAAACAAUUGCAACAUUAUAUGAUACCUUGAAGAUGGAAUGUCAUUUUCAAGAUUGGGAUAGUAAAGAAGCUGGCAUUGCUAACUAGGAUUCCAUCCUAAUUUGGCUAAACUUUUCUUCUUUUCUUCCCAAACCCACCUUUCCUUUUUUUUGUUCCUUUCACUGGCUAGCUGGACUUCACUACAGAUUAGAUUAGAUCCUAAUCUUUUGUCUUGAUUAUUAAUGGAGAGAUGAUUUGUUGAUUUUUAAGAUAAGCUUUGAUUAUUUGUUUAUUCUUUUUUCUUUUGAUUGGAGUGGAGUGUGAGUGAUACAAGAGUCCAAAACGUUUGAAAGUUUUCACAUGUGAUGUGACUCAGACAUAGCCUUCGGUAGCACGUUUGAAAGUUUACCUGUCUGGUUUUUAAAGAGCCAUAUAAUACAAGUUUUGUUUAAAAAAUAACUCAUUUUACACAGCCAGCCUUAAAAAGUUUAGAAAACUAACAUAUUUUAGAUUAUGUCAAGAUAUUGCCAUAAUCGAAAUUGAGUCGAUAUGUGACUUAAUAUGGAGGUUGAGAUGAUGGUACAAAAUUUCGAAAUCUCAAAUAACACUUCGACCUAAUUUUGAUAAUGUCAAGUUCAAAACAAGUUAGUUUCUAAAUUUGAAGAAUUAAAAUAUCUAUUUUUCAAAUUUUUAGGAAUAAGAGAAGGUGAAUUUUGCACAUAUCUCCCCUACCAAAGGCUAAGACUAAGAAUGUCAAGGCACCUUUUGUAGGGGAAGAAAACACUCUAUUAUUGCCAAGGGAAACGUACCAAAACCGACGACGUUUCAUCAACCGCAUAUUUCAUUAUUUUGCCACCAUGUGAUUUUACCUUUUUAGGCUCUCCGCAACGGCUAGUUCCUAGUGACCGUUUCCCGUCUUCCCAAAUUCAAAAUCUGAAAUCGACCUCUAAGUCUAACCCACCAUCAGCUUCACAGUGUGUUUCACUAUACAAACAACGCCCACAAGCCAAAACCAAAAUCACAGCUCUGGCAAUUUGCAGAAACAUUCGAUCUCGCUUAAACCCAUUUAGCAAUUCAAAUCAAGAUCCCAGAAUUUCAAGAAUGGUGUAUUCAUACGCACCCACAUACUACUCUACUCUCCAUGACUCGGUGACCAACUUAUGCAAGACCAUUCUUCCUUUCAGCUUCAAGAAACGGAGGUUGCCAGCUGCAGAGCACAAGCUUUCAAAGCUGCAAUCAGACAAUCUCAAAUGGCAGCAAGACUCUUUCCACCAGAUGUUAAAUUUGAUGGGUCUUCAUAAAGAAGGCAUUUUGGCUGAGACUGAGGUCUCAGCUUUCCGCUCGCAUUUGCUUGACACCCUAAUCGCCUCUCCCACUGAGCGUGAACAAUCGGCUAUAUUGAGAGACAAGUUGCUAUUCUUGCAGGUAAACCAGUCUUCCCUUUUUUCUUCUUCUUCAUUUUCCUUUCUUUCAUUGUGUUUUCUAAGUAACCAAACGGGAAUAAUUAAUUAAUGAAGCUUUAAAUCUUUAGGAACUUUUGUAUGCAAAAUGCAUAUCUGAAGAUGAGUACCAUUCUUCCAAGAGGCCAUUGCUGCAACGAUUAGCAGUACAGGGAGCUGAGAUUGAGGCCAGAGAUGUAAUUGUUGCAGGGCUACCACCUAAGGACCCAAAGGAGAAUACUGAUCAAGAGCAGUGGUCUGUCAUUGACUUAAAGGAUGAGAAAUGCUUGCUAAACAAGGACAAAGAUAAGUCAAAUUCGAAGAACAAAUCGAAGCAUGGCUCUGCAAUGAAGCAAAUUAAAGGAGCAGCUUCAGUUUUGGGCUUUGUAUCACCUUACAAACAGGGGAAAAGCAGAGAAGAAAGGAGCAUAUUCGAUUUGCCCGAGUCGUCGAAAGUGUCUUCCUCUAGCUCUUCUAAGCAUGAAUUAGGAUAUCAUUACAAAGAAAAUGAGGCCAGGUCGAUUCUCAUGCCAGAAAGCUUGCCACAGGAGCCGGUGAAAGAAAGUGGCAGCUCAGAUAGAACAAGGAGGAAACCCUUUAAGAAUCUGUUUCAGAGAGAGCAGAGAGAGGGACAUGGUGUUGGAGGUGGAGGUGGUAAUCAUGGUCAUGAAAAUGAACAAACACCUUCCAAAUCAGCCAAAAAGCAAUGGGGUUUUGAUGGAUUCAAGAAAUGGAAGAGAAGUGACUCGGAGGAUGAGACAACUCCUUUGCCUCUUAAUGAAAGAUCGGAUAGUGAGGUUCACUUGAAGCUUGUCUCAAGCCCCAUGGGUGAAGGGCCGGACACUAAGCUUAUAAAAAGGAAGCUGCUUUCUGAUGGUUCUCCUUCUGAUUUCUUCAUUGAUAAGGUAGCAAAUCUUUAUUUCAAUUUCUUAUUCUUUGGGAUAAUAUUUGAAGCUUGAGCUGAAACUGAACUUGGUCAAUUUGUUCUUAAUAUGAAGGUUUUAGGGGAGAAGAUAAAAAAGGAGCUGUCAAGAAUUCAGACAGAGCUUUGCACUUCAAAUCCAAAUCUUAAAUUUUCGUAAGCCUCUUCUAUUAUCUGACAUUUGGUGACUAUUUAGUAUGUGCAUUGUAUUGAAAAGCAAUCUUUCUUUCACAAAUAUAAUCAGGAAUGACCAAAUCGAAGCGAUUUCCACCAAGCUUCCCGUCGACAAGGCAGACCUGAAGAAGUUCUUUCCCAAGUGAGCAAACUCUCUCUUUUUGUGCUGUUUCAUCCUCCAGUAUUUGAGCAUAUAAGCUAAAACCAUCACACUUACACUUCUUAUUUAUUUAUUUACUCUUUUAUUUUCGAUGUUUAAGGUCAUGGUGUGAUCGGUAUGGAGAUGUUGUUUUGGAUGUGGUGAAAAAAGAAUUCAAGGACCAUGUUGGGGAGAUGGAGAGCUUGAGAAAUGCUGCCAGAGAGAAACAUGGCAUGAACUCAGCUCGAUGGACGACAUUCCAAGACGAUGAGGAGAAUUGUCACCCGAAUCUCUUUGCUUCCGGAGAUCAUUCACACCAUACUUCGAAGUUCCAUGAAACCAAUCCUUUCUGCGAUGAUCACACUCCUAGUGAUGGAAGGAAGCUGAGAUCUAAACCAGCUUUUACACAAGACCACCAGAAUCCCUUUUGGAUCCCAGGGCAUGGCUAUUGAUGAGGACACACAUAUUUUGGGUUUAAUCCCUUUUCUAAGAGUAUUGGUAUUAUCAGUUUAUUGGUGUAUUUUAUUUUGAUUGUCAAAUUGCUGAAUGUGUAUGAACUUUGAGAGAAGAUCUCUGUUCUCCAAGUAAUUCAAACUCUAUGUCUGACUUGUAAAUUUAGGGAAUGUAACAUCCUCCUAUUGUUCGGAAUUUGAUUUGCUCCUGGGGGUUUACCUUUUUUCUAAAUUAGAUAUAUAUCAGCAAUCCAACUCUAAUUUAUCUACUAAUUUAACUCUUUGCUGCAUGCUAAAGGGCCUUGAUACAAAUAUCAAAGAUGCGUUUGAUAGAUGCACAUUCAUACAAUUAUCUCAUUUUCUGCAUCUCUAUACAAGUACUACAAAGCCGCAUCAUGAGAAAAAGAUGCUACAAUAUUGUGGAUCGUGGAAAAUUCUGAUACAAGUUAGUGUUGGAGGACAGAUAACAUGUCAUUGUAAAAGCGAAGAACCAUCAUAACUAUUUACAUCAAUACGUACAAUUAUAUCAAACAGAAGAUAUCUCCGAGUUGGAGACGGAACAGUCAGUGAUGACGCCCUCACGAACAUCUCCUCGGCAAAGUGGACAAACGCUGUAAGAGGGAGGAAAGAGGCAGUAGGGAAAGAACAGAAAGACUUUCAGUAUGAAACAAGGGAAAUGAAGGACAAUCAUUUGAAAGUGGUGGGGGGGCAAUGACAAUACCCGUGUAUCUCUUUGAGCCACUUAUCAACACAUGACAUGUGAUACUCAUGAUGGCAAGGAAGAACUCGAAUUUUGUCCCCUUCCUCAUACUCAGCGAGGCAUAUGUAACACCUAUCAAUUAUUAACUCACCAUGAUCAAACAAAUGCAUUAAAUAAGAAAACACUGAAUCCCACAAAUCAGAAAACACUCAGCAACACCAAACCCCCCCAACCAAGAGAAAAAUAGGCAUAAAUUAAAUAAAACUUACUGUGCAACAUCAUCCCCAGACUUUAAUGUGUCAACCUCUGUGUGACUCUUAAGAGGAAAAGAGUCAACAACAGAUGCAGGGGCAGGGACUGAGACCAUAGAUAGUGAAAGUGACACAGGUUGGCGAUGAAUUUCAUCCAAAACCUGCACGUCAUACAUUACAACAAAAUUAUGUUUAAAAAGUGAUAGUGAAUGAUUGCAUGCAGCUAAAAGCCAUCAAAGAGGCCUCAAAAUGAAUAAUAUACCAAACUCAGACCUAAGUUUUAACCCCAAAACAGGAGAAAAUUACAUAACUACAGGGAUAAUUAACAGCCGCCCCAGGUAAAAAGUGAACAAAACAAAAGGCAAUAACUUAUUUUAUAAAUACCCUCCUCACUCACAUUAUAACCACCAAUGGUUCUUUUUACAAAUCCGAUCUACCAAACAAGAUUCCGGGGGCCACUAGAGGAUUUUAGCUCUAAAAACAAAAGCACAUACAAGACAAGAAUAACAUAACAUGGAACUCAUGGAUCUUAAACCGUUUGAAUUAGUAUAGGUCAAGACCCAAGAAAUUUGAGGACAAUAUGAGAAGACAUAAUCAUGACAAGGAAAGAAAACUAAAACAGAGAAAAUUACCUCAAAUAGAGCUUCAGCAAGCAUGACAAUUCUUGAUAUACUUGCCCGAGUACUAGACUCUUCGGUCAAGAACGAGCCACAUGAGCACAUGCCACGAGGGUGGAUUCCUGUAGGACAGGACGUAUUACGCUGACUAUUGUCAUCAAGGCCAACACGAAGUCUUUCCCAGACCUACAAAGAAGAGUCAUGCCGAUGCAAAUCAAUAAAAGUCAUUGAGAGAACCCCGAAAAAAUAAGAGCUGUUACAAUUCAUAGAUUCUUCGCCCCAUAAAAACAUUUGGAUAAAACAUUUAAUGAAGGAAAUAUUAAAGUACCGUUGAUGAACGACAUGUGAGUAAACAAAUAAAUGAACAUGCAUAUACUGUUGAUACACAUAGGAGCCAAAAAUCUCCCGAAUGAAUGGAACCAAAGAGUCCAAAAAGCCCUAAUUUCAUAUCCAAGUUAAGCCACAUAAUAAACUUUUAAUGUCUAAAAGAUCACCUCGGAUCUAGAAUGCCGUCGUCGUUCAUUUGAGUUGGGAAUUCUAUUGCCCUGGUAACCAGAAUCAGCUCCAAUCCCAUCAUCGAAAAAAUCACCACUCAAACCAAGUAGCCAUCUGUCAUGAAAUCCUAGAUCCUCAGUAUCAUCAGUAGAUAAAAGAAUUGUUGGAGAAUCAAUAAACCUUCUGGAACUGCGUCUUGAAAAUGCAUCCCAGAAUAGUCGUCUGCCAUUCCUUCUGGCCUCACGAUUACUUGCAUCAGCAUUGCUUCUAGACAAAAGGUUGGAAGAAAUACUCAUGACAUCAACAUGAAGUAUACUUCCAUCUUCCUCGCCUUGUUCCCUAUUGGACACAAGGAAUCCUAAACCAGAAGGUAUUGCCUCUCGAAGGGAAUCAUUUCCAAGUGAGUGAAAAGACGAUGGUGUUUCAGAAACACGAGCAGCUUCUGUAUCAGCAUUAGAACUAUGGGCAGCCAUUACUUCAGCCACAUGAUUCUCAACAGACACUUCAGUAGAGCGGGAAUUCCGAAUCCCCUGUGGAGAGGAACUACUUGGACGCAUAACCUCAGGACAGGUCUGAGAUACAUUCUUGUCUGCUGAAUUACCAAUGCCAUUGACUGCAUCCAUAUUAGCGGAACAAUUCACAGAGACUGGGUCUGAAGAUUGUUGUUCUUUAAACGAAGUACUAGCUGUAGUACUAUUAUCCCUACAAGAUUCAUCAUGACUAUAAUCGGCACUUACCUGAUGAGGAGAUACUAGUUCUUUGCUUUUGGACAAGCACUUCCCCUGGUUACUUGUAUGAACACUGCUUAAACCAUCUUCAAAAUAAGUAUUCUGACUGGCUGCAACAGUGCUCUCAGAUGAUGAUCCAAUUUCAAUAAUGGGGCAGGUGAACCGUGCCCCUGUACUGGAGACCAACGAAGUUCCCUCUGUGGAGUUCCGAACUUGAUUAAUAUCCAGAUUACGUUGCUCUGCAUAUUUCACAAGACACUCAGCUGGAUGAUCUUCCAUCUGCAGGAAAAACAACUAAACAAAUCAGUCUCUUUCCAUAAUCUAUAACUACCAAGUACAAAACUAAUUAGAAAUAUAGCUUAUAUCUACUAACUGAAUCAUGAAAUGUUUAAGGAUUCAGGUAGAAAAGGCCAUAUUUAAAUUCGGAACCCUCAAUUAUAUGACCCGAUGAACUAAAUCCCCAACUUUUUUUCAACAAGAGCAUCACAACGAUAAUGGGGACAAUAUUUGCGUUUACAGGUAAAUGAUAAGUCAAAGAAUAACUACGAUAUUACCGAGCACGGGGCCAACCUACUGCAUCAGCUGGCCAAAUCCCAUAUCAUUUUUCUUCGAUUGCAAAUUGAAUUUGAGGAAAAUAAAACCCCAAAACAACUUAUUUUAAAGAAAAAUGCUUAAAAGGCUUUAAAACUUGCACUGGUUUGUUUCAUGAUUAUGAUAGAGGUAUCUAUAUUUUGCACCAGAUGAUGAAAUCCCAAAUCAUCGAAAAACCAAUAAAAAUCGAAUUUUGCAUUCAAAAAGGUCAAAAUGAUGAGAAAUCCAAAAAUGGGUAUUGAAAAUUGAAUUAAAGACAUCAAAUUUAGUGGACGACGAUGAAGAAGAAUAAGAAGAAGGUACCUCGUAAGUAGAACGUGAGGAGGAGCCACCACAGACGAAAGAGGAGAGUAUGGAACGAUUGGUGGUGCGAUUGACUCGGGCCCGUGAUGGGCGGGAGCCCAGUCGACUACUGCUCGAACCCAUUUUAGAGAUUAGAGAGAGAACGCUUGAGAGUUAAGAAGUGGAGGAGGAGGAUGUUGUUGAUGAUAAUUGAAGCACACCAGCUGAGAUAGAGAGAGAGAGAGAGACAGAGACAGAGAGACUCAAGAGGAAGCUUUCUUUCUUUAUUUCAAAUUCAAUUAUUUUGUGGACUUCCGUAUCAUUGCGGUAAAGACUUUUUUUAAUAUUUCUUUUGCCGGAAAAAAGACUUUUAACUAGUAAAUAUGUUCCUCUCCGCGUCAACAUAUUUUAUUGUCUAUGAAGAAUUACACUUACUUAUUUUUUAGUACAAGUAAAUGUGGAAAAAUUGGCUGAAAACCUAACAUGAAAUAUUUGAGUCUGAAAAUAUUAAGGAUCCACCAAACCGGUCAUGGGUUUUUGGGCUGAAGUCAACUUCUUAGUAUGAUUGGGCUCUCGAGCUCGUUGGAAUUGUAUACUUUGCCAAGCUUGAUCCAUCAAGUUUUUGGGCCUUACUCGCCGAGUUUUGGCCCCAAGACAUUUAAAACGAAAAAAAAAAAAGGAAGUUUUAAAGCCGAGUCAUGGCAUGCCAUCAUUGCCAUGUGCUGCGUGCACAAUAAUAAUUGAAGCACAGUACAGCUUGUGAGAGAUGGGGGGUACGUGGUUUGUUUUUGGUCGAAGGGAGGGUUACGUGGUUGGUUGGAACUUGGAAUAUAUAUACGUCCGAAUCUGACAGGGGAGUCUGUGGAUAUAUGACAAUGACAUGAUCAAUUUAUGGCCAUGUAAUUUGUAAUCAGAAAUAAAGUAGAAAAGUAGUUUGGGUUAUGACUGAUCGAUAUGAAAUUGGAAUUGAAUUGUAGGUAGGAAAAGGAUCAUGCAUUAGACUAGUAGCUGAUGAAGAUGAAAGACACGUUUGCCCUCUACAGAAGAAGCACCAUUCUGCCCUAGCUCAGCUUUAGCUUUUUAUAUAAUUUAUAGCCACGAACCUACUUCUACUUGUGUGUGCAUAAAGAAAGAGCAAAAGCACUUUAUUCACUGCUAUAAAAUCCAAAUCCAAUUCUUAAUCUUAAUCCAGCAUUAUAGAGAUCGAGAAAUAUGCCAGACCAUCCACCACCACCGCAGGGGCACGGGCAUGGUCAUCCAGGUCCUCCUCCUGGUCCUCCUGGUCAACCUCCUCCUCCGGCGCAAGGCGGCCAUGGCCCUCCUCCUCCUCAGCCAGGACCCCCUUCAGCUCCCCCUGGCCCUCCUGAACCACACAAGCCACAUCCACAUGAUCCCCAUCAUGAUCAUUGCCACCACCACCACCACCCAUGAAUCUUCAUCUAAUAUGUAUGCAUGCUAGCUAUAUAUAUAGCUUGCUAAGCAGAGGUGUUGUAAUUAUAUAUGUAAUUUCUAGUUUUAACUAGCUUGCUCUCAUCUCAUCUCAUCUCAUCUCAUCUCAUCUCAUCUCAUCUCAUGAUCAUGGAUUGUAAUGACAUUAUCGGCUCUAGCUAGCUAAGAAAUCACUAUCACAGUGUGUUUAUGUACCAAAAAAAGGAUGCUGAUUAUCCAUCUAAAAUAAUAAUGAGAUGACUGAUCUUGUGGGUUUUCCUUUCACUUUUGUUUGGUAAUAACUGACAGUUUUUCCUUUGUUUUACACCAAAAUUCUUUUCCCAAGAAAGAACUUGCAAAGCAGAGCAGACCAAAAAUGCUUAGCAAAGCCAAAAACCCAAACUAACAAGGCAAUCCACAGAGGACAGCAUGAUAAUUAUUCUUCUUUUAUAAUUUGAUAUUUGACUUCAUAAAUGAAUAUAUCUUAAUUAACUACUGCUGCAAGAAAGUGAACAAAAGAAGUGCAUAACAUGGUGGUGUUAAGUGCUCACCCCAGGUUCAUUGAGUUUUUGAAGUACGAAAAAAAAUAUAUAAAAAUAAAAUAAAAUUAUAUAUAUAAGCUAUUGUAAAUAUUAGGCAGAAACUGUUAAUUAAGACAUCUAAUUAUCUCUAAUAAAAUCAAUGAACAUAGUGCUUUAAGAAAAUAUUAAAAUAAUAUUAUUGUUUAAUUGAGUGGUCAAAUGAAAUAUAAAUCCAAAUGAUGUUAUGCAUAGAUGAUCUUUAAAUGAAUACCUAAAAAAUAAACGAUUAAACUAAUUAGGAUAAUUGAAAUACAAUGCAAAAUAUGCCUUACGAAGUGUUUCUCAAAUAAGCCUAUUUAACUGAAAUUCUGUGUAUAUAUAUAUAUAUAUAUAUAGUGCCCCGAAAUUAGAAGAUGUAUGUAUAGUAAUAGUAUAUAUAUCAUCCUAAUUUUUGCGACCUAUAUAGAAAAGUUAAAGAUGAUGUUGGUAUACGCAUAUGAUGUUGUGGUUGUUGGUGUUGUCCUAUCCUAAUUCAGAAGCUUUUCUUUUCUAAAAUAAAAGUGGGGCCGUUGGAGGUCGUUUUCCACUUCAAGUGGGUUUUGCCGACGCCGUUUCCAAUUUCCUUAGACUUGUACUUUUCUCUUUAACAUUAUUACCAAACAAUUUCUUUGUUUUAUCUUGAAAAAGAUGUAAUUAAUAAUAACACAGCAUGGCCCUUUCUUUUCCUUAUGGAGGAAAAAUUACUAGAUUGUUUUAUCUUGAAAAAGAUGUAAUUACUAACAGGAAAAAAAAAACAAAAUUUAUUUUGUCCUCUUUUAAGUAGCUAGAUGGAUAGGAUAGAAUUAUAUAUAAUUAAUAGGAAAGAUCUUUAUUUUUCAUUUUUUAUGUGGCACCUCUUUACGGUGAUGAAAAUCAUCUAGCUAGUGAGGAUGUGGACAUUGCUUUGUGUUUUGUAUUACCGACAAUAAAUAUUGCAUUAUAAAAGCCACUGCUUUCUUCAACAAUUCGCCACAUCAACAUUCAACCGCUCAACAAGUAAGAAUCACACCAAGAGUAAGAGUCUCUCUGCAACUGCAACAACCAAUUCAAGAAGAUGCACCGCCCAGGAGCCGGCCCUCAUGAUCAUGGCCAUGGACCUCCAGGCGGCGGUCCAGGAGGCCAAGGUGGCGGUCCUGGAGGCCAAGGAGGCGGUCCAGGAGGCCAAGGAGGCGGGGGUCCAGGAGGCCAAGGCGGAGGCGGUCCAGGAGGCCAAGGCGGAGGCGGUCCAGGAGGCCAAGGCGGAGGAGGUCCAGGAGGCCAAGGGGGUGGCGGUCCAGGAGGACAUGGCGGAGGAGGUCCAGGAGGACAUGGCGGAGGCGGUCCAGGAGGCCAAGCCGGAGGCGGUCCAGGAGGCCAAGGCGGAGGCGGUCCAGGAGGCCAAGGUGGAGGCGGUCCAGGGGGGCACGGUGGCCGCUGAUAAGUUAACGAUGACGGGCAACAAGACUUGUGGUGUACUAAUAGCUAGUAGUACGCAGUCUAUAUAUGAUGAUAUAAUGAAGUUGAUGAUGAGAGUAAUUAGCUGAUAUAAUGAUAAUGUUGUGUUUGUUAUUAAUUAGUAAUGUUUUUCUAAUCAUGUUGGGUGAGAUCCUUCCCUUCCCCGGCCAUCUCCAGUAGCUCAGUUUCAGCUAACUGGAGAAGAGGAGGGCGGUUUAUGUAAUACUAGUGUAUGAUGCAUGCAUAUAACAAUAAAAUGAAGAUGAUAUAUACGUUGCCCUUCUAUUCGUUUUAGUGCUUUAUAUUUGUGUGUGUGAGAAUGAGUCUUUUGGUUUUUACUUUCACUUUUGUUUGGUGUAACCUACAGUUUUUACUCUGUUUUACACCAAAAUUCUUUUCCCUUGUGUUUUUGUUUUUUAAUACGUCAAGAAAAGAACUUGCAAAGCCAAAAGGCCCGACCUGCACCCAGGACGAUAUUCAAUAUUAAUAUACCACAACUAAUUAACUAUAAACCAAAUUAACAAGGCAAUCCAUAGAGGACAUCAUGAUAAUUAUUCUUAUUUUAACAAACCUUAUAUAAUAGUUAUUUUCGGAAGUCUACAAAGUUAUUAUUGUGCCAAUACUAUUGUAAAUAAAAAAGAAAGUAAUGAAGAAUAUUAAAAAAAUACAUGACAUCCACACAAUAAUAACGUCUAAACGUUCGUAUAUGAGAAUUUCUCUAUAUAUAAUGGCAAGAAAAUGAAAGAUAUAGAUUGUUCUAAUUUGAAAUUUGAUAAAAACAAACAAAAGGCUUCGUGUGAUGCACAUGUAACAUGUUUCAGAUGGACAGUAAAUGUUCUUGUAAUAAUAUUGUCCUCUUUAGUCAUUUUAUAGUAGCUAGAUGGAUAAGAAAGAAAAUAUCUUUUAUAUGUGGCACCUAUUUACGAUGAUUGAAAAGCAUCUAGCUAGCUACCAUGUGGAAGUCGCUUUGUACCGGCAAUAAUAUUGCAUUAUAAAAUCCUACUGCUUUCUUCAACAAUUCGCCACAGCAACAUUCCACAACUCGACAAAGUAAGAAUCAACUCCAAAAUAGUCUCUCCGCAACUGCACUGCAACAACCAAUUGAAGAUGCACCGCCCCGGCCAUCAUGAUCAUGGCCAUGGACCUGGGGGCGGUCCAGGCGGACCAGGCGGCGGUCCGGGAGGACCAGGUGGACCAGGUUCCCAUGGACCUCCAGGCGGCGGUCUAGGAGGACCGGGAGGACCAGGCGGGGGUCCAGGAGGACCGGGAGGAGGUUGGGGAGGACCAGGAGGACCGGGAGGCGGUUGGGGAGGUCCAGGAGGCGGUGGUCCAGGAGGACCGGGCGGCGGUUGGGGAGGUCCAGGAGGCGGUGGUCCAGGAGGACCGGGAGGAGGUUGGGGAGGACCAGGAGGCGGUGGUCCAGGAGGACCUGGCGGCGGUGGUCCAGGAGGACCUGGCGGCGGUGGUCCAGGAGGCCUGGGAGGCGGUGGUCCAGGAGGCCCGGGAGGCGGUGGCCCAGGAGGACCAGGCGGCGGCGGUCCAGGGGGACAUGGUCGCUUCUGAUGGGCAACAAGACUUGUGGUGUACUAGUAGCACGUAGUCUAUAUAUGAUGAUAUAAUUAAGUUGAUGAUGAGCGUAAUUAGCUAAUAAUGAUGAUGUUGUGCUUGUUAUUAAUUUCUAGUUAGAGUUUUGGUAAUCAUGUUGGGUGAGAUCCUUCCAUUCCCCGGCCAUCUCCAGUAGCUCAGUUCAGCUAGCUGGAGAAGAUAAGGGCGGUUCAUGUCAUACUAGUACUACUGUAUGAUGCAUGUAAUAUAUAACAAUAAAAUUAUUAUGAUAUGAUUAUGUUGCCCUUCUAUUCUUUAUAUUUGCGUCAGCGAGACAGUGAGAGAUUGCUCUUUUAUUAUAGACUACCGAUUGAUAUGUUUAUCUUUAUUCUUCAUAGUUAUAUAUAUAUAUAUAUAUAUAUAUAUUAUCUAACAUAUAUAUACAUUUAAACGAACUUUAAAUUUAACUGAAUACACUUUAAUAUUUAAAUUAAAAUAUAAAAUUAAUCAAAAAUAUUUUAUUUAACUAUUAAAAAUAUUCAUGAUAUACCAUAUCACACAACACCAAACUCAUUCGAGAGCUAGCUGCUGCAUUUCUCCUUCACACAAACUUGGUGAUAUAAAGAUAUCAAAGGGGGAUUUGCUGUGAUCGUGAUAGAGAAAUUUUUAUGUUACUCUUUUAAGGUUGCUAAAUUCGUUAGAGAGGAGCAGGGUAUAUUUGGACUGAUAUGAUCAAAGCUUUGCAGUUUCGGCUUAACUAGCCUUUGAUUAAAGGGCCUUCUACAGCUUCUUUUUCAUUUUUCUGAUUUGUAAUAAUUCUGUGAAGGACAUGGUGUAAUUAGCUAACUCUUGAUUGGGUUUGAAUGAGUCGUAGUGAAGCCAAGUUAUAUUGUUUUCUAUUUUGAGUCUGGCUUUUCUGGUCUGGAGGCUUUGAAGUUGAUACUGGUAUUAGGUGACUUGCCGAUGGUUCUUUGAUUCAUCAGUCGAUCAAAUUUUCAGAUGAAGCAAAUUGUUACCAAAGCUUCUUCUAUUACCCAAAAAGCAAAGAAUGGUUUGGAAACUCACACAAUGGUAAUGGUAGGGUGUACUUAGUAACAUUUGUUUCACAAUCAAUAUAUCUUUUAUGGUAAUUUUAUAUUAGAGUAAAUUAGUAAUUUAAUGAAUAGUUUAGUAGUAGAACGUACUCAGUUAAUUUUAAAGUUCGUUUAAUAGUAUCCUUGAUUUAUCGGCUCGUUUAGAUUACAAAUUUUGAAGAAAUUAAGGUAAAAUGGUAUAGCAAAGAAGAUAUAUAUUUGAGGUGAAGAUGAAGAGUGGCAUGAAGAACCAGUUUGUUGUCAAUCAAGAUUCAAAUAGUUGCCAUCAGAACUUCUAUGUGAUACUUUUUAAAAUUAUGAUCACCUAAUGUAGAUUGCAGAGCCAUUGGAGAGAGGACUUGCGGAGGACAUUGACACAAGGUACCUAACAUUCUAUUAGACGAUACACUUCCAACUGAAGUUGACAAAAGCUUGCUGAAUGCUGUGAAGGAUUCGAUUGUUCAAGGGUAUUUGAAAUGAAUUCUUCUUCUUUUGCCGGUUAUUGUUGUUUCAGUUUAUUGCUUACCAUAAUGUUAUGGUGGACAGGUUUCAGUGGGGGAGCUGUACAUAGAUUUUCUGAUUGAUUUCUGAUGCUGUUGUUUCAGACGACUGUUUUUCUGCAAUCUACACUGUUCUAUCUCGCAGGCGUGGGCUUAUAUUGUUACUGUUUUUUGGUAUCCUCCUAAUUCCAUACAAAAAUAACAAACCAGUAACAUUGAGAUUGUUCUUCUCUGUAAUCCAAAGGUGGAUCAUGCUUCUGCUACUGCUGCUGCUGCUUGCUAAUUAUUUUUUCACUUUAAAAUUCAACUGAGAAUGCCACUGCCACGUUGACAUCACACACAGAUGGAUGCUCUUGCUGCUGUAAAUGCCAAUGAGAUCCAUUUCUGCGUUACGCGGCACCUUCCAAAAGUAUAAUUAAACCAAAUAUUCGUCCUCAAUGGGCAAUUAUUUUCAGAUACGACAAACGACCCUAUGGCCAAUUCGCAAAUAUUCCAAAAUACAUAAUGUCGUUUAUUUACUUUUUACGUUUGCACUUGUGGUUCACAUGUGUUUGAAAGUCAAAGCACAACCACUCUUAUCUUCCCCUUUCUUUCCGUCUCUCCAAAAAUUCUCCAGUCUCUCAGCAUCUCACCAGCGAUGGUGAAGACGAGAAAAUGAAAGAGCUUAUCAGAGCUCUGGUGGAAGACUUAGAUAUUGGAUCACACGAAGCCAAUACUGUAGCUUCGUCGUCACCUUCUUCCCCUCUGCUUACGACCCUCCGCCUCAAUCAGAGAUUGAUAGGAAAAGAUCAGGUAAAACAUUAGGGUUUUAUACAUUUUUCCUUCUGUUUUUAUUUUUUGCAGUCGGUGAAUUCUCUGUGCAACUAAAAACUCCAACAUUUUGGAUCCACCAUCUUUCUCCGUAAUUAUAGUUACUGUAUAUCUGAGCAUUCUGUGUAGCUUUUUGUGUGUAGUACUAAUUGCAAAAUAUUGAGUUCAAUAGACAAUGCAAUCCAAAACCUCAAGCCUAGCUCCAGCUCUCAACUAUUUCCCAACCCUCAAACCCCCACACAAAACUCUAGCUUUCCACCAAUUUUCAGUCCUUAUCAUCACCUUCCUUGCCUAUGCUUCGUUUCAUGCCUCUAGAAAGCCCCCAAGCAUUGUCAAGAGCGUGCUUGGACCCACAAUUCAGUCCAAUACCAGCUCAGCCGAUACGGGGUGGGAUCCCUUUAACGGUCCCCAUGGUGCCCACAGGCUAGGAGAGCUUGAUCUUGCAUUUCUUUCUGCGUAUUCGAUUGGAAUGUACUUUGCAGGGCAUGUCGGUGAUCGGAUUGAUUUGAGGUUGUUUCUCGUGUUUGGGAUGAUGUGUAGUGGCAUUUUAACAAUAUUCUUUGGGUUAGGAUAUUGGUUUGGUGUUCAUUUGUUGGGGUACUUUAUGGCUGUUCAAGUACUUUGUGGGUUAGUUCAGUCAAUUGGGUGGCCUUGUGUGGUAGCAGUAGUGGGAAACUGGUUUGAGAAAGAAAAGAGGGGGUUGAUCAUGGGGGUCUGGAGUUCACAUACCUCAGUUGGAAACAUUAUUGGUUCAGUUGUGGCGUCUGGGGUUUUGGAAUUUGGAUGGGGUUGGUCCUUUGUGGUGCCUGGGGUUUUGGUCAUUUUGGUAGGCAUUUUAGUGUUUUUGUUUCUUCCCGUGAGUCCAGAACACUUGGGAUUUGAGUCUUUGGUAAAGGAGAUUCAGAUGAAUGUGGAAGUUAAAGGCAUAGAGAAUUUGGAGGGAAAAGUGGAAUCAGAGGAAGCAGGUCUUCUUGGAACAGAGAAUGCAGAUGUCAAUACAGGUGCAGAUUCUUUGGCUGCAAUUGGCUUUUUGGAGGCAUGGAGGUUACCGGGCGUGGCACCAUUUGCUUUCUGCCUAUUCUUUUCAAAGCUGGUGUCUUACACUUUCUUGUACUGGUUGCCCUUUUACAUAAGGCACACAGGUACUUCCUCCAGUUAGAUUUUUAUAUAUGACUUUGAAAUUGAAUUGUUGGGAUCAUCUUUUGAUAUCCCAUUAUGGUUGAACUGCUUCUUUGGAUUUCAUGUUUGAGUUUUUUUGUUCAAAUACACCAUCAUGGAUUGUCAUGAAAAUGGCCGUCCUCAUCACAAUUCACAAACAAUCCAGAGCAUUUAAAAUUGGACACAUAUUGCAGUUCUAUACUCUUAACUGUAACAGCGCCUAUGUUUGUAUGUGUAUGUCUUUAAAAUCCAAAAUUACCCUAGGAGGAUUAUCUUCUCGUAUUCAUCAUAAAUUUUGUUUCGCCUUGCAGCUGUUGCUGGUGUGCAUUUGUCACACAAAACUGCUGGGAAUCUUUCAGCCAUAUUUGAUAUUGGAGGAGUCUUCGGUGGAAUUUUAGCUGGAUUGAUAUCUGAUAUGAUUGAAGCUCGAGCUGUAACGUCAAUUGCAUUUUUGUUGCUUUCGGUUCCGGCCCUUGUUUUCUACCGGGUAUAUGGAAGCCUAUCUAUGGUUGCCAACAUUCUUUUGAUGUUUCUUUCUGGAUUGCUGGUGAAUGGCCCAUAUUCACUAAUUACCACAGCCGUUGCUGCUGAUCUUGGUACCCAGACAGUGAUCAGAGGAAAUUCCCGUGCAUUAGCUACUGUAACUGCAAUUAUAGAUGGUACAGGUUCUGUUGGGGCGGCUCUUGGCCCACUUUUAGCUGGGUAUAUUUCCACCACAGGGUGGAACAAUGUAUUUCUUAUGCUAAUUUUUGCAAUUUUCUGUGCAACUUUGUUUUUGAUUCGCAUUGCGAGAACGGAGAUCAAAGGAAAUUUGAAUGAGGGAAAAUGGUCUUUAUAUAGCGUAGGCACACAGUGAUUGAGAUUUUCUCAAGGCAUAUCUUUUUUCUUUUUUUUUCUUUUGUCGUUCUUGUCAUACCAGAAAUGUAGAUUUCAUUCAGAGAGGGGCUAUUGGUGGGGUCAUUUGUGUAUGUUUGUAUCUCAUUGUUUUGUAGCUCAUUCAUUGUUCCAGCUUGUUGGGUUUCUUACCUACGUAGAGAUACGGCUAAUUAAUAAUAAAAAUUCUUCGACGGUUUGGUUCUAUGUUUCUCGUCUCUUGCCUUCUUCCAUCUCGAGUCCCAAAUUCUUUUUGCUCAUUGUAUUGAAUCAAAUUGGUCUCAUAUUAGCGACAAUUAAUCAAGAAGCGUGUAAUUAGCUGUUCCAGUAUGUGAAAUUAAAGUUGCACACAGCAGAAGCAGCCCAUGAAGAAACAAAUGUAUGAUGUUUUGAGCAGUCAAAUAAAAAGCAUUUUAUGCGUCGCUGGCUUUUCUGGUUACAUUAUACAUUCAAAAACCAGUAGGAUGAUCAGAAAACUCCACAAAGGUCAACAAAUCCGAUCAUCAAGGGCAAAGGAACGCACGCACAGUUUUAUAACGAAGUGAAGCUUAAACCUUGGACUUUGUAUAACAAUUAUAAGUAUUACAAAACAUGGAAGGAGUUCUGACAAAUAAAUGUACACUACACAUCUGCAUAUACCUUGAAAAACAAAGGUACAAUAACAGAACAGCCUCUCCACAAAAUCAGGCCUGCCUGUCUACCUCAGUUAUACAACACAAAAUAAGAUUUUAACUCCAUUCUCUGCCAAUAGGGUACAAGUGGUUAUUCCAAAGCCUGAUGAUACGAAUGUCUUCUUUAUCCUUCCAUCUUCUCUGGAACAGAUUGGUGCACCGGAUAUAGAAGGAAGCAAAGUGGCAGUCCCUUUCUGGAUGAAUAUAUAUAUACACAAGCCGAACUCCCAUCCAUUUUCUAAGUAUUAUUGCUACCGGUUCGGACCUUUGCCCAUCAAGGGAACAUCAACUCAUAAACAAGUAAUUCUAUUCUUCUAAGAAGAAUUUGAGAUUCUGAAGUCCUUCAGCAGAAAUGCUUCGUCUGACUCUAGACCUCUCUACCACCACAUGUGGAGGAGGCUCCAAGUGGAAACUCACCAUAACCAGUGUCAAAUUAUCGCUUGCUCCACGCUUUAUUGCCUCCUCUACUAUUUCCUUGCAGCACAACUUCACAUCAUUGUGCUCUUGGAGUCUCCUUCGAGCAAAAUCAACAGCAUUUUGGCUGGUGAACAUCUCCCAUAUUCCGUCACUACCAAUGAUCAAAAACUCAUCAUCCUUGGUCAGUGUCAUUAAUUUGAGUUCUGGUUCAGCACUUAAGGGUCCUCCCCUUUCACCCCCACCCUUCAUUCCUUCAAGAUGCCAAUCACCUAAUGCACGGGUGACACCUAACUGACCAUUUAGAUAACCAUCAUCAAUAUAUCCACCCAAGGAUUCAAUCCGCAUUCUUUCUUUUGUGCAGCAGGGCCUAUGAUCUUUUGACAUUUCUACAGCCGCUCCACAUCGUGACAAUACAGCCCGGCAAUCUCCAGCAUUUGCCACAAGCAAAGACCUGUCCAAAAGGGUAAUUAUAAGCUGAAGCAGACUAGUUGUCACACAAAAGGUCUGAUAAAAACAAAGUAAGCAGUCCCAAGAACGGGGCAUGAGAAUAGCCAAAAGUGCAUAGAUGUAAGAUAAUUAAAUCAAAUGGGGAGAUAUAGGGUGCGGUCAUUCUGAGCCAUUAUGAUCAGUUCAGUCUUCAAUCUCACUAAUCCCGAGUUGCGACCAAGAUUGGGUCACACAACAUCAGUUUUCUUUACUAUUUUUAUUUCUUGUUUUGCUCAUGCAACAGACACAAUUCAUUCUUCAGCAUGACACCACACGAAUUAGCUGAUUAGAUUUUCUCUUAUUCUUUAAUCUGAUGGCCUUGCAGUAAUGAUUAUUUAAGACAUUACUGUUGUAAGUCAACACCUUUAUUACAGAUGACAGUCAACCUACACCGGAAGAAAGAGUCCCCUUACCUCCCAAAUAUCAUUGCAGUGAGUGCAGUUGUUCCAGAUGCAUGGGAAGACUCAAGGGAGCACGUUUUUGCAAAUGCAGCGUCUGUCUCCAUAAAUGACCUUGUUAUCACCUUUUCAAGUUCUAAUGGAAAGUCAGCAUCCUCAACAACUACUCUUGGCAAAUUGUCACGAACAAAUUGUGCUGCAUCCUUUCCUCCAUGGCCAUCAAAUACCUGUUUUUUAUUUUUUAAAUUGCCAUUUACAUCAUCAAAAUCUGAUAAAAUAAAGAGUCUGGAUUGUUAUGCAUGAGCUUUCAUUAAACUGUUGCAAGUACCCUUAAAGUUGUAAAAUUUUGAUUGAACUAUUUAGAAAUUGUCCAAAAAGCCUUUCUUCAUAUUAUUGUUCUCAUUGUAACCAAACCUUGAGAAGUGUUGGGGAUGGUUUGAAUUGUUAUACAAUGGAAGAAGGUGAGAAAACUUACACCAUAGAAGGAGAUAGCUCCCUCACUGAGUACAUUAUAAUCAAACUUUUUAGCUAAGUCACCAAUGCAUAUAUGAGUAUCCUCCAUAUGGGUUCGACCCCCAAUGUCAGACCACUCUCCUGACCGAAGGGAAGGGAACAAGUUCAGCAGGCUCUGUUUUCUGUCUACAACCACUGUAUCCUCACAUAUGCUUUCGAGCUAAAAGACCAACAACAUGAUGGAACUUGAAUCAGAAUGUGACGGAUUGCAAGUUAACAGGUCAAGGAAACAGAUUUCGGAAACACAAGAAAGUAAAUUAGGAAAUUUUUUUCCAAGUAUAAUAUCAACACUCUCCUUGGAAAAAAUGUUCUCAAACCAGAAAAUGAAACUCAAAUCAAUCACAAAAGUUUACAUUGCAUCGAAACAUCAACAUCAUCGGGUUUCCCACAAAAUUGUGGGAUAUUGAAAAACUGUAUAAUGUUGUGAAAUAUCAAAAUCUGUCAACGCAUAAAGAGUAACAUAAAAUGUAAUACAAGACAAGGAACUCAAGGAGCAGAUAAUAAAAGAAGAGAUCCACUACAACACAAUCCAAUAAAAAAAAAACCCUUGAAAAGCAAGAACGUUAGUCAUCACCAUCCGGCUGUGCAGAGCACGAUAAGGAAGUAAAUAAUUUUUGUAAAUGAAUCACCUUCCGACAAGUGAAAGCAAAACAAAGAAUUGCAGCUUAGCUUACUAAAUAGGAAAAACAAUUUCCAAAACAACUGUUUCCCAAAAUGAACUGAAAAUUAGCAGAGCAUGAUUAAGAAAAUAGGAAUUCAAGCAGAAAACUUUCGUGCAUGAUGCAGUAUAAACUAAUGACAACAGUAAAAUUUUGUAGUCUAAGUAAAAUUAUUGAAUAGUGCAAAGAUACAAAAAUGAAAUUGUAAUCACGACAGGCCAAAUGAUUGAAAAAAACAUAAAGAGCAACAACCGGACCACGACCAACUACACACAAAUCCAAUUACAGAAAGAAAAAAAAAUCACAAAGAAAGACCGGCAAAAGAAAGUUUUGUCAAUCAUCAUCACAUAAGAAAACAAAGACCCAGAACUCAAUUUCAACCGAAUGAUCCUAAAAAGUUACAAAAUUGAGACAACCCCAAUAAAGCUAAGCAGUCAAAGAAGAAGAAUUUUUACUUGAAAUGAGUUUAACAUGGUUUUCUGAAGACUGGAGCUGAUGAAAGGAGUUUCCUUGUCCAAAUUGUCCGUCUGGUUGUGCAAGAUUUCACAUUGCAAAGGCCAGUGCUUGUUAUUGUUGUUGGUAUUGAUGUUAUUAUUCUCCAUAUUCCCCAUUUCUUGACCAAGCUGUUCUGCGUCUAUCAAGCACAUGCUUAUGAUGAAAAUGAUAAUGGGUGUGCUCUUCUUAGUGCUCAGUUUCUUAGCGAGUUGCUGAGGGAAUCGGAAAGUAGUAGAAGAUGCAGAGAAAAAGAAAGAUAAAUUUGUGGUGAGAAGAUUCUGAAAAUAUUUGAGUGGAAUGAGGGCCUCUGUUUAUUGUAGUAGUAUUCAGAGAGAGGGAGAGAGAGAGAGAGAGAGAGCGAGAGAAUGAGAAUUCCAGAUUUUUCUGUGAAAGCGUGGCUGAAAAUCGGCUUGUUUGCUGGGUUCUUUGAUAUUAUUCUAUCUUUUCCUCAUUUUCAAUAUUGAAAUGCAGACCCAAAAAACAAAAAACAAAAAAUCCAAGUGCUUUCAUUUGCUAAAUAAAAAACUGUAAUUCAAUAUUCAGAUUAUUUUUGGCAAUUCAAAAAAUGUAUUAAUUUGACUAAAAUGAGAGGAAUGAAUGAUUAAUGAAUAUGACAUCUAAAGGAAACAAAAAGGUGUCCCAUUUGAUAACGUAUUUCUUAACCACUAAUAUAAUUCAUGAAUGUGGUCUUUAAGUCUUAACCACCAGUAAAAUCCGUGGCUUCAUAAACCCUUUUUGACAAGAUAUUAUUGGAUUGGAUGCGUUGCGCAUAUCCGAUCCACCAUCAUAUGCCUUUCUUUUUCUCUUCUUUUUUUCGAUGGACACAUCUGCCUUUCUUUUUGGUCAUAAUAAGCACAUCUGCCUUUCGUUUCACAUUCAUUCACAAUCACAACAGUGGAAUUUAUUUUUUAAGUGCACUAAUAUUAUAUUGGCAUGCUUAUUUAAGAAGUAAAAUAAUUCAAGAAAGGUUUUGCUUGCCAGAAUUAAUAAUUAAAAAAAAAUCUGAAGAUAGGGUUUGGAUAGUUUUCCAAGAUAUAUGCUAGGUUUUGUUAUAAAUAAAGCACAAGACAAACGAGUAGGAGUGGGUAGGUUUGAGACAUUAUCUGCAAAACCAUAAUUUGUCUCAAGCCUAAUUAAUAAGUUAAAAGACAAGUUAUAUUAGGAAGUUUGUUUUUGUUUAAAUGGGGCAAAUAAUUCCUCCAAAAAGUUUGAAAGUGAAUUAAAUGGGAAAAUGAUGAUGCAUGUAAGGAGGAGCUGAUAUUAUUAUGUUUUGCUUGCCCUUUGCCUCUUUCAACUUUCAACGGAGGUCUACUAUACCAUCCACUUCUCUGCAACUUGCCCACUAACACCAUCUUUUUUACAUUUUAAACUCAAUUAUUUUCACAACUCACUGCACUAGACUUGUAAUUUUCCCGUCAAUUAAUUAUUAUUAUUAUUAUUAUUGGUCUCCAAUUUAUUAUUAUUAUUAUUGGUCACAUUGGAGAGGAAAGAAAUCCUUGAAAUUUCGAAUCUGAAUGCCAUGGAGGAAGGGAGAAUCCACUGCCACUUUGGUAGGAACCAUUGGCAAUUAUUUUCAGUUUGCCUAAAAAAGCUUCAUUAUUUGAAAAAAUGGGGUUAGGUUUCCAUGCUUUAUUAUUAUUAUUGGUGUCAUACUCAAGCACUUUUUCCAUGAGAAAGUCAAUCAAGCAAAGCCAAAGAAAGGAGGAGCUCUUCUUCUUCUUCAGGACACUUUCUUUAUACUUUAAAAAAGGAAUCUUCCUAGUAGGCUGCUUGCUUACUCAACACCAAGUGAGACCAAUACGUGGCCUGGUGUCAGUGGGUGCAUCCUGACGUGGCACAACCUUGUCCACCGGAUAUUAUUAGUGCAGCUUGCGGUGGUGUUGCCCAUCCUGCAAAGCUAUUAACUUGGGUUGAGAGAUAUGGGCCUUAUUAUUUCUUGGGUUGGGUUAGUGUGGUAUCUGGGUUGGCUUUAUCGUAAACAAGAAUUUCAUACCCACUUUGCUGCCCAUACCAUUUUAUUUUUGGGCUUCCACAAAGACAACUUGGUAUGCACUCAACUCGCACCAUUAACAAAACAAAAUUAGCCAUCGUUUCAGUAGCCGGGGUGGUGCAGUACUAGCACGCACACGGCAGACCUGGUGGUUGUGGUAACAGCUGCAACUACAAUGACAUAAUUGCAAUGUUCAUCGGACUCCACGACAGAACAUAUGCAAUAAGAACUUGUGCCCAAGCAUGUCCAUCCAAAAAAUAACUCAUAACAUUAGCAUUUUCUAGCAAGGUGCAGUAGUCAUUUCAACUCAAAGGACACUAUUGAUGAUGCAAAUUAUUAGGAUCUGGAUUGGGAAACAAACAAUUGAAAUAUGCCUAUUUUGAUACCAUGGGGAUCUUCAAAACCACAAAAUUUAACCAUUACAUCAAAAAUCGAUGGGGAGAAGAAGGUGGGUGAGAACAGGGGGAAGCUACUAUAUCUCCUCAAGUCUAUAACAUAAUCAGCUUGCCAAAACCAAAAAUGCCUUCAGCACCAGCCUACCACAAAAAUCAGAUACCAAAUCAAAUUCCAGUGAAAGCCUUCUUGCCAGCACCAGAAGAUCCAGCAGGGGUCACCUUCAAGACAUUGAACCUCUUAGUCUUGGACAAUGGCCUGAACAAUCGGAAAACAAAAUCAACAAACAAACAGAAAUGAGAGUGUUGCCCACAGGCCAAAGUAUAUUCAUAAGGAGGCAGUGAAGAGAAGAAGAGCUUGUAAGGCAUAUGACCUGCACUGUCCGAUGGUAACAUGAUCCCCUUCUUUCACACGGAAGCACGGAGACACAUGCGCAGGUAUGUUCGAGUGUCUCUUCUCAUACCUUAAGCAAGCAACCAAAAAGAAAAAGAUUUCAGAACAACAAAAAACAUGAUGCCCUUUUUUUCCCCAAAAUGACAGCAGAAAUUAUAUAGAAAGACAACACAUGAAUACAAGAAUCAUGCCUUUGAUAUUUCUUGAUGUAAUGUAGAUAAUUCCGUCGAAUGAUGAUUGUUUUGUUCAUCUUAGCACUGUGGCAAGUGCCAGCCAAGAUACGGCCCCUGAUAGAAACAUUUCCAGUGAAUGGGCAUUUCUUAUCAAUAUAAGUCCCUGUAAGAAACAAAAAUAAAAUGUAGAGCAUUCGUAUCAGCAAAUACCAUAACAUGUAGAAUAUUACGGCCAAAAAGAGACAAUUGGAGUAGGCUCAAUUUGAAGUAAGAAAUAUAACCCAAACUUCAGAGAUCAGAAAAAAUAAGCAAUGAAUUUCUCUAAUAGAAGUCAUCCACACAAAACUGUCUCUAAGUUUACAUAAUUUUCUAAUCAAAAGGUAGUUAUAUACGCUCAUGAAAGUACAUAUCUUAAAGAAUGCAAAUCAAACUUAAAAACGGCAAUGCAGCAAUACUCAAAGGCCACUUCCCAAUUAACCCACAAAUUGAAGGCCUAUCACUAUCCACAUGCAUAUGCAAAAUUACAAAUCAAUCAGUCAAACUAAAACCCUAGUUCAUUUUCAUCACAUUGCAUAGCUUGAACGGUCCACUACCCAUAUAUAAACAAAUAUAAGAUAAAUAAGUAGAGAGAGAGAGAGAGACCUUCAAUGGCUUCCCUGGGGGUCUUGAAACCAAGCCCAACGCUCUUCCAGAAACGGUUUCCACCCUUUCCAGGUCUCUUCCCCUUCCCAGACUUCUUCGAGCUAAUUUAUUACAACACAAAUAGAAAAAUGAAUAACAUAAAACCCAAAAGUAACAGCAUGAUAGUGCAGAAAAAUUAAACACAAUCAAAACUUCAUGGAAGAUAAAUAUAUUUUUUAAAACGAAGUUUCUUCGACUAGCUACCUGAUGAACACCUUGGGCUGCUUCAGAAACGCCUUCUCAGUCUGAAACCAAAUGUAUUAUAAAAUAAAAAUAAAAAUAAAAAUGAAAGCACUGUUAAAAUGAACCAAAGACCAAAGUUCUAGGAUAGAAUAAAAAGCAGCAAGAUGGAGACAGAGAUAGAGAUAGAGAUAGAGAACCGACCUGUUCGGCCAUGAUUGAUUGAUAGCUCUCAAGGAGUUGAGGGGUGGUCUUUCAGAGGAGGCGAAUUAACGUUCGGUGCAACAAAACAAACGCUAACCCUAGUUUGCGUGCGCCACAUGCGUCUUGUUGAAAUAACCUCUAUAACUUAUAAGGGCGCCGUUCGGGUGAGUUUGGCCCAAUAUGGGCGGCCCUUUAUUUGGGCCAAUUUGGGCCGGAUUUCAUAUGAGCCUCCAACUACAUAGGGCCUUGGUUUUCUGUCUUCUUCCUCAAUAAUUCCCAAAAGGCUUUUUAUUGUUUUUCUUUCAGUUUUUGGUGUAAUUAGAAGGCUACCUAAACCCACACCACACAUGCUUUUUGGUGUAGUUUUUUCAUUAAUCACCUUGAUACGACGCCUAAUGAUUAACAUUUGUAAAAGUUGAUAUGUUUAAAGCUUUCUUUACACUCAUCUAAACGAAGUUUAUUCAUUACCAAUUUAUCAUACUUUCAUGCGUCAAUGAGUUAAAUUGGAAAAUCCACACACUUGGUAGAAAUAGGAAGGCAUCUGCCUUUCGUGGAGAACUCUCUCCUCAGCUUUGAUAGACCUUUGACCUUUUCAUUUCAUGAAAUAUUGUUUAAAGCUUCUCUUCUGUACAUAUAUGGAAAAUAUCCAGUGACGCAAAACAAUUAUAAAGUACAUUUCAAUGCUGCUAAGAUCGAUCGAUCACAUGUUGCAUGUGAAAUUCAGGCUUUAUGUAAUUCAAGGAAUGUAAUAAACACUAAUAUUAUAGGGAUCAUCAAAACUAUGUCUCAACAGGAACUCGAGAAAUUUUACAGAGUCUCGCUUUAAGGUGAAAAACAAAGAUUGAUACUUCAACGACUAUACUCAAGAAAACUCUUCACUUUUGCCAGACCAUGGAUACCAAUGCCGGUGCUCAAACCCUCUAAUCAUAACUCACUCCAUCUGCAUUGAAAAAAGCCAUACUACUUAUAAACAUCAGUAAAAACAAACAACAAAGAUAAAGGGUACAAGAAAGAAAAGAAAAUGGAUUAAGACUUUCAUCAUCACCACCUUUUGACGUUUUGAACUAGGAGGAUUUGGUUCGCAAUCACUCCGCUGACGGGAUGUCCCAACAUUGGAGUUCUCAGCCUGCAAAAAACACAUACUUCUCUUCAUGUUCUUUAUCAAUUAAUUAAACUUUCAUUUCAGAGUAACAUCAAGAUUUACAACUUUAGGCGUAGCAGCCCAUGCUUUGUUUGGCCAUUACGAAGAAAGAGUGCUUUGACCCAAAAAAAGAAGAAGAAAGAGAGCACUGACUUAAUAAAACUAGAAAUCCAAAACCUGUUAAAACAUGAGGCGUGAAAUGCCAUGACAAUGACAACAGGUGUAGCAUGCAUACCCUGGUGGAAGAAUCUUGGGCCAUUCUGUGCUCAGAAGAAUUUGCCACUGCUGUAGGUACAAGACCUGGCUCUCCCCCUGAUGCUUGAGAUAUGAAUGGCAUGAUUUGAUGAAGCAAAUUAGACAAAAAUAGUCCUUCAUCGGUAACCCUCGGUUCGGCUUCUUGUGCACCCACAACACCACUCGAUGUCCUUGCCUGAUCUGAUACAGAACCUGUAGUCAAUCCCUCUGCACUGCCAUCUUCUACGUGAAUUUCACCACCAGGAAAGAGGUUCCUUAUAAACUGUAAAAUGCCGCUUGGGAUCUGUCUCUCAGAUUCUUGGUUGUUUUGGGUUCCUCCAGCUGAUAAAAUGUUGACACUGACACUCCGUGCAAUAGAUGGCUCCUGCCUUAAAUUGGGAGUUGAUCCUGCGGGAAACAGGCACUAAUGAAUUAUUCAACUUAUGAUAGCAACUUGACCGCCCUGGUUAACUACAUUAGAAGAGAUAAACAAACUCAAAUCCAGUGUUUGGAUGAGCUACCGCCUAAUUCAACUCUUGUGAGUAAGACCUCAGAUGAGCUACACAUUAUUAUUUGUUAAAAGCAACCUUUUCUAUAGCUACUUCACAAGUCACAUAUGAUAACAAAUUAAGACACGCAGUUUCUAAAACAAAAAAAAAAAAUAUCUAAGGAACUUUUGUUUCUUCUUUCAGCACAUAUUAGUAAAGCAAAUGAAUAAAAAUUAAAUUCAAUGACUCGAUGCACAUCAUGACUUUUGGUUGGACAAACAAUAAAAUGUAAUCUUACUUUUAGACGUAACAUGUGAAAGAAUAAACCCUACAAAUAUGAUUGUAUGGUCUAUGUGGCAACUUACCUUAGCUGUACUUCAUAUACUAGUUUAGCAUAUUAAUAUCAACUAUUCUUAUUAUAUUCUUUUUUUCUCUCUCUCUUUUGAUCUCCCUUUCCUUCCUUCUCUUCUUACAAGAAGAUUAUAAACUAGGGUCUUCCCAUCAUCCACCCAACCCCAAUGCCACCCAAACCAAGGACUCACCCUCUUCACUCCAAUGGCUUAAAACAAUUUCAGCCUUCCAUUCUUGUGAAAUUUAUGUACUAAAAGUAUGAUUCAACUACUAUGUUGCAUGGUAUAUUCACUGGCGGAGCUAGAAAACAAAUUCUCUUCCCCUGGAACCGCCAGAAUGUAAUAUUACCCUCUCUUGCAGGACCUCCAACGUUUUGCUGUUCUACUGCAGAUUCCGAAGAUUGCUGAUCAGCAUGGAGACCGGCAGGAGGCCGAUCUCCAGAAGCUAGAGUUCCUCGUUCACCACUCACCUGUCCAGAAGCUACAUGUUGAAGCCUUCCAAGUAAUGGAUAGUAUAACCCUAUCGAAUUACCAGAAGAAUCAGAUGGUAGGCGACUGAGAGGUGCAGGUACUGCUGCAACCAUGGUCCUAAGUGGCACUAUCCGUACAGUUGAAUCUCCAGCAAAAGCUGGACCAUCUGAGACCCUUGAAAUAGCUUGAUUAGUAGGAUUUUCACCACCAGAGCUUGCUGGGUUUCUUUGCCCUGAAGGCUGCUGAGUAUCCCCAUGUUCCUCCCUAGUGACAUUGGGUGUUGUUGCUGAUGAACCUUAUGGGUAAAAUGAAUAGAGCUUAAAAUCAACAUAUAUUUUACAUCAAACAAAAUUAAACAGAACAUGAAUGGAAAUAGCCAGGGAAUAAAUUAUAAAAGGUACCUCUUCGUAUUUGUAUAUCAAUACGCCUUGGAACAAAACCAGUACCAAGUCCAUUAACAAGACCAGAACCAGGCUGCACAGCUCCCAUGGGGAUGGCACCAAAGCUCAUUCCUGAUUGAAAAGGAAGCGGCUGGCCAAGUAUGAUUCAGCUUCAAUCAGUACAAAUAGAACUAUUUUCAAAAGAGAGGUAUGAAUUAAGUGUUUAGAAAAUUGCCUGAACCAUUAUCGGAUUAGGGCCAGUCGGGGAUAUGAAAACUGCAGGUCCAGCAUUAACCACAGCGUCAGACUGCAUGAGAGAUGAGUCAGAGUCUGAGCAAGUUUUAUAGGUCAGCAACAUCUAAAUGGACAAGAUGACAAAACAAGGAAAUUAGAAUUCCAGAACACUACCGGUGUUUGACCUAGUUGCAAUGUCAUGGUUGUACGACCAAGUUCAAGUAAAAAGGCGCCAAGGUUGUGAAACAGAGCUCCAGUUCUUGACGCACUAGAUUGGGCACUGAACCUUGCUGAUGGAUCAGUCACAUUCACUUGAUUCUCCAGUUGGCUUGCAAAUUGCUGCCAAGAUGUAACAUGAAAAAUCGCAAUGUCUUUUGUUUAACAUGAUAAAUCAAACAGCUGAAAGCUUUUAGCUAUUAUAGGAUCACAGUAACUACACUCUUCUGCUUUCAAACAAUAAAAUUAGUCACUUAUGAGAACUAAAGAAAAAUCAAACUAAUAGCACAAGUUGUCAAAAUUGGAACACCAAAUUAUAUACUUGAAAUAAUAUAGUGAAAAAUUACAAUAACACUUAAGAACGCACAAGUAGGGAUUCUCCAACUUGUUCAAGGAGUAGUAGUCGAGUAGAACGCAUGACUUCUGCCAACGAUGCAGGUGAGGGGAGCCCCUCUUGCCUUGCCCCUGUAUGUGAUGAGGCAUUGGAACUUUCUUCAGUCCUAAGAGUAGCAGCUGUUUGACCCCUUCCCCCAUCUCUGGCUGUUGGUAAAUGAGUGUUGAAAUUAUCUCAGCAAACCAUCAACAUUGGUGUGUAACAAACAUAUAUGACAUAUCAAUAAAAAAUCUUGUACGUAGAAACUCACCAAUGGCCUCAAAUUCACGCCUCAGAUGACUGAGAUAUUGGGAUAAAGUAGUCAAUGAAUCAGGAAUUACCUACAAAGACCACCGACAUAGCAGAAUAGUUUCAUUAUUGUUUUGUCAUUAAGUUAAAGAUCAAAAUAGGCAACAGAAUAAAAACAAAUGAAACGAAUUGAAAACAUUAAACUUGCCAGGGGUGGUAGAGUCCCCAAAGAAAAAUCUGUUGGAUGACCAAAAGUCCCAUUUGAUCUAUCAGAGGGGCCCCUUGGGCCAGCUUGCUCAGAUUGAAAUUGGGAAAAAUCAAACAUACCACUCAAACCUGGUGUCCUUUCUGGCCUCUGUGGCCCAUGUUCCUUCAGCAUAUCAACCAUCCAAAUACCAGAUUAAUGAUGUAAGCAUAAAAGUGCACAUUAAAUUUAAACAACAAAUGAUAUACAUAUGCAGGUACACACAAACACAGUAUCUAUCAAUUUUGUCAGAACGUCAUUAUGAUCUUUUUUUCUUGGCAGCCUCCAAGAAACUACCCUUUUCUUUUCCUCAAGCAAAGCCAUGGUCAAGUAUUUUCAUUACUGUGAAUACUUUGUACUAAUUUGGAAGUGUGUACGUGUAUGUGCUUUUGCAGAGAGAGAACAUUGCCUAGGAAAGUUAAAUAUAUAAACCCAUACUUCCAGUCAUACAAGUGAUAAGCUUCUGAAAUUUUGAAAUUUUAAUUUACCCUGACUUCAAUCCCUUCACUGCCACCUGAAAUAUUUGGUAAUCCUAUAGAGCCGAGAAUGGCAGAGAUGAUCUGUUCAGAAGCAGAGAUAAAGGAGGAAAUCAUUACCAUCGGACGUAAUUACACCAGUAGAAAUACAAAUUAUUCUGUACUCACCCGACUGAUUUCUGGUGGAAAACCAUCCCCUUGAACAGGCAUGCUGAAAGUUUCAAUAACCACACCAGGGGCAACUUGAUGCUGACCACGGCUUGUACUUGAAGCCGGAUCAGUUCCUACACACAGUUGAAAGCAUGCAAAUAAUGCACGUGAGAUUUAAUAGUUGAACCAAAGAUCUACAAGAGAAACAAGCUCUGCUACCAUGUUGGAUAACCAAUUUUUCCAAACAACCCAGACUACUGUGUCCAAAGCUUAAAACAUGUUAACGACACGCAACAUGUAAAAUUGAAGAGUACUCUGUAUUUAUUGAUUUCACAUCAACCUGGAUGAUUUGGUAAUCCCUCGGGUGAUGGUAGGAUAGGUUGCCUGACAACCAAAUGUAAGGUGUGACCAUCUUCAACAUCUAAACUGUGCUAAGAAAAUACUUUCAAAUGCUUAACAUGAAAAGUUGGUGAGUGAAACUUCAUUUAAAAGAAAAAUGGAACAUGAUGUUGACUAGAGGAACCAAUAAUAAACCCCGAUCUCACACAAUAUUCAUAGCUGCAUUUGUUCAUAUAAUGCCUAAUUUUUUUCGAACUUAAUCUAGAAAAAGAGCUGGCAAGUAUUAAACCUUUGCUAUUGAUAGAGGAAAUCUCUUAGCAAGAGUAUGUGACAUUUGUUCAAUGUAUUCUUUUUUACUUUUCGUAAAAAGGAGACCAAAGGAGGAGAGGGAGGUUAGAACUUUGGCUCUGGGCAUGAGGGUAAGGUCAUUACCACAGGAGUCAUAAGCCCCCACCCAUUUGUUCAAUGGAUUUUUCACAACAUUACCCGAAACAUAGCUAGUAUUAAAUCUUUAGUUAGCAUAUCAAAGUUGUCUUAAUCUAUCUUUCACAGUAAUGGUUGACAUUAUUAUUAUUUCAUAUUUUGCAUAGGAGAUUUUGAGUAACUUUAUCUAUGUUCACUUCUAACUGAAUUAUCUUCUGUUGCAUAUCUUGCUGCAGAGGCAAAUCUGAUUAUGAUUGAAAAUUAUACACAUACGAACACGACUACUAUUAACACUAUUGCAAGUUCCAGUUUAGAACGCAGAAGAACAGAAAAUCCUAAUUAACCUAGAGAGUGCCACAAGAUUUUCAAAACUCAAAAAUUCUUUCACGAGUCAAAAGACCAAAUAGGAUACGAUAGGCAGAGAGAAGCUGAUCAUCCUUUAGAACUUUUCCUCGGCAUAUUAGUCGUUGUUGCUCGGAUAGUACACCAGUGACAGAGGCAAUCUGCUCUUUCAAGGCGGGAACUGGCAUCUGCAGUUGAGAGAAGAGAAUUUGGUUCAUUUUAAAACGAGUAUGCAAAACUUCCACAAAAAACCUUUCUACCAGCAUGUUCUCACUGGCAAUAUUGCUUCACAAAUAAGUUUCAAUAAUUAUCUUUAAAACUAGCAUAUACACAAGUAAUUUCAAAUUAUCGCACAUAUUAACAGUUUUAACUUAAGGAAGCAAUCUCAAGCUGCUGGGCACACAUUAUACGGAUGCAACAGAAAUGCACAUGCAUUACAGCAGUGAAGAUUGUACAGGAGGAAUAUAACUGUUGCUCACCUGAGCAAAAGCAAGGCAACAGAAUUAUUAAGCAAUAAACUUACUAAAUAACUUUAUAUAAAUGGCCAACCAAAUAACUGAAAGCCAGAUCUUAGUGGGAGCUAUAAUAAAAAAGCCACAAGAGUACCAACCUGUUUAUCCACCCUGAGAGUAUAGGUUUGUGAAUCCAAUGUUUUUAUUUUUAUCUCAACAGUAGUUUCAGACCCUUCAAUUUGCUCGCACAUGGGAAUGUGUUCAGCACUAUUACUUCCCAUUCUUCUCAGACCACACUGAACCUACGAAGGAGCGAUAUUAUAAAUAAAAAAUAUUGUCUUCUUUUCCUUGAGCAUUCAAUCAGCUAAUUUAAUUCAUUGGCAGCAAUAAUAGACAAAUACGAAAAAACAAAAUGAGAAAGAAAAAAGAAAACAAUUAAUUUUAUAAGGCAUACCCAGCUUUACUCUAACAACUUGCUCACAAUUGUGGUAAACACACGGGAAGAAAUUCUUAGUUAAUUCCCAAACCAUAAAACCAAGAAUGUCCAAUGAAAAAUUGGCAUAUCCAGUCUAACAUAUUUGAAAUGUGUUUGAUUUUCCAAAACCCAAGUCAAUUAACCCUUUCUCUCUAUUCUGAGUUAACAGCAUUAAACAAAAUAUGAAGUCUGACGCGUGCAAGGCAAAACAUACAACUAACUGUUAUGACAUGCAUUGCAGUUAAAAUGCCCCAAAUGAAAGAAACCAUACGCAAAAAGAGAUUUUGAGCACAAAACCUACACAACUGAUGCACAAACAAACACCGUAUCCGAACUAUAAGGAAAGCAACAGCACUUAUAUCACAGUUUCCUUCUCUACUUUUUCAUUGACAGCAUCUAUGACCCGUUUGGACUUUGAUCCAUUACCACACUAGUCAGCAUACAUAUCAAACUAUGUUCUUUCUCAGCCACAAUGAGUUUUGGUCUUGAUGUGAACAACUCAAUUCACAACAUUAUUUUUUUCGUUUGGAAUUUGCUUUCAUCGCAUGCAAUCUCUCAAAACCUCAGUAAAGUGAACACCUUUAUUCAUGACUCGAAGAUAUGAAUGGAAAAGCAUUUUGUAAGAAAAUAACAGCCUAUAUACCAACAAUCUUAGGAUUUUCCGAAUCAAGAACAAACGGAAAGAAAAUAUCCGCGUACUUUCAAUAUCUAAAAACUCCAGAAGGGCAAAAUUCAUACACGGACAAACCAACCCAAUAAUCACCAAACUCAGAAGCACGAAAAAUUCGAUUGACCCAUCAAAAUAAAAACGAAAACCCCCAAUACACACGACAUGAUCAUACUUACCUAAGCCAAGAGAUCAACUAGAUGAAGCUUCCAGAAGAUGGAGAAGCUUAAUAAUAGCCCAAAAGCGGGACACAAAAGCCCUCGGAGAGAGAGAGGGGGGUUUAUAUGAAAAUGGUCUCCGCCACUGAAAUUGGCUGGGUCGCCCGCUCUGUCACUGUGUGGCAAACGAUGGAUGAGCACCUCGGAGGGGCAGGAGGGAAGUACAAUGCCUAAAUUGGGGAGUGGUGGUGGUCGGGUGGCAAUCGACCUGUAAAUAUUAGUAUUACCCCUGGAUUUUCACCGUUGGGAUUUGGGUUUUUUGACUGCUUGCUUCUUCGCAGUGAAUACUGAAGGGGAAAAUAAAAAUUAGAGCACGUGUGCUUUUUUAUAGUCUGACUCUGACUCUGAGCAGUUGAUGAACAUCAUCGGCCUUUCACUUUUUUUUUUAUUUUUUUCCAAAGAUGAUGUCGUGGUUUUUUUUUUUGGGGUCAAAACGUGAAAGCUGAGGUGGUUGGAUGACGACAGGAGUGAAAUGUCAAAUUGUUUGAGGAUGUUUUUGGCUAUCAACAACUGGGUUCAUUUUUGUACACUUUUUCUUUCUUCCCAAGCAAUGAAAAAACCUUAUUCCAAUCAAAUAGUUAAUUCGUUUGGUAUAUAUUUAAUUAUUUUAUCAUAUGGUAUAUUUUUCUUUAUUUUUUUGGUCAAAUAUUGUAUCUAUUUAAUUGAGCACCACAUUAAUCGAUGAGAAGAUUUUAACCUCUCGCAUUUCCCAAACGAUUUCAUCAAAUAGAAUAUGGGAUAUAUUUCAUAGUAAUUGAUUUUAAUUGCCAAUAAAGGAAUUACAUAUAAGGAAUAUGUAAAAUGUAUUAUAUAUUCAAAGAUAUUUUUCUUUAUUUGCUUAUUUUGUAGAUGUCAUAUAAUAUCUUUACUUGCUUGGAACAUAAGAAGUCGUGAAUCGGAGAAGUGAUUCAUAGUUACGAUAUUUUCAAGAAAGUAAAAAGGGCUUGAGAAAGAAAGUUGGAACUCACUAUUCAUACACAAACCAAACAUUGGAAGUUGUCUUCUAUUUUUGUUACCCCCAAAGUGAAACCCUUUGAAAAUCUGAAUUUAGCAUUUCUUUAUUAAUCUAAAACUUAAUUAUAUGUACAAUAUUCUAAUAGUCUGUGUGGGUCUAACCUAGAUUAUCAUUUGGUUUACACAAUCAUUUGCCAAUAAAAAAAGAUAAACUGGAUGGAAACGUAUUAUUGAAGUUGUGUUUUUAUUGACGUAUACUUUAGGUAGUAUGUUUUGGUUCCUCUUGGAUGGGCUUGAAGAAAUAAAGAGAGAAUUGUGUGAUGAGGCCCAUCUAGUGUAUGGUAGUGGGAAGCCCGUCGGUGGAACUCAACUGAUCCAUGGCAUACGAUACGAGAACUUGGAAAAUGAGCAGCCAGCAGCCAGCAGCAACAACAGCAACCCUUCUUUUCAGGCUUCACCACACCAGUUUGGGUCUCACUCACUCAGACCGUCCAUCUUCAUCAUCAUCAGCAUUUCUUCUGGCUUCAGGCUUCAUCAACAAAACCUAUAAACGGAAACCGUUGGAAAUGGAGGACCAAUGCCAGUCUGCCACUGACUGGUGGUAAUGGUAUGGCUUUUCUCUUUGCCAAUUUUAUUCAUUAAUAUGUGCAGUGCAGUGAACCAAACUCAAUAUUAUUCAUAUUGUCAGAAAACAACAAUCUAUCUUUACAAGCAUUCAAGCAUUCAAGCAUUUAUGCAUUUCAUGAUAACUGCUUCAUGGGUUUUAUUUUAUUUAUUAUUAUCAAAUCAUCCAAACCAAAUGAGCCCACACUACUAGGUUUGGUGGUGAUGAUGAUGUACCGUUACUCUCGGCUGUCCGGGCCACAGCAGAUUUGACCCAACAAGGAACAUGUGAGAGCCCACAUGUUAAAAACAUAGUGCCACUCACUGACCCCUCACACCAUCACCGUCCAUCCAAUCAAUGUUAUAUGUGAAACAUGGUGAGCUCACUCCAGAAUCCCUGGUGGGCCCAAUCCCUCACUCAACAAAGAACACAAAGGGAAGGGAAGCCUCCUCCUCCUCCUCCUCCUCCUCCUCCUCCUCCUCCUCACAUACAAACACGUACUGCAGCAGAUCAUCAACAACACACCUACCUACUCCGUGAACUCAACACUGCACUUCAAGUUCUAACCAAUUUAUUUCAUGAUCUAUUAAAAGUGUGGAUAAGAAACACUCACUGAAAUUUGGUUUAAGACUUCAAACCAUCUAUUUAUCUUUAUAAGUUAUGACAAAAAAUAUUAUUCCUUAUAAAAGUGGUAAUCAUCACUACAUCAUCCAAACCAUAGUUUAAAAGCAAGUUAUAACAAAAUCCUAAUAGAAUAUACUACUAUGUACACAAAAUCAUUCAUUCCUAGCCCUAAAAUUCUGCAGCAUUUCUGUAAUGCUGUCCAACUUCUCUGGCUAAUAUAAUAUUCCUCUUUUAUUUGUCUAACACUGACUGACUUGGAUCACUUUCUGUGUGUGUUUUCUUUAUUUUUGUCUUUUUGGGUUUUCCCUACACUCAGACGGACUCAGUUGUGUAUCGGAGGUUUUCUCCUUGCUGGAGAAUAGUCCAUUUCAGUCAUGUCUGUGAGGUCAGGAUAGUGUUGGACUUGGUGGGCUACUGCAGCCUCCUGCUCCUGGUGCUUUGAAAUAACCGAUGAUGACUUAGCUUUCGCAUCACCAUCUUCCCCACCAGGCUGUGUAUUAUUAUUAACCUUUUCACCUUUUGGGUCCAGGUCACCUCUGUUCCCUCCAUCAUCCUUGUCAUUCUGUACAUGGAUCACACAGAAUCAGAGACACCUAACCUAACCCCUAUCAAUUGUUACUUAAACUUAAAUACGAGAUUAUUAUAUUGUUAUUUUGACUAAUUAAACCAACCUUUGAAGGGGUGUUAGUGGUUGUGGUAGCAGCACUAGAGGCUGUCUUAGAGACUAGUUUUCUAGUCUUUCCUGCAACAAUACAAAUCAAAACCACUUAAUUAAGGUAAUGUAAUAUGUAUGAGUCUUUGAUUUACUGCAUGAACUUAAGUUAAUCAGAUUAGUUUCGGGAAGGGACAAAAAUUGUUGUGUAGAUUGGAAACCCAAGAGUUUGAAGAACAUUGAUCCUAUUCUUCUAGCUAUAUAUCUCUAACUAAGCUCUUCUAGUAGCCAAAAAAUGGAUAAAAUUAAGAAGGAUGGAAUGAUAUAAUAAAAUGUAGCUAGGAAGGUAAUUAACUAAACUAAUGGUGCUUGGGUUUGUGGGUCCUAGGUCCAUAAUAAUCUUCAUGAAUACUUGGUAACCAGUGGUGUGAUGACUUCUUGGAUUCUCUAGAAACUGUUUUCUUCAAGGUACCUGAUGAUGAACACUCUCCACCAUCUUUGCAGAGACUGUUGAACUCUCCUGGACCAGCACUUCUUUUCAUUGAAGCAGUUUCCUGUUCCUGCAUUUAACAAUCAAAUUACGGAAAGUAAUGUAAGAAAAAUAUUUUGCACAGAGAAGAAGAAUGAGAAACAUGUAUACAUAUAUUGUUCUUCCACGUCUGAAAUUUUAAUUAUCUUGAAUGGUGAGAAAAUUUUACAAAGAACAUGAAAGAAGAGCUCACUUGUAAAUUAUUAUUAUUUUUCUGUUGUGCAACAGAGAUGAAUCCUUUCUCCAAUCGAAUCCCUUCAAAAGAAAACCAAAAUGAGCUAAUUUGAAACCAAUAUUUCAUAGACAUAAAUAGUUUUCUAACAACUAGGUUUUGCAAAAAUAUAUACCUUGAGCCCCAGAAAGGAGGAGGGACAAAAGAAGAAGAGAGACUGCUAGAGAUGGAGUUGUCAUUUGGAGUAAAUCUUAUGAAACAGAAAUAUGGCAGAAGAAAUACUGAGUGAGAGAUGGGCAAGAAGAUUAAAUGUCAGGAACAACAAAGUGUUGUGUUCUGUUUGCUGCACUGCAGGUUUCUCUUUUUCUUUCUCUCUGUUUAAAAGCUUGAACAUGCAGAGCAAAAUCUGAAUGGUAGAUGGUUUGGGUUUGGGAGAUCCCUGCUUAAAUACAUAUAUAAUCUUUGGGUUGGGCCCACCCACACUAAUUUCUUCAACAUGUAAACUUUAUAUGAGAUGGAUGAUUAUGCUUUCAAUUCUCUUUUUAAAUUUCAUUUCGUUUAAAGUGCAAGUCCUUGUCCAAGGAAAUAAAAGACAUGUUUUAUAAUCCAUUGGAUUACGGUUUGUUUGUGUUAAUCAAAUUCCAGUUCAAAAGGCAAUUCAUUAUGGGGACCAGAUUUGUCUUUUAUGAAAAGGCACAGUUGCUUUGCUCACUCUCUGCCUUCCCUGCAAAAUGUCCCAUCUUUUUGGGGUAAAAUGAGGAUUUCCUGAAUCCUCUCUCAAAUCUUGUUUAAUCUGUUAAUUAAUUUACCCAGUUUUUAGGUUUAAUGGUCUUUGAAUUUUGAUCCGAUUCACAUUCUGGUCUUUCAAUUUUCAAAAUCGUUCCCGUGGUCUUUCAACUUUAGUUUCGUUAUGAGAAAUAGUCAUGUCGUCAAUUUUGUUAUUUUUUUCUAUUAAAUUUGAGCAUGUGCACAUUGUAUAUUGUUGAGGGUCAAAAUUAGAAAUUGCUUCACUUUUGAGGUAAAUUAAAAAUAUUCAGAAGAUUUUUUAGUUUUUAUUUUAAUUUUUUGAGUGAAAAGAAUAUUCAUAUGGUGAAAAUUAAAAAUAAUACAAAAAGAUUAUUUUCUCCCUUCAUUUAAUAGAAAAGAUAAGAAAAUUAAUGGCAUAAUCAUUUAUCCUAACGAAACUAAAAUUGAAAGAUCACGAGAACGAUUUUAAAAAUUAAAAAAUCAAAAUACGAAUCAAGUGGAAAUUAAGAUGACUAUUAAACCUAAGAACCCUUAAUUUACCAUGCCUUUUCUUUUUAAUGCCCUAUCUUCUCAGAAGCACGAUGUAUCAAUCAGACUUGCACACAUCCAUAUAAUUUGCUUUCCGUGUUGUACCAUGCAACAAAAAACAAACCCUUUGGUGGGAUUAGACAAGCUGAUUUGCCAAGUGGUACCAACCCAACCAAGCAUGUAAUUUUGCCGUAAUUUGGUUGGUCAAGGAAUAGAAUCAUUUAAAAAAGGAAUAGAAUCAUAUGGCUAUAAGAGCAUAGGUAUUCCGUUUAGGGUGAUUGAUCAGAUCAGAUAUGACGCAUGCACUUUACAACUUUUGCGUUUAUAUGGUAUGCCUGAUUGGAGCGAGGGACGGGACGUGCAUACUGCAUUCCACACUCACUCAUGACAACUCAAGGCCUUUCCUUUCACUUGUAUUUACCAAAGAUGCUUGCAAGGCAUGCCUUUUUUUAAUUUAUAAAAAUGCAAAUUACUUGCUACUGUUUAGUUCAUGGGUUCCUGUACAGUUAUAUGUUAAUCAUGAAUCAGACAGUGCCACGACUUGAGCUCUCAAAACGCAGUGGGCAGCAGCCCACGUGUCACAGGAAGCAACCGGAGUAAAUGUGACGGCGACAGGCAAAGUUGAAAGUCACCCAUUUCGCACCGCCUCCUCCAGUCCAGACGUGGCAGUAUAUGUCUCUAGGUACUGGCUGCCGGCUCAAGGGAUGACCACUCCACGUGGACGUCGACAUCUAGCAGGGUCCACGUCCACCUGAAUAUGACGUGGCAUAAAAUAUGGCCACGUGGGCACCGCCGUUUCACGCGGCAUGUUUGUGCUUUGACCAUAAAAAACAAACAUCCCGGACGACGUUUGUCGAGACUGCCAUGCCAUGACAUUUCGUAAUGGUCCCUUCUUCUCUUGUUUUCUCUUUUUUCACAGCGGUUGUUGAUAGUGUUGUGGUUGCAGCUUCUUAGGUUUUUUUUUAAAAUUUUAAUGACAUUGAAUUUCAGAUUUUGAAGCGAUUAAUUAUUUUUUAUCGAAAAGGAGGAAAAACAAAUAUUACUUAGAUCACUUAAUAAUUCAUGAAAAAUAAUGGAUUAGCCAAUCUGGAUCACACUAAUUCUGGUGUCACUUGAGUGACAGUGGGCAUUGUUUGUCGAUCGUAGAAAAAUGCUUGAAUUGUGGGUUGCUGUCAAAUGAAAUGACCUAAUCAAUCAGCUAGAAUUAUAAAAACAUUAAUUAACUAUUAGCGUCCUCUAAAGUGCAACUUCUGUUGUCAUUUAUUAUUUAAUUGUUUUGCAGAGGCGUUGAGAAUUUCAAUUAUUAUUAUUCAAUAAUCGUCCUAAAGAAUGAAUGAAAUCUUCUUGGUGUUUGGAGAAUUGAUUUAAAUUAAUGAACGCAAACGCAGUCUUACUAAAAAGAAAGAUACAUACAGCAGAUGAGAAGUACGGAUGUCCAUCAACAGUCAUAAUCAUCUUACAAAUUUGUUCAACCAUUAAAGAGAAGCGUCGCGUACGUAAAACAUAUAUAAUUCAGAUAUAUUUAAAUCAAUUUUGGGAUAAUUAAUUAACAUAAACACACAAAUAUUAAUGUAUAUUUGGAGUCUGGACAAAUCCAAGUUACUCGAAAUGUGUGGAAGAUUGACAAAUAUAUAUAGAUAUAUUGAGCCGACAGAGGGACAUCACAUGUUUUUGGGAUUCAGUUAAUCAUGUUUGAAAUUGGACCACUGUCCACUGGUUUCAAGUUCAAGGCUAGCAUGUAGUUGAUCUAGAGAGACAUGUUUUGUGCUUGCAUGUCUGCAAUGUUUUAUUCAAGAUAAAUCCAAUUCGAAUGGGAGCUUUCCCUUCCCUUUGAAAUUUCUUACUAACUACACUAGCUAAAAAUGUGAUAGUUAUCUCAUCACCAAUCCACCAGAAAUCUGCGAGAUGAGAUAAGUAAUUGGUUGGGUGAUAUAAUAAAUAUUGGACCCAAUAGACAGGUCGCAGGUUCAUGAUCAUGACAUGAAAAUUAAUGGGUUGGGGAUGCCAAUGCAGUGGCAAAAGGAACAUGAACAUCGCAUGCAUGCAUAAUAAAUACCAUAUGCUAAACCAGUCAGUUUUUGUAUACAAUCCAUUCAAUAAUAAUAAUAAUGCUAUCCAUUUCAUCAUAUUAAUUUCUAGUCAUUCUUCCUCUAGAGUAACUAAAUGAAGACGAGAAAGAAUAAUGUAUACGGCAAGGCAAUAUGUCAUGUUUUGAGUAAUAUUACAUUCUCGAUAACAGAUGAAGUGGACAUCCUCAGCAAUGGCAUCCCUUGAUGUAUAUAUAUAUAUAUGUAUGUAUAUGUCCGGUAGUCUGGAUCUGAAUCUGAACAUCUGGCUGCAUGAAACAUUUAAUCUUGUCAACUUACGUACGUACAGUGGGAAAUGGGAAGUAGGGAACCCCUUCCUUUACACACAACACAGAGAAAGAGAAUGCAAAGAAACAAAAUUAUAGUCAGCAGGAGGGCCGGGUUUGAAAUUUUUGUAACCUUUGUCCUCCCAAUAGCGAAACAGCAUAUAUAUAUCAAUAUCAGUAUCUAUCUAAUAUCUAAGUCUUUGUAUUAUCGACACAGAAAAUAUAUAUGUUGGUGGUUUUUGUGUGGUGUGGUCUCUCUCUCUCUCUCUCUCUCUAUAUAUAUAUAUAUAUAUAUAUCCCUUUCCUUUUUCCAUACCUAGUGGCUAGUGGUGUGUACUGUGUACUAGCAAUUAACAUGUGCUUUCAGCCACAUUGGCACAUGGGCUGUGAACCCCCCCCUCUUCCCCCUCUCCCUAAUUAUCAGGCAGCCAUCCUCCGCCUCAAUUAUACAUUCUAAAUAUAAACAAAAUUAUUAAUUAAGGAGAGAAGAUAGUUUAAUAGGUACAAGAAAAUGUUCAAUGCACCCAUAUUUCCUCAACCAUGCAUGAAAGCCAUGGAGCUCAACAUAUUGGUUUAGGGUUUAGGCGGGCAUUAGAGUCACCACUCAUCACUCGUGACAAGGAGCAUGGUCAAACUUUUGAGGGACAUCUGGGCCAUCUUGGAGAGAGACUUCUUACGAGCAAACAAACCACCUAUACUUUUCUUUUUCGUCUUUUUAUUACCAAGGCAUGAGAAAUGUGAAUUUGCAACAUUUUCCACACACGAAUUGCCAUUCAACGGAUGAAUUCAUCUACUCCUUGUCUUGUCAUGAGAUAAGAGAGUACUUUCUAGAGAGAUAACAUGUGUACUCCUUGACAUGUCAAGAAAAGUAAUGAAACUCCUACUUACCACAUAAAAUAUGAUAACUUUUUUUUUUUUGGGGGGUUUACCAUCGUUAAAUAGAGAGAGGAUUGUCCACUUAGAUUUUGGGUAUAUUCACAUCUAAAAUUACACUGUUUUGGGUUUAAGAAAGUUAUAGGUUUAGUAUAAGAGUUUAUUUUGAAAGGAUAAUGAAAGGGAAGUCGGAGACUAUGUAAUUUUAUAUGUACAACAUGAUACAAUCAUAAAAAACACAAAAUGUAAAUAUGAGUUAGGCCAAUUGAUUAGGGCAAUGAGUCCAACCUUUGCGCCCAAGUUCGAAUCUCAAUUAUAUCAAUAUAACACAUACACACACAAAAGCUGAAUUUUUGGGCCUGCUUCCUAGGCUCCUAAUCAUGUCCAAGCCUAUUUUUAUUAGGCCUUCAUUUUUUGCCUAAUCCUGUCGACUCCCUCUUUUAUUGGGCCUACACCUUUUCUGCUCCAAGCCCAAGCCCGAGUUUAUUUCUCAGUGGAAAAGCGUGCGUGCGCUUCCACUCAAAUUCAUUUGUCAACGACCUUACAGUUGGUGGUUGGCUAUUUUACCGUUACAAAUCCCGCCCACCUUAACCGCUAAGCCACCCCCCUCAAAAUUCCCAAUGCAAAGAGCAAAACCUAUUUCCCUCCUCUCUAAUCUUGAUUCACAGAUUAACGUCUCUGCACUCUGCCUCUCGUUUUCAACACUAAUCUUUAGUCUUUAAUAAUAAUAUAUAUUAGGCAUUCUGUAGCUUUGAUUUUUCUUCUUCUUUUCUUUUUAGUUACGGUAGCUCCUCUUCAUUGUAAUGAGGCGUGCAACUUGUUCCAAUAAUCCUCCUCCUCAACAAAUCCCAUCAACGUAAGUCAUUGAGGAGAACAAAAAUAAGUUUUCCAGGCCAACUAGUUCAUGAACUUGUAUGUAUAUGUGAAUUCAACAUGUAAUUUCUUGUUCUGUACGCAGAAGAAGAUGUCAGUGUACCCCUCAUGGACAAAAAUGUGGCUGCAGUGAAAGGAUCAAUCAGCUUUCAGAUGAAUUAAGUCCAGGCUCUCAGCUGAAGCCAGAUGUUGGGUUAGGUGCCAAUUUUGAAUCCGAGAGGGAGAAUGGACAUUUUCUAUCUCUUCUUGUGAGUAAAACUUCAUAAUAGUUCCUCUGCAUUUUACAUGUUUUCUUGUUUCAAAUUUUCAUACAUGUAUGGUUGCAUCUUCUCCAGACUUCUUCAUCCUCGUUCCGACGACCACAUGAAGCUUCAAAACCCACGAGCCAUGUUCAAAACAAGGAACACUCUAAUUUGCCUUAUCAGUCGGACCACUCAUCAUCACCAGGGCUAAUUGUUCGAAGGAGUUUGCAUGAUCCGCUUUCAGGAGCUACCAUAAGGAGCAUAACAAGUUGCAUUGCUAACACUUCAAACCUCAACUUACCUCAUACCAUAAGCCAAAUUGGAAGAGCUAAUUUUCCAGGUUCACAGAAUGAUGAGCUUAAUUCUGGAACUUACACCACAUUAAUUCUUGGAUCUACUCCUCUUCGCCAUAUUUCUUUUUUCCAAAGUCUUUUUGGGCUGCCUAACAACCUUUUGCGGUCUUUGUGUCCUUCCAUUUGGCCUCCCCACGUAAGUGCAGAUUCUACAUUUCGAUUUGGUCAAGCUUCUGCUUUUUCUUCUGAUGAUAAUGGGGUCCAAAAUGUUACCCAAAUUGAUCUAUGGAGGCAACUACUGAUGGAAUCGACUCUAUAUAUGCACACGCCGGCUGAUAGCUUGUUGGAAGGUUCGACUUCAUUUUUUGUUGUAACAGCUAACCGUGGAGUGAACUUCAGGCUUGUCACAGAGGUUUGUCUAUUAUUUCAUUCUAUCUUAGGAAAUCUCUUUUCAAUGACUACAAAUGUGAAGGUGCAGCAUGGUAAGCCCUGCUUCCUGUACAGUGUCCACCUGCUGAUUCUCAGCCUAACAAUAGACAUAUAUGUAUAACUGUAUUGAACCAAGAACUAAAUGAUUGUAUGAUCAUUACAUCAAUCUGUUAUAGCAUUAUAGCAUAGCUUGUGUAAUCAUUUGAUUGCAUUGUUUUCGUCUUUAAUUCUAACGAGCAGAAUGCUGGAGUUAUUUACCAACGGCCUCUGCACGUUUCAAUUGAAAUGCGCAAUCGUUCUAGAGCUAUGUGGCUUGAUGUGGAUAGCAUGUCAUAUGAGGUAUUCUCACAUCAAAACUUCCAUUUGUCACUGAAUUUUUCAUCAAUAAUACUUUUGUAUCUCUUUUGCCUUACUUACUCCGCAUUCUACAGGAGUUGUUGGCUUUAGAAGAUCAUAUAGGGAAUGUCAGCACAGGAUUAUCUGAGGAAGCAGCUGUUGCAUCUCUCACGCGCAGCAAUUACUUUUUGUUUGCGGAAGAAAAUGCUCAGAAAGACUUUUGCAGCAUCUGCCAGGUAUUUUGCUUAUACUUUAUAUUAAUUUGACUUUCUAUCAAGUUUCUGUGACUAAGCGAUAAAUGCCUAUCAAAGUGAAUGGCAUUACAAUGUUGGUCUUCAUGACAGGAGGAUUUCGUAGAGGAGGAUGAGCUAGGAACAUUGGAUUGUGGGCAUGGCUUCCACAUUGCUUGCAUUAAACAAUGGCUGGGAUAUAAAAAUGUAUGUCCUAUAUGCAAAUCUCCUGGUUUGUGUACUACACGCCCCUCGUCCUCACUUAUUUAAAGUCUGUAAAGUAUGUCUUAUGAAGCUGAAUUUUUCUGAAAAGUACAUGGUGAGGAUUGGGGACUACUCUAUAUAUGUUCUGUUUCUCCAUGUUCACCAGCCUAGUUUAGUUUAGCUUCAUUUUCUUUUUCUGUAAAUGUACAGAUUAUGUAUCAAAAACAAUGAGGAUAUCUUAAUGUAUAUACUCUAAAUUUCUCACUCAGGUGCGGAUUUGAACGUCAUGUAUGAUGUAUGUUUAUUUAUGCAUGAUAAUAUGGAGAACAAGAAUCAAGAUGAACAGAAACAUAAUAUUUUAUAAUGACUAUUCUGAGUACCCAGUAGUUCAUGGCAAUAUGUAUCUGCUGAACAUCUAUGAACCACCUUUUUUCAGACAAUUACUUUGUGAAUAGAAUUUGAUGAAAACUGUAUCAAAAGUUGAAGUUAGAAAGAACCAUUGUGCUACUGAAGAAAGGAUCCUCUCGUGCUCUAGUAAAUCAUUGGUUUUAGUAGCAGCUUCUCUGUGACAUCGAUUCACUGUCACCAUCAAAGAAUAAGGGUGCAACUCCUAGUGACAGUAAAUUAGGCUCACCAUCAACGCCGGGGCGGGGUAUUUAUUUGUCAAUCAUGUAUGACAUUAGGAAACUCUAAGUUGGGAUUUGUUUAUGAUCUUUUCAGUGGAUGUUUAUCGAUCAAGUCAUAGAGCUCAUCUCCAAUUCCAAACCCAAGCAUCCUGGCCAUGUCACUGGUCUUCAAUCUAGGCUUUGGAAUGUCAUGUUGCUUCAACCAUGAGUACACAAUAAAAACCUUCUGCAUAACGAAUAGUUCCAGUGCCUCAGGAUUGAAGACCACCCCCAUCCUCAUGUUCAUCUGCAAAGAUAAGAUUUCAAAGGUCAUUUCAUUAAACAAUGACAAGCCCCUCCUCACUCUCAAACUCUGAAACAAUGGCAUUGUUAUAAAAUACAAUACCUGGUGUGGAACCAACAUGGCAGCAUAACGAGCCAGUUCUCCGGCUCGCCAAUCCAAGAGGACAGGCAACCAGGGAUAGGAGGCAUCAAGUCUCAAAAACCAGAGUCUUAUAUCAGGGAAUUCUGAUAGUUCUCUAAGAUCACGUGGAUCUUCUCUUGUAUAGUUAAUGGUAAAGCCAAUUGUACGUUCAAGAAACUCUUUUGGCUUGGCUAGUUACAAAAAUUGCAGUAAUACUUCAUCAGGGUUUUGCAUAAAAAGUCAUCAUGAACUUCGACUUGUAAAUCUGAUGCUCAAUUGAUAGCUUUACCUGAUGAAGGAUUGGUAAUCCCAGUUGCAGAAUGAAAUGGGGAUAAGUCAAGACCCCGAAUCACAUCAUUAUCAAGAACUAUUUCAAAUCGACCUUCACUUGGUGGCAUUGGAGGUUCAACUUUACUAGUGUCUGUCAACCACAAUAAUUCGUCAGUUAGAUUUGACCAAGUUUUCAUAUCCAAUAUAUUGGUUGUAUAAAAAAGUUUUGGCCUUUUAUCCUAUUAAAGGAACAAGCUUUCUGAAGUUGUCCAAAAGAUAAAGGGAUAUAAACAAAGUGAGCAGAGAACCCAAUUAAUGAAUUAAGAAAGGUUUUACCUUCUUCCUCGUCAUACAAAGAGAUGUCAAAAUUCCCAGAUGGGUUGAAGGCAACUGAGACUGCCACUUGUCCUUGCCGCCUAUUUAAGUUUGAAAUGGCCAAAGAGGCCAUGGAAUCUGAGAUGGGUGGUCUAAGGGGAGUCCAUGGAGCAGGAGAGGAUAUGGCCUGUCUGGAAGAACAAAUGGGAAGCAGGGUUUGGAAGAUUGCAGCCAUUGCUGUGUAAGCCUGCCAGCCAGCCUCUCAGACAGUUAAUACAGUUGUUUUUCUUUCUUGCAUUUUCUUGUGGCCUUUGUGUUUUGAAUGCUCAUAUUAUCCCUUUAUGGCUUUUUAUAAUAUGUGCCUCAUCCUCAGCAUCAAAUUUCAAAUUUGGGCUGGGAUAAUCUGCUGCUGAUUGUGUUUUGGAGCCCAUGAAUGAGGAAGGCCAAUCUGCAAUUAGAGGCCCCAUUGGGCAGUGCCUGUUGCCUGUCUAUUUCAAUCAAUGUUUGCCUUUGGCCACAUAACCUAUGCUCGUGUUCCAACCAGAGCCUGCCAGCACAACAUAUUAUCAGUAAGAAUCAUCAACCACCACAUGCCAAUCCAUCCAUAAACCAGAAUCAUAUGAACGCAAGCAAGAACUCAUAAUUUGAUAUUGUUUUUCAGUUUCAUGUUGUCAACAGAAGAUAUAAUUAAGAACAGAAAAUUGGUUCAAUUUGGUGUUAUGAAAUAUGAACAAAAGUUUUAAAGGAUUUAAUUAUGACGACCCCAAAAGCCUCAUCUGUCUGUCUCUGUGUCGUUGAGUCUAUUUAGUUUGCUUAUGUGCUGCCACAUGGGUUGGGUUUCGUUUGAAGUAAUUCCACAAUUAAUUGAUGAUUUCUAGGAAAGAAAGAAGGAAAGACGUGUGGCGAUAAUGCACCUCACACUCAGUUUGCAUAUCAUUUACACAAAAACCCACAAAUUUGAACGAAUUAUCUUUUUAUUGUUGACACCAAAUUUAUUUCUAUAUGAGAAGACGUUUCGCCCAACUUUUACUUCUAAAUUACUCCUACCUAAUGAUCAUAUUUUUUGAACAUAUAUUUUUUUUUCAAAAAAUAAAGAAAAAUAUAUCCAUAGCUCUUGGAAAUUACUAAUUGAAGUUCAAAGUGACAUCCAUAAAUAUUUUUUUUUUGGUCUGGGCAUCCAUAAAGUUUAGAGGCUUGUUAUCUCAUAAACAACACAUGUGAGAUAAUUGAUGCAACAUGCCAUCCCAUGUACAUUUGGUCGAUGACAAAAAAGAAAGGCAUGGUCCCAAUUCAGCAUUGGUCUAAGCCUUUCAUUUCGUGACCACAAUUCAUUCAUCUUUUAUGUAACAUAAUUGUGAAAUGGUCCAUAAUUCAUCAUUUUGUUUCUUUCUUUUGGACGAAUUCUUUGUUCGUAGUUCUACCACAAAUCAAAUUAAAGCAUCCUUUUACAAUCACGUGUUUUGUUUUUCUUUUAUUUGAAAUUUUUUUGAUCUCAUCUUGAUGAUUAUGGAUCGUUUGGAAGGAUUCCAAUAUGUUUGAUGAAUAAAAUAAAAUUGAAGUUAUUUAUUUAUACCAAAAUGAAGAAAAUAAAAAUUCAUAUGCUUAACACAGUCAAGUUUAAUGGCAACUAUACCCCUCUGGCAACUAACCUAAUGCAACAAAAUGAGAUGCUUUCUUCUUGUUUCUACGAAUUAGAAGAGUAAAUUCCAGUAAAAAAACCAAGAGACUUGUCAUGUCAUGCUCCUUUAUAAUAUUUUCAGUAAUUUUUUAAUUACGUACACCACAAUAUGAAUGAACAGUAAUAAUAUCUCAUUCAUUUCCCCAUGCGGCUUUACUCUUUUGCUUCUUUUCUAAGCAAAAUAUCAAAACAAUUGACCAAAAAAGAAGAAGCAAAAUAUUUCGAGCAAGCCAUUGCCCACCUACCUACUUUAGCAGUACUAUUAACUUGAUAUUUUUAGCUACAAUCAAUCAUAUAUUUUUCCAUAAUUUCUACAACUAUACCAAGGAAUGUUUAAAAUCCAAUUAAUGCAUCAGAUGUCUUUAUUCCCACCAAGAAAAGCAAACCAAAAUUUGAAAAAAAAACCAACAACCUUCUUCUACACAAAAGAAAAGCAUCGAAAGGUUGCUUGGCGAAAAUAAAUUAAAAUCGCAAAAGAGAAACGGAAAAUAUAAAAAGGGUAUUUUCGUCACGAAAAAAAUAUCGACAGAGAAUAUAGGGCCAGUGAGUGCCAGUCGCUCUCCAAACCGUAAUAAUCGAAAACCAAAGAUCUCAGCUGAUAUAUAUUAUAUAGUAAAUUACAAUCUCUCUCUUACUCACUCUGUCUCUGUCUCUCUCUGUCUCUCACACACACUCUGAAUUAACCAAACGGACGCAUUUAACAAUUAUACGCGGCUUUUCUCUGGUUCUGGUUUGGGAUAGGUUUCUAGCCUUGUGGAUAUUUUUCUUAGUCUGCAACCCAGAAACAAAAACCGCAACCCAAAAUGUUAUGUUUUAGAUCAAACCCACCAAAAAAAUUCCUUCUUUUUCUUUCCCUUGCCCUCUUCAUUGCUUUAACUUCAGGAAGCUCUCACAUUUCGCACACUUUUCGAACAACAGGUACUGUAUACUUUUUUUUUGCUUUUAUUUGCCUAGAAAAUGGUCAUUUUGUGUUAUUCAAGAAAAUGGGUUAUUGUUGAUGUUUUGUUUUGUUUUGUUUUGUUUUUUUUCUUCUGGUUGGUGCAGGUGUAAGGGUAGGUGGUGAGAGUGAGUAUGAGUAUGGUGGAGCGGUGAAAUGGGACACAAGGAGGUCUCUUGCUGAAGGAACUGUCCAAAACUCGUCUUUGAUAUUGGCUGAGAAGAGAACAUACAGGAAGGACCCUCUUGAUGGGUUCAAGAAAUACACUGGUGGUUGGAAUAUCAGCAAUGACCAUUACUGGGCUGUGAGUUCUCUCAACCCUUGAUUAAUUUUCAUAUCCUGGCUGUUUUCUUUGUGCUUUUUAUGAUUUGGGUUUCUCUGAGUUUAUGAAUAUAAUCAUGUUGUUUGGGCUGUCUUGCUACUUGGAUGGACUGUUAAAUGGUGCUUAAGAGUUAAGACCACAAUUGGAAUAUAAAAAUCAUUUGAAAUACCACAAAGUAAAAGCAGCACCCAGAAAGAAAAAAUUGGACUUGCUAAACACAUGCCAUUCUAUAUCAGAUGGGAUAUAGAUUUCCGGAGCUGAAUAGUCCACUGCUGCACCCAAACUCAUCUUUUUCCCGUUAAGCACCAAACCCCCCUUUGCACCCAUAUAUGAAUUCUAGCAUAUUUUCCUCCAAAUAAAUUGACCUUUCAGUACGAUAAAAAAGCGAAGAAAUUAUAUAUGCUACAAACCAAUCGUGCAGAAGGAAGGCUCUGUUUUUUGUUUUGUAAUUUUUAUAUUAAAUUGUUUGCCAUGGCAGGCACUUUGAGUGCAGUGCCGUCAUGGAUGGGCAGCCUCCUCUGUUUUUUCUGGACAACUUGAAACCACUAGUAAAACUUUUAGGGGGCAAGAUGGUUCAUUUUGAAAAUUUGCUGCUUUCCUUACUGACAUUGUGGUUGUUUAAAACUAAUUUUUGUCUCUAAUUGUCUUUCCCUGGAUUUUGAAGCAUUUCAAGAAAGAACAGUUCUUUCUACUUAUAAAUGCAGGCCUUGAACUCUGCCAAGAAUGUUAUUCAUAAAUUAAUAAUUUAUUUUGUAUUUUGCUGAUGUCAUGUGUUUUCUUUGUUUCUCAAAUCCUGUUUUUAUCUUUUUGAAAUUGUUUUUAGACCCUUUUUGUUGUUGAGAUUGUCUGGAGAUUGGAAUGUUUGUUUAAUGUCUCUCAACAAAUAUACAUUUACAUUGAUUAUUGAUGUAUGAUGUAGUCUGUUGGAUUCACUGCGGCUCCCUUCUUUGUCAUUGCUGGUGUCUGGUUCGUGCUUUUUGGGCUAAGCUUAUCCUUUAUCUGUCUCUGUUACUGCUGUUGUCCAAGAGAGCCUUAUGGUUAUUCUAGAACAGCCUAUGCCCUCUCUCUCAUCUUCCUUAUUUUAUUCACCCUUGCGGCAAUGUAAGUGCCCCUCUCUCUCUCUCUCUCUCUCUCUCUCUCUCUCUCUCUCUCUCUCUCUCUCUCUCUCUCUCAUACACACAUUUGAUUCGAAUGGACAAUUACCGCCUUCAAUUUUUGUGAGCUGAUGAUAUCCUUUAAUGUGUGUCUGGUCCAUUCUAGCGUUGGAUGCAUUGUUCUGUACACUGGCCAGGGAAAGUUCCACAGCAGUACAACAAACACGCUGAAAUAUGUUGUGAGUCAGGCAGAUACAACUGUUGAAAACCUCAGGAAUUUGUCAGGUUAUCUUGGUGCAGCUAAAAGGAUUGGAGUUGAUGCUGUAUUUCUGCCAGCAGAUGUUCAAAGUAACAUUGACAAUGUUUUAACAAAGAUCAACUCUGCUUCCAAUACACUUUCUGAUAAAACUGAAAAGAAUUCAAAGCGUAUACAAGAUGGAUUGGAUAGCAUGUAAGUAGAUUUUCUAGAAGAUCUGGGGAAGUUCUGCUUACAAUACGGUGUAUAACAUUUAUCUCUUUCUAUGUUUUGCAGGAGACUGGCUCUCAUUAUUGUUGCUGCUGUUAUGCUCUUUUUGGCCUUUCUUGGAUUUUGUAAGUCUUCUAUUUUCUUUUGAUUAGAGGCAGGGAUUUUCAGGAUUUGACUAUUAACAUUAUAUCUUUUUCUUUGACUACUUGUUGCAGUAUUUUCCAUUCUCGGGAUGCAAGUCCUUGUGUACUUGUAAGUGAAAUAUAGCUUGAACUGUCUCCUUUUUACUUUUUAAGAGAGAUCUCAAAUAUUUGAAGCAGUUGUGUCUUAGUGCUCAAAUAUAUAUAUUCACAAACACUUGCAUAUUUGGUGCAGCUUGGUCAUUGUUGGGUGGGUUCUUGUUGCAGGCACGUUCAUUUUAUGCGGUGUAUUUCUCCUUCUCCAUAAGUAAGUACUGUUUGGUUGUGUUCACUUCAUAUUACUUUCUUAGUCGCACACUUAUAUUGAAUCAUCAUAUUAGCCUUCAGUGUGACAUUUAGACGCAUCUUAGUUAUCUCAUAAGAACAAAUUUAUGAUACGAGUGUCACUCUAUCUAAACUUAUGACUGUUCUGCUGCAUUUGCUUUGUCCAUCUGUUUUCAAAUCGUCUAACUUCUUGUCCUAUUUGCAUAGUGUGGUUGCAGAUGCAUGUGUUUCCAUGGAUGAGUGGGUCACGAACCCCACAGCCCAUACUGCAUUAGAUGAUGUACUCCCAUGUGUGGACAAUGCUACUGCUCAAGAGACUUCUUCACGCACCAAGGAAACAACCUACCGACUCGCUACUGUGGUUAACCGUGUCAUCACCAAUGUCUCGAAUAAGAAUUAUCCGCCCAUCGCGGGACCUUUAUAUUUUAAUCAGUCUGGCCCACUGUUACCCGUUCUUUGCAAUCCAUUCAAUUCUGAUCUCACUGAUCGACAGUGCAGUCCUGGUGAAGCGAAGCUGCAAAAUGCCACAGAGGUAAUAUUAAUGGCUUAUCUAAAAUUGACAUACAUGUUGCCUGCAUCUUUCUCUAAGUUUGGAAACAAGGACUAAGACUCAGGCUUUUGUUUCAAGCAGGUAUGGAAGAAGUAUGUUUGUGAGGUUUCCGCGGCCGGCAUUUGUACUACACCUGGCCGGUUGACUCCAACCUUUUACAGCCAAAUGGAAGCUGCAGUAAAUGUGAGUUAUGGUCUGUAUCGUUAUGGUCCAUUCUUGGUUGAUCUGCAAGACUGCACGUUUGUUAGGGAUGCGUUUACAGACGUGAGUAACCGGAAUUGCCCUGGUCUGCGAAAGUACAGUGGCUGGAUCUACAUUGGGUUGGUAAUGGUAUCUACAGCGGUGAUGUUGUCAUUGAUCUUCUGGGUAAUCUAUGCAAGGGAGCGAAGGCAUCGAGUAUACACUAAACAGUUUACAGCUAGAACUGCAGGGGAUUUCCAAGACAAGGGUGCUUAAAACUUUUUUUUGGUCUGAAAGGGUGCUUAAACUUAAACAUAUGUUUUCGUCCAACCAUGUACAUUGGAGUGAUUUUAGCCUAAGGUCUUUUGUACAUUGUGGUAGUUAAUCUUGAGGUUUGUUUAUUAUGCAGUACUCAGUUGUGUUUGCUCAGAACUCAGUUAGACAAAGUAGUAAUAUUUCGGAGAUAUCAUUAUCGUUAUCGUCCAUUUUUGUGCUUUUAAUAGUUGAUCUUUAAGCCUGAUACCGUGCCUCUUUCCUUACACAUCAUCUUUUCUAUACAAUACUGAUCAAAAUGCAAACAAGAGUAGCAGUUGUGUCCUCAACUGCAAAUUGCAAAAGGACCAAUUGGUAAUUAACUAUAACACCGACAAAAGACCUUGUGGUCAAUUCGCAAAUAUGAAAAAUAGAUAAUGUCGUUUCUUCGUCUGCUGAAAGCAUUGACCUUUUUCUUUUUUCUGUUUUUGGUUUUUGGUUUUUGGCUCCGACUCAGAGUGAAAGGGUUGAAUUGAAUCAUACUCUGUACGUUAUGACGAAGAGUCAUUUUUGAGUUUGAGGAGCACAUUUGAAGUUGGUUAAGUCCAUACACUUACAACAACUAACACGUACCUCUCUGUCUCUAUAUCUUCUUACCUCUACCUCCGUUAUUUCAAAACAAGACGAAGAAGAAGAAGCAGAGAAAAGAAUAAAAUCUUCCAUGGCGACGGCUCCCUCGUCUAUCCACCUUCUCCACCAAGAUUUUCUAUGCCCAAAAUAUCCUCGCCUUUAUCACAAUUAUCAAUUCGGAACUCCUCGUCUCCGACGACGCCCCACUGGCACCGCCCGCCCGCCUUCCCGCUUUCCCUCUUUCGCCAUUCGUGCAAGUUCAGUUGUUACCUUACCGCCUGUACUGCUCUGCCUUAUCUUUUCCCUGCACUCUAAUUUCCGCUAUUUGUUUUAAUAAAAAUUUUCAUUUUAAUAUGAAAGUUCAAAAUUUUAAUGUUUAGGAAUGGAAGUCGAGCACUGAGGAAAGUGAAAGCUCGGGUGUUGAGCUGUUAGCAUGCCCAGUAUGCUAUGAACCGCUCAUACGGAAAGGCCCUCCUGGUCUUAACCUGUGAGAAGUUUAAUGAUUCAUCCCAUUGAAUAAUAUAUAGCUUAAAGGCAAAGUCUUUCUUUUUUUUUUACUUAAAACUGCAGUUGUAGAAGUUUAAUAUUGUCUUGUGAUUUGUAGGCAAGCAAUAUACAGGUCGGCUUUCAAGUGUAAGAAAUGCGACAAGUCGUAUUCAAGCAAAGACAUUUACUUGGAUCUUACUGUUAUUGCCGGGUUGAAGGAGUACGUUGAAGUCAAACCAGCUGGGACCGAGUUAUUCAGAAACCCUCUUGUUUCCUUCUUGUAUGAAAGAGGCUGGCGCCAGAAUUUUAACCGCAGUGGCUUCCCAGGUCUUGAUGAAGAGGUAUGUGUAUAAUGCAUGUACUUUCUGGCUUGCUUGCUCAACUUGGUCUGCACAACAUGCAUGCCAAUUUGGGUUUUGUUUACUUACCCACUACGGCUUUUUAUGCAUACAACAAUAAGUGUAUUAGUUACAUGGUGUUUUUAUAUGCUACGCAGUUUAAAAUGGCUCAGGACUACUUUAAAUCCGCUGAAGGUGGUGUUCUGCUGGAUGUAAGCUGUGGGAGUGGUUUGUUUUCCAGAAAGUUUGCCAAAUCCGGGACCUAUUCUGGAGUUGUCGCGCUUGAUUUUUCUGAGAAUAUGCUUCGCCAGUGUUACGAUUUUCUUAAAAAAGACCCUACUCUUUUAGCUACGUAAGUUUGCCUGCUCUUCUGAAUAAUCAAUGUUUAUGGUCUUUAAUGUCAAAUGACAUGUCUAUCCUAAAUUCCUAAUGUACACAUCAUUGGAAUAAAUGCAGUAAUCUUGCUCUUGUGAGGGCAGAUGUUUCUAGGCUUCCAUUCCCUUCAGGUUCAGUCGGUGCUGUCCAUGCUGGCGCAGCAUUGCAUUGCUGGCCCUCUCCUUCCAAUGCUGUAAGUUUCAAUUCCUCUGUUUUUCUCCUUCAAGUUGCUUGGCGCCCAGGAUCUUAUGUUUAGUCAGAGUUACCCGACUUGGAUGAUUUAAGAAUCAACAUGAUUUUGGAUGAAUAUUAACAGAGUCUUCAAUUUCUAAAUCCUACCUCACUUGUUUUUCAUUAACUUUGCCUUUCCUGGGUGCAUCCCUAUUCCCCAAAAUAAUUUUGUUAUGUGCGCCAAACAAAUCUGUUGGCUAGCUUUGCCUUUUAUGGUAUCGGAGAUGCUAGUAGUGACUAGUGAGUAAACUCAGAGAUGAAUUGCAUAUUGUAUUACACGUCACCUGCUAUGUUGAUAACUCACGAAAAAGUCAUGGUGAAAGUGCCUUGUUAUAUCAACUGGGUGUAUCGGAAAGCAUAUGGAGAAUUAAGUUUUGAACAAUUUGAAAUUGCCUUGACUGGUAAUUAGGAAUAUGAGAUUAAAUGCGGAAUGGUGAGCAAAACUUAUAGCUUCUUUAGGCAAGCUGAAUAAACACCAUUGCCAUUUCACCCAUGGCUCCUUACAAGAGACCACAAGAAGUAUGCAUCUUCCGUGCCAGUGUUUUGUGAGAAAUAAAGGUGAUAUCCUUUGAGAACUGCAGGAAGUUAUCCUUUGAGAACUGCAGGAAGUUAGAAAAUUGGAAAUUACUCUACUUAUGACCUUGAGAAUUUUCUUCUUUUCUUUCAUGCAAUCACUCACGUCUGAAUCUUCAACUUGGGUUUGGACACCUCAAGAGCAUAUUCCAAUUUUGAAUUUUAUUACAAAACCCUUGGUGGCCAAUGGUAGGUAGGUAAUUUCUUGGAGUGUUUCUGUUUGGGACUGGGGACUUACCUUUCAGGAGAUUAGUCGAGUGUCCUUACAUCAUCAAGAACCUUGUCAACAAGGAAGAGAGAGGGCUGCUAGUGAUUAAAGAACCUGGCAAUCAUAGCUCUACUAUAAGUGGGGUCAAUUGGAAUCAGAAAUCAGCAACCUUUUAGGUAAAAGAGUUCUGAGUACAACCUUUCUAUUGAUGCAUAAGCUAUAGUAACAUGAACGCUCAUGGAUAGCCCAUGAGGUAGUUACAGAGUUGGUUCCUGUGGAAUAUACUGCAAUUUAUAAUAGAACGUAACUCCACAAAUGCUGGUGUGCUGGUCUGUGGCUCCUACUUUAGAUAUAUCUUUCUUAGUGAAAUUUUUCGAAGGAAUUAGCUCUCAGGUGGUUUGCUGUUAGCAAGUAGAUAUAUUAAUCCCCUCUCUGGUGGACAUUACUCAAAAAAAAAAGAAAAAAAAAGAAGCCAUCCCGUGAGUAUACAUGACCCCAAAAAAACGAUUCCUUCCAGAAAAAAAGUUAUUCUUACCUUCCUGUACCCCCUCCCAUCCCUGGAAUAAUUGAAAAGAGUUAUCUCCAGUCACCAACAUUGGCAUUUGAGUCUUUUCUUAAGGUGAUGGAAGGCAGAAGAGGGAAAGUAGCUCUAUUUACAAUUACAAAAAAAGAAUUCAGCCACAGCCUUUUCCACAGUUACAGAAGAGAAGCCUUUGCGCUUUGAAUUCUAUUUGCAUCUGAACUUCAUGAACCGUCGAAUCUUGUUAUAUUUUCAGUUUUACUGUAGAUAUGUGUAUGGAUGCAACAAAGUUGCUUUUAACUAACGCAUUUCCAACCCAUUUCUCAUAUAAUUCUCAGAUUGCUGAAAUAAGUCGUAUAUUACGAACUGGUGGCAUCUUUGUCGGAACCACUUUCCUGCGGUAUACUUCAUCUACUCCCUGGAUAUUGAGGCCACUCAGAGAGGUAACACUUCUUACUUAUUCAAAAAAUUAACAAAUGUGAUCAAUGAUAGAUGUGAUUCCUCCUUGGUGGGUUAAUAAUUUCGACCACGGUUUGUUUUCUUAAAUGAAAAUAAACAACUUUGUAUUCAUCUCUGAGUGGAUAAAUGUGCGUACGCUGACUUUGUAAAUGUUGAUUUACUCUGAGGAGCUCUAAUAUGAAGCAUUUAUCCAAACUAGGAGUUGGUUUGUCUAAGAACUUUUUAUUUCAACUUAUGAAUUUCCCAUUAAGUAGAUGUCAACCAACUUAUCUCUGAUUUAUAGUACUCAUGUAUUGAAACACUAAAACUUAUUUAUGUUAUGAAGUUAUAGUUGUUCUAUAGGGUUCAGACCUGUCAAUUUUCCUGCUCAUGCUAAUGUUAUUAUGAUACUUGUUUAUCUAUAUAUGCUAGUGAUAGAAUGUGUGUUCAAAAGAACGAUUGUGUAACAUCCACAUUCAUUUUCGUAUUCUGCAUAAAUUGCACAUGAAUUCUGUAAAGUGAUUCAAACAGUUGAAUUUUCGUUAGUCGGGACUCAUUAGCUGUAGCUAGCUAGGAUCUGUUUAAGGGUGGCUCCCCAUCGAAACUGUUUUUACAGUCAUUGGGACAUGGGUUUUAUUAAAAAUAUGUGACUGACUUGGUUAUAAACUUUAAUAAGUAUUGAUUUUAAGUUGUAAAUUUAUGUGGCAGAGGGCUCUGCAGAACUAUAGCUAUUUAACGGAAGAAGAGAUUGAGGACUUGUGUACAUCAUCUGGUCUCAUCAACUACUCAAGCAAAGUUCAGCAAUCUUUCAUCAUGUUUUCUGCUCAGAAACCUUGAGACUAGGUUUGAGCCAUUUGAAUAUAAUUUCUCCGUACAUGGAUUUAUCACAUUUCUUGUUGAUUUGUUGUAUAGUGUAUUUAUAUAAUUGUAUAGACAUUUAAAAAGAAGAAUACAGAACCUGAAAAGGUGGAUAAUCUGGGGAAGAUGUAAAGUAUUGAUUAUUAAUAAGAAGUAGUAUUUUAUUAACUGUAUAAAGAAUGAUAGUAGUGCUUAACAUUAUCAGGGACUCAAUUAGUGGUUACUGAUUAGUAUUGACAGAUUAACAGCCAUUUCAAUCUUCAUUAGGCGAAGUUGAUUAUGGCAUAAAAGAUAACAUAAGAAGAACAAAUAAAAUAUGCGUGAACAAGAAGAGGAAGAAGAGGAAGUCGAGGACUGCUGUUUUUAGAUAAUCAGAAGGUUUGUGUUCAUGACAAGGUUUCAGUUAAGAAUUUGAAUCUUGCGAGCACGAUGGGAAACUAGAACUACCACAUGAAGGUUUAGGCGUAGGCUUGGAGUCACAUGAUCUUGACUCUUGAGCAUAGUUAGUCUUUAAUCUUUGGAAAAAAGGUUCUACAUGUGACCUGACCUAAACUUUAAAAAUGAGGGCAUGCAUUAUGCAUAUUAUAUAAUAGGGCAUGGUGAAGUGGCUAGGUUAAUAAAGAAAGAAAACCCUUUUUGACAAAGCAAAAUGGAACCAACUGAGACCACACAGAGGCCUGUGGCCACAGCAGGAAGAUCCCCUCGUGCGGCUCAUCCGCUGACCCAGCCCUCCCCCUAUUUCUUCUUCUAACCACAUCAUCAUCUCUGUAGAAUCUGUUCACUUCUGGAUCUUUGACCGUUGACCAACACUCCACACAACUUGAAGCCUUGACUUGAAUGAUAAAAGGAGGAGGAAAUGGUCAGUCCCAAGACACACUUAAGCUUCUCGUUUUGGGCAUUGCCAGUUUGUUUGAAAGCCAGGCCUUUGGAUCCCAUUGCACGUGAGCUUCUUGCUUACUAUAACACCUUUCUGCUUUUCAUGGCACGUGGGGUUGGCCAUCCUCUUUCUCUUCUCUGAUUCUAUUUGUUCUGUGAGCUUAAUUUCUUUCUUCCUUUCAGUUUGGCUCUAGGGAUAUUUGCUAGUUAUGUCGUUUCAUCAAGGAUACACGUGCACAGUAUAUUUCAUUUCAUGGUAGACAUAUGUGAAACUUUUAUCAUGAUUCUGUUUUAUUUUAGCAGUUUCUAUAAAUAAAUAAAUAAAACUACUUUUAGAUUUUUCUUUGAGAUUAAUCUUCAAAAAGUUUUGCUCAUCAACCAACCGUUAACAUACCUUCAAUGCUCGCUUAAGAAGAGGGGAAAAGAAAACAGAAAAAGACACUCAAACCACCUCAAAAUGUUUUUCUUUUAUCUUUUUAUAAAAAUGGAAAAGAUAAAAUAUUUGAUAAUAUCUUCACAAAAUGAUUAUAAGUUUGCUUAGGUCUAGCUCCAAGAGCUGAACUCUCUAAAGAAGAUUAAUUUAAAUGUAUAUAAGGGCUUUGCUAGCUUUAAUCUUCUAGGCAUGCAUUGACAACCGUUGAUUAAUAUGAUAAAAAUGUAUGAUAGCAUUAAUCAUGAGUUCUUGACAACCGUCGGUUGUAAUAUGAUAAAAGAUUUGUGAUGUGGAAUGCUCUGAUGAACAACAAUCACAUAAGGUGGAAGCUCGAAAUUGAAUGGUAGACCUGAAGGAAGGGUAUAAAGGGAAUGAUACAAGACUCUUUGGCAUUGCAAACCCCAAGGUAACUCUUGGUUGGAGCUUAGAGGCACAAUAAGCAAGGUCUUCCUCAAAAUUAGCACACUGGAGCCUCUAAUUAAUUAGGUCAUUAGUUUCCCUAACUAGUGCUCAAUGAGUUGUGCUUGUCUGUCAAAUGUUUGUUGCAAAACCACAUUAUUGUUAAAGCAGGACUUGUGAUUAGUGGAUUAGUGGAGUGGUUGAUUGAUUGUUGACAUGUUUUAUUCCCUAAAAACCGGGUUUCUUUCUUUCUUUCUUUCUUGUACGUGUCUUUGUUUUGACUCUGUUAGUAGAUUAGGCAUGCUGCCAUGGUUGUAUUGUAUUGGCCAGGUGCAAGGCAUUCUAAACCAACACCAUUAUGGCCUCAGUUGGCAGGACAUCCUUUACCAAUUGCCUUUCUCUGUUUAUUUCCUAAGACUCAAACUGCUACUUCAACCUUGCUACCACCUGAGUCACAUGAGUCACAGUUGAGGUAUCAAAAAAAAAACCAAUGAAUGGACAGCUUCAAGUUUUUGUUGUUGUUUUUGUUUUUGGCAUACUAAUAUUCCCAAACCCAGAUUUUUUAAUCUUUCAAAUUUCAUUAAAUUUGUCUCUCUCAUUUUCUGAGCAAUUUAAUAGGGCCUUGGAAGAAGAAGAAUAAACAAAGCACCUUGACAUACUCAAUACACCUAAACAAUAAGGAGAUACUAUAUAAUAUGUUUGAAAGUAUACUAGCCAGCCAGGACCCUUGAGGUGCUCUUCCCUGGUCUCAAAAAUGAAGCAAUCAGACGGUCAGAUUUGCAGGUAUACAUCUUAGAUGUGCAUCCAUAGAUUGCAAGAUUAAGCUCUACUUAUUCUUACUGAUAUGGUGCUCUUGCACCAAAUUCUUAUAAGUUAAUGUAUCUGAUAGAUUCUCUUAAACCAGUUGGAGCUUUUAACAUUUCAAUUUUUUGUGACAAGACAUAGUUGAUAGGUAUUACUAUUGCCUUUGUGUAUUUUUAAUGCAGCUCAGCACCCUUCUUCUCGACCAUGCUUUUUUUUUUCUUUUUUUUUUAACGAGAAAAAAGUUUAGGGGGAGAUUGGCUACUCUCAAUCUCUACCAUGCUUUCAUUGUUGCUGUAUAUGCUCUAAUUACUUAGCUUUGAAGUGAUGGAAAUUAUACGAAUGACAUCAAAAGCAUCAGGCAAGAAAAAGGGAUGCAGAGGAAUACAAUAUACAUUUAGAAAGAAAAUCUACAUUUUUUAUGAAUGAGGAAAAAAAGAAGAUUAAGUUAGCCGACUUAUUGGGAUAUGCAUCUUUAAGUUGGAUCUAACUUGAGCUUUUUUGUAAUUUCUUUGAAUGACAACUAAGUGGAACGCAAGAAUGGACCAAUUGAACUAUUAUCAAGCUGGUGUUAUCUAUCUAUGUAAAUAUCUGUCAUCUUUUUGUUCUGUUUCUCAUUUCAAAGUCUACAACAAGUGGCUGGUUCCUUCCAUCCAACUGAUUUCACCAAUUCUAAGAGAUGAGAAUCAAUGAAAGAAAAGGUAUUAAAAAAACACUUCGAAAAUAAAAAUUUUGAGGCAGAGAGGCAGCUCCUUCAAGAAGAGCUUGGUUAGUUUAGCAUUAGAGCUCUUCAGCCAAGGAGAUGAGCAAGAAUAGUUUAUUGGGGUUUUAGAGAAUGGGAGACACGGAAACAGCCUCCACGUUCCCCUCAUAUCUUACUUCCUUUAUUUAUUGCUCUCUUCUCUCUCUCUCUCUCUCUCUCUCUCUCUCUCUCUCUCUCAUGUUACAAGCCUCCUAUUGACAAAAUGUUGUGUCCCUCCCCAAGGAAUAAAUAUAUACCCCUUUCCUCUCUUGUGAAGCUCCAUAAAUACUCUUAUCUCCAUUCCUAAGUCUCUCUCUCUCUCUCUCUCUCUGUCUCUCUCUCUUCUGUUUACACCACUGUCUUGAUAACAGCUCAAGGAGGGCUCUCUCUUUCAAGUGUUUAUGUGAUCAUGGUUUGUCUCUGUCCACUCUCUGUCUCUCUAUGGCAUAAUUCUUCUUGUCUUUUUGGUUCAUAUAUAUAAUCACUGAGCAAAUUUUGUUGCUUUAAUAGGGAAUUCAGAAGCCUGCGUGGUUGGAAGCCCUCUAUACUCAGAAGUUCUUUGCCGGUUGCUCCUAUCAUGAAACCGCUAAAAAGAAUGAAAAGAAUAUCUGUUGCUUGGAUUGUUGCAUCAGUAUAUGCCCCCAUUGUCUGCCAUCCCAUCGUUUUCAUAAGCUCCUUCAAAUUCGUCGUUAUGUAUACCAUGAUGUUGUCCGAUUGGAAGAUCUUCAAAAGCUCAUAGACUGUAAGAAUGUUCAGGUUGGUGCCCUAUAAUCAUCAAAGCUAGGUUAAUUAACCAUCUCCAUCAGUUUGUAUAUAAUAUAUUACUGUACUGUUUUUGACAAUUUAAGUCUUUGAUUCUUGUUUAGGCAUAUACAAUCAAUAGUGCCAAAGUGGUGUUCAUCAAGAAAAGACCUCAGAACAGGCAAUUCAAGGGUUCUGGAAACAACUGCACUUCCUGUGACAGAAGUCUUCAAGAACCUUAUAUCCAUUGCUCUCUCGGAUGCAAGGUAAUCAACUUGACUUACUUUUGAGUGGUGGCUUUGUUCCAUUCCAUGCAUGCAGCUGAAUUACUAAUAGGUUUUUAAUUAUCCAUGAUCAUGAUCAGUAAUGAAAAUAUCCCAAUAUGAUUGAUUGCAUUUCUGUUAUUUUAUGCAACAACAGGCAACAUAAUAUCACUGAAUUCUACUAGUUCAUAUGCUUGCUUAAGAGAGAAAGAGAUAGAGGCAUAUAUGAAAGGCUUUAACUAAAACUGAACAGUAUUUGGAAUGAUGAAUGUUAAUCAGGUGGACUAUCUCCUUAAAUUGAACAAGGACCUCUCUCCUUUCCUAAAGAAAUGCAACUCUCUUCAACUCAGUCCUGACUUCUUGGUUCCUCUUUCUGAUACCGGAGACGAGGAGAUGACGAGUGAUCAGACCAACCCUCAUUCUACAAUUGUGGACUGCGAUGACCCGAUGAGCUCAUCAUCAUCCGGGUCAUCAGGGUCCGAGAACAUGAGCAUGAGCAUGAACAUGGGAUACAGACAUCAUGAGAUUGUCCGGAAGAAGAGAAGUGGACUGAAUUAUGCUUCAUUGUGCGGAAGAUCAGCUCAUAAAGUUUCAGACGAGGACAUGGCCUCGAGCAUGAUCAGUAGGAGAAAACGCAUUCCUCAUAGAUCUCCUCUGUGUUAGCAACAAAAAAAAAAAAAAAAGAAGAAAAAAACCACAAAACUUAAACUUACUAUUUUGUCACUACAAUUUUCAAUUUAAUUGACUGAACUGAACCAUUCAAAUGCUUUGAUUAAUUAAUUCAUUACUUUAGCUCUCUCUGUCUCUCUCGAAUUUGAAGUUUAAUUUUGUUAAUUAAUCACUUGGUCGGGGUGUUUUGUCUUAAUGUGAUCACGUGGUUCCCAGUUCCAAGUUAUAUUGUUUUGUACAUUUUUUAUAUAACUCUUUUAACUCAUACUAUAUUUAUGUUGAGGGAUUUCUCAAAUAAUUUUAUUUGAGAGACACUAUUUAGGGUUCUUUAUGAUUUUUUUUCAACGAUCUAAACUAUCUAUUUUUUAAGUUUACAUUCAUAAAUCAUCCUUGCAAAAAUUAGACAAAUCGGAAACAGUUUCGACAUCCAACUGUGUUCUAUAAAAUUAUUAAACACAGUGCUUUAAGUACUAAAAUUUUAAUAUUUCAAUUAAGUGGUCAAAAUGAUAUUGAAUUCAAAUGAUUUUUUAUAGAGAUGAUCUUUGAAUGUAUAUCUACAAAAUAGACGGUUUAAAUUAGUGAAAUAUAAUACAUAAUGGAUCAUAUAAGAAUAUCCCUCAAAUAAACUUAUUUGAAAAACUCCUCAACUAAAACUUCAUGUAUUUAUAUAUAUAGCCUGAUUACUAAUAUCAUCAUUGAUUCGAGUACUCGUGAAAUUGAUGGAGCUCUUCUUCUUCUCGUGAUCAUAUUCAAUGUCUUUUUAAGCUGGUUCGCAUGUUCAUGUUACAUGCUAAUGGUACAACAACUCUUAUAAUAAAUAUGUCUACAAUUAAGUAUAUACUUAAACAAUUUUUUAUUUAUUUACGGGUAAUGUUAAUUACAAACCGAAAGGGACUUCCUUUGACUUUGACUGCAAAAUGACACAAAAUAUUGUACAUGUGUGUGCGUGUCUCUGUGAGAGAGAGAGAGAGAGAGUUUAAUUAAUUUUGACCAGUCAAACCUUCCAGGCUUAGCAGUCAUAACAACUGGUUAAACCUUGGCAUUACUAUCUGUAACAAAGCUUAGUCAAAACCUAGUCAUACAAUAUUUUGUAGCACUAUUGUAUUAUAUCAAUGUUUUAAACUAAUCUUGCAAUUAACUAGAUACAUUACUUAAUGAUAAAAAUAAAUAAUUCACCUAAAUUGUUAUUAAAAUAUUUUCCUAAUAAAGCCUUAAUAUCUAAUAUUAUAUGAUUGAUAGAAAUAAUAUUAACCUUGAGUUUUUUUUAACUUUCUACUUGGUUUUUGUUUUUUUGUUUUUUUUUUUUUGCCGUCUUAUUUUAUUAACUUUUUUGGUUUGUUUGAGUGACAUAUGCUUUUGGAUUGAUUUGAACCCCAUGUUCUUACACUCAUUUAGGGCCUAUAUAUAUUAGGCCUUAUUAAUGUUUAGCCCAAGAAGUAUGGGCAAGGAGACCCUUGUGAUUUUUUGUCAGCAAAGCCGAAAACAACUUUUCGUUAGUUUUUGUUUAUCUCUAGAGCUAUCAAUAUAAAAGAUGAAGAACGCGAUUGAUAAAGAGACCUAACUUGUUCAUCAAUUCAUUUUUUUUCUUUCAUUUCUGUAAGUCCCUGAAAAAAGUAGACUUCUUUGUUCAUAUUCAAAUGAUGAUUAGUGUAAGACUCAACGCUUUUAACUGAUUUUUUUACUUGUUUUCAUGACUCUAUAUAUUAACCCUAAUUUGCUCCCUCAUGAAAGGUCAUGGGUUCAAAUCCUAACAUCUAUGUAAUGUAUGUGAAUUAGUAUAUUAUCGCAUUUCUCAAUAAAAAAGAGUCCUAAACAAAAAAACCCUAAUUCGCACCCAACAAUCUCCAAAAGGGGACCUAAAGAAACUGAAUGACAAUAUGGGAUCCAAAAAUACCAAGGAAAAAAAGCAAAGUGAAUAUGCCUGAAAAGUGAAAGCAUCGCCAUCAUGAUCAUGAUCGUGUUUAUGACUAGGAUUUUGAAAUGACUCCAAAUUCUGAGAACCUGGUUGCAGACUGCAGUGAGUGAUAUUUGCUUCUCUCACACUGUCACACAGACUCAGUCUCUCUCCUCCACUUUUUUGUUUCUCCUUGACACUUCCCAUAAAGAAGCAAAAAACACAGUUAUGGUCCAAAUUGAAAAGCAGUUGAUUUUAAAUAGAAAUUAGCCUAAUUAAGUGGUUUAGAUUGGCAGGAACCUAAAACAAGCCAUUAAUAAUAUGUCCAAAAUAAUUGGACAGUGAUUGAGUAUGCACUAGCUAGUAGCUACCUACUCCGAGUAAAGCUUUAUGCAGAAUCAAUGCACAUGUACAAAGUGUAGGAGCAAUAACUAAUUAACUAGUAUAUUAAUAUUUAACCCUUUCCGGUAUUCUUUCUUCUCCUUCAUUCGAGAAGAAUAAAAUCUUCUGAGUUGUCAGUUACUGAUUAAGCUAGUUGCUCCAUUUGCUCUUCAAAUCCAAAGGAAACUAUAUUUAUAUGAAUAUGAGUGCCUAACCCUAAGCCCUGCUAUCAUUUUCUAAUGUUUAUGUCAUUUUCUAGUCUACACACUCUUCUGUCGGAUUGGAUGUUUUGUCUUUCACCCCCGACUCCCUCCACCACUACUUUCAAUCUCAAAUCAUUUCUCAUCGAAUAUGCGACAUGCCAUAUUGGACGCCUGAGAAAACAACCUACAACCAUAUGCAUAUAACUUUCUUUGUAUGUCGAAACGAAGACAUCUAUCAUUGCAAUUUGCAUGCAUGCAUGUGACAUGUUGCAUGCAAAAUAAAAACUCAAAACCAUUGGAACUUACUUGGAGGUGGGAAUACAGCGGAACGUAAGCCUAGAGACUUCUCACGCACACGACCACCACCACUCAUUUUUGAGUAGUAAUUUCUUAUUACUUAGCAAAGCUAUAGCUUAAUUUAAAGUAAUUUCUGUUCCCAUCAGUUAUAUGUUCUUAGCUACAAGAUUGUCAUUGCUAUAAAUAUACAUUUCUGCUAAUCCUCAAGGAAAUAUUUUGUGGUCAAUUAUGUACGUAUUGAAUUUGUGUGUGUAUAUAUAUAGCGAGAGAGAAACGGAUUUUGAUCUUAUCCAUCAUGCUCGUAUAAUUAAUUAAGAAGUCAAUUAAAACGAUUAAAAUCUUCUAAAUUUCACAAAACAAACCUAUAAAUUAAACAAGAAUAACACGUUUGUAUGAAUCUUUAUUUACUAGCUAAAUAAAUACAAACUUAUUGCAUCGUUGUAAUCUACGAUUUCCAGCUAAAUAAUAUUUGUUUUGUCAAUAGUCAUUUUACUUUAAAACCUUCCUUUAUCAUUCUUUUGAGAAUUUCUAUCUACAUAAUUUUAACCCUUAAAUUUUGACGGAUCAGAUUACUCUUCCAUUUUGAGUAUAAACACGUGAGCCGUUGGAUUUGUUUGUAUGUCAUACCGAUUCAUAACUUGGAUAAGUAUUAGUUUAAUCCUCUUUUUGGUAUCUUUUUAUUUUUGUUUAAACCCAAAUGUCUUAGUACCAAAAAACAAAUAAAUCAAAUAUCUUAGCUUAAAAAUAAUAGUAAAAUAAUUUCUCAGUGUCUAUUUAUCUCUGCUUCUCUGCCCACAAGUUCGUGUGCAGGUAUGAAUGUAUAAAUAACCCCACCUCGCACAAGUUGUAGGCGGGUCCUUGUCUCUCCCCCGCCCGCGAGCUCUGCCUCAAAAACCAGAGGUUGAGGAAAUUCUCGGACGUAGACGCGUACACAACAACAGGAAGAAGCAUUACUAAUAUAACCCAAAAACCAAAAACAAAAUGUUAUGCUUCAGAUCAAACCCAUUGAAAAUUUUCCUUCUUUUUGUUUCCUUCUUUUUCUUCAUUUCUUUAACUUCCGGAAGCCCUGACCUUUUGCACAUUAUACGAACAACAGGUACUCAUGUAUGAAAUGCCCCCUUUUAUUUUUAUUUUUGCUAUUUCCUAUUUUAUUUUUGGAUGAAAAUGCUGUUACUUUCGUGUUCAUUGAGAAAAUGGGUUGCUUGAAUUUGGUUGGAUGUGCAGCUGUAGAGGUAGCUGGUGAGAGAGAGCACGUUGGGAUCAAUGGGGUGGCGACAUGGCCAUUGGACACACGGAGGUUUCUUGAAGAAAACACGACUGUCUUAUUAUUGGCUCAGCAGAGGACAAGCAGAAGAGACCCUCUUAAUGGGUUUAACAGAUACACAGGAGGCUGGAACAUCAGCAAUAAGCAUUACUGGGCGGUCAGUUCUCUUAUCUUAACCUUAAUUUAAUUUACUUUUGAUUCAUCGUCUUUUUUCUUUUUUGUUAUUUGGGUUUCUCUCAAUUUAUGAAUGAAUGAUCAUGUUAUUUGGGUUUAUCAAUUAUGCUGUUUGAUAAUCAAGAAUGAGGUCCGUGUUCUGGUUUCCUGUAUGUAUGUGGUUAACUUGUGAAUUUCUGCAUUUGGUUUGCGGAUUUCCUGACUUACUGAAACUUUUUUUGAUACAUAUAAGUAUAGGCCAUGAUCAGACCAAAAAAAAAAUAUAUAGGCCAUGAUGAACUUGCCAGUUUUUAAAUUUUUUUGCGUUAAUGAUGUCCUUGUUGAUUAUAUAUAUAUAUAUAUACAUAUUUUUUGUUGGGUUUGCUGAUACUCUGGUUUCAUAUUCUUUCUUUCUCAAAUCAUGUUAUUCUGUUUUUGACAUUGUUAAGUUGAAGAAAUGUAUGGUCGAUUAUGUUGCUCAACGAAUGCUUUUGAUAUAGAUUGUUGAUUUAUGAUGCAGUCUGUCGGUUUUACCGCGGCUCCCUUCUUUGUCACCGCUGGUUUAUGGUUCCUGCUGUUUGGGAUAUGCUUGUGCCUUGUCUGUAUAUGUUACUGCUGCUGUCGAAAAGAGCAUUAUGGCUAUUCUAGAAUAGCAUAUGCUCUCUCUCUCAUGAUCCUUAUCUUCUUCACCCUCAUGGCAAUGUAACUCUCUUUCUAUCUCUUUCCUUCCUCAUAUCUACACUAAAACGCAAUUUGCAGUGCCGAUAAAUUUCUAGCAUUGAACUGAUGAUGCCUUUUUUAAUUUUGAUGUUUGUUUGUGUGGUGGGUUCUAGUGUCGGAUGCAUUGUGCUGUACACUGGUCAGGACAAGUUCCACAACAGUACAUGCAGUAUGCUGAGUUAUGUAGUGAAUCAGGCAGAUACAACUGCUGAAAACCUCAGGAAUGUGUCAGAUUAUCUUAGUGCAGCUAAGAAGAUUGGACUUGACGCCAUAGUUCUUCCUGCGGAUAUUCAGAAGAGUAUGGAUGACAUUAUGGGAACCAUAAAAAAUGUUGCCAAUACUCUUUCUGAUACAACUGAAAAGAAUUCAAAGCGUAUACAAGAUGGCCUGGAUAUCAUGUAAUUAGAUUCUUCUACAAGCUCUUGCAACUUCAAACUUGUGCUCACAAUGCUAAAUUUGGAUAACGUGUAUCUGUUGUUAUGUUUUGCAGAAGAAUGGCUCUCAUUGUUCUUGCUGCUAUUAUGCUCUGUUUGGUCUUUAUAGGAUUUUGUAAGUUCUUUACUUUCUUUUGAUUAGAGGUAGGAAGUUUGGAGAUUUCACUUUUGGAAUUAUGCCUUAUUAAUCUUCUUCUCUUUUUUGUUUUUUGUUUUCCUUGGGGACUACUUUUUGCAGUAUUUUCCAUUUUUGGGCUGGAAUUUCUUGUAUACUGGUAAGUGAUAAAUACCUACCUACAGCUGUUUCCUGUUCAAAUUUUAAGGCAGGUCUUUAAAUUUUGGAAUCUGUUCAUUAACAAACACUUGGACAUUUGAUGCAGUUUGGUGAUUAUUGGGUGGAUUCUUGUCACGGGAACAAUCAUUUUGUGUGGUAUAUUUCUCCUCGUCCAUAAGUAAGCUCUCUUCACUUUCCUUAAGUGCAGCAUUUAGAUGUUAAUUUCAGCCUGUCAAGCUUAGUCUUGGUUGUUACAUAUUUGUCUAGAAGCAUAGAGCAUCAAUUCAUUUUUCUAAGUGCAUUUGUGUAUGUAGUGUGUUUGCAGAUGCAUGUGUCUCCAUGGAUGAGUGGGUUCAGAAGCAACCCAAGGUUCAUACAGCCUUAGAAGAUGUACUGCCAUGCGUGAACAAAGAUUUAGCUCAAGAGGUGUUUUUACGGACCAAGGAUGCAACCUUAUACACUGUGACAGUGCUCAACCGUGUCAUCAACGACGUCGCAAAUACUAAUUCUCCGACCGUCGAUGGUCCCUUGCAUUUCAAUCAGACUGGCCCACCAUUACCCCCUCUCUGCAACCCCCUCUUGGAUGAUCGCUCCGAUCGAAAGUGUAUCCCUGGUGAGGUCGAACUGCAAAAUGCCGGACAGGUACUUAUAUACGUACUAACUAACAAAUAUCAAUGCCAUUUUUCAUGCUUGCUGCAUUAUUAUAUAUUGCUUUGUUAAGUUGGGUUUGAAAUUGAAUUGUUGCAGGUAUGGAAGAAGUAUGUGUGUCAGGUUUCAGCCGCUGGUGUUUGUAUAGGUCCUGGGCGGUUGACGCCAACCUAUUAUGAACAAAUGUCAGCUUUCGCGAAUGUGAGCUAUGCUCUGUAUCGUUACGGUCCCUUCUUUCUUAACCUCACAGACUGCACGUUUGUUAGGGACGCAUUCUCGGACAUAAGCAAACAACAUUGUCCCGGUCUGCGAAUCCACAGUGCUUGGAUCUACAUUGGGUUGUUUUUGGUUUCUGCAGCUGUAAUGCUGUCCUUGAUCUUCUGGGUUAUCUAUGCCCGCGAACGAAGACAUCGUGUCUACACGAAAAAGAUUUUGUCGUCGAGAGUUUGUGGAGAAUCUGAGAUGGAGUUAAGUCAUCAGCCUCGGUCCUCCAGGUGCUCCUCCUCCUCCUCCAGGAUGAGUUUCAAGACUCCAAGGACUUCAGUAGGGUUCCAGGACAAGGCAACAUUUUAAUCAUAAACAUUUUCUUCCAUUUGCAACAACCAAAGCAAAGCAGAGCUUCCUUGUUAUUGGGUAAAAUGUGUUUUUUGGUAUUUUUGGUAUUUUGGAUGUAUAUCUCAGUGAUUAUUUUACCCUCAAGUUUUUGGUAUCUCCUCCUCCUCCUGUGAAACUUGUUUGAGUAAUUUUCUGCUUCACCACCGACUGUACAUAAAAUUCAAUAGACCGACCCUUUUAAGGAUAAAGGAUUAGCUGCCUUCCAAUCUCCAUCAGUCAAAUAUCACUACAAUAAAUUGGGCAACCUUUAAUCAUCCAAUCAAAAUCAGCAAGUAAUGGUUCAAUGUGAAAGAAAUCUAGUCUAAAGGAUGAGCAUGUUGAAAUAAAGGAAUCAAUUACAGAUAAUGUUGCAAUCUCUUAGCCAAUGUCAAUCAACAUCAAAGAAUGUUGUUUUGAGUGAAAGAUGAAAAUUGGCCAAAUUUCCAUAUGUCACAAGUCAACAGUAGAGGCUCAUGAUCAAAAUCAUAAUGCGACUCCAAUUUCUUUCGUAAUAUCUCAUUUCCUGUCUCACACAAUUUUUAUAUUAUUUAUUUUACAUCCUUAAUUUGAUUGAAAACCCGACAUCCAUUGAUUCUAAAGGCAAACUCAUGUUUAUCUUAUCUUAUUUUAUUUUACAGCUAGCCAUUCCAUUGCCGCAAAGGUGUCAUCUCUACAAGACAAUCGUCUCUUAAUUGCGUGCAAUCCCAAUGUUGUUGGAACGCUAAACCAAUCAAAAAGAGCCCACACACUAAAUGAAGGAGAUCAUAUCUUCUAAGGGUCAUGCUAGGGAUUUUCCUAUCUUCUAAUCUAAUACAAAGUGAAAACAAACAAAUUUUUUACCUAUGUGUUAUGAAAAUGACUUUUAGAAGUAAGUGUCGGCAGACUAAAACGACGAUAACUAACCUCAAAUCUCUCAAUGAAAAGAGAGCAAUUCUCCCAAUAUUUGACCGACAAACUAAUUUGAUUAAAGACUCAAUUUUAUUAGGUGUUUUAUUACAGAAUAUAAAUUAACUAUAAGGUAAAAAAACAUGAACGUUUAAUUUGAAAAGAAGGGUAAAAAUGUACUAUACCCGUCUAGAAGAAUGCCAUCAAGAUUGAGGUAAACAAUAAUUGUUGUCCUUUAUAGUUUCUGAAUUCCUACUUAUAAGUUACUUGGUGCAAUUAGUUAUCCAUUUGAACGGUAAAACUGAUUUGACAUAUAGACCCUUGUGCCCUUCCAAUCCAAAUGUCCUUGAAAUAUCAUCAUCAUCAUUAUCAUUUUAAUCAAAGGAAGUUAGGGGAUGUGGGUGGGUAUGAAGGAAAAGGUUACUAAGGUAAAUUCGAAAAACCAGAAGAAGCUAUAUAAAAUCCCCCAACUCCAAACCAGCCAUUAGUUUGAUUUGAAUCACCAAAUUAAAAAAAAAAAAAAGAAUAGUCAGCCUCUUCCCCCCACAAACCCCAACCCAAUAGAAAAUAGAAAAUAGAAAUUGUUAGUGGUUGAACUAUUCCAUGGCCUCAAAAACUGCAACCUGCAUUUCAAAAUCACACAACUCAAACCGCACAUGUUUAUGUUCACCCACCUCACAUCCUGGAUCUUUCAGGUGCAGUUUGCACAGAAAUUCCAAUAAGCAGCAACCCAUUAUCAGUAAUCCUGCAUUUGUUGUUAAACCAAAUUCCAUUAAGGGGUGCCUGCUCCUUCAGCUCAUCAAGCCCUCCAGCCAUGAUCUUCAAAGGAGAAGAAAGUUCCAGCCCAGGCCCACCAGAUUCUGUUUAAUGAAUAACACCAGAAAUCAGCUUGCAGUUUCUUGAUUUAAUGAAUGAUCAAAUAUGUUUGUACAGUAGGAAAGGUAAAAAUAAAUAAUAUAUUUUUUGUAAUUGUUUCUCUGCUUUCUUUAUACAUUUUUAUCUCUGGAAAAAAAAAAAAUAUAUGAUCCUGUUAAGAUUUCUUACAUGGAGAGUGAUUUAUUUGAUUCCCUUUGCCAAUAAUGAACAAAGAAAAAGCAACAGUGGUGGUGGUUCUGCAUAUUUAAUUUAUUUUCCUUUGUCCCCCCUAACUUGAACAUGCUAAUUAUUUAUAUAGAUUAGCAUCAGUGUACUGUGUAUGGCAUUCCUUUGAAGGACAUAAUAAUAAAAGCAAUAAUGGCAUGAUUUGAUGCAUCACACAUGCGCUAAUUUACUGAUAACCUCAAAGCUCAGCUGAACAAUCUUAUUACAUUAAAAUAAAUAUAAUAAAUCUGAAGCAUAUGAACAACCCGACCUUAGCUCAGUUGGUAGAGCGGAGGACUGUAGUUGGAAAAUCCAUCAGAUAUCCUUAGGUCGCUGGUUCGAAUCCGGCAGGUCGGAAAUCUUUUUAAUUUUUUGCAUUUAUUAUUUAUUCAACCUCCUCCAAAACGCACUAGCCGGUAAAUAAAACACACCCAAAAUUGAUUAGGGCAACAAACAAGAACCUUCCAAACACCAACUUGCUUGAAGAAAUUAGAAAUGUUUAUGAGGUCAAAAGCUCGGACAAUUCAAAUGCAUGCUGCGGAGACUUGCAAACACCAACUUGCUUAUGAAUUUAUGAGUUUGACCCUUGACCUGGGCUGGCACGAACCAUCCAGUGCAGUGCAGUUCACAUAAUAAAAGACUGGUCCAUGGAUUGGUUUUGCUUCCAAAACUAAACUUGGUGCGACCCACAUCCCCCACCAUGUGGGAGGACUUUUCGUCCAAUAUUCAAUCAUAUUGGACAUUAGGUUGCAUUUUCAAACUCUUGGCAAACAAGAUUUCCAGAAGAAAAGUAGUGACGUUCAUUUUCAAACAACUCAACUCAACUGAAGCAUGCAAUGACUAUUGAUUUGCAAGUAAAAAUCAUUUUUUCACAGAAUUUUCUCAGUGUCUCAGUCUCAGUGUCAAUCUCAAUCUUCGCCAAAGAAGGACCACGUCCAAAGUAGAGGCCCCAGUGUGUCAUGUCAACUGGGUGCAUUGGAAGCCCAAUCAAUUUAAUUACUUGUGUUGUGUAUGAAAAACAAAAGAGGAGGCUGCCAGCCAGCCAUACAAGAAAAAGAAAUGAAAGACUUUUACUUGUUUGUGCGCGGCUGUUGCUUUCAGAAUCAUAUCUACUUGUUGUAAUAGUUUGUGGAUAAUUAAGGAACUCAUCGACAGAAUCAAAGCUGUUGUUUGAUCAAUAUUUCCCAUUAGAUUUUUUUUACAUUCUUAUCUUUAAUUUGUUAAUUACUAGCAUGGAAAUAUCUAAUUUGGCCAUAAUAAUAAUAUCAGGGUUUGAAAAAUAUAUAUAAUUAUACGCGUUGGCAGCCGAUUCUAGAGUAGUUGAACGUGAAUAUAAUACUUGUCAAUGAGAUUGACAAGGGAGAGGGGAAAGGAAAACUAUAUUAAAGAAGGUGAUAGACUUGGAAAGCUUGAAAUGCUUGACCCAAAACUUGGACUUUCUCUUCUCAGCGGUCAUCUUGCUAGUCUUUUCUGUCUAAAUCCUGAGGUUUUACAUUUAUGAGAUAAUUAACGAAAAUUAAGAAAGUUCAAUGUGUGGGGAGGCUAAUUAAUAGCCCAAGAUUCCAUGAUUUAUUCUAGGGCCCCGAUUUUCUGUUUGAAUUUUCUCUGCUAUGAUAUAUUGACUUGUUUUUUCCACAUGUCAUCUCAAUUAUAUUUCAUCCAAGGACUUCAAAAAUAACACCUUCUACGUAAAAUAAAUGAAAAGUAAUACAAUUAAGCUUUCUCUUCUCGGCAGUCAUCUUGCUCGUCUUUUCUUUCUAAAUCCUGAGGUUUUACAUUUAUGAGAUAAUUAAACAAAAAUUAAGAAAGUUCAAUGUGGGGGGAGGCUAAUUAAUAGCCCAAGAUUCCAUGAUUUAUUCUACGGCCCCUGAUUUUCUGUUUGAAUUUUCUCUGCUAUGAUAUAUUGACUUGUUUUUUCCACAUGUCAUCACAAUUAUAUUUCAUCUAAGGACUUCAAAAAUAGUGCCUUCUACGUAAAAUAAAUGAAAAGUAAUACAAUUAAGCUUCUUUUUAAUUUGAACAUGGGUUGCAUUGCAUCCUCAGCAGAACCACCUAUAACAAAAGAUAAUUUACUGCUUCAUCGUGAUUUGGUAAAAAUAGGUGAUCCAAUGCUCACUUAAAUACCAACCGAAAAAAGAAGAAGAUAAAAAUUGAUUGCUGUUAGCUACUAGCCUAACCUAACAAAAAUGAAGUACCAGAUCUUGAAGAUUGAAGCCUGGUACCAGCAAUUUGUGGGGAUCUCAAAUCAAAGUCGGGCAGAAGCAAAAGUGACUCUGAGAAUUACUUGGGUUUGCAAACAAAAUCAAUGAAGUGAUGAGUUAGAUGAGCAUACAGAAAAAAGGAAAGAUGAAUGGUUACUUACUACCAACCUAGCUAUAUAAAACAUGAUGCAAAAGCUUUUACACAAUUUGUCUCUCUUUCUAGUUCGUCCACAACAGUGUACAUGAUUAAUUUAUUUUCAUAGAGAGAGGUUGGAGGAGUUGGAUGAUUUGCCACCCAACUAAUUCCUAAUUAUAUGAUUAACAUACUAAUAUGCGGUAUUGUGCUUAUGAAGUUUCUAACCUAAAUCCUCACGGGUACUCAACAAAAUCAAAGUAAUUAAUUUUACUAAUUUGGUGUCAGCCCGUGGUUUGCUAGGUAUACCUACUAAUUAAGUAAUUGAAUUAAUGGCCCCAUCCCCUGAUGAUCAGCAGGGUUUUCCACUGUUUCACUUGUAUCCACAACCUGGUUAAUAAAUAUGAGCAGAUAACUUUGUUUGGGAAAUUCUAAAGUUUGAAGUUCACCAUCUACUUUCAUAUAUUUUUGUUUUUUGUCUAUCUUUUUUAAAUAAAUAUUUUGUUGGAGAUAUGAUUCCAGUAAAGAGACGUGCAACAACUUCAACUACCCAUUUGAGAAUCUUAAUCUUUAAUUUAGAUGUGCACAGUGCAUGCAUAUUGUAAACCUCCUGCCAUCUUUUGUUCUUACGUAUACUCAUCUGGAUGUUUGCACGAUAAUAAUGCUUGGACCAGGGGCGGAGCUAUAGCCAGGCCUGCCAUGGCCCUGGCCCCCCCACUUAAUUAUUAAUCUCUUGUAAUAUAUUAUAAAAUAUAUGAUAUAGUAAUACAAUUACUGCAAUUAGAUUAGUGAUGGCCCUCCCAGUUGAAGAUGAAAAACCUAGUAGAAGUGAUUUUGAAAUUUUGGCCCCUGCAUACUAAGAAUCCUAGCUCCGCCACUGGCUUGGACGUCAUUGUAAAGAAAGAAGAAAGUAUGAUGUUUGCACGAUAAUAAUGUUUGAAUGUCAUUAUAAAGAAAAAGAAAAGCAUGGAGAAGUAGUAGAAAAUACAAGACGUUCGCACGAUAAUAAUGUCCGGAUGUCCACAUAGGAGAAUUUAUGAACUUACAAAUGAAUGGUAAUUGCUAGAUGCCAAAAUAUCAAAAUCAGUUUACAAAGAUGUAAUUGCGUUGUUUUUUAGCUUUAUUCUCUUCCUUUUUUCUGAUCAGAUAUUUUUUUUUAACAUUUCUUCUAUACUCAAUAAUCCGCCUAUGGAAGAUAAUAUAUUUAAAUAAAAGAAAAAGAAAAAGAAGAAAGUGAGAAAGAGGAAAGAAAACGAAGACCAAAUGAAUAGUACUUGUCAUUGGUAGUGUCUUUUCCUUUGGGGCCAAGAAAGCAAAUUAAUGUGAUUUAGAUGAAAAAGAAAAAGUUUAUAAAGAAGAUGUAUAUCAAUAUAAUUUUAGGAAGUAUUUUCUGAUGUCGACAAGCAAAUUUUUUUAUAAAAAAAAAAGAAGAAGAAAAAAAGAAGAAAAAGAUGGUAAUUAUAUAGCAAUUAGUAACUAAUUAUAUUAUGAUAUAGAAAAGACUACCUCUUUUUCUGCAUGCACUGUGUAUUAUGUUCCAGAAGUCUUGCGUGCCUAAAACGUUUUCCUAUGUGCAUUAUUUGAUUCCCAUUUUGUCAUAUAUUUUGGGUUGAGACGGUUCUAUUCCAUUAUGUCGACAUAUUGACACGACUUUGUCAAACAUCGCAUUUGGGCGCUCACACCUUUAUUAGAUUAGAAGCAUUAUAUGAGCUACGUGUACUUUUCUUUUAUAUAUUUAUUUUUUAUGUUUGCAAAUAUAAAAUGAAAUUGAGAAUCUUUUAAACUGAAUUAUUUAGAAUUAAUAAUGGGCAACGUGUCUAGCCCAAUAAAAAAAAAAAGGUAAACUGAAAGUUUUUAGUUCGAAUUCCCAUAAUAUUAUAAUUGGAUGUCUGUGUGAAAUUCUUGUCAUAUGUAAUUAUAUUACUUAUACUCAAAAACAAAAAGAAUCAAUAAUGAGGUUUUAAUUUGAAAUUUAAUUAAUUAAAUAGAAAAAUACGUAUGUGAAUCGAGAAUAUCAUUAUUUUACUAUUAUUAAUGCGUGUCGGAGUGGUUUGGGUGUAAGCAUAUUAGCAAACACUCCGGUUUGACGAUUUGUGAGGAUAAGAGAAUUGUAGGCAAGUGGAACAAUUCUGAGAGAAGCACGUGUCCCCCACCUCAAUGCAAGUGUGCCACAUACACUUGCAAUUGCAAUUGCAGGGUCCCCAGAUUGAUUCCAUAUCUAGGAAAAAUCAAAGACAUCACAUGAAGGGUCAUCUAAAAUAAAAGUCUGGUGGAUCUGAAACACAUUAAAAAAAGAAUAUGGAUUCCAUUCCUGUUAUAAAUUUUGUUUCAAGAAGAAUCAACCUAAUUGGUAAAAUAGAAAUGCAUGCUACCUUCUUAAUGUUGAUGCUUCAUAUUUUUAUGUGUAAUCCCAAUCCCAUUCAUUCAUUGGACAAAGGAUUACAAUCCUUACGAAUGUAGUGGUUUGAAGCAACUUUUAAUUGGACAAAUAACUAUAAUUAUUAUGCAAUUCAUUUAUUGGUGUAGUAGUUUGGAUCAAUUGUUUUUUAAAAAAAAUUUGAAUUUGAAUUAUAAUAUAUAUAUAAUGUGUAUGUAAAUUUAAUAUAUUAUUAUCUCUCUUAAUUAAAAAAGAUUACAACCAUUACAUACAUAUCAUUAAAGAAAUAAUAUUUGUUAUUUACAUACCCUUACCUAAUACAUGCCGCGAGUGAAAACAGCUAAUCUCCUCCUCCUCCUCCUCAGUGUUAGACAAAACUAAUUAAUUAUCGCAUAAUUUAUAUUUAAAAAUAAAACGAAAUUAACAAAACAAGGGGCUGAGGAGAGAGAGUAAAGUUGGUAGCGUUUUACAGCGUACGUACGUGGAAUUUAAGAGGCGAUUGUGUGUGUGCGCGUGUCAAAACGGAAGUACGUGGGAGAAGGGUCGCUUGACUACUCUGAAACGCUGUCAGAUAAAACAGUCUGCUUUUUUAUUUUUAUUUUUAUUUAAUUUUAUUUAAUUUUAUUUAAUUGCUCUUCUGCGUGACUUCGUCUCUGCGGGCUGCACUGCCCAUAGCUUGGCGUCGAAACCGUUGGUGCCCAAACUGCAAAAUCUUAACCUCGCCCCUAGUUUACUAUACUCUCUAACCAACCCCCCAACCGUUGCUCUGGUUAGGUUAAAUGUUGCUAAGAUGCCCAUAACUUUUCCAUAAUUAGUUUUUCUGUAAUUACAAUUAGGCAGGUACUUUGUAUUUUUUAUCACAACCUUUUAAGCCACAAAUUUCUUCAAUUUAUUUAAUCAAAUCCAAAUUCAUCUCUCAUAUGAUUAAUUAUUCUCCAAAUUAAAAAAAAAAGUACAAAUACUGUCGAUUACUCUCUUUCUAAUUAUAAUUAGGGCAGGCAUUGGAGUAGAAAUCCUAGCUUUUAUAGUAAAAACACAAUUUAAUUGCAAUAAAUAAUACGCGUGGCAGUCGUAGUACCCACAACAUAAAUAAGCAAAAAUCUAGGGGUACGAAAGAAAACCGAAUAAAUAAAUAUCGCGGGACCUGAGCCAUUUUCUCCCUCCCUCAUUCACUAUAAAUACAUAGCUCGAGUGAAGCUAGGUUUGCCGAAUUGGGCAGCGAAACGCAGCUUACACAAAAAGAAAAGAAAAAAAAACCCUCCCUCUCUUUCUCUCUCUUUCUCUCUCUUUCAGUCUCCAAUCUUCUCUCUCUAAAAUCUCAACCUGAUCAACAAACAUGGCAGCAGCAAGUUCUAGAAGAUCAUCGUGCGGGCCAGUCAUCCGCUCGGCUUCACCCGCUGGAAGAUUCCACAACACUCAGUAUUCGUCCUCCUCAGCCUUCGCCUCCUCCACUUCCAGCUUCUCUUCCCGCUCCUCCAGUUUUUUCCAGCGCGCCGCCUCUCCCACGCGCCUCAACCUCGCCAGCUCCUCACCCUCCGCCCAGUCCGUACGCUUCUCCCUUGACCGCCCCAUCUCCCCGAGCCGCUCCAUCUCCGUCACUCCACAUGGCAACAGCAACCACCACAACGCCGUGAAGAGCCGUCAGAUCAGCAACCAGAAGCGCACCUGUAUGUGUUCCCCUACAAAUCACCCCGGUUCGUUCCGUUGCAGCCUCCACAAGAACUUCAGCUCCCACGUGACCGCUUCGGCGCCCUACUCGCAGAACCGCCUCAACGCUCGGAGAUCGGCGAUGACGAACUCGCUCGUGAGAAUCGGCGGCGUCGAAGGCGAUCUGGUGCGGCGCGCUUUGUCCGCUCUGAUUCGCCCCUCUUCCCACAGCCAAAGGAGAAGAGCCGAUUUCCGGCCAAGGCCCAGCCGGCUCUCCACCAUGUCCAAGUCACACGAGUAAUUGGAAAAAUUAAUUUUGAAAUUAAAAUCGAAACUUGAGUCCUUUAGAUCCUGAGCUAUUCUUGCACAUCCUUUGAGAUCUUCCGGCGAGGUGAGGCCGCGCUCGGCGGCGAUGAAGUGUCAGGAUCCGGUGAAAGUGUGAGUGAUCUGACCGAUUGGUGACCGAAGUGCUACUGCUAGGGGAAUAUGUUGAUAUGAAUCGAUAUGAAUCGAUACGAUACCUAGCUAUGAUUCUGUAUAUAUAAGUACGCAUAUAUUUGUAUGAGUGGCGCGCCUUUGUUGGCUGCUCCAAGCUUUCUGGGACCUUAUUAAACUUCCAUAUAAGCAUAAAUUUAGCAGGCAAAAUUAAAUUCGAAGCAAGCAGAUUUCAUUACUUGGCUUGGGUUUGGCAAUUGGCACUACUAGUUAGUUGAGCCCAUUUCUUCAACUUCUCCGGGUUGGUUUUCCGUUAGCCAUUCAAUCAGCAUCGUGUGCGUUCUCCGUUCCGUUAGUUUUGACGUGUUCCGUUAUCCGUUAUGCUGUGACGGUAGGCGUAUACGUAUCAUCAUGCGUCUUGUCUGGUAUAUUGUGGGUUGACCGUAUGUUCCUUCCGUUUACCCCGUACCAGGUCCUGGAUUCAUAAGGGGGCUAUCGGAGGUUGAUUUGAUAUGAAUUAAUUGUUUCGUUUUUCAUUCUUUUAUUAAUUGUUCUUUUUAUUUUCUUUUUGUUUCAGGUAUGUAAAAUCUCCGUGGAAUUCGCACCGAUUGGAUUGGACUGCAAUUUAUUUGAGAAAUCGGGGCUAGAAAAUGCCAAUUAGAUGACCUUUGGAGGGAAGGAUUAUUGGACUAAAACGAAUCUAAUGAAUGCUCUUUCUAAAAUUAAUGAACAGUACAAUUAACUUAAAUUAGAAAAGAAAAAAAGAAUAAAGUUGGGGAUUUGUUCAUGAUGAUGAGCAGCUGGUGCCGGGCACCUGAGGGUAGCAUGUGAUGUGAAGCAACAAAGGAACAGAAGUUUAAAAAUUGCUAUAAUGAUCAGUCAGUCCAUAAUUAUGGACGAUGACGAUGAACCAGUCCCUUUUCUUUUCUUUUUAAAGAUGCCAAAAUGAUUAUUGCUCAACACACAUUUUUUAGAAUUGUUUGGAAUCAAAUCGGUUGAACUUAUAAAUUUUGAUUCGUCUCCUUUUUUCUCUCUCUUUUGUUAUUUGGGAAUAUUAAAAAGUGAAGGGUGACGGAAUUAAUAAUUAUGGGGAAGUCGAUGUGCGAGACGACUGGACCUAAACAAGUUGGGUUGCAAUUGGAUUAAUUAAAGCAACAUUUGCCCAAAAUGAAGGGGCCCAUAGGCCUAAAGGAGUACAGCUGCUUAAAAUUCAAGUUCAACUGUAUGUGUAUCAUCCCAUUCAUCCAUCUUCAUCCAAUUCAAUAACAAAAGAAAAAAAGGGACUUUAGCGGUCCCCACCCAGAGAAAAACUUUAUGCAAUGAGCAUGACAUUUUUUUAUAUUCCCGGUCAAUAUUUCACAAGCAAAAUAAUGUUAUUUCUGUUUGUGUGUGUGGAAGAUAAGGUUUUGAAAAAGAAGCCAAGCAUAAAUAGUCAUGGGCAUGGGUGCGCAGGGAAGGAAAAGGAAGGGAUUUGAUUUGACAUAGCUAGGGGAGCUGGUGUUUAUGUAUUUUGUUUGGGCAGUGUCUUUUAGUGCUGAGACAAACGUUCAAACUUGGUUUAUCCGUUUAGCAAAAUGGAAAUGAAUUUAGCUUCAACUCAAUUAUAUAAGUAGCAUUCAGUCACAUCACAUCCACAAGUACAAGGGGCCUUUGUAAAUAGUAUUUUAGUUUUGCUAGUUGUGUUACUUUAUAUAGCACUGCUUGUUUAUUUUUAGCGGCUGCACUGCACUGUACCUGGAUAUGUAGCACGCUAGACAUUACGUGUCAGAUCCCAACCCUAAUCUUUUUUAAUAUGAAAGUGGUGCAAUGCAGAGCAAAAUGAGUUUCCCAUCAAAAGGAUCGACAGGGGAAAGAAAGUGAAGUUGGAAUGGGAAUACAUGUUGUAUUGUAUGUGCAAUGUGCUUGUGCAUGCAACUCGCAAGUUCGCAACCAAAUUGGAAGAGGAAGUGGGUGGGGCCCAGGAGUAUUGUUCGGGUUCGGGUAAUGACAAAACCCGUCACGCCAGCGCCAUGGUGCAUGUACCAUCCACGUGGGGGUGUUGGAGGGGUGACGAUGGAUUAUGGAUAGUGAUCCUAUUCCUUUCUGUUUGUUACAUUUGUUUGUUUGUUUGUUACGGCUGGUCUGCAAAAUUCAAAGUGGUAGGCAGCAUAAGGUGGGAUAAGGAUAAGGGCCAUAAGGCCACAUCACAUCACAGAUUCACACAGCCCAGUGCCCAGUGCCCCGUGCCCGGUGCCCACCCAUAUUUUACGCAAAAUAUUUUCGGUUAUCAACUUUUGUAGCGUAGGACUUGCAGUUGAGUUAUUUAGCAGCUAGCCUUUUGGGAUUGUAAUUGUAGCAUUGAUUUAUAAUGUAGAAAACCCUUUACUAAUCUUCUGUGUUUGUUUGUUGGUAACUUGGUUUGGUACGUGUAUGUCUUGAGAGAGAGAGAGAGAGAGAGAGAGAGAGAGAGAGAAAUUGUUGCUCUCGCCCGCGCGCAAGAAGAGGAUCCUGUUGGUAUAAAUAUAUUCACAACAGAAACAGCUGUAUUACUCAUUGUAUUUGAUUUAUACUAGUGGGGGUGGGGCCUCUGCCUCUGCCUCUGCGCAAAUAUCUUUGGUUAUCGUAACGUUAUUUUCUUGAAAGGUAAGUUUGGACCCAAAUAAAGAAGAAGAUAUAUAACUGGAUAAGCUUGAUGACAUGACAUGAGGACACCAUGCCCAUUCACUAUUCACCUCAGUACUAGGGCUUGUUUGGCACAUUUUUUAGACUUGGACUGGCUUGUAUUAACUUUUUAUUCUAUGUUUGUUUUACUUGGUAGUUUGUACUAAUUUUAAGUGGGAUUACUAGUACUGGUUUCAACAAAAACACCUCAUUAGGUGGUGUUAGUGAAGUUCGUGUAGAAAGUAGGGACAAAUAGUCUCUCGUUAUCGUCGAGCGCUGCAAUCGUUCCAAACCUCCCACCAUCACAGUCAGAACAAAAAUAACUAGCAUAAAGAAGAUGCAUAUCAUAUUCUUGUAUGUAUACCAUCAUGCUUCUUCAUCAAAUUUCUGGGAAACAACAAAAAUGUGACUAGAAACCCAACAAAAAUGUGACUAAAAAAAUAAUUAUGCUUAAUUUUUUUUAAAAAUAAAAUUUAGUUAUAGUCCAAGCAUACACCAAAUGUAUGACAAAUGUAAUUUAGUUUAAACCAAGCCAAGCCAAUCAACAACAAUCCUUAAGCAUAAUCUAUGCUAAGACAAUCCUGUGUAACAAACGAGGCCUUUGCUCUUUAGAGUAUUUGUUUGUUGGAGUUUAAAUAUACUUUUAUUUUUCUAUUUUUCAUUAAAUGUUAGGCUCGAAUUUAAAUUUGAUCACCAAAAAUUUAAUAUUAUAACCUCAGUGACCAAAAAUGUAAUUACCCUAUAAAGAAAGAAAGAAAGAAGACUUAGAUGGACUGACCUAAAUUCCAUGGACAAUCAAAAUGCAGCUGGAUCGCAUUAUAACAUGUGGGGGAUUCAUUCAUUCGAGUGGUUCCUUUAUAUUGAUGAGGCCACAGCCUCACCCACCUCCUUUAACAGCAGCUGGGCCUUUUCUUAACGGGCUCAAAUAGAGAGAGAGAGAGAGAGAGAGGGAGAGAGAGAGAUGAAGCCCUUCCUAAAACAGCGUUACCCAUUCGCAGCAACCAAACCAGAAAGAAGCCCAUUCCCCCAAUAAUAUGUUGGAUUUCCAGGAAAAGGGAAAUGUUAGUGUACAGCAAGUAUAAUAAAGGAAAGGAGGACUUGUAGCCUAAGUUUGGAGGAUGUGAGUGAGCCCUCUCUUUGGAGAAAAAAAAGGGAUCCAGGCUCUGUCUGUCUGUCUGUCUGCCUGCCAUAUCAAUGAAUCAUAUAAAUAAAGGCAACGUGCGCUCAAAUUCAAAGAAUGGGCUCUCUCUCUCUGCAUUCUUUCUUCUUUAAUUAAUUUGGAAGGAAAGAACUUGGAACUUGGAACUUGGAACUUGGAAGCAAGCAGAAGAACCAGACAGACUGAUGAUCCAUGGGCCACCCACAUUUCUUUUGUAACAAUCACACUCUCCUAAUAUAUAUAAUCAUCCUAUGACUUGUUCUUCUGAAUCAUAUGCCAUGUAAUCCAAGUUACUUGUGACAUUUGCACAACAAUUGGAUUCUUUUAUCUUAGGAAAACCCUAUCACUUAUUUUCCAACUGAAAAGACUAGCUUGCCCUUCUUUAUAACCACCCCCAAAAUACAUUUAUUUAUUUAUGUUGGAGAAUGUGUACAAUGUCAAUGGAUAAUAUCUACAACCCAAUUGUUGUUACGAUAAAAAAAACAAGAGCACAAUUCUAGUUAAAAAAUCAGCAUCCUGUAUAAAACCACAGAUCAGACAAAAAAAAAAGAAGAAGAGAGUAAAACUACAUAAUGUGUGCUAAAUUUAUUUAUUUAUUCAAUAUAUUAUUAUUUAUUUCAACUUUGAGAAAAUUGAUUAUUUGACGAAAAAAAAAAAUGAUCGGCUCCUAACACACGUGCCCUGCGAGGAGCAAAGCACAGCCACGCUUUUCCCGAGCACCGGCUCAGUUUGUUUACUUUUUGGACAACAGGAAACGAAAUGACUCACCGAGUAGGGCCCACAAAUCAGGUGACACGGCCCUAGCUAGCUCCUUCUCCUUGUCACGCGGCAUGACCCGUUCGUCUCCUCUGCGUCAGAGAGAGGAGGACGAGAGGAGAGAGCAGGAUCAGAGACAGACACAGGGCGAUGUUUUGCUGCUUGCAAUUAAAAUCGUCAUGCUUGAUCUUCCUCGGCCACAGUUGCCAAUUUGGCUUCAUUCUUUUUUCGUUAUAAUUAUCUAAUAACUAUACACAAAUAAAUAUUAAAAAAUAAAAUAAAAUUUCACAUACAAGGAAAGGAAGAGAAAGAGAGAGUCGAUCAAUAGACCAAAACCGAAGGAAAGUCCCAAAUGCCAAACGCCAACUCCAAGUCAUUGGUUCAUCUUUCUUUCUACAACAAACCCAGAUAAUCGAUUCAGACCACCGCCCUGCCCACAUAUCUCCUCUUCUUUCCUCUCCUCUUAACUCUCAACAGCAACAACACAAACUUUAAUUAGCAGCUUCUUCUUCCUCUUGUUCUUGUCUGAGCUGAGUUUUCUAGCAGCUUCCAUCCAUGGUGACCGUUAAAGCAGGGACCAGACCGCCAUGGGUGGGAUUGGGAGCAGCAGUUUGGGUCCAAAUAGCAGCAGGCAAUGCCUACACUUUUCCACUUUACUCUCACUCGCUGAAAUCGGUUCUGGGUUUCAACCAGCGACAGCUGACCAUGCUUGGUGUGGCCAAUGACAUAGGUGAAAAUGUUGGUCUCAUACCAGGUAUUGCAUCCAACAAGCUCCCGCCUUGGGUCAUUCUUCUGAUUGGCGCUCUCGCUUGCUUCUCUGGUUAUGGUGUCCUCUGGCUUGUUGUCAGCCGCACACUUCACCCUCUGCCCUACUGGUUGGUAUGUUUUUUCUUUCUCUCUUUCAAUCCUUUUGCUCAUCUGAUUGCUUGGAAAUAUGGCUUAAUGGGUUCUUUUUUUCAGUGAUUAUCAUGUACGAUUUAGUGAUGUUUGAAUUUGACUUUGAUAGAGCGACUUUUGCUUCCAGAUUGUUUUCGUUUUGAGACACUACUAGGAAUUUCCUCUUCUCUGAAAAAUGAAAAAACAGUUAUGAAGUUCACCACCCAGAGUGGAAUAUUCUCGUUGCAAAUUACAAUUCAAGGGUUAUCCACUUGUGAUAUGUUAAAUCGGAACUAGUUCCAAAGAUUAUUAGCUUUCUUUAUGGGAUUGAUGAUGUUAUUAUUAACAUGCUUUCCUGUUAAACUGUUAAUUCUUUCUAAAACUUUUGAACGAAUUGGUUGACAAAAAUUGGUGUGCUUGCAUUUGAUCUGACCUUGCGGGGUUGCUUGGUUAAUGCCAUUCCAUUAAAGAAACUCAGAUUCAUUGGUAAAUUGCAAGCAGCUUUCUUUUGGCCAUUCUUUUUUGUCUUUUUUUGUGGAGAUUUGAUUAUCCAAUUAAAUGAUUGCGGAUGGAUAUGGUUUAUCUGCAAAUACAGAAACUUUCUAAGAAUUAAGAAUUAAGAUUAUAAAUUCUAACUUGAAUUUUCUUUGGUAAUGCAGUUAUGGAUUGCCCUUUGUGUUGCCACUAAUAGUAAUGCUUGGUUUACCACGGCUGUGCUUGUAACCAAUAUGAGAAACUUCCCUCUUAGUCGUGGCAUGGUUGCUGGUAUUCUAAAAGGUUAUGGGGGUCUCAGCGCAGCUGUAUUUACAGAAAUUUACAGCGUUCUGCUUCGUAAUUCAUCUUCUAAGCUUCUACUCUUCCUGGUACUUGGGAUUCCAAUUCUAUGUUUCAGCAUGAUGUAUUUCGUUAGGCCUUGUACUCCAGCUUCUAGUCAAGACCCUGCAGAGCGUGGCCACUUUCUUUUCAUCCAAGUUGCAAGCGUUGUGCUUGGGUUAUAUGUUCUCACAACUACGGUAUUGGAUGAUGUCCUUACCUUAAGUGCUACAGUUACCAACACUUUUGUUGUCAUAAUGGUUCUGCUUCUCAUGGCCCCACUUGCAAUUCCUGUAAAAAUGACAUUGUAUCCCACCAGAGCCAGCAAAUCAGGGACGCUUGGUCAAACAGUUGGGUCUUCUGAUAGUUUGAACCAUGCGGAAGGCUUGGAUAAUGGAGAAGGCAAUGCAGACAAAACAGAACCACUGCUGAAACCAUCUCCAUCAACAAGCAGCCUGGCAAGUGAAGGUGAUGAUUCAUCUGAUGUAGCUAUGCUUCUUGCAGAGGGUGAGGGGGCAGUGAAGAGAAAGAGAAGGCCCAAAAGAGGGGAGGAUUUCAAGUUUAGUGAAGCUGUGGUCAAGGCUGACUUCUGGCUCCUAUUCGUGGUUUAUUUUGUAGGGGUUGGUUCUGGGGUAACUGUUCUCAAUAAUCUAGCCCAAAUAGGGAUUGCACAAGGAUUUCGUGAUACCACAAUCUUGCUGUCUCUCUUCAGCUUUGGCAAUUUUGUGGGACGUCUUGGUGGAGGAGUUGUUUCUGAACAUUUUGUCAGGUCAGUAAACAUUUAUCCCUUAUGGCUAAUCUUCAGGUAAGUGUGUGUUAGCACAUCAUUCUUGAUCCAAACCAAUUAUCAACUGUAAACUAAGGGAUAAGAGAAGUACUGUUGUUGAAAUGUUUGUGAUUUGAGUAAUUUGAUAUUUGCGAGAUCCUCAAGAAUAUGAAACAGACCGGCAAUGAGGCAAACUCAGUUAUUAAUGCAGUCAAUGUAGUCAGCUAUUAAUUCAGAACUCUCAAUUCAACCUUGUAAUUUGUCCCCAAAAACAGACAGUUGAACUUUUCUUUUAGAUAGAACUUCUAUAGAUAUAUAGUGAAGUUCAAAAUAAUAAAGCAGACUCUGCUAAUUGUCCUCUCCGUGAAAUUAGCUAUGCUACAUGAAUAUGCUUGAGGUUUUAUGUUGUUCCAACAUCCAAAUGGAGGUCCUUUUGAUUUAGAGAAACUUCUCUUUGCAGGUCAAAAACAAUCCCUCGGACAGUUUGGAUGACAUGCACUCAAAUUAUAAUGAUUGGUACAUAUCUGCUGUUUGCUUCUGCCAUCAGUGGAACCCUUUAUGCUGCAACUGCAUUACUUGGAAUCUGCUAUGGAGUCCAAUUUUCUAUCAUGAUCCCAACAGUCUCGGAACUCUUUGGAUUGAGGCAUUUUGGCAUAUUCUACAAUUUCAUGUCAUUAGGGAAUCCUCUAGGCGCAUUUCUUUUUUCAGGUCUCCUAGCAGGGUACGUAUAUGAUAAUGAAGCAGCAAAGCAGCAUGGGAGUAAUAAUAUCUAUGGGACAAAUGUCUCCUGCUUGGGUCCAAAUUGCUUUAGGCUGACCUUCCUUGUUCUGGCAGCUGUCUGUGGCGUGGGUACCAUCUUGAGCAUUGUUCUGUCUAUAAGGAUAAAGCCUGUUUACCAAAUGCUUUAUGCUGGGGGUUCCUUCAGGGUACCGCAAAGUACAAACCAUUAAGAACAAUGUGUGGUGAGUGGAAGUUCAACUGUCCAAGGAGCCAUCCUAUAUACUCCUUGAAGGUCUUGCGCAUAUUGGUAGAACUGUUGGAGAUCUCGAAACUCCCAUCAAUGGAGUCCAUGUUUGGGCACCAAUAGGAUCUACGCAUGCCAAGGCUCGAUCUUAUUUGUACUUUUGUUGGUUACAAUACUAAUAUGCAAUAUUUCAGGUGCUGUAUACAAAGCUGCAGUUUGAGACUUAUUAUAGCUCUUGAGUGCCUCCUAUGAACUACAUGGUAAGUACUGAGCAGUAAAUUAGAUAAGAAAGUUGUGGCAUUUACUUACUUCAACGUCAAAUGCGUCAAGAGUCGAUGUUGUGUCCUUCUCGGUGAAGUUAUCAUAUAAUUAUCAACAGCACUCUGCCCUCCGGCAUCAGUGAAGACUACGAUACCUAUAAGGGGUUCCUUUGGCAUCAUGAGGACAUGUAUGAUGUCGCUCAGGGAUGAUUACGAAAUUCAGUUAUAGGUUUCAAUAAUUGUUUGGAUUGAAUGAAUUUAGCUGCUUGGUUGGAAGUGGAUGAUGGAUAGAUAUGACAGUUAAAUAUGUUGUAGUGUUUAAUAUUUUGUUGGGUGGCAAUUAUUCUCCAUGUGUUGUUGAAGUCGACUAGUUAAUGCAAAAGUACAAAUCUCAUAACAAGAGUCUGUCUGAAUCAUGGAAGUUUGCUGUAAAGCUAGUCCCGAUUGCAAUCAAAUGCCAUUAAGUUCACUGAUUGAUAGAUGAUAGGAACUCAACCCAGAAUUUGCCCCAAUGAAGGCAUACAUACAUGGCUGAAGUGAAGAAAACUACAAAUAAACAUUGGACAAAUCAACCAGUAAAUAUAUUUAGGGCUUUCUUUUCCAUCUGAAGAUAAAUGAGAGUACCUCAAACUGAGGAAAUAAUCCACGAACUUUAACGAACACACCGAAAAAUGGUCAAGUCCAGGCCACUCUGUCUGAACAUGCGUCUUUUCCUUUUUCACACGAACAAAAAUGGUUGCAAAUACUAGGAGUGCAGAGAGAAACUAUCAAGUGGGUUUCAUAUCCUGAAACAGUGCAGUCCAAAGUGAAUGAUCAUCGUAAUCAACAUCGUCAACCCUUUCCUUCUCAUAUGGAGUGCAAAAAUUUGGGCUCACAACAAGUCUUCCAUCCAGAGGACCAGACAGCCUUGGACUUUUGUUUGAGACCAUGAGCCUCUCAUGUGUUCUUCCCUGCAAAGGCCCAGACAACUUAGGGCUCCUAGUAGUUUCAACCAACAGCCUCUCUGGUGCCCUUCCAUUCACAUCCGAAGGACCUGUAAGUCUUGGGCUUCUAUUUGUAUACAUCAACCUCUCAUGAACCUUCCCAUCCAACGGCCCAGAUAGCUUCAAGCUCCUAUGAUUAUUAUUAUUAUUAUUAUUAUUGGCCAUCAAUCUCUCUUGGACUCUCCCAUCCAAAGGUCCAGAAAGCGCCAUGCUUCUAGUUUUGAACAUUACUGGCUUCUCUUCCUUCACCUCCCCAUUGACAGUGGCCUUGUGUUUCCUCAACAAAGCUCCUCUCCAAUGGUCUUGAUACCUAGCUGCCCCCUCACCCGCAUCCUUAAGAGACAGGUCCUCGUGAAAAACCCACUUGUUAAAGUACUUGCUGAAGCACUUCUUGGUUCUGAUAAGCGCCCAGCUUAGCGUUGAAAGCGACCUUGGGUGGCCUCCUAAUCCACUCCUCUCCUUCUUGGCAAGCUUGAGUAUCUCUAGCCUGUGUUUGGCCACAGAAAUCCCCAUGCUCUGCAGAAACUCAUGGUCGAAGUAACUCACGUCCUCGAAUUGCAGCUCGUUGCGAGAGAAGGCGAGGCCAUACUCGUAGAUAAGCGAUGGAUCAAGACCAGUUUUUGACAGCCAUGAGAACCAGUCCAUUAUAUAAAAGUGAUGUUAUGUUAUGUGAUGCAAAAUUUAUAUAUGUGAGGUGAGGUUGUGGUUUGGAGACAUACAAAUAUUAUUAUAAGAAGAAGGGAGGAAGGAGAUGAUAAGGGAAGGGAAGUGAAAACGGAUAAGCCCAAUUAAUUAAUGUGGUGGGUAAGUUGCUAUUCAUUUUGGAAGUUAAUGAUGGGGGCCUCCUCCCUCCCUCCUUCCCUCUAAUUUCUCUCUGUGGAAAAUUUGGAUGGUUGCUGGAGACUGAUUGUGACAUUAGCAAUAUCCUGGAAGUUGGAGCAUCAACACUUGAACGACCUCGUGACCUAAAGAUCCCAAAUGAGUUUCUUUCACUGAACAGGUUAAAAGUUUGAGUUAAGAGACAAAGCUUACGCAGCAAAGAGUAAAUGUUGCCAAAAUACAACAGAAGAGAAGAGAGUUUGAGUGUGAGUGUGACAGUGGGCAGGUAAAUACUAAAUGAUUGGUGAUAAAUUAGGGACCCAAAAUUAAGGGAGCAGUUAGCAUAUUAAAUUCGAUAACCUACUGCGCCUUUGCCUUUAUGAAACCAAUAAGAGCAGAGCAAAGUUCAAAGCACUAGAUUUCACGGGCCCCAAUCACUUUUAGCCUCACUGUUUAGUAUUUUACCUGCUCACUUUACUCGUGAUCUUGUGUCUGUCACCCAAAAUCGUUAAAGAGAUAUGACUACACUUAACAACCUACUACAAAAUCUACAAUAUUUAAACAUUAAAAUAUACUUAAAAAGUAUAGCCGCCCGGCUAUACUCUUAAAAGUAUAGUCACCCCCUAUACUAUUUAAAUAUUCAAAUAAAUUUAAACAGUAUAGCCGCCCGGCUAUACUCUUUACACAUUAAAAUAUAUCUUCAAAUAUAUUCACCCUUCUACGCACAAGGCUUGAGUCGCAUUUCCAAACAAAGUGUCAAGACAUCCAAGAGAAUAUUUCUGAAAGAAAGAAAAGGAAGAUACAAUCAAAACUUUGAUUACUAAUCCAAGCAGCAAGCAGCAAGAGGAAACUUCUAAGUCAGCCUCAGCACCAUUUCUUGAAGAAGAGCUCGCUUCUGCACUGCACUUAUUACAUGGUUGGUCUCAGCAUUCUCAACAACACCAGUGAAUCAGUGAUAAUGGCAGCUGCAUGACCAAGUGGCUCCUCAUCAGCCCUCUUCAACAUGAAGGCCUGCACAACACAACCAGAUGAGACAAUAUGACAAACUAGAGAAAGGUUUAUCUAUAAACUGAUUGUCAUUGGAAGAGAAUCUAUAGGAACUAGUGCAAGUAAAGCCUAAAUUUCAUGAAACAAAUCAACAUCCUUUUGUCCAGAGAGAGAGAGAGAGAGAGAGAGAGAGAGAGACCUGGCCAUGAUGGGAUAUAGCCAAUGUACAUGGUUGCUGAAACCAGGCCAGGCCCCAGACCAAAAAAAAAAUUUAUUUCCUUUUUUCCUUACAGAAGAAAUCCAAAUAACAGUAACAGUAUUUUAUUUAUACAGACUGAAAAAUCAGAAGACAGUAAAGAUGUAAAGCCAAACCCAUUGACAAUAUUUUUCAUAAUAAACAACAAACCAAUUGAUAACUGACCCAAUACAACCGAGUAAGACUAGGGGUACAAAACUAAUGUGAGCUGAUUUGAGAACUUUGUUGAAGCCAUAACUCAAGUCAAUAACUAUAGACAUACUAAGAACCUGAGAACCAGAAAAAUCCAACCAAAAUACAGCACUCCAACUAACUGCUCAGAGUUAUCCCAUUUAUAAACCAGAUGAUCACAAUUACUUACCAAGAUAGUAGUUGAUAAACUUAGGCGAUUGGAGCUGCUUUCCCCUGUUGAUUUAUAAUUGCUACCUUCCAACGAUCAAGAAUGGUUACUGCAACAUGCUCUAUGUGGUGCAAAACGGUGCAAAGGCCUCCUUGUCUCUCCACUGAGCCCAAACCACCUCCCCAUGACAAAACUCUAGCCAGAUCAUUCCAUGUUCCGACAGGUAGAAUAGCAACUGGAGGAGGAGACACAAAGUUUUGCUUUUCUAUGGAAUUCAGAACCCAACCAACAGUACCAUCUCCCCCACAAACAAGAACUCUGAAGUGCGGCACCUUUCUGAAUAAAUAAAGACACACCUCCGGUCCUUGUGUUGAGCUCAGCUCAAAAACCUACAUGAAACACAAAAACAUGCAACAAUUAAGCAACAAUAUAUGAUACAUCACAAAUAUUAAUAGAGAAUAGGUUCACCAAGUACUCCAUAGAAAUCAACUGAAAAUAGAGCCCAGCAUGUGAUGUUCAUAAUCAUCAGCAAUUAGAAUGUACUGUUAGGACUUCCUGUUUCACUAAGGGGCUAAACUAGCAAAUCUUAAUUUUUCAACCCCACAGAGAUUUAAACCUUAAGCCUUAUGGUAAUAACCUUACUUGGCUCAUUUGAAAAGAAAAGAAGGGGAAAUCUUUUUUACACCACAGAAAUUUAAACCUUAAACCUUACUUAAAGACCUCACUUGGCUAAACAAAGAAGGCAAAUGUAUUUUUCCAACUAAUCAAGAUGGUAAAGAAAUCAAACCUGAACAGGAUUAAGAAGAAUAUUCAAUCGAUGCCUCAGUGAAUUCACACGCUAAGCCCCACUCCUCUUGGUGACAAAUCAAUCAACUCGUAUUUUUGUUUCAUCCCUAAAACCUGAGACUCAUCAUUCUUAUUGCUCGACGAGUUCCUUUUGAAACUAGGCUUAGAAUCCAAUUUCCUAUCUACAUCACCAUCUUGGUGCUGCAAAUCCACAUUUACAGUACCAUUACAGUUUUCCUCAAUUCAUGAGAACCAUUAACAGCUUGAUGAGUAUCAGCUGUGCUUUCUGUGGACAUAUCCCCAGUAGUACUACCGCUAUUUCCCGUGUCAACAGAGGUUUCAUUUCCAUGCUUGGACUUGUUGCUCUGACUCCUAAUAUCUACGUAUUAUUCUAGUCAAUGAUCAAAAUUUUAUAUUUCUCACAGUUACUAAGCAUCAUUCAUUUUCUCUCCCUCAACACUCGUAGGACUUCAUGGAAGAUUAUGAGGUAAUUGUGCCUUUUCAGUCUCUUCAAGCUCUAGGAUGCCAUGUUGAUGCAGUUUUCCCCAAGAAGAAAGCUGGUGAAAUCUGUGCAACUGCUGUCCAUGAUUUUGCAGGUGACCAAACAUACAGUGAGAAGCCAGGCCAUAAUUUCACACAACCUUCAGCAGACUCUGUCGCCCUCUUAAUCUGCCAUCACAACUUUGUGCCAUUAGCCUUCGAAACACUUAACGUACAUCAAGUAUAGAAAUUAUUCAACAAAACCGAUAUCUAUCAAAAAAACCUAUGACAAUGGCCAAUUACCAAUGAAGAAAUUGAAAGUUUUCUAAGACAGAGGAAAAAGGAACAUGAACACAGAGAAGAACCUUGGCUCAGCUAAAGGCAUCCUGCCUUAUAAUAUAGAUGGUGAGACAAAACACGCUUUACGAUAAACAAUCUAGUCUUUAACUACCUAAUAAUACCUCAGCACUAAUCUUUGCCAUAAUUUGUUUCAAAGGCCAAGAUGCUAUCCUUACAGACAGAAACAACAAAUUUUUAAAAAAGACAAUCAACAGCACCUCUAGCAGGCAAGUUACUUUGCAAUAACGAACUCCUUUCAUGUCUGCACCUAUUUCUAAAUUCUAACUCGGAAAAUUUGUCACUGUUCCAUUGAGCAUCAUAUAGUUCUAGUUUCAUGAACACUCCUACAAGCAGUCCACUACACAAACUGGUUCACAUUAUCAUUUUGAUAAUGAGAUAUGGCAACAGGAGCGAUGUUGUAUAACAAAAUCAGUUCAAAUCACAUAACCCAAAUUUGGUCCACAACUAGCAACUCAAGUUCAAGCCCAAAAUCUAAAGACCCCAAAAUUUUGAACUAAAACUGCAAACAAGAAGAGAAAAUUGUAACCCCAGGACUAAUUUUCAUUUUCUCCCUACCAUUUCUUAACAAGAUCCAGUAGUAAUUUUACAGAAAGAAAUCACCUGAAGAACAAAGAACAUACAGGGUCGAGAGCAUGGUGCUCAAAGCCAUAAUCAGCUCCCAAAGAGUAAAAGUACAGACUUUGACACUUGUUCAAAUCUGAACUUGAGGGUCGAGGUCUUUUAAGAGUCAUUAUAUAUUGUUAUUUUUGCCCCUGUCUAUAUAUUGAGAGGAAAACAAAUCUGAACUUAUCUUAACCACUUGAGCUAGAAGCCUUUUGAAUAUAUAUUGUUUCUCACAUUACUUAUUUCCCCAAAUCACAAUUUGGCACAUUUGUAAAAAAAAAAUUUAUCAACAACACAAAGAAAAAUAUUUGCACACCUAUCAAACUGAAUUUGGCAGGAAAAUAGGAGGCAAAUUCCCACCAUAAAAGCUUGAAAUACUUAGCCAAAUAAUUGGUGAGCAGAACAACAGCCAUGUUGCAUUACUUUCAAAAUGCCUAUAGACCAUUUACUAUUCAAAACCAGAUAUUACGAAACUGAAAAGGAAAAUGCAGGGGCUGUAUAUCUCAGUAGCAUACUAGCAAAUCAUGUUAAUGAAUCACAAAACUGCAACUCAAUCAGCUUAAUCAGCUAGUUUCCCUCCGGCAUUCAUGGGUAAAGAGAAAUCUCAUAUACCUGUAAUGCAUCAUGUAUGCUGCUGCCACUGGUUUGACUCAAAAGGAAGCAGAGCGGGUGAGCCUUGGCUUGGCUAUCUUCUUGUCCUCUUCAAGAGGGAUUAGUGAAAGAUUGGCUGGGUUCUCGAUCAUCAGUUUAGCUACCAGAUACCCUGAGAUGCUCCAGGUCUGGUACUUCCUCGCUUGCUUCCUGACAUAUCUCCCUGCCUUGCUGUCAUAGUAUUCUUGCCACCUGCUUUUGAGAGCCGCUGCUCCACCUAUUCAGUUGCUCUCUUAGCAGUCCGAGGCCGCCCCGUCUUGAUACAUGCUGCAGUAAGCAACCACAGCAGUGCUACAAGACAGAUGCAACAACAUUAACCAAUUGUUUUAGAAGAACAAACACAUAAGUCAGAAUUCUGUGAACAAGCAUCAAAAUAUCAUGAAUAACACAACCAUUUGGCACGCUUUCCCAAAUUACAUUCAGAAAUGUAUCCCACAACAUUUAUAUACCCAAAGAUUUCGAUUGGAAAAGUGGUUACAAUCAGCAAAUAAAGAUGUUUAAAAUAAAAGAUACGAUGUCAGGUAAGUAGUGCUUGUAGCCUAAGUUUACUAAAUAAAAACAAUAACUAGCCUACUCGCAUAAAGUGGGUACUAAUGUUCAUGAAAUGUAAUUGAAAGGUCUCAGUCGAAUAGAAGUAUCAAUAGGCUUCAAGUAGAAAAAUAGAACUGCAAAUUGUAAUAUCAAGCAAACAGACACAGGGGACAUUAUCCGAAAGAUUUACAAAUCAACGGAAACUAACAAAACCAGCCUUGAGCCACCAAUAUUUAAGCAAAAACCUUUAUACUUUAAUGAUGAAAAUGACUACGAGAGGUGCUAAAAUGAAUAAAUAUAGCAUGUAACAGAGACAAAUCAAAACAAGACAUGAACAAAAAGAACAGAAAAGAUAAAGAGCUAAUGCAAAUAGCACACUGUGAUAACACCAUCUCCAUGAGACUUACUUGGCCAAGAGCCACCAUUGUGAUAACUCCAUGAAACUUCUCUGGGUUAUCUGUUGUUGUUCGGAAAUCUUCUUUACAAGUUAAAUCCAUGAACAUACUCACUCAUAUUGUUAAUAUUAUGGAAUAAAUGGCCUAGGCGGGCGCUAGGCAGGCUAGGCUGGGGCUAGGCGGGCUAGGCAGUCUAGGCGGUUGCUAGGCGGUCCUUAGGCGGGCGCUAGGCGGGCUAGGCGGUUGCUAGGAGGUCCAGGCGGGCUAGGCUGGGGCCAGGCGGGCUAGGCAGGCUAGGCGGUUGCUAGGAGGUCUAGGCGGGCGCUAGGCGGUCUAGGCGGGCGCUAGGCGGGCUAGGCUGGGGCUAGGCGGGCUAGGCAGGCUAGGCGGUCACAAGGCGGUCGGUAGGAUCAUCAAUGGUGAAAAAGUUGAAACGCGGUGUAUUGGUAGGGAAAAUAGGAGGGCUUUGUAGCACGCCACCGCCAAUUUGGAGACUUGACGAGUGUUACUAUCAACAAGACAACAACAACAAACCCUGCUCUGAAUUUCUCCCACAACUCUUCAGAAUUUCAUCCAGUUUUGGGUUCAGACAAUAAUUCUUCGGAAUUUUACGACGAUGAUGACAAUGACGAAGAAGAUGGUGGUGGCUGGGAGCGUGGUACAGUUUAAAAUAUUCUAUUUAAAUAGUAUAGCCGAACGGCUAUACUUUUAACAUAUUCUAUUUAUAGAGUAUAGCCGGCCGGCUAUACAUUUAGAAUAUUCUAUUUAUAUUCGGCUAUACUCUUCAACACAUUCCAUUUAUAGAGUCCCGCCGCGCGGCUAUACUGUUACAAAUUCUAUUUAUAGAGUAUAGCCGAACGGCUAUACUUUUUAACAUAUUCUAUUCCUUUGUCCAUCUGAGAGUUGAGUCUAACCAAUUUCUCUCUCUCCCUCUCUCUCUCAAAUACCAAGAAAAUGGCGAAAGGCGAACGCAGGGUGUUGUUGGUAUUGGGGGACUACGUGGAAGACUACGAGGCGAUGGUUCCAUUUUAAGCACUGCAGGAAUAUGGAGUGUCCGUUGAUGCCGUCUGUCCUGGCAAGAAAGCAGGUGAUAUCUGUCGCACAGCCAUUCAUCAACUUUCUCCUACUCACCAGGUCACCCACCUCUGCUUCUUUUGCCUUUUCCUUUUUCUAUUUUUAAUGAAUAUCGUUUUCUUUAGCCUCAUUACAUCACUUGAGCACUGUCAAUUGGUCUUUUCCAUGCUCUGUAAUUAAGCACACUCAAUUAGAUUGAAGAUUGAAUGCUUACUUCACUUGAAUUUGUAAGCCCAAAACAAGAAAUUUGUCUCAAAGAUUGCAGUGCUUACAAUUCUCACAUAUGGGAUUAUGAUUCCUCCUCUAAAAUUUGGAAUCUGUUGGGACUGGAAAUUAGUUUGUCAGUUUACGAACGAACAUCACACUUUCAAGUUUAGUUUUUUGCAUCAGCCAAUCUUUGGUAGCCUUAAUUAUAGACAAAAUGAAUAAGUUAUAUUGUUGAUUAGAGCCACUCUAUUAGAUUGACAAAUAGCAAUCCGUAGGUUAUAGUUCUAGGUUGUGUGGACAGCGAGACUAAAGUAAGCUCAAACAAGAACACAUGUUAGGAGUUUUGUUAGAAUGCUUCCUCAUUCAUUAUGAGCUAGAGAACCAACCUGUAUUGUGCUUGUUCUGGGGACAAGACAGCAUGAACAAAUUCUUGGCUCCAACGUCACUGCGUACACCAUAUUCAAUAAACAAAAUUGCAUUAGUGCCCUCGUCUCUAAGUGAUAAUAAUCUGACAAUGGGCUACCUAGGUUUGCUGAAUCGUGAUCUGUGUUUAAUUUACAAAUCUUCUAAUGCUACAUGUCUUUCUGGUCCCCCUUUGUUUUAAUAUGUUUUUUGGUUUUCUGUAUUUUUUUUUCUUUGGUUGCAGACUUAUUCUGAAUCACGUGGUCACAAUUUCGCACUCAAUGCAACAUUUGAUGACAUUGAAUUUAACAAAUAUGAUGGACUAAUAAUACCAGGAGGACGGGCACCUGAAUAUCUUGCUGUGGAUGCUUCGGUUUUAGAAUUGGUGAGAAAGUUUUCUGACUCCUGAAAGCCAAUUGCUUCGGUUUGCCGUGGGCAACUUGUCCUAGCAGCUGCAGGCUCGGUUAAAGGUAGGAAGUGUACGGCCUUCCCAGCUGUCAGACCUGUACUUGUUGCUGCAGGUGCUUAUUGGGUGGAACCCGAGACCUUGUUGGCGUGUGUUGUUGAUGGUAAUAUGAUUACUGGGGCUACAUAUGAAGGCCAUCCUGAGUUAUUUAGGCUUUUUGUAAAGGCGCUAGGAGGUAACAUAACUGGUUCAGAUAGGAGGAUCCUGUUUCUCCGUGGGGUAAGUUUUAUUUUCCUUCAUAGUGCAAUGAGAAAUAUGAAAUUGUGAUGCAGAUCAAUAUUGAGUAUAUAUAGUAUCGAGAUUUGCCCUUUUACAUGUCCUUCUGAAAGAUGGUGAAAAUAACCUGAAUAGGCUUUACCAGAUUUGCCACAAUUCUGGUGUGAUAAGGUUCCAUCAUUCAUUCCUAUGUGUUUUUUCAAUAUUAUGGUGGUAUGAUUCAUUGGUCUGCCUACCUGGGUCCGUUGCCCAUUGGAAUACUUGUUUGUCAGGUCAUUUGUGUGAGUUGGGAACUUGUGAAAGUAAAUCCAAACAUGCAUACUGGUCAUUUUUGAAGUUGUUUGAAUUAUGGAUUCUAAACAUGAUACAUAGAACAAGUACAUCCUUUAUGAAUUUUAAAAGACUUCUUUACUUAAUUUUCCGGAAAGUUGACUACUGAAGAAUUUCAAUUUCCCCCUUCCCCCAAGCCAAUUAGGUCUCCAAAUUCGAAAUGCUACUACUGCCCUAGACCCAUAAAUUAGUUGCUGUCAGAUUUCAUAAGAACCUAUUUUCUUGAAACCAGUUGUUUGUUUUCCCUUUAAAACCAAAUCCUUUGAAGCAUACCUAAACUUCUCUACCUACAAUGCCAAAAGUUAUACAACUUGACAAACCUUAAAGCCCACCACGUUUUGUAAGCUGGUUAUUUAACAGUGAUAAGAUGGUCCAUAAAUCAAGAUUGGCUGCUUGACAAACCUUAAAGCUCACCAAAUUCAAAAUAUUAUUUUACUUGUCAAUAUCAAUAGUGAUAAGAUGGUCCAUAAAUCAAGUUUGGCUACGUGUUAUAAUUCACUAGUAAAUCUAGUAAACCCCUUGACAAGAACGUUAAAGCUGCAUGUUGUUUGUUUAUGAACUAAUUGUUAUCUACGUAUUAUUCUAGUCAAUGAUCAAAAUUUUAUAUUUCUCACAGUUACAAAGCAUCAUUCACUUUCUCUCCCUCAACACUCGUAGGACUUCAUGGAAGAUUAUGAGGUAAUUGUGCCUUUUCAGUCUCUUCAAGCUCUAGGAUGCCAUGUUGAUGCAGUUUGCCCCAAGAAGAAAGCUGGUGAAAUCUGUGCAACUGCUGUCCAUGAUUUUGCAGGUGACCGAACAUACAGUGAGAAGCCAGGCCAUAAUUUCAUUUUAACAGCUGCCUUUGAAGCUCUGUAUGUCUCAAGUUAUGAUGCUCUUGUAAUCCCUGGAGGUCGAGCCCCAGAAUAUUUGGCAUUGGUUGAGAAAGUUAUUGCAUUAGUCAAGCAAAUUGUGGAAGCCAGGAAACCAAUUGCAUCCAUCUGCCACGGGCAGCAGAUUUUAGCUGCUGCUGGUGUUCUACAGGUAAGGUUACUCCCUUUAAGCCAGGCUACGCCUUUGUUUCCAGAAAAUUUGAUCCGAAUUUCAAUCUGGUCCAUAUUCUUUAAGUUUCUCUAUCAAAUCCGACUAUUUCCAUAUCGUUUCAAUUCGGUGUGUAUUGAUAUUGUUAAAAAUAUUACUGACUUUCUUUAAUGCCAUGUGAUGCCACCAAAGGAAUUGCUCCAAUAAUUGGGUUCAACUGAAACAAAGUGAAGCUUGUAAUCCCUGUUUAGGUGACAGUGUAGUUUUAUUGUAUCUGUAGCUCAUCUUUUAAUAGGGAUAGGUCCCAUGUUGUUGGGAUCAGUCCCAUGCUGUCCAGAAGUUCAAUAAGUUGAUUUCUGAAACUAAAUGAGUUGAAAGUGUACAAAAUGCAGAAUCAAUAAUAUAAAGUUAAUUUGUUAGGCACACAAACAAGGACGCAAAAUCCUCAUUAACAAUCCAAAAUCAUAUAACAAAAUCGAGAUUAUAAAUUUUGGAAUUUUAAAGUCCAAGCAUGAUAUGGUAGAUAUGGGAGAUGCUACAAUGAGGGGGAUCUGAGUGGGGGGGUGAGUGAGGGGUUCAAUCCAACCAUCCAAUCAUUAAAAAAGUUUUAAGUUCAAAAUUUCCUUUAUAUUAUUGGAUAGCAGUAUUGAACCCCUCGCCCACAACCCCUCAUUAUAGCAUUUCUGUGGUAGAUAUACAUUUAUAAUGUAGAUUACAUAACUUUUACGCUUUUUAACAUCAACUAAAAUGCUAGAGUAAAAUUAAUUUUGUGUGUGGGAAGUUUAACCAAAAAGACUAUACAGAUAAUCUGUGGAUUUAUUUGUUCUUUUACUCACUAUCAAUGUAGUUGAUCGUAAAUUCAAAUGUUUGUUCUGUUGUGGGUGUUGAUGAGCAAGCUUGCCAGUUGGUAUUGGCCCCGAGUAAUGGAGCUCAAAAAUCCACCAGCGGAGGAAGUCUGGCUCAAUUCCUUUACAUGAAGAGGGGAUAGAAAUCAACCUUCUGAAUGGACCUAAAUCACAAAUAUCACAUGUUUCAUUGGACAUGCUACUGUGGCAAUCCACACGUACCAGUCUUUGACACCACAAGCAGCACCAUAUUGGGGAUCCACCAAGAAAAGACCCACUACAUGGCUCUUCAUAAUAGCUGCAGAAAGAAGCUUCAUCAGUUUGAUCUCUCUGUUACCUCAUUCCAACGGACACCCCAUUGGUGCAUCACAUGCUCACACCCCAUCAUGGAUACACACUUGCAAUCCUUGUGCGCACACUAGAAGAGCAGCUUAGGUGAGCCGUUGCACCACAGAUACUGCAACGGUGACUAAAACUGUCUGAAGCUGUCGUAGGGCCAAGAGUUUGAGAAGGGCUCAUGGAAUUUAAGCAUACACAGCAAUUCAAGUUCUUUCCACGAGAUACCGAUUCUAAAACCAAAGUAUGAGGAGCUAUAGGAACUUUGUGACGUGCCUUUGGAUUUUUCUUUGACCUGGCUAUUGCUUUCAUCCAACUUAGAUUGAUAUUUCUCCUCCACUCAGCGAUAAGGCAAGAGACAAUAAAAAGGCCAUCAUCAGUUGGAUUCUUGUUGUUCCAAUUGGGGAAAAAAAUAUCAAUGUCACCAUCAUCAUCCAUCCUCAAUGACUACUUGGUUGAUCUACAUUCACAUAAGCAUCAAACUGCCCAAUCCCAGUUUAAUUAGGAUCAAACUCAUAUACCCUCCAAUAUGGUUUCAUUAUUCAAUAACAUUAUCAAAAGCCUCAAACUCAUUUGACAACCUAACUCAUCAUCCUAGUUAAUGCAUCAUGUGCAACAGAGAGUCAAAGUCGAACAAUGCUUUUGAUAGGUGCUACUUACUGUAACCACUUCAAUCUAUAAAAAACUGAAAUUGAUUCACAAGUAAAACAAAUAUCAUUCCAAAUACAAAGCACUUAGUUUCAUAUCAAAAUUCAGAGAUAAAAGCCAGUUACAAAAUACAUGCAAACAUGAAGGAAAUACAAAGUCCACCACAGUUGUAUCAUAAUUUAGUGAUAUUUUAAUUUAAAUGACAGUCCUGUGGAAAAACAAAACAUCUCCAGGCUCCAUCUUUAGAGACCAAAGCAACACACAAAACCCGCUUCAUACUACACUUUCUAUUCCAAUUUCUCAGAAACCAAAAGGAAUAGUCAAGCAAAGCAUAACAUACGUACAUACAUUCUAAUAUGUAAUUACGAAUACAUAUCUAUGAGUGUGUGUCUCGAUUUUAAAAUAAUAAUCAAUAAAUACAUUGAACCGUGAAGAUUUCAGAAAAUGAGAAGUGAAAGUUUUUGAAAAAAAUACGAGGGAACUUACAGUUACGUUCCAUGGAGAUGGAGAUGGAUCGCGCCGAUUAAAGAAAACCCUAGCCUUAGAACGUAUGGUCGAUCGGCUAUACUAUUUCAAAUAUAUUCAAAACGUAUGGCCGAACGGCUAUACUAUUUCAAUAUUAAAAUAUAUUUAAACCGUAUAGCCGGGCGGCUAUACUAUUUAAAUAUACGAAUAUACUUAAACCGUAUAGCCGUGCGGCUAUACUCUAAAAAAUUCAAAUAUACUUCAAAGGUAUAGCCGAGCGGCUGUACUAUUUAAAUAUUCGAAUAUAUUUAAACGGUGUCGCCGAGCGCUAUACCUUUUAAAUAUUCGAAUAUAAUUAAACCGUACAGCCGAAAGGCUAUACUAUUUAAAUAUUAAAAUAUAAUUAAAUCGUAUAGCCGAGCGGCUAUACUAUUUAAAUAUUCGAAAAUGCUUAAAGGGUACAGCCGUGCGGCUAUAUGCUUUAAAUAUUGGAAUAUACUAAAAAGGUAUAGCCGAUCAGCGAUACUAUUUAAAUAUAUUUAAACAGUAUAGCCGACCGGCCGUACUAUUUUAAUAUUCGAAUAUAUUUUAAUGGUAUAGCCGCCCAGCUAGACCCUUUAAAUGGUCGAAUAUAUUUUAAUGGUAUAGCCGCCCAGCUAGACCCUUUAAAUGGUAUAGCCUUCUAUGCAGGCUGAGCUCCGGGCAGAACAGCAGCACCUUAUAUGACUUGUAUGAGCUCCGAGCAGUGACUCACCAACUUAACAAAGCCAUUCAUGCUUCAAUUCACCCUUCUACACACAAGGCUUGAGUCGCAUUUCCAAACAAAGUGUCAAGACACCCAAGAGAAUAUUUCUGAAAGAAAGAAAAGGGAGAUACAAUCAAAAUUUUGAUUACUAAUCUAAGCAGCAAGCAGCAAGAGGAAACUUCUAAGUCAGCCUCAGCACCAUUUCUUGAAGAAGAGCUCGCUUCUGCACAUCACUUAUUACAUGGUUGGUCUCGGCAUUCUCAACAACAUCAGCGAUAGUGGCAGCUGCAUGACCAAGUGGCUCCUCAUCAGCCCUCUUCAACAUGAAGGCUUGCAUACCACAACCAGAUGAGACAAUAUGCCAAACUAGAGAAAGAUUUAUCUAUAAACUGAUUGUCAUUGGAAGAGAAUAUAUAGGAACUAGCGCAAGUAAAGCCUAAAUUUCAUGAAACUUAUCAACAUCCAUUUGUCCAGAGAGAGAGAGAGAUAGAUAAAGACCUGGUCAUGAUGGGAUAUAGCCAAUGUAUUAUGUACAUGGUUGCUGAAACCAAGGCUCCCCAUCAACCUGAACAGGGAAUGCAGCAAAGAGUUGUAUCUUAAUGACUGCCCCUGUGCCAGCCUUCGAGUCCAGACCCAUUUUUUUUUUCUUACCGAAGAAAAUCCAAUUAAUAGUAACAUUACGUGGAAUAUGUGAGAAAAAUAUGCUAUUACUGAAGUUGUAAGUUUCUCGCAACUUUCGUACAUUCAUCAACAAUACUUUAUCAAACAUGUUACAUAUGAAUGAUUUCAAAGUGCAAUCUCAAUCACAAAUUAGAAAAAAGGUUUGCAUAACAUAAUGAGCUUUCCAAGUACAUAAACUAAAAUAUGUCAGUAUUUUCAGAAUUCACCGUAAACGUAAAUCUUAAUAAACCUAGAAAAUCUUAAUGGUCGGUUCCAGUAUAUUCUUAUGACUUCCUUAAUAAGUAAAAUAUAUAUUAGGAAAAUGAUAUCCGUGUUCUACUUUCAAAGAUUUAAGGAAUGUUGUUAAACAAAGAAACCUAGUUGAGUAAGAAAUAUCAAAACUGUAAAGUUACCUAAACCUUAUUUGUUUAGGAAAUUUACAUAAUAUUCUAAAACUUAAACCACAAAGAAAAUGAAAAAGGAAAUAAAAUCUAACACCUUGCCAAAAAUCAUAUUCUUGAGUUUGUUCAAGCAACUCAAAUUUUUUAAUGAUACACCUUAUUACUACAUUUUUCGGGACAUAAUUAAUGGUUGAGUGCGAACUUUGUUUUUUUUUUUCUUCAUAAUUUCUUGGUAAUUCUCUAAACCGCUUUAUUUUCUUUAAUUUUCUCUAUUAUACUCAGACAGACUCCUAUCUUGUCCUACAUGUACGUAAAAUCCAUGAAUAAUUGUAACCAUCUGAUCGACCGAAGUGUGAAAUUUCCAUUGAAAACAAGCAAAUAGACCCAAAUCACAUGACAACCACUAACUAACUUUUGAAAAAACCGUUACAAGCAGAUUCAGUCAAAGCCAGGAGGCACCACCUUUCCCGCUCCAAAACCGUACCCGUUCACUCAAUCAAUUCAAUUCCGUACCAUCCUCUCUCCCUCUCACUCUCACUCUUUCCUCAUUAUAACCUCCUCAGCUACCCUCUGAGACGAAGAAGAAGAAUCUCUCUCACCAAUUAAUUUAAUUCCUUCUGUGCGUAACGUUGUUAGAACUUGGAAUUAACUAGCAGCAUUACAGCAGAACCCUAGCCAUAGAAUCAUAGUAUGUUUUCUUGGGGGAAAUCCUCGCGGUCUAUACACCGGGUUGUUUUUGAUGUUCAUCGCCUCAGCUCUCGCCCGUUGUUCAACAAAUCACAACCUUCCUUUGUCUCAUCAUCACCAUCUUCUUCUUCUCCUUCUUCUUCUUCCUCUUCUUCUUCCUCUUCUUCUUCCUCUUCACUCAGCUCAUCAGUAGGUAGGUUUGGCUCUGAUGGCAACUACAACGGCAGAUCAGGCUCCAGUGAAGAUACUUUUAAUUUCUUCCUGAGAUCGGUUUCUUCAGGGGUUCUGAUUCUUGGGACCAGUAUAGGCUUUUCUUAUCUGGAUCCGAACUCCUUUGUGUCUUUUGCUGAUAAUUGUCCGAAAGAGGCAACGGCAUGGGCAAUCGGGGAUGACCAAAAUAAAGCUCAGUUUUCCCUAUUUGGAGGUACCUUGUUUGUUCCAUUGUUUUCUUCAACUUAACUUGAUCUAUAGAUCGUGUUUUCCUUCAUGUUUCUGUUCUCUUUAAUACCCUACUAUUCAAGUUUCAUGUCUUGCACAUCCAAUCCAUGUAGAAGAUAUUAGGUUAAUCUGUGUAUGCAUGAUGAAGUAAUUAAUGGUACAUGUAUGGAGAAGGUAUUUACCCUAAUCGAUCUUGUCUCAGAUUCAUAUAGGAGAAGAGUUUUCUUCAUGUACGAAAAACGGAUCAGAGAUCAAAGUCCUCCUGAGAAGGUAUGCAGCAGGCACUCCUCACAAAAUUGAUUUAUUGCAAAGUUAUAUGUUUGUGGUGUCAGAUUUGUACUAGAUAGAUAGUUUGUUGGGCAACACUACAUGUUUGUGUUGUGGUUUUCAGGUAUUUGAGUACUUUGCAUCGGUUAAAAACCCAGCAGGAGAGGCGUUUAUGACUCCGGCAGACUUGAUGAGAGCAGUUGUUCCUGUAUUUCCUCCCUCCGAAUCAACCCGUGUCAGAGAGGGCUCUUUGAGAGGGGAGAAGGUUCCUGGCCAGUUGCAUUGUGCUCCUUCCAAAUUCUUUAUGCUUUUCGACACCGACGGUGACGGCCUCAUUUCUUUUCCCGAGUGAGUAGCGCGCUAAUACACUCAAUUACUCUAAUUGAAACUUCUUGUUAUGAUCUAAAAACAUCAUACUCGUUUCAUUCUUAAUGUGAUCAGGUUCAUCUUCUUCGUCACCCUCCUCAGCAUCCCCGAGGCAAGCUUUACGGUGGCAUUUAAAAUGUUUGAUCUUGACAACAGCGGGUGGGUUUACAUUCUUUAUCGUCUUCUCUGGUCAAGUUAUAAGUAAAAAUCUUUUCAUGUGUAGCUGAUUCUGAUAGAAAGCUAACUUGUUAAGCGUAUUAUUGACAGAGACAUUGAUAGGGAGGAGUUUAAUAAAGUCAUGUCUUUGAUGAGAUCUCAAAGCAAACAAAACAAGGAUGGCCAUAGGCUCAAAGUUUCUGUAGAUGACGGAGGCCUACUUGAGUACUUCUUUGGCAAAGAUGGCAAAAAAAGUCUCAAACAUGAAACAUUUGUUAAGUUUUUCAGGGAUUUACACGAUGAAGUAAGUGGUCUUCUUUUUUUUUUUUUUUUUUCUUCCAGGGCCUUGUCAUUUUAUCAUACUUCAUUUUUUUUUUCCUCUGGCAGUCAGCUGAUCUUUUCAUGUUUGUUUUUCUUCUACUAUUUCUGAAUUUGAAAGAUGUUGCGCUUGGAGUUUUCUCAUUAUGACUACAAAGAACAAGGAACCAUAUCAGCUAAAGAUUUCGCAUUGUCCUUGGUUGCGUCUGCUGAUAUCAGUGAUACAAACAAGUUGCUUGAUCGGGUUGACGAAUUGGACAACGAUCCACGUCUCAAAGACAUAAAAAUCACAUAUAAGGAAUUUAAAGAUUUCGCAGAGCUUCGAAAGAAUUUGCAGUCCUUCUCUCUUGCCAUUUUCAGUUACGGAGAAGUGAAUGGGGUGUUGACAAAAAAAGAUCUCCAGAGGGCCGCUUCCCAAGUACAUAACAUACACAUCUCUUAUUUCUAGGUAGCUUCUUUGAUCAUUAGUAGAUAUUAUUAUUAUGAUGAUUAACUUCUACUUAUACAGGUAUGCGGCAUCUCUGUUCCUAACAAUGUGAUUGACAUAAUAUUCCAUGUGUUUGAUGCAAAUGGCGAUGGUGAUUUGAGUGCAAAUGAGUUCGUAAGAGUUUUACAACGACGUGGAGGUGAAGUCUCAGAGACAGGCUUCAGGGGACUUCUAUCUUGCUGGUUAAACUGUGCCACUAUAUUUGGUCAGCAAAGCUGCACCUUUAGUUUCUAAGAUUAUACCUGAAUUACCCUUCAGCUUACAUAAGCAAUGUAAAUGCCUCUAAUCUUGCGUUGGAGUUGAAAGGAUGCUGUUAGAAUCCGGCUGGUUUGUUAUUGAGGGGAUAACAUAUCACAGCAGACUGGUCAUACCAAAGUUUUGUAUCCCCAUAUUGACCAUUACAACUUCAAAGUUCAAACAAAUAUAAGUGCACAUCAUCUUUGUUAAUUUGUGUACAAAAAAUUUCUGCUAAUAAUAUAUAUAUAUAUAUAUAUAUAUAUAUAUAUAGUAAUCUCAUAGUAUAGUUUUUAAUAAAUGUAACUCCAUACACUAAUGUUUUCCUAGUUGAGUUUUGUGGGUUCUGGCUGCGUGAAUUUUCCAAGACAGUUGUGGUUGAGAGCUUGAUUAUGCAGAUGCUUAACAUACUUCAGAUGCAAAUUAGGAUCAAGGCACCCAAUCUGCCAAAGAAAGGACUCCUUCAAUGACAUUGCUUAGGGAUGAACAUUUUAAUAAGCAUUAACAAGUUUGAGGAGGUCACCAUAAGAGAGGCAAUCCUUAGUUAGUCCUAUAUGAAUACAUGUAUUCAAACUUUGUUCUUAUUUAGUAGACGGUAGAGUAGAUUUCAACACAAAAAAUGCUAAUAUUUAUCCCAAAAUUGUGCUGAUUUUGCCCAACUAACAGGCAUAUCAUCACAGAUAAUUAGCAUUAUCAUAAACAAGAUAACAAUGGCACCAGCAUACCAUUGAAAAACAUUUGAUUGAAUAAGCACAUCCAGUGAUGAAAUAUGACACUACUACUACUACUACUACUACUACUGCUUGAAGCCGUAACAUUUAUGGUCUUCGUUGUCUAUUUACACACAAAACUUAGAAAUGCAUAUCAUAUGCAUGUCAAUUUCAUCCAGUGAUGAAAUAAGACAUUACAUACAAAAGCACAUACAUAAAUGCGGUGGAAGCAGACCAUACCAAUCAAGAGAUAAGGCUCCAAGUCAUCCAAAAAUUAUCUCCGAGAAUCUAAUAAGCAGCACUGCUAAUCUAUCAUAGCAAGUAAGAGCGACUACAAGCGCAAUCAAAGAAUUCAUCUUCUCAGGCUUACCCGACUCAGGUGGGCGGCAAGUACAUCCCUCAUCCUCUCACCACUCUCAUCCACCUGUCCAUGGAAAACAGGAAGCUCCUCCUCCCUUGAGCUCUUCACAUUGUCAUCUGGCAUGGGCUCACUACACUUGAUGAGAAAAUUAUGCAGCAGGCACCCUGUAACAAUAACGAAUGGCAGAAACUCGACACACUCUUCCUUCCACUGCCUAGACAGAAGCUGCCACCGAGCCCGAACCCUCCCAAAUGCGGUGUCAACCAACCCCAUUGCGCGACUAUGUACCGAAUUAAACGCCUUCUCCAAUGAACCAAAGCUAUCCGCCUCAUCCGAUCUUAUAUAAGGUGUUAAAAGCCAUGGUAAAAGAGGGAAGCAAGAGUCCCCCAAUAUGUAUUGAGGAAUGGCCUUGCCAUUACCAAGCUCAUAAACAGGACCAUUCAGCAAGUCCCUAGAUUCCUCUACACCCAAAUAAAGUUUAGUCUGACGGAAAAUGGAUUCGAGUUUCAUGGCGCUGGGCCAUCCGGCCGAGACAUCAAGGAACCUCCCCUCAGAGUCCACCAAUGCCUGAACCAACAAAGACCCAUUUGGCCCCAACACUUCACCACCAACCCCAAACCUCCCAAACCCCAAAACCCCACAACAAUUCGGCAGCGAAAUCCACCCGAAACCCCCCACAAUCCGGGCUAUAUCAGACCGGAACUCGAACAAGUUACCUAAUUUAUCGCUCACCGCCUUACAGACGGCGAAAAAGGCUCGGCAGGCCUCCACCGAGUCGAGCCCGAAGCGCCUUCCCACAGCCUUGUAGCUCGCGCCGUGGGCUAAACGGUAAAUUGCAGCAGCCAGAACGAAAUUGGGUGGAAUUGAAGGGAUUGUGGAGUUGAGAAAUGGGGAGAGGAGAGAGAGGAGGAUGGAGAAGGAGUGUUCGGACAUGCGGAAGGUGUAGGACCACCGUGAGUCGAAGUUUCUGCUGGCGGAGGUAGCGGAGAGGAAGCGGCUGAACCAGCAUUCUAGUGGUGGUGGUGGCGGCCGUAGUGGUGGUUGCGGUGGUGGGUUCGGGAAGCAGAGGAGGGUGGAGAGGGAGGUGGAGGUGGAGGAGAGAAGGGUUUCUAGGGUUAGGGUUUGGGAGGGCAGAAGGAGAAGGUCGUUUUGGGAGAGGAAGGAGUGGGCCAGUGAGGUGGCGGUGGCUACGAGACUUACGAGGUGGUGUUGACUGAGGGGCUUCUUGUUGUGUCGUUUCUUGUUUUUGGCCUUGCCUUUGGUGGUGCUCUUAGCUGCUCUGCCGCCACCGCCGCCGGCAGCCAUUGGUGGUGGACUUUGAAGUUUGAUUACUACGAGUGAGAGAUGUUGACACGCAGAGUUUGGGAAGCAUAUAACUCUGUAAGUGCAGAUCACUAUGACGUUUUUCUUUUCUUCUUUCCUCUUGGCCCUUCCUAAAGCAAGCAUUUUGCCAACGGCCACUUGUUAGUGCUUAUUGCUAUUCUCCACCCCCCAGUAUUAUCUAUAUAUAUAAAGUAAAAGGCAGAGAAUGGUGAAACAUUUAAAAUACCAGAAAAUGCCUUUGGUUAAUGCAAACAUUAAGAAUUCAAAUUAUUAAUUAAAUGAGGAUAAUAUGGUAAAUUCACACUUUUCAUAUUUAAAAAAAUUAAAAGAAAAAGAAAAAGCAGAUAAUGGAUCCUAUUUUUAUGGAACACAACUACCCAUUAUCUUUUUUAAUUCUAAAAUAAAUUUAUUUAUUUUUUUAAAAAAACCUCUCGCAAGCGCGGAAGCGCGUGCAGAGAGGCUAGUAAUUUAGAAAAGGGUGAUGCUAGGGAGACCAACUUUAGAUACCAACUUGUGUACCAACUCUCUAAUAGAGGUGGAGCCCACCAAUACAAUGGGUCUCACACUCUAUUAGAGAGUUGGUACACAAGUUGGUAUCUAAAGUUGGUCUCCCUAGCAUNNNNNNNNNNNNNNNNNNNNNNNNNNNNNNNNNNNNNNNNNNNNNNNNNNNNNNNNNNNNNNNNNNNNNNNNNNNNNNNNNNNNNNNNNNNNNNNNNNNNNNNNNNNNNNNNNNNNNNNNNNNNNNNNNNNNNNNNNNNNNNNNNNNNNNNNNNNNNNNNNNNNNNNNNNNNNNNNNNNNNNNNNNNNNNNNNNNNNNNNNNNNNNNNNNNNNNNNNNNNNNNNNNNNNNNNNNNNNNNNNNNNNNNNNNNUUCAUGGUCAUUGACGAAGUCUCCCCCUACAAUGGCCAUUCUGGGAAGCCCAUGGAUCGACAAGAUCAAUGCCAUCACCUCCGCCCACACAUCAGAAGAUCUGCUACCCAAUCCCAAGGGGCGGUCUCAGCUUGAUUUAACAGACGAUCAGACAACAUCGAGGAAAUGCUCAGCACCAAGGGCAGCACUCCAUGAAGAGAAGCAAGUAAACACAGUUCCUUCUUAUGAAUCAGGCAGAUCUAAAGAGAGUAGAACAAGCAGAGGAGAAAACAAAUCCUAGUUCCUGGUAUCUAAAGUUGGUCUCCCUAGCAUUUUCCUUUAGAAAAACUCCGAUUUAAAACUGUGAAUGAAAACUGAGAGCAUAUAAUACACCAAUAUACCUUCUCCAUCUGUCCAUUUAAAUACAAGAAUUAGAGACCAACUUUUUCUUCUCUUCCUUCGUCUUAAUAUUUCAUUUUCCCCCUUCUAAUAUCUAAUAUUUGUAGCUUUAUACAAAGUAAAGUCCCAUCUUUAUAUACUCUGUCCGCUCCAACACAAAACCAAGGUGGAAAGUUUAAGCCUUGAUGAACAAGAAAUUUUCUAUAUUAUAAACCCGGUUUCCGUCUUCUUCGAAAGCCCCAGAUUGUCCUAAGCCCUCUCUGUGUUGCUUAUGGCGAAGCUAAAGAUUGCAGGGACAUGGGCGGGUGUGCUGGAGGUUGAAUUGGAGGAUUGGACCGUACCCAUGUUGAGAGAAGAGGUUGCAAAGCGAUCAAACUGUGAGAGCAACUCAAUCAAUUUGAUAUGCGCAGGAAGAGUCUUGAAAGACGGCGAUGGAAACGAGAAGUUGGCCCAAUUGGGUAUCAAGAACAACGCCAAGAUUCUUGCUAGUCGGGUAUGUGCUGAAGAGGGCAAGUCUUUGAAGGAGGAGUUGCUGGCUGAAGACGAACGCUCUCGCAGACUGGCUCGAGUCAAGUGAGUCUUUCACUUUAUUUCUUUUUGGCUUUUGCAGUUCGUUUUAAUUUCUCGAUCAUAGGUUUGUUCAAUUUUUAUAAAAGCACAGACCUUUGACGAAGAAUGUUCUUAUAUUAGUUAAUUUGAUAAUAGAAUCCGUUCAUUGUGAAUCGGUUGUUAUAUAUCUGUGGUUUUCUUUUUAGCUAUUGGUUCUUCCGAACUAUCUAUUUCGUGUAUUUUGUUUCGGGAGCAAAUUCUGUUUGAAUUUAAUUCAUCUUGUUAUUUUUUAUGGAAAACGAAAAUCACUAUGAUUUUGGAAAGGGACAAUAUGAUUUUGGAGCUGAAUUGCUAAAGCACUUUUAUGCGAAAACUGAACUGAAAUAUCAGUGAACUUCUGAAGAUUGUUUCCCUCUUGGUGUUUUCAUCUUGUCUUUCUUUGGUUAUUGAGGAUUCUGUCAAAAAGAAAAUUUGAAUCACCAUUUUGUGAGUUUAUGGUGUUUGGUAGUCAAAAAGGUAUAAAUUUUAUCCAAAAUCAGCCUCCUUCUUCUUCUUCUUCUUCUGCUUCUUCCUAUUCAAGCUAAUGAGUCCCUCGCAAAUACCAGCAACUGUAACCACUAUGCUUUCGGAUCAUGCGCUUCCAUAUUUACCCAAUUAAAGAUUGGAUGCACCAAUAUUAUAGAGUUUGUAAACAGUGCCUUAACUGGGGAUAUAUAGGCUGCUUUAUUCUUGAGAAUGCAGGUUUGGACCUAGUAAAAUAGUGAACAUUUUUGAGCUUUGAUUGAGCUAGAGGUAGUGAAAUACCUUCCAAUAAGGAGGUUAUUGACUUAGUGAUCCUCUAUCAUCUGGCACUGAUAAUGGUCCCCGAUUGUUAUAUCAGCGGGGCAUAGCACAUUUUGGCCUAUAUUAUUGAUUUGUUUAUGUCUUUGUUCCACUUUUAACUUGGUUAUGUACCUAUUACCUUAAUAGGGCAGCUGCCACUGCAUUGGCCAAGAGACAUGCAGAUGGUUCAUUGCCGAUUGAAGACUUCAAUAUAGUACUUGAAGAUCAAAGCGGAAAGAAAGUACAGUUGGGAUCUGAGACUGAUCAGCGGUAUGAUAGAUAAUUAGGUUUCAAGAAUUGAUCCAAGCACGUACUUCCUUUUGUGAUAAGUUUAAUGUACAGUCACAUUUUAAUUUUAAAGAUUUGAACUGUCAUUUGUCAGGGCAAUCAUGAUGGGCCUGAUGCUUCAUACAAAUGGAAAACAACUAAUUAAAAGACAAAAUUAUAAAGAUGCAUUAGAAGUGCUUGCCAUGGGAGAGGUCAGUUCCUAGUGCCUGUUGCAAUUGAUAAUUUAAUAUAUGAUCUGUAACCCUGGGAUAAAAGAUAUCUUUAGAUUUGAUGGCCUAAUAUCUCAUGUGAUAUGGCUUAUGCCAUGGCAAUGCUAGUUAUAUCAGUUUUGGACAUGUUUCUGUAGUAAACAAAUUAUUAUAUAUUGAAGUAUGUAGCCAGAAAAGAUUCUGUGACUAGGAGUGUUGCUUAAUCCAUGUGUGGUUAUUUCAUUAUUGUAGGAGGCUUUCUCUCUUUCUGACCCGAAGGUUAUAGAGGUGAGUGAGCCAUAUUGAAGAUUUAUCAUUAUCACUAUAUUGUUGUCAAGUUCCAUGUGGCCUCCAUGUAACUUUGACCAUUAAAAUAUCUCAAGAUUCAUUUCUCUUUCAUAGAUAUACUUCAAUAUCAUUGUAUAAUAUCCUUUUCUGUUUGACCGCAUACUUCUUUUCAGCUUGUUGACAAUCCUCCAAUACUGCAAAUCGAUAUGGUUUGGUGCUAUUUCAUGCUCCGAGACAUCAGCUGGCUCUCAGUGGCAGGAGUUCGCCUUGAGAAAGCCAGAGAAGGAAUUGAACGAGCUCAUGGAAAGGACUCUUCUCGUGUCAGACUCCUUCAGGCAGGCCGCUUCCCAGAGCUUGCACUGUGAGUACUUUUACUGCUAGGCAUGUUCCUCGGAACGACUCAGGAUAAUUUUGGUCUAAUCACUUUUUCGUUUUCUCAUCAUAGAUAUUUGAGACUGGAGCUGCUGGAAGGGGUGGUGGCGUAUCACAGUGGUCAGUUUGAGAAAUCAAGGAAGGUGCUAGCUUCUGCACAAGGAAAAUUCACCCAGGUUAGUUCAAUUACAAGGAAGGUGCCAAGGAUUAGCUUUGUCUGGCUAGGUUGUUUUGGAACUCUGUAUGCAUAAGUUGCCCUGAAACUUUUCAGUCAAUUAUUUCUGAACUGCCACACCAUGUUUGAAAUUCCAUCUGCAAAGUGCUCGAAUUCAAAAAAGAAAAGAAAUUAUUUAAAUCUCCACAGAAUUGAAGUGUGGUAUGCUGAUAUUCCUGAUCUCUCACUUUUCUGGGUGAUGCCAGUAGUUUUCAACAAGAUCCAAGUAACCUACCAUCUCUACAUCUAUGUUGCAACUGCACCUGAGUACAUUUUUGGUUGUUGAUACCAGCUACAGGUGCCAGAUGAAGCCCUAUCACUUGUUAUGAGCAUGGGGUUUAGAGAACGAGAUGCAAAAAGGGCAUUGCGGAUUAGCAAUCAAGAUGUUUCUACUGCUGUUGAUUUUCUUGUUGAGCAGAAGGCUAAGAGAGCCCAAAAACGGGAAGAAGAUAUUCGCCAGCGAGAUGAAAUUAUGUGGGUGCCUUUCUAAGAUCGAUUUUUCUUUGAGUUUCUGUCUGUACUGUUACUUAAACAAACAAAUUGGCAGGGAGCAAAAGAAGUAUGGGACAACGCCUUUGAAGAAAGCUGUGGAUCUCCAGAAAUUGAAUCAAUUGGUCUCCAUUGGGUAAGCAAGCCAAGACAAGUUGUUCAUCAUUCUUUAAUUUGAAGGGCAUGCUUGUUUCAAAAUGAUGGUUCACUGGAUAAUUUAUGUCCAUAAACAUGAGCUCCUGUCAUUGGUCAUUCUAUGAGUUGCUUGACUUUGCAGUUUUGAGAAGGAGCUUGCUGCUGAAGCGCUUAGAAGAAAUGAGAAUGACGCUGAGAAGGCAUUGGAUGAUUUGACCAAUCCAGAAACUAAUUCCUCCAUACAGGUCACCUGUGUAUUUCUAUAUAAUUAUUAUUUUAAUUUAAUGAGACAUUUUCAACAUUACUAACUUUGUCUGACCUGUAGGUAUAUAUUGAGUCAAGGAAAAGGAAACGACAGAGCCAAGCAGUUAAUACUUCAGUUGAAGCGCUUGUAGGCAUGGGCUUCGAAAGAUCAAGAGGUACUUGUCAAAGGCCUGUUUGCAGAGCAUGUUUUACAGAGAUUCCCUAGACACCCCGCUAUCUCUCUGAGACACAGACUUUACCUGUUAUUAUUUAGAGCUAUUAUUGGCCAAAUCACCCUCACAAUUUUAUUUUUAUCGAACUUUGUCCUAAACUGUUACCAUCGUCAGAAAGUAAUGUCCAAUUCCUUACUAUUCCAUGAGGUUGAGAAGUAGCUAGGCUCUGAUGUUAAACUUGGUAUGCAGUGGUUGAAGCUUUCCAGGCUGCUGGGGGAACGAUGGAGCAAGUAUUGCAUCAGUUGCUCUCAGAAAAUGCAGGAAACCCCACAAAUGCUGCUAGCAACAAUAUCCCGACUGACGCUGCUAAUGACAUUGCAAAUUCUCUUGUUUCAAUGCUGAAUAAUAACGUUGAUCAAAAUGGUGAAGUUGGAGGUCCAUCAACUGCUGGUGAAGUAGGAGACCGUGAUGCUGAGAUGGAAGAUGAACUUGCUGGAGAACUAGCGCAAGGAGAUGCUUUAUCGGACUAUGACCUUGAAGUUACCAAAGAAGGUGAAGCCAUAAACGAGUAUUUGGCUCUGCUGGACUCGGCAGGCAAAUAGUGAGAGAGCAUCAUCUUCCCAAUGAGAAGAGCACAACUCUGAUAAUAAGCAAGGCAGAUUCUAUGUAAAUUAUAUAUAAUGAAUGGUGUAUAUGAAAACAGUGUAGGCGUUAGAUUUAGUUGUGGUGAUGGCACUACAGUUACCAUUGGCAUUCCGGAUAAUUAGUGCUGCUAUAAAUCUGUCGUUUAUCCCAACGACAUCUAACACUUUUUUGACAGGUCGUUCGUGUAGCCCAAUCGUCCUCAAUGCAAAUCGCUAGUUUUUAUCUAUAACCAUUUCUUAGAGUAAACUUCGCAUAAUAUUGAGAAUGUGAUUUCAGUUUUUAAAUGUAAGAUUGUACAAAAUUGAAAGUUAUCUUGAAAUUGUAACCAAAAAAUAUAUUUUGAAAUCGAUUAAGUACCAAAUUAGUAUAACUAAUAAAGCAUUUUGUUUUGUUAUGUCAAUUCUAACUUGUUUUUCGACAACUUUUUUCUUUGAGAUGGCUUGCCAGCUGUGACAUUAACAUGUCCUUACGUUGUAAGCUCUUUUCCAUCUCUGAUGUCGGAAAGCUGCUUAUUUGGGGUAAAAGUGAGUUUCAGAAUUGGUUUCUACGGUUGGUUUGCUUUCGAGGGCAAAAGGCAUGUGUGAGAAUUUGAGAGGGCCAAAUAAUACACUGAACUUUAGGGUAAAUAAAUUUCAAGGCUUGUGGAAUAUAUGUAAUGUUUUUUAUUUGGUCCCAACAGCUUCAACUUCUUCGAAAUCCUGCAGAGUAAACGGAGUAGAAGAAAAAAACAUCCUUUCUCCUAAAGGGACAACAACGUUAUAGAGGAAAUGGGAAUAUGUUUCUAUGUUGUGGGAAAUGCAAAAGAAAUCAGAAGAUACAAGAAUACAUUAGGUUGACUAUCACUGGUAUUCACAAAGAUUCUGCGAAUCAAUAUAUUGUUAAUCAUCUGAAACAUCAUUAGAUGGAGAUUCACUGUCUGUGUCUGCGCCCAAAACUAUCUGCUUGAUAUUAGAUUCUUCCUCUGCUUUGGUUUCCUUGUAAUCCUUGGGAAGCACAUUACAGUUAAUGGCCUGCCAUACUGGUCUCUCUGCCAGGAAUGCUCUGUUGGGUCAAAGCUAGUCAUUAGAGCAACUAGUAACAUAACACCACAAAAAAGAUGUGCACAAAACAUAACAGAGUGGGGGAGGGAGGGGAAGGGACGGAGACUCACGGGUGCUUGCAAAGUGUGGGGCACUGAAUUGUAACUGCAUACUUGCAAGUGGCUAUCUCUGUAAUUGAAUUAAUCAUAGCUAUGCCCUCUGAGCACACAAAUCUCACCUGCAAAUGCAUACAACGUAAGGGCGGCAAGAAAAGAUGCAAAAGGAAAUUAAAAACUACAUUAUAUAUAUAAAUUAAUAACUUAAUACCUCAGUCGCCCGUUGUUGGUCUGUAAGAUCACAUGUAGUCCCAUUUGUAUAUUGGUGAGCAUGAUACCUAUAUGAACCGUGCAAUUUGAUGAACUGUACUCAAUCUAACGCAUUUUCAUAAAGACAAAAUCAUACCUUUGGUAUGCAUCUUUUGAGCGUGGAUCUUUAAGUCUAGAUAUGUCAGAAAGAUUCUGGUUGACAGCAGCAGUGGCCUCUGCAUCAUAUAUACCCAGAAUAAAUUCCUGAACCACCUGUAAUAAGAGACGAAAAUAGCCAAUUACAUGGUUAAUAUUAUCGGGUUUCAAUUGGUCUGAAAGUGUUCCAACGAGAAAUGAGAAUAUCUAAAAAGAUGACGAUAAUAAUGCUAAUGCAACUGGUUUUAAUUCCUGAAAAAUUGGAAAAGAAAACCAAUGUAAGAAAUUGACCGAUGUCUGCACUACCUGUACCACAGCAACUACUACGUAUAACACUAUAACCACUACAAGGAUGGAGGAACAAAAACACAUUGAACAGGCAGGAUUACCCAACCAGGACCAACCCUAAUACUUAAGUAGUUAAUCACUUACGGGAAUGCAUCAAAUACAGUGUGCCAACACUACAUUAAAGCCCAAGACCAUCUUGAUAAAUGUAGUACUUAUUAACACACUUGAGGCAUAUUAGUUCUCUUCCUCUCAUUAUAUACAGUUAUACUGCGGAUAACAUAUUUCAAAAGAAGCAUCAGAAAAUAGAACUAACAAUAGAAGUAUAUUAUAUUUUAAAGUGAGCAUUUGAGAGGGACAUGGGAGAAUACCUUCUCAUCUUCCAAAUGAAUUUGCCGUAAUCUCUUCUGAUAGCAAAACUCAUAUGACCACCAACCCUCUUGCUGCAUAAAGGAGUUGGUUAUGUUAGCAUAAUGUACAGUAAAUGCAUAAUCACCUGGUUACUAAUGUAGUUUUAUAGGUUACAUAACUAUGAGCAACAGUAAAGGGAAUUUACACAUAGGCGCCCUCACCAGAUUUGAUCUAAUUAUAAAAACCAAAAUAAUAGAUGUGUUGCUUUUCUAAAUUAAUUGUAAGAAGAAAAAUAUUUAUGUGCUACAAAACCAUGGGACGAAUUGAAGACAGUUUUAAUGUCACAAAUCUUACUCUGAUAAAGCAUUCUUCCCUGAGUACUUCAAGCAGCUCAUCUGGUGUCUUCAUCUUAACUCGUUUCUCAGUUUCCACAAUCACGCUGCUUAUAUUAUGCUGAAGGACUUGCUUCCCACUCUUGGCUUCCUCCACCUUAGGCAAAUAACAUAUAAAAUUUUGUCCAUUGUCAUUUGGCAUAACCACAGACUCUUGACCAUCCUCCUGCAAUAUUUGUACCCAAUUAUUAGAUCAACAUGGUUUGAGGAGGAUCAAUGUUUAUAUGUACUUUUUUAUUCUAAAGAAUUUUUUUUUUUUUUCCUUUUUGGGGCGGGGAAGUUUCAAAGCAUCAAAAUAUAACAACCACAUACAUAUAGGAACAAACAAUAAAUACAAGUAAAACUAAAUAAAUAAAAAUACAAUCUUAGCUUACAGGAUGAAAAGGUGAGUCUUCAGGAUGGAAUUCAAUCUUGUAUUUUGGUUCACGAGAGCUGCGACUAAAUGUGCCACCUGCUCAUCAAUAGAUGGAAAAAAAAAAAAAAAAAUUUAUUUUGCAGUAAAAGAUAUCAAAUUUAACAAACAAAUUAGAUAAAUAAAAUAGUUUCUAAUUGUACCUAAAAAUAAAGCUAGAACAAGAUGAUUAUCCUCAUGUAAAGAUCGUGAUUGCAUUACAAAAGGUCCUAAAAUCACAGACACAGAUUCCUACUCACGCUAGAAUCUACAGUCAGUUUCAACGCUGACCUGACUACAGCUGAAUCACUUCAGCAUAUGUAAGAACAAUCCUUUUGGCAACUCAAACUUUUUUCAGUGAUACUUUGUUUGCCAAUAAAGUGCCUUCCACAAACUACCCGUUCUCAACCCGAUUCCAGUCCCUACUAAUUGAUGACAACAAAGUUUGGCCCUUCAGACUAAAGGCUAAACAAGCUUACGACCCCUUCAACUGCUUUCAAACUAAACUAAUUUAACUAAGCUAGAAGCUGUAACUUUACGUACAAAUUUAAAUAAUUAAGCUUAACUUAAAGCAAUUCAAUGUGGUUUAAUUUGAAGUAUGGCCAAGCCAAUAGAAAUCUCUAUGCAGUCCUAUAGCAAUACAAAUUGAUCAUCCCGUUAAUAAUCUCAGCUGAGCUGAAAAUUCGUCAAAUUUACGUUAUUCCAGAAACCUAUAUAUGAACCAUUAAGCCUCAGAAUCAAGGCUCAAGUGCAAACACCUUUCAAAUUCCACCAAUGUUUUCAAGCUCAGCAUCUGAUUAACAACGAUUGAUGUAACACUAAAAAACCAAAUACACACACGCUUAUAUAUAUAUAUAUAUAUAUGCAUGUAGUUGAUAAACUUACUGAAAAAUUCUGGGCUUCCGCUCCCUUGAUACCCAAAAAAAAAAAACUAUUUAAAUUGGGUAAGCAAGACAUGAUUUUGUAUCAAAGAAGGAAGGGUGUCACUAAAACAAAGAUGGGUUUUAGAUUUCAGCCAUGAAAAAAAUGAAAUUAUGCAAAUAUGAGAGGGAAAUAGAUGGAUUUGAGAAGUGGGUAAUUACCUAGGUGAGCUGGGAAGAUCUGAUCGGCCAAGACAAGGUGGCACAGAACGUACAGUUGAGUAAUAAACACUACCAACUUCAUAUUUUUGUUCCUUUUGAGAAGAAAAAAAAAAAGUCUCAAAAGAGAAGUUAGAAAAGGGGAGAGGUAUUAAACCUUGGCUAUUGCUACGUCAAUGAAGAAGACGAAGAACACAGAAGAAGAAGAAGAAUAAGUGAUGCAGCUAAACUGUUGUGGUUGUUUUAACACCUCCACGCAGACUAGCCAAUAAAUGGACGCCGCGUAAUGUGCCCACUUGUAAUUUUGACACAGUGGACAUGACUGAGUUGACGUGGCAAUUGUAGGGCUGCAAAGCCCAACCUCUUCUUUUAGAAGGUUGGAUUGGGUUGGGCUUUAGCAUUUAUCCAAAUUCAAGUUGGUUGGUUAGGCUUGGUGAUUGUCAACAACUUUUACACGAUAUGGAUUUAUCAUAAUAAAAUGUUUUUCAAUAACUUUUACAUGAUAAUUUGUAGUUGGUAAUAACUAAAUAUUAACGACCAUAAGAAUUAUAGAUACAAAAACUUUCAAAAAUAUACUAUGAUGUAAAGAAAAACUUGUGUUGAUAUCAAUCGUUUAAAUAUGUAAGAUAUUAGAGGAAACUAAAAAAUAUCAUAGUCAAUAUAAAGGUUUUCAAACAAAAGAAGUAAUGUAUUACCCAAAGCUCCAUUGAACUUGAGCACAACAAGAUUGUCCAAGGGAUCCUCAGUUUUAUCUACAUUAAAAUAAGUAGACAAAAACACGAACGUUAUAUUUCAUGAUAAACAAAAGCUUUUUUGUAUUCAAAUCACCUAUAUAUAGUCUGGUAACCAUAUUUUCUUAUCAUCAACUGUUAAAUUGUGAGGAAAAAAAAAAUAUGAACACUAACAUAUUUAUGUCUCAAAUAAUGUGAUAAAUGAUGGUAUUAUAAAUUUAUAAUUAACAAAAAUUUCAGCAAGUUUGAAAUAAUCUGUUGACUAGAUUUACAGCAAAAAUUAAACAAAACACAACAAGGUAAACAACCACAUCCUCAAAAAGCUGGCGGUGGUGGGAGGUGGCUUGGAAUACAUGCCACGCAUUGUAAAAGUCCACGAGUCCACCUUUUUUCAGUUUUCCGAACAGGCUGUCUUUCUGACCCGCUGCAGUUUGCUUUACUUUGCGAUUGGCAGGCAGUUGAAUAGUUCUCGCCAUACUUUUUUUCACAUGCCCAAAUAGCCACGUGGCAAACAGUCAUUGGUAGCUAGAUGACAAUGGUCCCACACAACCACUUGAUUGAAUAUAUACAUUUUCUAUGGGUUUCCAAAUUCCACUAAAUAUUUAUCCCCUCUGGUUUUCAGUUUGUUUACAUUAUCUUUUUAUAUGCCCUCUGUUUCCCCACUUGUAUACAUUUUCUCUUGGAAUUACUAUUGCCAGAUUUUUCUUCUAGAUUAAUGUGUUUUAUCUUCCUAGAUACUGCUCAAUAUUUUUUAUUUUUCUCUUAAUUAUUAGAAAAUGGUACAGUCAUUUUUGUAUAUAUAUAUAUUUUUCAUGUUGAACUACAUAAAUUUAGAACAUGGAAAUCUGAUGUUAAGGUGACUUUUUUUGUUUGUUGUAUUUUAUAUAUUUUAGCAUAAAAUCUAUACACCCAAUCCAAAUGCAAAAAAAAAAAAAAAAAAAAAAAAAAAGGAGGUAGAAGAAAACUAACAGACAAACAGAAGCCAACUGCAAACCCAAGCAGCUCACAAACAGAUGGCUCUUGAAGUGGCAAACGGAUCCAUGUCUAAACGAAAAUCCCCAAGAAACUUGGAAUUCACGGAAACGGGGGUCCCACCAUAUUAAACAUUACUUCUUUUUAGUUUUGAUAAUAUAUUAAUGAAAACAAAAAAAGAAAUUAAAAUUUAUCAGAAUCUUCUCUUCUUUUGUGGCGUUUACGUUAAGCAGUGAAAAUCUUCUCUACACAUCACCAAGGAGCCAACGGACAUUGGACGGGUUUUUUCCUUCCAUUCCUGACAUCACAUUCAGCCACAGAUUUUAUCUCAUUUUCUCGUCUGAGCUUCUCCUGUGAAACCCGGAGCCUCUUCUCGAGAAUUCAUUUCCCAGAUAAGUUUCUCUCCUUAUCUCUCUAUCUCUCUGUCUCUCACCAAAAUCUUGUUUUUCUGCUGAAAAAAGAACGACAAUUUUGGUUUUGCAAAGCGUCAGUUGCUUCUCUCUGAAUUGGGAUUUGUUUAUUAUUGGAUGGGCAGUAACAAAUCCUGAUUUAGAGGGAAGGGAAUUCGUGUUCUGAGUUUGUGGUGUCUUGAAAUUAUGCUGAAAGAAAAUCCAGUUGAGCUUCAAGGGAGUAGCUCCAGAUUUUGAACUUCUUUCAUAGCAAUUCAGCCCACAAUAGGAGGUCUUGGGUGGAAUUCGUUUCUGGGAAAAGAGCUUUACUUCUGGUAUGCUUGUCUUUUUCUGAUUUGUUGUAUUAAUACACGAUUGAAUUGUGAGGAUCUGUUUUCAAAGUAUACUUAUUGGAAACUAGAAGUUUAGAUUUUGUAUUGAAUUGUCUUUUGGGCUUGGGUUGCUUUUUCUCCUGUAAAGGACUUGGUUGCAAUAAGUUGUUGGUUUUCUUGUUUACUUAAUUGGAUCAGCUACUUGGUUUUUGAGCAUUCAGGCCUGUAGUUAGAUUAGGUAUUAGUUUUCUUUCUGGCUCAAACAUUUUGUAUGAAUUGUUGAGUGCAUGAUGCGGAAGCAAGGUGGAAAAAAGAAGAAGAGUGCAGGAGAAAAAUCAGGUGAUGCUCCAAAUCAAAGCAAAACUGGGGAUAAUAGCCCAAAAGCCUAUGAUAAGGACACAGCAGUUUUCAUUGCAAUGUCUCAAGAACUGAAGGACGAGGGGAACAAGUUGUUUCAGAAGAGGGACCAUGAAGGAGCUAUGUUGAAAUAUGAGAAAGCCCUCAAGUUGCUUCCACGAAAUCAUAUCGAUGUAUCCUAUCUUAGGAGUAACAUGGCCGCCUGCUAUAUGCAGAUGGGCCUGAGUGAGUACCCCAAGGCUAUCAAUGAGUGUAAUUUGGCUCUUGAAGUCACACCUAAGUACAGUAAGGCGCUGUUGAAGCGGGCCAAGUGUUAUGAGGCUUUGAAUAGGUUGGAUUUGGCUCUGAGAGAUGUUGGUACUGUUUUGAGCAUGGAGCCAAACAAUAUCAUGGCAACAGAGGUUGCAGAAAGAGUGAAGAGUGUACUUGAGAAGAAGGGAUUGAGGGUGAAUGACACAGUAAUUGAGCUGCCUCCAGAUUAUGUUGAACCAACUCAUGCUUUACUACCAGGGAAAGUAAUGAAAUUGAAGAAUCGGAAAAAGAAGGGCAACAAGGAUGAAGAGAAGAAGGCUGACGACAAUAUUGAGGAGAAGACCGAGGACAAGAUUGAGGAAAAGAAGGCUCUGGACAUAGCUGAGGAAGUGAAGGCUGUGCAAAUAGCUGAAGAAAAGAAGGCUGUGGAAAUAGCUGAGGAAAAGAAGGCAGAGGUCAAGGUAGUUGUGGAGGAGAAAAUCAGUAGUCCAAAGGAAGAAGUGCCUAAAAGAAGUGUGAAAUUGGUAUUUGGAGAGGAUAUAAGAUGGGCUCAGUUGCCAGUUAAUUGCACCCUCCUGCAACUGAGAGAGGUAGUCCGUGAUCGGUUUCCUAGCUCAAGAGCAGUUCUCAUCAAAUAUAGAGACCAAGAAGGUGAUUUGGUUACAAUCACUAGUAAUGAAGAGCUGAGGUGGGCUGAAGGAUCAGCAGAAUCAGAAGGCUCUGUCAGGCUUUACGUAGUGGAAGUUAACCCUGAGCAGGAUCCAUUCUUUGAGAAACUGGAAAUUGAAGCACACAAGCUUGAUGUACAGCAAAAUAAGGUAGCCGAGAAUGGUAGCGUGGUAAAACAGAAGGAUAUGAAGGGGUCCCCUUGCGUUGAGGAUUGGAUAAUCCAUUUUGCUCAGCUGUUCAAGAACUAUGCUGGGAUUGAAUCUGAUGCAUACUUGGAUCUUCAUGAACUUGGAGUGAAGCUUUAUUCUGAGGCUAUGGAGGAGACAGUUACAAGUGAAGAAGCCCAAGACCUUUUUGACAUAGCAGGAGAGAAGUUUCAAGAAAUGGGAGCUUUAGCAUUGUUCAACUGGGGAAAUGUUCACAUGGCCAGGGCAAGGAAGAAGGUGUAUUUCACAGAAGAUUCUUCAAAGGAAUCAAUCAUUUCAAAUAUCCAAAGUGCACAUGAUUGGGCACAAAAAGAAUACAUUGAAGCAGGAAGGAGAUAUGAAGAAGCGCUGCAGAUAAAACCAGACUUCUAUGAAGGCUAUCUGGCCCUUGGGCAGCAGCAGUUUGAACAGGCAAAACUUUCUUGGUAUUAUGCAAUUAGCAGCAAUGCUGAUUUGGAGACGUGGCCUUCGACAGAGGUUCUACGACUUUAUAACUAUGCUGAAGACAAUAUGGAAAAAGGCAUGCAGCUGUGGGAGGAAUUGGAAGAGCAGCGUCUUAGCGAACUCUCCAGUCCAAGUAGUGUUAAAUCCCAGUUGCAGAAAAUGGGUUUGGAUGGAAUUUUCAGAGACAUAUCAGAACAUGAAGCUGCAGACCAGGCUACAAGCAUGAGGUGUCAGAUAAAUCUCCUAUGGGGCACCAUGCUCUAUGAGCGAUCUAUUGUGGAAUUCAAAUUAGGGCUACCUGUAUGGCACGAAUGUUUGGAAGUUGCAGUUGAAAAAUUUGGACUUGCUGGGGCUUCUCCCACUGAUAUAGCUGUGAUGGUUAAAAACCACUCUUCAAAUGAUAAUGCAUUGGAAGGUGACACAAUUCAAAGUUUUGCACUCUGAAACUAAUGGUCUACUGCUGCCAUUUCUUUAACUAGCUUAGACGUUUAAUUGCUCAUUUUUCUGUACAGGUAUGGGAUUCAAAAUUGAUGAGAUAGUACAAGCAUGGAAUGAGAUGCAUGAAGCGAAAAAGUGGCAGAGUGGAAUUCCAUCAUUCCGGUUGGAGCCAUUACUUCGAAGACGAGCUUCCCGAAUUUAUUAUGCCUUGGAUCAUGCUUGAAAAUUAGCAUUGGAUAGACACACUUUUACUGCCCUGACGCCAUGGAUUGGAGCAUAUAAUCCUGCACAUUGAGGUAGGCAUGAGUUGAGUUUGUCCAUUUCUCUUUCCAUUUGCUUUUUGUGUCAUGGUUAAAAUUUCAUGUACAAAGUCAUUUUAGAAUUAAUCAUCAAAGGGCUUGUUUCUUUUGCAGGUUUUCUUGCUACUGCCCUGUAAAGUACUUUUCAGGCUUUUAGCUAUGGCCACUUAGUUUUACAAACAGUGGAUAGUUGUGAUUCAAAAUUUUAUUGUGAGUUGUAGCUGUUCAGAAAGCAAAAUUUUUUCAUUCUCUUUUGACGUAAGGGGAUUGGAGGUGAAGUUGCAGGUCUUCAUUUUAGUUAGUUUCUGCCUUCAUCAACGUCGCUUGUAGUUUCUGUCAGAAUAGAUUGUACUUGUAAUUGAAGCGUCUACGAUCCAAUUCCGAAGGCAUGUUCUUGAAUUUUUUUUUUUUUUUUUGGUUUUAUUUUGAUGCAGUUUGAUGUGAGUUUGGGGUGUAAUUUAAACAUCUUUUAGGUCGUUGGUGUAGUAGUGUGUUUUAGGGAAAAAACUUGUAUUGGAUUAAUGAGAGACUGUUGUUAUAAACCUCACUUCCUUAUUUCUUUCUGUUAUAAACAUUUCUCCUGGUUGCGAUGCUUAUUUGUAUUAGAAUGUGAAAUGAAGAAGUGAAAGUCAAUAAUGUCCUUAAAUAUUUGGUCAUCUAGUAGGGUACAAACGACAUUGUCUAUUUUACCUGAUUUACAAACGACAUUGUCAUCAAGCAGACGCCUUUCCAUUUCCCAGAAUCCCAACCUAGCUUGGCUUUGUAACAGUGAGACGACUCGCACAAUCUCUCACUGUGAAUUCUUCUUCAACCUCGAUCAAAUCUCAAACCCAAACCCUAAUUCACCGCUCUUAGAUUAGAGCAAAGUGGUAGAGCUGCUCACAGCUAUCACAUUGACGAAAAUGGCGUCUCGGUUGCAGAAGAUCGAAGGAGACGAGUCCGUACUGUUGCGCGUAACUCAUUCGAACCUCAAGACCUUCUCUGCCGACAUCCGCUUCUCCCUACAGAGCUCCGUGGAGUACGUCAAGGACAAGCUAUGGCGUAAAUGCGGCACUUCUGUAGAUUCCAUGUCGAUCCACCUGUAUGACGACGCCAACACCCAAGUCUCCGUUUUGAACGACAACUCCAAGCCCCUCGGCUUCUAUUCACCGCACGACGGGUCAGUACACGCACAAACACUCUCACUCUCUCUCUCACUCUCUUGUUAUUUGUGAUUUGGUUAAAUCUGUGAUUAUUGUUGGUUGUGUGUGUUUGAAAUUGAAAGCUACCGGCUACAUGUUAUAGAUCUUGACCCUUCAUCGGUGACCUCCGGUGGGUGGCUUGAGGACACAUCGUUGGUGGAGAAGUACACUAUUUCCCAAGAAGCUUAUGAGAAACGAGAUGGUAAGUUACCCAAUAUAUUGUUAUGUGUGUAGUUCUUGCAAAGUGUAUUUAGUUCAAUCCAGAUGUUUACAGUUUUGUUUGAGAGUUGGUUUAAUUUCUGUUUGGAUUAUAAUGGGCAUAGUUAUUAUUUGUUCUUUAUGUAUUAUUUUUGUAAUCACAUGUUUGUGGUUUUGUUUCAGGGACUUUUAGAAAAUUUAAAGACAAAUUGGCAUCUCAGAACCCGUCAGCUUUUGAGAAUAAAGUAAGCGUCACCUAUGUUAUUUAUUCCUUUAAGAUGCAUUUUGAGUGUCAAAUCAAACUGAGAUGUUCUUAAAGUUUGUUUAAUGAAGUUUUGUUCGCAGAUACCAGAGAACAAUAUGGAAGAUCUCUGUGUAAAUAUCAAGGUGCUUCCUGUUUCCUUUUUCCUUUCUUUUUUGUUUAAGUAUUAGUAGUCAUUGGGUCAUAAGCAUGAACUGCAAGGCUCAGUUUGUCUUUUUAAAUAGUUUAACAGUGUACUACUGACUGAGUUAGCUUUGUGGCACAUCCACAGACUACAAAAAUGAAUAAAUUUUUUGUUUUUUGGUCGAGAAAUGACAUAAUUAUUUUUCUAAUAUUUUUAAGAUCUGAACGAUUUAAAGACUGUAGCAUUUAAAUUUCCAUGAGGUAAUGUUGUGUCAUUAAGUGGUGAUUGUUCUUUACCUUGUUGGUUUCAAGCAUUCAGCUGGAUUAUUUUCCAGUUGCAGUUGGCAUUUUCUUCAGCAUUCUAGAUGGCACUUGAACUGUAAUUUUAUAGGAAUAUGUGUUGAUAUCAUUUUUCUUUAUUCGCUUGUAUUUUGUGUAGGAGUUGAAAGCAUUCUUGGUUCUCCAAAAUCUUCCUCAUAUUUUAUUAUGUGUUAACUAGCAUUUUCUUUUCUUGUUUAUUGUGAAACAAUAUUCAUGAUUGCCUCAGUUCUCCUACUUUAUAUGCUGAAGGUUGGAGAUAGAUGUGAGGUUCAACCAGGGGAUAAAAGAGGUGUUGUUAAAUUUGUUGGUCGGGCAGAAUCUCUGGCUCCUGGUUUCUGGAUUGGAGUUCAAUAUGAUGAACCAUUGGGAAAGCAUGAUGGCAUGUAAGUGAGCUCCUGACUCAUGCUAUGUUUUGUUUUUGGUAUCUCAUGUGCCAAUCAUAAAAAUGGUAUACUCUUGGUUCUGUUGUUCCUAACAAUUUCUCAUUUCCUUAGAAUAAUCAUAGCAAGGUUAAUAUCAUUUAUUGUUGUGAGUGCAUCUAGUGAUAGACGUUGAGGACAGAAAGUGCAUGUGAAGAAAUUGUUUUGUUCAAAUAAAAGAAACCUGCAUAGAGUGAUGUAAAAGACAUACUCAAAAUACAUUUGAAAUGGCAUGACUUAGAAUGUUUACGUGAUUUUUUGUUUUGUUUUUGUUUUUUUGUGUGUGGUCAAUGUAUUAAAUAUCUAAGAAAUAAAAGCAGAUUUCAAUUACAAGUCUUUGGAUUCAACAUAGUAGAGUAGUUCAAAAAAAAAGAGCCUAGUAUCUAUAAGCUAGACUAUGAGCUAAUAUGUUACGUCUGCUAUCUUUUGAUUGAGUACAUCACACUUUUUCCAUUCCCAUGAGUAAAUUUUGUUCAAGGAGAAAAUUCCCAUAGGAAAUAAUAUAUAUAACUCUCAUUUUACCUGCAGAAAGUAAAUUCUUGGUUGACUCUUGGUUUUGUGUGUGUUAUAUUGGUGGAUGCUUCUCAUCUGGUUUUGGCUGAUAACAUGUAAUAUUGUCUGGUAGUGUGGAUACACUUUUUUUCCCCUUCUACUUUAUUAUUUUUGUUCUUCCUUUUAGCUAGUAGUGUACAUGUUUUGUUACAGCAUGCUUUUCUUCAUUCUUUCUUUCUUUUAUCAGGUUUGGUAAAUCAUGUUUGUGUCAUUCAGUGCAACAUUAUAUUACAGUGCACUACGAGCAAAAAGAAACACUAAUUGUUAUGUGUUACGAAGAUAAUGGAAUCUAAACUCAUAUUAUACAAUUUUAAAUGCUUUGGAGAAUUUAGGGCUCACCCUAUAUGUGUAUGUAUCCAAUCAGUAGCCAUUCUUGUCACUGAACUAGUUUCUAAGAUUGGUGAAUAUUGAAUAGUCUUUCCUCUGAAAUUCUGCACAUACAUACAACCUUAUAUUUCUUGAAAUUGGUGUCUAUUACAGUGUUGGUGAUCUUUGGUAUGUUUCUAAAUCCGAUAGAACCAAAAUUCUUUCAUGUUGUGAUUUUGCUAUACCAUGAGUGGACAUUUUUGAAUUGCCUAUUUUAAAUUUGCAUUCCUUUUUUUCUGCAUAUUAUUUGGUUGAGAUUCCUCUUCUUCAUAUCAUAGGGUGAAAGGAACAAGAUAUUUCAAUUGCCUCCCACUUCAUGGUGGAAUUGUUCGGCCAGACAAAGUAAAGGUUCGUAUGCAUUUGUAUUCUAGAACACUUCAAAAUGAUUUUUUUUCCUGAUUUUCCUAUCAAGAUGUGGAGUAUAUUAUUGUUUGGUUCGAUUGGCUGUUUCACAAGGAACAGGAAUGUGUCUGUUUUAAAGUUUAAUAUGACCUGUUAGCUCAUAGGUUGUCACCCAUCUGUGGUAUUUCAACCGCUUCACGAACAGAACAAUAGUUUGGGGCCCACCUUUUAGCCCUGGGACUUUUACUGUUAUACAUUAGAAGAAGAACCCAAGGUUAAGGCGGGGAGUUAGCUUAGGAACUAUUCCUCAAUGAUGACUUGGUUAAUUGCAAAUCGUGGAGUCAGCAAUGACUGUUAAAUGCAAUUGGAUUCCUCUGUAUCUUAACAAAUUAUUAUAUACCAUUCUGGUGCACAUACCUUUUCCAUCUAAAGUGUCUUAUGUGAAAUGAAAUUGCUUUUAAUGACCUAGUUGAAAUGGUUUAUUUAUAUUCAUUUCACAGCGGAUGGAAUAAUAACAUUGUAAAAUUCUAACUUCAAACCUUUUUGCUAACAGUCAAUUGAGUACCCUUUGUGUAUUUCCAGCAUGACUUGUUCAUGGAGUUGACUAAUGUGACUAAUGCAAUUUCAGGUUGGUGACUACCCUGAACGAGAUCCAUUCGAGGAGGAUGAAAUCUAAGCAGGUCUUAGAGAGAGUACUUAUGUAUUUCAUGUUUUUACAUAACCUUUUUGGGGCAAUCGCCUUGAAGUUUCCUUAUAUUGUUCAAGUUGUAAUAUUAUUGGGAGGAGUUUAGAGUCUGAAGCUUAUUUGAGGGGUUCAAUCCCACCAUCAAACCAUUGUUUAAGUCUAUUAAUUUUCUCACAUUUGUUGAUGAUGGGAUUGAAUCCCUCUAAGCUCCUCACACUAAGCUCCUGCUUUCUGAGUAAAAGAAACAAUGAUGUUGGGUUGACUUAACAAAUUAAGGCGUACUGGGCCGAUUUGUUCCUUAUGUUGGGCUGCAUUCUUUAAUUUUGUGCUUUUGAAAAUCGGAAAUGCUAUAAAGAGGAGUUUAGAGUGAGGGGAUUGUUUAAGGGGUUCAGUCCCACCAUCAACAGAUGUAAAGAAAUCAUUGGACUUAUACAUGGGCCGAACAUUAUGCUUUUAGUUCUGUAGUUGGGCCGUUGUUUUAGCCAUCAAUCACAAAACUUCAUUGUAUUAUUGAAAACAGUAAUAAAAGUCUCGAGAAUCCAAUCUAAAACUUGUGAAGAGGCUAAUACUCUUAAUCAAUUGGCUACAAGUCCCUUGCAAAAUUUAAUUAUAUUAUAGACCCUGCAUUACUUAGAUUUAAUGGGUUUAAUCAGCGAACUAAACGGGGUCAUGUUCUAGAAUUUUUUUUUACAAAAAACUCCUAGUCAAGCAUAAGAAAACAAAAGAAAAUUGUUUUUUUUAGUACAAGCCAUUGGCGAAUGAGCGUUUACAUAAAUAUUCAUUGAGUAGUUAGGGUUUCGAAACUCUACUCACAUGGACGGCUGGAUUUCGAACCUUUGUUGUCUUAAGGUACAAAAUUCAUCAUGUUUUCACUAACUAGACGAUUCUAGCAGCCCAAUGUCCAUAUGUAAACUUGGCCUCCACUUGUGGCUCCUGCUAGCAUCCCAACUUUGAAAGGGUGAACAUCAAAUCUACAUGGAAUUGCAGACAUGUGUGGGCUCUGUAAAGUGAAAACUGUUCUUCUUUCAACUGGGGAGAUAACAUCUACACCUCUUUUCAUAUUGCCAAUGAAGACAUAUUCAUCGUCCCAGCCCCAUAUUGCCCUGUUUCCAGUGUUAAUAGCAGCUGUCAGAAACCGACCCCUUUUUUCAUGCUAGCAAAAUUUAGUAUUUUGGUAUUUUACUACCAACAAAAAAGAAAUUUGUAGUGUACAUAAUUCAAUCCACAAUCACUACAAUUUUCUUUUCAGAAGGUGAAUCUCCUCUUGGCAUCACUACCAUUGUAUGGAAUAAGGCUAACUAGCCAAAGUCAGAAAAAUUGAAUUGAAAGACUUCUCAGAUAUUCUUUUUUAAAUGGAAAACUGAGAAAACGUAAUAAUUGAAAAACAGAUUAUGAUAGAAAUCAGGCAGAAGAAUUAAGCGAGGGCAAGUCACAUCAGCAUUUCAAAAUCUGGUAAAAACCAUACCUGAACGAAGAAAUCCAUCUACCAGUACGAUUAUCAUGGUAUAUCAUUGAUAUGUCCUCAAAAUUAACUCCACUUGAUAUACCAACUGUGUUGUCAAUACUGCAUGAAGAGGUUAGACAAUUAGUCCCACCACAAGUGAGAUCAACUUAAACUCAUUUCAUUAAUCACCAUAUGCACAUUACGUGAGAUACAUUAGACCCUUGAGAAACAUUACUAGUACAGCAUAGUAAUGUGCAUAUGGUGAUUAAUGAAAAUCAAUGUUUGUACUCUCAAAUCACUGUUUAGCUUAUAUUAACAAACAGUAUUUGUUAAGCAAAUGAAUGAAACCAAAGCUAGCAUACAUGUUCCAGACAGGAACUAAAAUAUUCCACUGAAGUUUAAAACAACACAAUAUGGUCACCUUGUCGUCACUAGAGACCUUCCAGACGGCGAGAAGAAAGCAGAAUGCACAGCCCUUUUGUGGCCAACUGUUCUUAAAGUUUUGAGUUUAUUUGCAUUAAUACUUCUCAAAUCCCAGAUGCAGGCUGUUCCAUCUGUGGAACUAGUAGUCAUGACGUUAGAGUUUUCUGAGUUAAAGUUUAUGGAAUUAAUUCUGUCUUCAUGCAAAGGCCACUGGUUUGAGAAGUUUCCUGUUCUCUCAUCCCAGACACUUAAACCUCCAUGACCCUCAGCAAAAUAUAAGCAUUUUGGAUCCUUUGAUUGUUGGCAGAUGGAGUAUAUAGUCUCUUCACUGGAAUAUACUAGAUCAAACACCUCUUUCUCAGCAUCCAUCAACCGGAUAAAUCCAUCAUAACAACUGGUAAAGAUCUGCAUUUUAACUCAACAAUCAUAUAUCAGCUUUAACAUCAAAACUUGAGACAUAUCUCAAUCACAAGAUUUAAAUGAACAUAUGUUAGCCAUUACAUGCAGUAGAUCAUCAUAACAAAAUCCCAUGUAGAAAGCAUACAUCCUCAAAGGAAACAAAAAAAAGGGCCCAUUAUCAUUGAGAUAAAGUGCUAUUCACAAAGGGAGUUGCUACCGCAUCAUUUCCAAACUCCAUUUCUUAUGUUACUUCUCAGAAGUUCAGCAUGGUAAACAAUAUUAAUGUGUGAACAGACAUAACUGAGAAAAUAACAGAACUUUAACGUACAUUUUUAAAGCAUAUAUAAGUCGGUCGCUUUAUAACCUUAACAAUUGGAGCAGGAAACAUAUAGAUUCGUCUCUCUUAACAUUCAAACCAAUCCAUCAAGAGAAUUUUGGGUAAUCAACUACAAACCAAAGGACUAAUCAAAUUAGAAAUAUCCAUCUUUUACAACCAUACACGAAACAUUCAGAUAAAACUUACCUUUGACAUGCAAUGUUGUUGAAUCAAAAUCCCUGAAAUGGGACCUGUAUGUGGACGAUACAAGUAGACCCCACUUUCUUCCUCUUCCUUAGAAUCAAUAUGCCAAAAUCCAACAUUCCCAAACUUAUUCCCAACCACAACCAUACUUGAACUAGUACAAGGAAAAAAACUCACGUUCGUAAUUCUCCCUGGCACAACCCGCGCUAUAUUCUCCGAAUUCAGAGUCAAAGACUCCAACUUUAAACCACUAUCAACUUCACUCUCUUCCUUCUUAAUCAAACCGCAAGUUAUCCCAUCUAUGCCCUCAGUCAAAGGCUCCAACUUCAAACCAUUUUCAAUUUCAUUCUCUUCCUUCUUAAUCAAACCAGAAGUAAGCCCGCCUAUUCCCUCACAGGCACCGCUCGAAUUCUCAACUUUGGAAACCUCAAAUCUCCCAAUUUCACCUUUUACUGAAGCACUCAGUUGGGGAUUGUUCGCAAUGCCCAAAAGGGCUUCAAUUAGAGCUCGAUCCGACGCUCCACUAUACGCAUCUCUCAUACUAAGAGGACCCAAGUCGCGAGGCGAUGCUUUCGAUGGGCUCGGAGAUUUUGAGUUCCUGACCAUGGAUUCGAUAGCAUCAUCGCUAAGGCCCUUGGCAUCGGGAGGUAAACCUCUUGUACGUAAAGAACGCCUUAUAACAAUUGGGGUCUGGGUUUUGGGUUGCUUCUUCGGACAUACUUUGUACGAUUUGGUCUCAGCUCUACCAUUAAAACCAGAAAUUAGCAAUGGGUUUUACGGAAAAUCGUGAUUUUCAUGUACAUACAGAAAAAGAUUGAGAGAGCGAACCUUGGGCGUUUGGUUGAAGCAGAGACUUGGGCAGCGAUGGAAUGGAGCUUGAGGGAAGCCAUCAUUUGGUCAUUUCGGCGAAUGUUCUCGAGCCUCUUCCGCUCAUAGUCUGUGAGUUCCGGAGACGCCAUUAGAGAGAGUAAUGCAAAGACUAAAUGCAGAGAGAGUGACUGAUGGGAGUCUCAGAGAGGAAAGUGAGGGAGACAGAGAGAAAGAGGGCUUGAAAGUUGGAGGGACUGAUGUAGGCGGAUGUGGGGCUAUCGAUUUGGGGAAACCUACAUGUCGUGACUAUUGGUGGGAAAAAACUGGCGGGAAUGAACAUUUUCACUCUCAUGCCAUGGACCAAUCGCUUUCUAACACAUUUCUCUCUUUUUUCUUUUCAUGUCUUUAAGCUCCAAAAGCUUCUUCAAAAAACAAAAAAGAAAGAGAAGUCCCCAAGGGCUUAAAAACGUUGAUUGGUGUGUGGAAUGUGAUCCAUGGUUUGCCUUUUGCAAUUGCAAAUUUGCAAGGGUGAAUGGGGAGGCUGAAUUGAUUUGAUUAUUGCUGGACAAUAAACUCUUUUGAUUUUAGCCAACGCUCUCCCCAGUUUAUUUUAUUAUUUGUCAGUUUAUGUUUAGGUUUUUAAAUACUUUAAAUUAUUCUUUAAGUUUUUAUUACUAUUUUGUUGUCCACAUCAGCAAAAAAGUCCAGUCAUUCAAAGCCACAUAGGCAAUUAAAGCCUAAGCUGACAAUUCUGACUGUUGGAGGGGGUAAAAUGUAGAUUUUCUGAAAGUUUAAGUAUGGAGUUGUAAAUGUCUUACAAAAUAAGUAUGAACUUAAAAUGACCCCCAUAGUUUGGGGGAUUUACGUAGUUUAUCCUAUAAUAAAAGUAAACGCCUUUUUGCUCCCCAUUUCCAUUCAAAUAAAACUAUUGAGUGAAUCACUAAUUCUCCUUGCUGUAUUAAUACAUACCGACCUGUUGAAAUUCCAAGACAACACAUUUUCUCAUUUUGAAAAGAACUGAGAGGAAAAUUUGCCUUAAUGAAAUGAAGUUUUUUUUCGGACGAAAUAAGACAAUGGAGUCCUGCCAUACAGUCUAUACUAUGUAUUACAUAAAUAUAUAUACAUAUACGUGUGUGUGGACACAAUCUGUCUAUGAUACACUAAUACAAAUCCAUUCAUUCCGACCAAAACAAAAAAAAACAAAAAAAAAAACAAAUCCAUUCAUCUGGUUAUUCCAGCAUUUACCUUCUCUACUCUCAUAAAAUAAAAAAUAAAAUAAAAUAUACAUGUAAUAUAUAAGUUGUAGCUUAUUCUCCUUGAGCACUCCAUGUCUAUCUCUUCCUUGGCACCCUAUACAUAUGAUACGUACAGUCUUGGUCCAUGUCCAUUUUCUAUACAGUGUAGUGUUGUUGGAUGGUGUCAAUGUCUAGUCCCUUCAGCUGAACCACUGACUCAACGUGCCCCUUUAGUGUAUGGAGUUCCCUCAGCCUGCAUUUAUAAUCAAUGCAAGUUUAAAUAUAUGUACAAAUCAGUAAUUAGAUACAUCAAAUAAUUUUAUUCUCGUAUAUGUGGAUUUGUACGGAACAUUCGAAGGGGACCUUGAACGAACAGUGUUAACUAUACAAGGAAGGAAGCAUCAUGUUGAUUACUCAAGUCACUUUCUGAUAUCGUGAAAUUUUUGUAGUCACAAUGAAAAUGGAUUCAUUUAAAAGUUUUGGAUGCUGGUGGCCUUUAGAAGUUUCGGAUACCCUUUUUCAAAUUCUUACCUUGCGACUUCUGCACGCCUCUUGGCCUGCUCAGCUAGCUCAGAUUGCUCCCUGUGGUUUCCAGGAAACAAUGCUUCUGGAGGCUGGAGUCCGUGAAGUGAACGUUGAGCUGAGGCCCAUUGUGCCUCCCUCUCACCCUUGCCAUAAUCAUUUUUUGAUGUGAACGCAGUCUUGAUAGGUAGUCAAAACAUGCACAAAACAAGAUUAAGUCAUGAAGGGAAGGAAAAUAGUAUAAUGGAUAACACUUCUAGAUAGAGCUAAAAAGAAAUCAGAGGGUAUAGAAACCUUGUUCUGGACAAUAUUAUCCCAGGCCCUGCCAGUCAAUGCAUAGCGGAUUAUGAACUUGAAGAUAUCAAGAGGGAAGUAGGUGAUAAUGCUGUAGACCCAGAUGACACCUGCCCAUCGCCAUCCAAUGCCUUCAAUUCUGGCAAAGCCCCAACUACAGUACACGGCAAUGAGAGUGGCCACCUACGGAACAAAGUACCAAAUUUUUCUUAGGCAAGUUAUGGUGAUCACAGGCAGCAGAAGAUAUACAAUUGCUUAGGCAAGUUAUGGUGAUCACAGGCAGCAAAAGAUAUGCUAAAACUAAGUACUUUUCAAUACAUAUAAGUGAAAAGAGAAAAGUACUAACCAACUGUGCCGCAAGGAAGGCACCGACAAGCAUGACACCAGGGCGUUCAAGAAAGGACCAGCUCCUUGAUCGAGUCACAAAUAUGAGCGCUUGACUGAUGAUGCUCACUUGUAGGUAGAUAGCUGAGUUAAGUUGUUUUGGGUUUUCUCCAAUGUGGUGCACGCCAAAGGUUUUCUGCAAAUAGUUGAAUUGUUAGCAUUGUCUUAGAUUUUAAUCAUCAAUUCAGUGUUGGCAUUUUGAUCUCUUAGUGGGCUUCACUUACUGCGAAAAAGUCGGUGCUAUAUGCAAGCCAGAAGAAGACCACAGUCAUGAUUGCCAUGUAGGUACCAAGGACAACUCCAGUGGCAAAGAUCUCCUUGAGCUUCCAUGAGUCGGGGAGAGGGGAUGGCCUCACUCUGUCCUUAGAGAUGGUCAUGAUAGUCCCGUCAUUCAAUACAGCAAUGACCAAGACCAUGAAAGGUGAGAAAUCAAACUUCCAGAUGAGAUUAACGAGCAUGAAUCCCAGCACAAUUCGGAUUGUGAUGGAAACAGCAUAAAUUGUAUAGUUCUUCAUCCUCUGGAAGAUGGCCCUGCUUGUCAAGACUGCACUCACAAUCACACUCAGUCCUGGCUCUGUCAGAACAAUGUCCGAGGCACUUCUAGCUGCAUCAGUUGCAUCAGCCACUGCAAUGCCAAUGUCUGCCUUCUUCAGUGCUGGGGCAUCAUUCACACCAUCUCCAGUCAUCCCACAGAUGUGCUUCCUCUCUUGAAGCUUCUUUACAAUCUCAUACUUAUGCUCUGUAUGCCCAAACAUAUAUGCAUUAGUUGAAAGUCUAAAACCAGUGAAUUGGAAUAUAUUUGUUUCCUUUUUAAUUCUUGCAGCGACGAUUUAAUUACCAGGAAAUACUCCAGCGAAUCCAUCGGCCUUUUCAAUGAGCUCAUCCACAGGAAUGGAGGCAAUGGACUCGUCCUUGCUCUCGCCAAGAAGGGUAGAUGAAGGAUACAUGUUAGUACCCAUGCCAAGCCUGCGACCAGUCUCUUUCCCAAUGGCAAGUUGGUCACCGGUGAUCAUCUUAACAUUGACACCAAGUUCCAGAGCCCGGCGGAUAGUCUCAGCACUGUCAUGCCUUGGAGGGUCAAAGAGAGGCAACAGUCCCACAAACUCCCAUGCAUCGCCAGCGCUCUCCUUGGUCUUCUCUGAAACUGUCUGUAAAUGGAUAGAGCACAUGAUCCAACUUAUGUCAGGAAAUUCAUCUCUCUGGAGAUACAAGAAACACCAGAUUCAUAUUGUCAUGCUUAUAAGUUAUUCACCUGCCGAGCAACUCCCAAUGACCGAAGACCACGCUCAGCAUAGUUAUCAAUGACAGCAUGGGCCUUCUUCUUCAUUUCGCCCUUGAGAUCGCAAAGGUCAAUAAUCUGGCAGAUGAGCGAAAUAGUUAGAUGUCAAUGUUGAAAAGCUAAAAAACUGAGCUAGGGGCGGAUAUAUACUUAUAUGUCAGAAAUAAUAUGAGCUCUAUAUUGGUACAAGAAGACUAUCUUACUUGCUCAGGAGCACCCUUGCUGCACCGGUGCCAGUCGCCAUUGCUAUCAACGUAGGUGAUUGCUGUGCGCUUGUCCACAGGAUUGAAGGGCAGGAAAUGCACCUCAGUGAUUCCUGCUCUUGCCUACAAAAACACCAUUAAAGCAUAGUAAAGCUAAGUUGCUUCAAUGACCACAUGUUGGAAGAUGAGGAGUAGAAAAAAUUCAAUGGUGAUUGCAGACAAGGAUUGAACUGUGUACCUCCUUGGGGUCGCCCAACAUCCCAACAAUUGAAGCAUCAAUGGCAUCCUGAUUUUCAACCCUGGAAGCCCGGGCAGAGAGCAAGAUCACGGUGUCCUUAUCCAUGUUCUUGGGAAACACCUGCAAUUGUAAUCACACCCAGAAUAAGUACUAAUCACAAAAAGAGGACCAUAAGCAAAUAAUCAAUAUAUAUUAUCUUAAUCUCUGACCUCAAUCAGACUCUUGUCAACUGAAAGCUUGUUGAGCGUAAGGGUGCCGGUCUUAUCACUGCAAAGGACAUCCAUCCCUGCCAUCUCUUCAAUGGCUGUCAUCCUCUUGGUGAUGGCACCUUGCUGUGACAGGCGGUGAGACCCAAUAGCCAUGGUCACGGACAAGACUGUUGGCAUGGCAAUGGGGAUACCUCCUAUCAGAAGCACCAACAGAUUGUCAAUACCAUCUCUGUAUUCCCUGUGCUGAAUUGGGUACAUCACCACGAUCUCAAUCGCCAUUCCCACAGCAAUGGAGCAUAUACAGAAGUUACCAAUGGAUGUCAACACCUGUCAAGACAACACCAAAGUAGUAAAUGUCUUGAACUGAAGGACUCAAAACUGAAUCAAACAAUACUUUACAUAAAUUCGGUGACUGCCGACAAAGAAUGCGUACCUUUUGGAAGUGUCCAACUUGGUUGGUGCUAUCCACAAGGUGGGCAGCCUUGCCAAAGAAGGUAUGGACACCAGUGGCGAUAACAACAGCUUCGAUCUCACCCUGUUUGCAAGUAGAGCCAGAGAAUACCUCAUCUCCUGGGUUCUUGGUAACGGGAAGGGACUCACCGGUGAGGGCAGCCUGGUCAAUCUUGAGAGGAUCUCCUUCCAGCAGACGAGCAUCAGCUGGGACGAUAUCUCCCAACUUGAUGCUGAUCACAUCUCCUGGUACCAGGAUUUCUGCCUCUUGUUCUCCCCACUUUCCAUCCCUCAAGACCUACAUGCAGUUAUAAUUAAGCACUUCACUUAUCUAUAUAGAUAUCUUUGGUAGCUGUAGUAUUAAUAAAUAAAAUGGAGCUGCUAGAAUGAAUACGGAUGAGGAAAUUAAUAUUAAUUGCACCUUAGUCUUGGGGGCUAGACUAGCCAUCAGAGCUGCUGCGGCAUUGCCAGCAUUGUUUUCUUCGAUGAAGCUGAUGGUUGAGUUGAUGAUCAACAACACCAUAAUACCGACGAAGUCCGGCCAGUCGGUUGGCUUGCCCUGCAUUGUUCAGAAUAUUCUUGUUAAUAAGUUCAUGAUGAUCAUGAGAGAGAAUGAGGGUGUGUUUAAUUGAAUUAAUUUGUGAAUUUGUGAAUUUGUGUUAUGAAUCUUAUAAUAUCAUGGAAUUAAUGAUGAUAUUACCCCUCCAUUAGCCAAAACCAGGGCCAUGAUAGCAGCACACUCCAUGACCCACGAUAGAGGAUUCCACAUAAAUCCCAGGAACUUGAGGAGCUUGUUUUCUUUUUUCUCCUCAAGCUUGUUUGGGCCAAAGAUCUGCAGCCGCUUCUGGCCCUCCUCUGAUGUCAAACCCCUUUUCGUGCAUUUCAGCUGUUCGAACACUUCCUCGACGGGGAUUCUCUCCUACAUAAACACACACACACGCACAAAUCAAUCACAUUUGCUUCAUACCAUCAAAAGAAAACUUAACACUUGCAGACUCAAAUCUCAACAUCCUGGACUUACAAGGUCAACGUUCUCAUUCUUGACAUCUUCUAAUGAGAUGUUGGCCAUGAUGUAGCUAGAUGACAACAACACCGUCCUAGGCUCUUAAGUCUCUUGGAGUCUUAAAGCUUUGUCUUGUACCGCCACAAGGAGUGCUCAGCCUCUAGGCCUCCUCGUCGGCCAUAGGCUUCCGAAGAGACAGAGAGGACGAGGAGAAACUUAGUAAAAGAAAGUAGAAUAAGAUUUGUCGACAGCCUAACUCUGCGUUUUCCUGUUGGCCUAGUUCUGCCCCUUGAGCCGACCCUGCUUUUAUAGCAAGGGCGAGAGGGAGACAAUGGAGGGUAGCCCGUGGAUUGCUGUGCUGUUGUUGCAUGUUGUUUUGCCACUUCGGCAUCCUGGGAUAUGUUUGUUAGAGCCUUUUGUGGCUGCCCAAACUACGCGGGGCAGCCAUAUUUUGCUUUGAGACAUUGCAUGCAUAUUUCAUAUUUGGAAUGGAGGCUAGUAAAAUCAUUAACUAUCAAACCAAUACCAUUCGAUGGGCUCUGCCAAUGUAGAAAAGAAAUACAGUGCAUUCGAAUAUAUGAUGAGAAUGAGAAAUGUUUUUGUAUCAACAACACACCUUGAAAAUAGGGGUAGAGUUUUGUUUAAUUCAUUUUUGAAAGCCUAAAGCUUUUCACUAGAAUAAUAUGCCCAUCAAUAUUGUCCACUCAAUUGGGGUGACUCCUGUGUUCUGUGCAUGUAACGGAUUUGUUUAGUUCUGUUUAUUACGAAAGAUGGAGAAUGAAACUAACAAAAAUUCUCCUACGUGGACAUUCGGACAUUUACAAUUUCUUUCAUCCAUUUCUCCCAAUAUAUCUUCCCUCUUUCAAAGGAGCACGUCUCAUUCUCAUUGCCUAGCUUUUCUCUAUUAUACUUUAUCAAUUAAUUCGCAGAGGAUCUGGAUGCGCUAUAUUUUCUCAUUUCAUAUUAACCUCCCAAUAAACAUGCCUUAUAAACAGUAGGAUCAAGUAAACCACACGUAUAAGAUCACCUCCGUUAUAAAAAAAAAAGGUAAAAAGUCAUUUUUGGUCUAUAUGGUUUGUCACUUUUACUACUAAAAUUCCUGUAGUUUCAAUUUGAAGCAAUUUAAAUUCAAUCCUUAGUUGUUGUCAAAUUCUUUUAAUUUCUGUUACUUGUGGAGAGGUAAUUUAGUCAACAAGUUAUUAAAAAAUUAAUUCUUUUAAAAAUAAACAAUACAAAAUGGAAAAAUUAAUAAAUAAAAAAUAUAUCUUCUUCUCCCCUCCCUAGAAGCCUUCGUCACUCUCUGCUGAAUCUCUCCCUCUUCAUUUCUCCACCACCUGAUAGCACCCUAUCCCCAGCCCCACCCCUACCCCUAGCCGUGACCCACCCCCAACCCCAUCCCUACCGACAACCCAACACCAGUGCUCCGACCCCCUUCAUCCCUCUAUCUCUCUCCGAUUUGGCCCUGCACCUCACCCCACCACCACCAUAACCUAAAACUAGAUAUUCUCCAAUAUACAGCUUUGUUCAUCAAUCGAUUUUUAAUAACUUGGAGAUAGCUAUAGAUUUUACCCUUCCCAACUUCAAGUUCUGUUUCUCAAAAACACCAUCAAAUAAGCUAUAAUAAGUGAAAAUAAAAUUGAAAUAGGAGUAGUUCUUGGUGGGUGGGCUGGGUUGGAGCCCUUUUUUUUUUUUUUUUCCGUUGCAAAUCUGUUGUCCAUAUUGUAAUAAAUUAUGAGCAAUGUGGUCUUUUGCUUGCACUCAAUUUUUUGGGAUGGACUUGAGACAGAGAGAUAGAGAGAUAGGCGGGGGGGUGUCUUGAGAAGUUUUGUGGUGGGAGGGUGGCAAGGGUUGGUUGCUAGGUGGAUGAUAUUGGGCAGUGGCUUGUUUGAUGGUUGUUAUGGUUGGAGGGGGAGGGCACGAGAGUUAAAAAGGAAUGAAUUUUUGUUAUUUAUUAUUAAUUUUUUCAUUUUGCAUUUUUUAUUUUAAAAAGGAAUGAUUUUUUUAAUAAUUUGUCAAAAAUUGAAAGUUGUCCUUAAAUUGCUUGAAAUUGAAAUCAUUGGAACAAAAAUGUUCAAAUUGAAACCACAAAGACCUUAGUGGUAAAAGUGAUAAACUACAAAGACUAAAAGUGACUUUUUGCCUAAGAAAAAUGCAUGCAUCGAUCCCAAUCUACAGUUGCAAUCAUCAAUUAACUCAAAGUCAAUCCCUAUUUUCCUUGGAUCAUCUUCAACUGGACAUGAAUUUAUUCAGAACAUAAAAACCUAAUUAAAAAAACUUGAAAUCAGAACUCCAGUUGCUCGCCUGAUCACUAAAAGAUAAAAAGAAGGGAAGAGAUUUAAGUAAACCAAGACCGACCACAAAAUUAAGAUAACGCUCUUCCAACAAAGGCAUUCAAAGACAUCCAGCAGCAGCAGCACUUCAACUAUCUAUCCCACUCCCAUAAGCUCUCCAAGACAUUUCUACCUCCUCCCUCUCUUUACCAAUCAUAGCCUAUGCAUUUUACUCACUCACUUAAGCAAGCAUUAAGUAAACCUAAAGUCAUGUUUAACCUGCUCUCACCUUAAAAUCCAAACAAAACCAUCCAGAUGUUUCCUCAACGUAUGCCCUACAUUUCCAUAUAAAAAGUGAAACACAAGGUACCCGAAAGAAAAGGAACAUCCUUCUCAUACUUGGUUCCCCUGGUUUCAACCAAAAAAAUAUAUUCCCCUGGUUCCACAUAACAAUCUAAGCAAGGUGUCAUGAUACCUACGUAACCAUCGACAUAAUUAGACCCCUAGUUCCACAUAACAAUCUGUGCAAUGUGUCAAAACACGUACAUAACCACAAUUAAGCCCCUGGUUCGACAUAACAAUCUACGCAAUGUGUCCAAAUAACUACAUAAACUAACCAGAACACCCUAACAGCAUACUCAUCAGCACAACCAGCAUCAUAAAUUGUAAAAUCAAGGCUAAAGCAGUUGCUAAAAGGUUCCACAUCAAUCACAAUGAUUAGGAAACGAAACAUCUAGCACCUCAUAUGAAAAGUGAGGCAAUACAUUAGACCAAAUCACAGUCACAAUACUUUUUUCAUUAGAUAGGUAAUAGUAAUAUGUUACGACUUAAGCAUGUCAAUCACAAAAAAUAAAAGGGCAAAAAGAAGCCAUUGAGAAACAUUAUAAACUCGUCUAAAUUCAAAAAUUGGUCCAACCCAUUACUUGAAAUACAAAUAAACUACAAACCAAAUAUCAAUCUCUGCUAGGGGACUCCAUAUAGGUUCGCAAUUGAUUAUAACAUAAAAGUUUCCAACUGUUUUUUGCCAAAUAAAAUCUUAAACAAAAUGCCAAGUUACGAGUGUCAUCCACCUCAAAACCCGAGCUUGGUACGGCGCCAGUGCCUGCGCUUAGCAUUGUACCUGAGGAAACACGACGCCGUAUUAGAGCAACCAAAUCCAUUUUGAUUAUCAGAAAGAUAGAUAGAAAUGUGAAAGAACACAUGUUUCUCACCUGAUGGUGUUGUCGGUCCUCAUGCGGAUCCAGUGAGGAAUGGGUCGGUUCUGCCUCAUCUUCUUCGCCAGCUUCUUCUUGAUCCUGAAGGUCUUGUGCGACGGCUGCAAAUUCAAUCGGUUGAGAUGAGAACAAGAAUAGAGUCUAAAAUUUGCACGUCCAGUGUCAUAGAAAGCUUACCAUUUUCGCUGUGGGAGCUUCGGCUGGAGGAGCGACUUGCAGACAAAAACCCUAGCGAUAGGAAACCCUAUUGCUGAGUCUUGCAAUUUAUAGUUUUUAGCGAUGGGUUUUAUGGACUGUUGGGCCCUUACGAGAUUAUGAUGAGUCUCAAUGGAGGCUGAUCAUAUUUGAGGAAGCGUCCAAUUUUGAACUAAAGGCCCAUUUCUCAAAUUGCACACAGCCCAAUAACACCUUGUUUUAGGGCUUGCCAUGAACUGGACUAAGUCUAUUAAUUUCAAUUAUGUUUUAACCGUUUAUCGUGAAUUUAUAUAUCGUGAAACUUAUGUCUUAAAUUCAAUUUUUUCUUUUUUUGAUAUUGCAUGUAUUAAAAAUAAAUAAAUAAAUUGUGAAACCUGACUUAUUAAACAAUUAUUAACAUUUUUGCUUUAAAAAUCUAAUAUUGCAGUGGUUUUAUUUGGGAAAAAAAACAUGGGAAUUGUUGGGUUUUAGGAUUAAGGGUGUGUUGAGCAGAUUAUAAAGUGUAAAGUAAACAGUUAAACGACAUUGUCAUACUCGUGCCGUAACGGGACAGUGCAAUCACUGUAAAAGUAGCAGUGCUGAUACCGCCCAAACCCGCGCACGGAAAUCCAAGUGUGAAAUUCCGAAAGUAGCCCCAAAUCCCUAAGGCCCACUCUACGCUCCAAUCACCGCGUGACCUCACUCUCCUUCCCCCAUCAGGAUUCUGCAACCUCCUCUCUCCCACAGCCUCACUGUCUUCCACAUUCCAAACACUAUAAAAGAGCGCCCCUUCUCUCUCUAUCGCCGUCUUUUCCCGAAUUCGAACCUUCAAGCUUCGCUUUCUAGUGAGUUCCAGUGCUGGAUUAGUUUGAUAGCACAGAAUCGACGGUUCUGGUUGAUUCUUACAAUUCAAACAAUGCCUCGCGCUUCUAAAAGAAAAGCAGCUCCAUCAACUUCGACUUCCGUCACAUCCUGCGACGCCGUUCCACCGCGUGCCGGUAUCUUGCUUUCCUCAGAUUCUGAUUGGUUCCCGAUAAAAACUAAAAAAAAAGAAGAAAUAUUAAAAGUCACAUAUUUGUUUUAUUUUCAUAGGGCACAGAAGUUAAGUAUGUGAAUAUUGCACGCAGUUAUGAGCUGGGUUAAGCUAGCAGAGCAGCAAAAACUCGUCCUUUCUUCUUUUUUUGUGAUUAUAUUCUAUUGGGCAUGCAUUAACUAUUCGAUUUCAAUGUUUUGGAUUGUAUUAUAAUUUGGCCUUGUUCAUGCCGUUUAAUCCAAUUGCAUCGCUUUGUUUUGAUUUAGACUUUUAAAAAUUUCAGUAGUUUUGUGUAUUUGAAUUUUGAGAAGCGGAACUAUGAUCUUCAGGCUAUCUGGAAAUUUUGUGAUUUUGAAGUUUGAGUUGUCAAAAUUACUUUAUCACCCUUAACUUGUUGAGUUAAGACGAAGGAUAAUUUUGAAGAAGAACUUGUGCGUGGCUUCUGGAGUUUGGUAUACUAUUUCGAAGAUUUUAUGAUACCAAUUGCCCUAAAUAAACAUAGAAGAUUCCGUAGGUGUGUUUUCUUUUUUGAUUUAUGUAUGAGGAGCAAUAUACUCACAUGUUGGCGAUGGAUUAAUAAUAUUCAAAUUAAUCUUACAAUUUCUUUCUUCAACCAUUUUUCCUAUGAUUUUAUAUGGUACAAGUAAUUAAAAAAUAAUGCCAUUGUACUGUAGGUGGAAAUUUUCUAUAUAAAAGAUAAAAAAUUGUUUUUUAUUUUUUGGAUAUUGAACUAGCCCUGUAGGAAGGCUGCACAUAUUGGUCGUUAUAUUUGAAUAUGUUAUGUCAGCUGUUGAUCCUGCUUGUAUCUGAUGUGCUUUUUUUUUUUCCUUGCUCGACAAGUUUUAAGAUAUAUUUUUGGUUUUUACUAUGCAGUAUUUGGUGUUCUAAUGUUAUUCAGCCUCAGGUAAAUGUAAAUCAAGAAAGGUGGUAGACCGGAUAGGAAGCCUUUUUGAAUUGUAUGCAAACCAGUCGUUAAACAUGAUUGAGUAAGUAUACAGUGCUUUGAUAAGCAUGCAUUUAUGAAGUGGUGAUGUCAAUUCCGUAUGAUAAGUGUGCAGUGCUAAAAUUCUGUUAACCUUCCUAUAUUCUUAUGUUUGAUUGAAUAGCCCAGAAGGAAUUGAGGCUCUUUGUUCGGAUUUGGGUGUGGACCAUACUAAUGUUAGAAUACUGAUGCUUGCUUGGUAAGUUGGUUUAUUAGUUUUUGCUUACACGUUGUUGUGUGCAUACUUCAUUUAGUUAUCUUAUAACCUGAUUGAAGUUCCUGAAUGCAUGAUUCAGGAAAAUGAAAGCUGAAAAGCAGGGCUACUUUUCCAGGGUAAGAUGGAAAUGUAUAGUUUAAGCAGAUUUUCUUGUUUCCCAGUUGGUGUUCGUGCUUCUAAUACAUUUAAUGUUUUUGUUUCUGCAAUAUGCCCUAAUACAUUGGAUGUGAUAUAUAUGUAAUAUAUAUGCAUGUUACUGAUGAGUUACACAAAACAAUGGUAUUACAAAGAAGAUAGUCUGAUUUACACAAAAGGAGGCAGCCACCCAAAAUACGAGAAUUUUAAUUUUGGGACCCCAAGUGAAGGGCAAAGGAGUUACGUAAAAAGUACUAGGUUUGUAGGGUUUAAGCCUGUAUACUAAGUUGCUAACUGUGAGAAAGAUCAUCUUGUGACUCAGAAAACUAUUUUGACACUUCAACUUGAUAGAAAAGUACUGAUCAGAAGUUGCAGUUUGGCAAUAAUAGGCACUUAAUACAACAGUUAGGAAACAGGAUACACUUUUUCAUUGAGCUGGUCUGUAGAAUUUUGUCCAGUAUGUGGCUUUCCUGUGAAGAAAGCGAACUCGAGAGAGACUAACUUCAAAAACUUAACAAAGAUUCUUCAAUGUGUGUAGAGUUUGCUCUAAUUGUUCAAGGUCACUGGAAUAUUUGUUUUAUCGGGAAUAGGAUCCUACUUCAAGGUUAGUGUAAUGAGGAUAGCAUGUGGCUGGCCCUCUCAAUGCUACCCAAGACACUUGGAAACCCCCAAGACUAACUUUAUCUGUGUUCCUAGCCUCCAAAUAAAUACAGUAUGAGACCUCAAUGUUCCCAUGUUGGGACUUCUAGUUCUCAUUUUUUUUUCUUUUUUCUGUUUCUCUUUCCUGUUCUUCUAAUUAGGACGAGUGGCAAAGAGGCUUGAAAGAGCUACAUGUCGACACUAUUUCUAAAUUAAAGAAAGCACUCCCGGGUUUGGAGAAAGAGGUAUUCACAUCUUCCUUUCUUUUCCUUUUGGAUACUAUUGGAGUCGUGAUGGAAUUGUUAUUGAGGUGAUUUGGUACAUAAUACCGGAUGAUGCUUGAAAGGAAGAAAUAUUUGUUGGUACUGAUCUUGCUUUUUGUGUUUUUUGAUAGUUGAUGACCCCACCCAAAUUUGAAGAUUUUUAUGCAUAUGCAUUUCGAUACUGCUUGACAGGUGAGCUUAGUCUUGAGAGGCAUUUCUUUUUCUUAUAUUAAGUGAAAACCUUUUUUUUCAUGGAAAUCUCUGUGUCAAAUUGGUUAAAUUUUCAGAAGAAAGGCAAAAGAGUGUAGACAUUGAGACUGUAUGUGAAUUACUGAAUCUCGUAUUGGGUCCCCUAUACCGUCUCCAGGUUGAUUUAUUAAUUAAGUAUUUGAAGGUAUGUAGCUGUGGCAGCUGUUCAUGUCCCAUUUCACUUUUCUGUUAAGUAAUUGGCUCCUCAACACAAUUGUUUUCUGAACUAGGUUCCACAAUUGUUCUGUGAUGCUUGGUUUUAAUUUUGGCAGGUCCAAAGUGAGUACAGAGCAUUAAAUAUGGAUCAGUGGUUACAUUUUUACCGUUUUUGCAAGGAGGUAAACUUAUUAUUUUUGUUUUUAUUUUCUCCAGAAAUUCUAGUUCAUAUGUUUCUUUGUACCUUUUAACGUUUUGUUGUUGAGUUGCAGGGCCUGGAAAGUGGCCCUGGUUUUAAGAUUAUGCAAUUAGAUGAGUUUCUUGUUUGGCUUGAAAUCCUAACCAUGAUUUUGGAAGGCUAAACAUGUGUAAAAAAAGUACAAGAUUAUGAUAAGACUAUCCAUUCGUGUAAAAUAAUUGGAAAGUAUGCAAUCAGUGAGUUGUGUGCUCAGGAAUAAUCUCAAGUCUAAUUGACCUAUUUGACAGUUUAAACUCAUAAACACCAAACAAUGGCCCAUAAUGGGAAUAUAAAGGUGAAAACCUCGAUUCGAGGGAUUUAGCACUUCCUGUGCCUGGAUCUAACUUUCUGACUUCUAUCUAACUUUUUGUUUUAAUUCAAUGAAUCUUUACUUUUGGCAGAUAAGUUUUCCGGACCUUCAAAACUAUGAUUCGGAUCAAGCAUGGCCUGUGAUUAUUGAUAAUUUUGUUGAAUGGAUGAGAGACGAGCAAAGCUAAUUUUGGCAUCCUCCUGUUAGAAUACACUGCUGACCUAUAAGAAGGUAUAAGAAUUCUCCUCUUUUUAUAUCUUUCUUUUCUUCCCAUUUAUUGGGGGUGGAUAUUGUAAUUUAGAUUGCAUCAUUGAUUUUCAAACUAGAAGAAUGGUUUAGAUCCACAUUUGUGACUUGACUUUGGUCUGUUUGAUCGAAUUGCAGGGGUUGGCAAGAAUUCCAGCUAUGGUUUUAACUAACAAAAGAUUUGUGCUUGCGUUUUUCUUCUAGGGGGUGGUUUGGAGAGCUGGCUCUCAAGAGAAAUGCUGCAGUUUUUGUGAUGAGAAAAUUUUGCAAGUGUCUAAUUAUAUAAAAAAAUGUUUUGCACUCUGUUUAUUUUCCACUGCCCGUAUUAUUUAAUUUGUGGUUUUCUUCUCUGAGCUGCUAUGAAUUGCAGCUUCAAUUGAUAAAAUUGUUGCUUAGAAUUCUUUUAUUAUAAAAAGAAUGAUAAUAACCAAUUGCGCUGAGCAUACUAUGAUUGAUGCAUUCUAAAAAUUUUGGAUAGGAAAGGGAAAAAAGAAGGAAAGACUAUCAUGGAUGGAUGGAGUAUUUAAACAUUCGUGAUUCUUUGAAUUGAUUGAGAUGAACUAAUCCAUAAUCGAAAUCAGAAUAAGGUGUUCAACCUGGCUGCUCGUCAAGUUCGAUAACAAUGACUUCAAAAUUUGAUAACAUGGACACGUACAUGCAGGCCGCACGUUUGUAACUUGUCAGCCUACUUAUUAUUGCACGCAAAACAAUUGUACAUUUAUUUUCCUUUCAUAAUGUAAAUACAAAUCUCCAACCUACUUAAAUUAAUCCUCUACCACACAUAAAAUAAAUUGGAUUCAAUUCAAUAAUCACUAGUCACUCAAUGAAUUGAUGCUUUAUAUAUAUUAAACACGAAAAUAGCUGCGAGUUUCUAUACGAUCAUCAAUUAGAAAUUUCAUUCUAGACGGCUGAAAUCUCCUGUAAAAUCGGAGCAAGAAGAUAAUGUAGGAGAUGUAACACUCUUCUCAUUCGUCGAGAAUCCAUGAAUUUGAAGCUGUAGUUUAAGAGAAUGUACAUAUUAAGAAUGAAUUAUUUUGGAAACUAAGUUUAAGAUUAAUGAAAAGAAUCUUAAUUGUCAUCAAGAAAAAGUUGGUGAUUUUACCUUGCGCCGAAAUCUUCCAGUCGCUAUCAUAUGUGAGGGCCCAAAAGAAGUAUCCACGAAGCCCAAGGGCUUGAGCAUACCCUAUCUUGGAGGUUGUAGUAAACGCAUCAUCAAACGAAACCCAUGAAGACCCGUUAAAAGAAUAUACUGUCAUAGUGUCCACGUCAUACACUACGGUUGCGCCCGACUGGUUCAGCAGUGUCUCCACCUGAUGGAACAACAGCUGCCCAUCUCCUGGGCCUGGCCCAACAGCAGUAGCUCCAAUACUAUGAUUAUUUGGGUCUUUGAGCUCCCAUGUCCGGCCGUAGAGUGGCAAGCCCAUAACUAGCUUCUUUGGGGGUAUCCCGGCCUUGAUCCAUGACCUAAGCCCGUAUAUGGAGUUUACUUUACUCUUCGGGUCAAGCAAUGCUGCAUUGGGCCCUGUGGUAUUGCUCCAAGCCCCGUUAUAGUCGAAACACAUUGCAUUAAUCCAGUCCAAGUAUUUAUUCAUGUGCGGCAUUGGGUAGGAGCGGGGGACAUUGGCCAAGAAGAAGUCGGCCGAGAAGUAGACGGCGGCGGUGAGUAGGAGAGGAGGGCGGGCUGUGGAUUUAGCCUCUUUCUUGAGUGCGUGGCGCCAUUCUUUGAGCAAGUGGCCCAAGUCCUUCAUUUCUUUUGGGCUUUUAGGGAAUUCCCAAUCAAGAUCCAGCCCAUCAAACCCAAACUUACGUGCAACCUCUAUGGCAGAGUGUAUGAAAUGUGAACGUGAGGAGGGCUCCGAGGCCAUGCGAGCAAAGAUUUUAGGUAGUUCUGGGUCAUCUCCGCCACCACCUAAGGACAAGAGGGUCUUCACUGGUGGAUGUUUGUGAUGGAGGGUGGUGGUGAAAUUGGAGAGAAGCAAAGCUGUUGAAUUUGACAAGUCAAAUUUGAAAGUGACAUCGUUUGGCACAAGAAAGGCAUAGAAGAUGUGAGUGAAGAAUGAUGUGUUUAUAGCUGAAGGUGGGAAAUCAUCUGACAACCAUGAAGGAUAAUAGGCCGACUUCACAGGGGGAGGAGGGUCUGAAAGCGAGUCUGCCAUACAGCCAGUGUUGAAGAUCAUCAAGGAACAGGAAAGCAAAAGAAUAUGCACCAAGUCAUUGAGGCUUGCCAUUUCUAGGCUGUGAGAAAAGUAGACUGACUACCCAGUGGUAACUAGGAAGGGCUAUAUGCUAUAUAUUAUUCGAAGCUUGAAACGUAUUUGGUGUAUAGUUUUUGUAUUUAUCCACCACAGCAUGCAUUAAAGAAAUAAGAAUGCAUAUAAAAAUGAUGGAAGGGGUUAAGCAAAACGUUAAAAUUCCUGCCUAUAUAAUCCAGAAAGUGGUUGUAUGUAUUUUAAGUAAUUUUGAGUUAAGAAUUGUCGAUGUUUUGACUGCUACUAGUACUAUAUCUAUUCUAUUCUAGAAAUUAAGCCGUCCGUUAUGACUUAUUCAGAGCAGUGUUGUGUUGUAUAAUUAAAAACGAUAGAGUCGCAUUCAACUUAUAUGUAUAUAUAUACAUUCUAUUUAGUUCUAAAAUCAAAUAGUCAUUUAUUUACAACAGUGAGAAUAUUAUAUUAUCAAGUGUCCAAAGUUUGAUUUUGUGGAUUUUGUGGUCGUCUCUACAUUUGAUGUAUGCUUGUGGAGAUGAUCAAUGCUUGGACAGGGAAGUCACGAGUAAGCAGAAGCUCCAAUCAUAACAACACAGGCUUCACAAGCAAAUGGUUUUUCAAACCAACCUUAGAACGACAACAUACCAAAAUUUUACUUUAAACCACUUGUCUUCACUUAAUUGCUGUCACUAAUUUUUAUAACGUUCGAAAUCAAUGAUGAAGGUUGUUGUUUGUUAGGAGAGGCCAUUGUUUACCCCUUUAACUUCUGACAAAAAUGCUAAUACUUCUCAUUUGGUGGUGGUUUUCUUUUGGAACAGGGCUCUGAGUGGACAUGUUAUUCUGUUGUUUUUCAUGUUCAAUUGUGUUUGUCUGGGAAUAGUGCAGGCUGGAUUUUAAUUUUUUUUUCUUGCAGUUUUUGUUUUUGUUGUAUAAAAGAAUUUCGUACAAACAAAACAAAAUUUUUGGCAUAUCCUCUCCUUGGUCUAAGCCUAACCACUAGUUCAAUGUUCAAAUGACUUGCCUCAUCAGUUCCCUCCCUUCUCUCGGCACAGGAAUUGCAAAUUUUUAAUUCAACCAAAUAUUGUAAUGUUUAGAACAUGUAGGCCUCCAGAUGAAGAAUACAAAGUUGCUAAAAUCUUGUAUACUUCAUAGAGUAUAUGACCACCCACAUUCUUGAGCCUAAGAACUCAACCACUGAAAAUGAAAAACUAAUGUCUCCUAUUCUGAGCCUGCAUUUUCAUCGGGGUUGCAAUCUGAAAUUUGUGCAUCAUUAACUGAACAACUUCCUUGCUGCGGUGUAGAUAUGCUUCCACACUUCCAUGUGUAGAGAAAGCCAUCUUUGUAGGAGUGGGAAAGGGUUCGGUGUCAAUUUUGAGCAUGGAAUAAACUUCCAACAUUGUAGGCCUAGCCCCCGGAUUUUCCUGGACACAUAAUAGAGCUACUUUCAAGCGUCUCGAUAAUUUACAAGAAGACGAAGAAUCAUCCAGUGAUGGAUCUAUAAAUUCCCUUCCUUUGUCCUCUUUCCAUGAUAGAUAUGCCUGAAAUAGUUUGAAUGUUACUUCAUAUAUAGUUUAGAUAUCUAAGUAAUAGUUUCCAGUAGUGCUGAUAGAAUCAUAGACAGCUAUCUUACAUAUUGCAAGAGGUGCAAGCUUUCGUUCGGACCAUAGUAACAUGUGCUCCUCCUUCCACUCAUCAUUUGUAAAAGUAGAACCCCGAAGCUGUAGAAGUUGACUUCGUAGAGUAUAUACCUUUUUUUAUGUAUUCAGGAGGAAUAUAGCCACUGCAUUGGGUGUGUGUGAAUUAACCAAAAAGAGGCAGUUUACUUACUGUGUUCCAACAAUCCGGCUUGUGUUUGCUUCAAGUUCAUCUUUUCUGAAAAGUUUAGCCAUUCCAAAAUCUGAUAUCUUAGCAUUCAUUUCGUGGUCAAGUAAAAUGUUGCUACGUACCUUUCACAUCUCGGUGAAUAAUUAUAAAUUUGGAGUAUUCUUGAAGAUAUAGGAGUCCUGGGGUAACCCCUUCAAUGACGUGCACACACUUUGUUCACUCUAGAAGAUACAAUCUGGUAGGAUCUGCAAGAUAAUUAGCAUUAUACAUUAUGGGAGCUCCGUAGCUUUGAAUGUACCUCUUGAUGUACUUAUAGCUCAUGGAUCCAUCUUUCGUCUCAGCUUUGCCGGCUGCAGGUGCCCCAAUUCCAUUAUUUGUCUUUGGGGUUCACAAGUGUCCACCCAUAGCCAUGGUAAGGAAAACCCAAAACCAGUUUGCUAGCAGGAAAUGAGUUGUUUAGCCAUUGCUUUAUACCAUAGUUGGUAUUAACACGGGUUGAUGGGUCAUAUAAAGCAGCAUGAGCACCAGUAACAUUCUCCUUAGCAGGCAGAUGAUAGUCAUAUGCCACAACAUGUGCCCGAUCCAAAUUCCUCUUCAUAGAUUCAAUAGGGUAACUCAACGAUUCGAAAGCAGGCAAAUAACGAACCGCCAUUGUCAAUAUCAAGCGUGACUGAUCACUAGAGUUUCUUGACUCAGAAUUCACAGCAGCCCCUCACUCAUCCAAUAGCUUUCCCAUGUUGAUCAUAUCAGACGAAUUUAACACACAUUAGGCAUCAUCAGUACAAUUAAUUAAUGAUGAAAAACAUGAUUGGGAAGCUUUUAAAUGCUUAGUUGAAUACAUACCUGCAUCUGAAAGAGUCCAAUUGACAAUCGUUUUUGGAAAGCCAAUCAGUGAUCCCAGAAUCCCGGGUGGCUAUACUAUUUUUUAGAAUCAUUAAUAAAACAUAGCCGCCCGGCGAUACUAUCUUUUUAAAAAUCAGAAAACUAAGGUAUAGCCGGGCGGCUGUACUAUUUCAAUAUACAAAGGCCCCGAAUAGAGAAACGUGUCAAAAUAUGUAUAGCCGGGCGGCUAUACUAUUUUUCAAAAAACCCGGCAUGGCCGGUCGGCUAUACUAUUUAUAAAAAACACGCGUAUAGCCGGGCGGCUAUACUAUAUUUUUGAAAAAAAGAGGACCCGCCCAGCAGUAAGGAGCCCACGUGUCAAAAUAAGUACCGCCGCCCGGCUCUGCCAUUGUUUGGAAUAAAACCGAGUACAGCCGUCCGGCUAUACUAUUUUUAAAAACAAAAAUAGUAAAAACCAAGUUGUAAAAAAAAAAAGGGGAAAACCCGCUAGCGGAUAGGCGGCCAUGUGUCAAAAUACGUAUAGCCGCGAGGCUAUACUAUUUUUAGAAACAUCAAUAAAAUCGAGCAUAGCCGCAUGGUAAUACUAUUUUUUCCAAAAAAACGUAGUAUAGCCGUACGGCUAUACUAUUUAUAUAGAAAAAACGGAAAAACCGAGUUGGCCUAGGCGGGUCUGGGCGUCUGGGCCGGGCUUUAAAUAAAACCUCACGCUGCCUCUCUCUCCUCUGAGCCGUCGCCUCCUUCGCUCUCUCCCUCCCUCCCUCCCUCUCUCUCUCUUUCUCUCACGACAGACGGCCACCACCAGGCCUCCACCCAAGACGACCACCACCGGGCCGCGACCUGCGACCCGCUCGACGCCCGCGACCUGCGGAGGGAUAUGGAGAGGACGUUGAGUUUCAGUCCGAGAACAAGAGAGUGUUGGAGAGGAGGAUUUUCAGGGGUUGGAUAAGAUAAAAAGAGAACGGAGUUACUAUCAGUGUUCGUUAUCGCUAAUUUAAACCAGAAACAAGCUGUCUAUAUAUAAAUUAAUAUACUGCAUAUAAGGCCAUGGAGUGCGUUCUGAGGACAGAGUGGCUAGGCAUAGGAGGACGCGACAUUAAGAACAUCCUCAAACAUUAAGAAUUCUCUGAUUGAAAACUGCAGGCUGCAGCCUCUGGAUGCAACAAAUUCUAGCUUCCCAGACAUUCACAAUCCAUACAAAAGUCAAUUGAACUAAUAUAAAAAUUGACAUGUUUCUUCCAGAAAUUCAUCUGCAUGCUAUCCCAUUAAGCCAACAUUCGGCUCAGAUAUUUUAAAAAGGAUAUAUAUAUAUAUAUAUAAAUUAGAUGCCUUAAUGAUUUUCAAUUUGCAUGAUUAUUUGCAUGAUUAUUUAAAAGGAUGAUUUCUGAAUGAAGAUGUGAAAAAUCGAUGGUUUGGAUUGUUGGAAAAAAUUUGGCACCAAGUGUACUAGUUUUAGCCGUGCGGCUAUACUAUUUUGAAAAAAUAGAAAAAAAUCUGGUAUAGCCGCGGGGCUAUACUGUUUUGUAAGAAAUAUUAAUAAUAUAGCCGCUCGGCUAUACUAUUUUAAAAAAAUUCAGGAAAACCGAGUAUAGCCCGCAAAAUAAGUGUAGCCGCGCGGCUAUACUAUUGAUAUGCAUAAAAAAGGACCUCAUUGCGGUAGGUAUAGCCGUUCGGCUAUAAUAUGUUUUUAAAAAAAAAGCAGGAAAACUGAGUAUAGCCGCUCGGCUAGACUAUACAUAUAAAUAAAGACCCGCCUUGCGAAUAGAGGUCCACGUGUCAAAAUCAGUAUAGCUGCACGGCGAUACGAUUUUGAAAAACAGGAAAAACUGUGAAAUUAUGACUGCCGUCUGCAGGCUUUGCCUUCAACAAUUCUAGCUUUUCGAAAGGAAAGUCAAUCUAAUUUGAACCAAUAACAAAUUGAUAUGUUUCUUACAGAGAUUCUUCUGCGUGCUGUCCAAUUAAGUCAAUGAUCGGCUUAGAUACUUAAUUAAAAGAAAAAAAAAGAAAAAAAAAAAAGAACCGGCUCAGAUAUGCAUUUUGCCUCAGUAACAGCUACGUCUUUGUGGCGUGAUCAACAUUAGUGCUUUGUCUCUUACUUGUUCUAAACCCAUCUUUCAUGCUAGGACCAAGCACAUCGAGUUGGAUUAUCACUUCGUGAGAGAAGGGAAUUGGUCACUAGUAGUUGUAAAUCUUUUCAAGUUCAAUGUGUUUGUCCUCAAGAUGAGAUUGCAGAUGUGUACUCAACAAGGCUCAAGACACAGUGCUUUUUUCGCUUCCACUCCCUUCAGCUUGAGGGGGAGCAGUGUAAGUAAUAUGUUUGUCUAAGAUCUGUCCAAAUAAGCCAACGAACGGCUUACAUACUUGAGGUCAAAAAAGGACCGGCUCAGAUACAAAAACUAUAUAUAGUAGUACCUUGUUCUUCUUGUACAAAAAUAUAACUGCCAAGAGUGUAUUUUCAGGGUAGGCUUGGGUUUUAAGAACAUGUUCCUUCUUACUUGAAGAACUUUUUGGCUCUUCUUUUAUAUUUUGUUUCCUUGUCCAAGGAAGUGAAAAAUGGGCUUGACUUGGUGCAGCUUGGAAUUUUGGAUUCAACAAGGCGCGCUGAAGCUUUGUAGCCCAAUUUCGCAAAUUAUUUUUUUUCUCAUCCACACAAAAUUUCCCAAAAUCAUUCGUUCGUCCAGAUUAAGAAAAUAAGAAUUCACGGCAACAUGUUAUUGUUUAUUUGGCCUCAUUAGCCUUAUUGCAAGUAAGGUAUUACAUUUGCAUAUAUAGAUCUAAUCCUCAUUUUCUCAUCCCCAAGUAGUUGAAGCUGCAAGAACAAUAGUAAAAACAUAUGUAGUUAAUACAUCAGAACAUCCAUUUGUUAAUAUACAAUAAUUCCAAUAGAGUUAAAUAUAUUUCUACUUAGGAUUUACCAACCUGUUUGAGAAAGAGCCCAGUUAUUGUCGUCACCACUGACUUGCCAUGAGAAGUAACCAAGAAGCCCCUUUUGCUUAGCAUAUGAAACCUUGGCAGAGAUACUCUGUGUGUCGUCAUAGCCAAUCCAUGUUGUCCCAGAGUAGCAGUAGUUUGUAACAACCGUCGCAUUGUACACUGUCUGUGUCCCAUUCUGGCUUAUGAAGUCCAGUAUGUCCUUGUAGUUUAUGCUCCCAUCUGUCCUAAUAGCCGGUCCAUCAGCCGGUCCAUCAGCCGGAGCAAAAAGGCCAUGCUCAUCAGCAUUCAGCAAACGCCAUGCAUACCCAUAAAAUGGAAGGCCCAGCGCUAUCUUAUCCGCACCCAAACCUGCCUCAACCCAAGAUGUGAUGCCAGCAUCCCCAUUAACCUGGCUAGCGGUUGCGUUGUAUAAUGCAGCCGGUGGUCCAGUUCUGUCUCUGCUUGAGUUCCAAGCAGAGCCAUAGAAGUCAUAAGCCAUUACAUUGAUCCAGUCCAAACUGUUUGAUAUGGACUCAAUGGGGUAAUUUAUGGUAUAGUAAUCUGCAGAGCGAAAUACUGCAGCGGCUAAAAGCAAUUCGGUGUUGCCAGAUGUCUGGGACUCAUUGGCCACAGCAGCUCGCAGCUCAGUGAGAAGGGUGCCAAAGUUGGUCAUGUGAGUGGUGGUGUCCGGGUACUCCCAAUCAAGGUCAAUACCAUGGAAGUUGUAGGACCUGGCUAAGUUAAUGGAGGAGUCAAUGAAUGAUUUUCGCCUGCUGGGUUGGCUUGCCAUUGAAGCAAAGGUGUCUGCAAUAGUAUCAUUGCCUCCUCCACCAAUGGACAAGAGGGUUUUCACAGAAGGGUUUUUUUGUUGGACUGUUUGUGUGAAGCUCGAGAAUUGGGCUGAGUUUGAGGAAGUAACGGUGACUUGGUAAGUAUUGGGAUCAAGAUCAGCAAAUGCACAGAAAAGAUUAGUGAAAAGGCUGGAAUCUAUGCUGGAUGCUGGAAAUCCGCUGUCCCAAUACCAGUAAGCGCCUUUAACCACAGUUUGGCCGGAAGAGACAUUGAAUUGGAUAAGGAAAAGGAGGGUGGAAAGGAGAAAUAUUUGAAGGGUUUUGGUUUUCGAAGACAUUGAAGCAAAUUAAGGAGGAAUGAUCUUUGUUUGCUAGCUAUGAUUGAUAUGAAGAUCAGCUUCUGCGAGCUAUACAUACAUAUAAAUAAAAAUAGUCGAAUAUUGAAGAUCUGAACUUUGGAAGAGACUUCCAUUGGAGACUUUUGCUGAUUUAUGUCUUGGUGAUGACAUAUGUAGCUUGAAAGUUUAGAUAUAUUGAAACUGAUUGUGGUCUAAAAUGUCAGCUUGAAAUUAUCCAAAAGUAAAGAAGGUAAGUGGAUCUUUUAAGACAGAUAAAAUAUUUAUCUCUAGAAGCCAUCCAAUAGUAAAUGCUGUUACUAGCAACUUCUCCCCUGUUCACAUCUGGUUAUUAGAGUAACUCAAUCUAGGCCUUAGAUUACUUUGCGCUUUGUGUGGAACCGUCAAGACCAGGUACACAACAUACUAAUUGGAGAAAGACUUUUCUACUUGUGAUAUUGAUAUGUCAACAUCUGCUAACAACCUAUAACUCGGUGAGAGAGACCCAAUAUUUUCAUUUUAUGGAGACAAUUUCACCAUUGACCGUAAUUUCAUUUAUGAUGCCAGCAAGUUUGGUGUACAGUUAUGUGGAGAUUAUUACUUUACAAUUCUUCUGUUGGUUGGAUAUGCAAAAAGUUGUCUUGAUUGCUCAACACCCUUAAUUUGUGCCUGUUGACUGGUAGUUUUUCAAUGUCAACUCUACACUAUAUAAUUCAGCGGUACGUCAUGUCAUGCGUAACAAGAAUCGAAUCUCUUCAUCCUAAGAAGAAGAAGUGAAGUCUUAAUGCAUUUCUUUCUAAGUUCAGCCAUCAGCCAUCAUCCAUCUGCUCUAAAGCAUCAGCUUCCUAUCCAUACUCCAUGGUAUUCAAAUUUUCAAGUGUACUACUAGUCCUCCUUUUCUUCCAUUUUCUUGUUGCUUUUAGACUGCAAAGCUCAGAGGCACAAUCUUGGAUCAAAGCAGCAUACUGGUAUUCUGGCAGUGAAUUCCCCAUUGCUGACAUAAACUCUGCGCUUUUUACUCACCUUAUUUACUCAUUUGCCGGUCUUAAUUCAUCAUCCUAUGAGCUCUCCCUCUCCUCUGACUCUGAGGAGCAGGAUCAGGUGCAGCACUACUCCACCUUCUCAUCCACGGCCAAGCAAAAGAACCCAUCAGUCACCACCCUCAUCUCCAUUGGGGGUGGAAACGCAGACUACUCAGUCUUUUCAACACUUGUCAGUAAUUCUUCUCACAGAAAGACCUUCAUUGAUUCUUCAAUAAAGAUUGCAAGGCUUUAUGGCUUCCAAGGCCUAGACCUUUGCUGGGUUUCAGCUAACACAAGCGCGGACAUGACCAACAUGGGAAAUUUGUUUCAAGAGUGGCGAGCUGCUGUCAAAUCUGAGGCUGCAAAUUCUAGCCAGGCGCAGCUGAUUUUGACAGCAGCCGUUCAAUACAAACCAGAUUUGGAGUCCUUUUCUUUUCCGGUUGAAUCCAUUCGGAACAACUUGAAUUGGGUACAUGUAAUGGCCUAUGACUAUUAUGGGCCUCAGUGGACUAAUUUCACCGGCGCUCAUGCAGCUCUGUAUGAUCCAUCAAGUGAUGCUAGCACAGAUUAUGGUAUCAAGGCAUGGAUUGGUAAGGGAUUAUCUGCUUCCAAAUUGGUUUUGGGCUUGCCUUUCUAUGGCUAUGCUUGGAAACUUGUGAAUCCUAGGGACAAUGGUAUUGGUGCACCAGCAACAGGUCCAGCCAUUACAGAGGAUGGAUCCAUGAGCUACAAGGAUAUCAAGGGUUACAUUCAGAGAUAUGGGGCUGAUAUAAUCUACAAUGCUACGUAUGUAGUUAAGUACUGCAUAAUUGGAUCAUCUUGGAUUGGUUUUGAUGAUGCUCAAGUUGUCAAAAUAAAAGUUUCUUAUGCUAAGGAGCAGAGUUUGCUUGGAUACUUUGUCUGGCAGGUUUCCCAUGAUGACAACUGGGUGCUUUCUCUUGCAGCUGCAGGUAGGAAUUGAAGCUCAAUAAUUAUGCAUGGUACUCCACUUGAUGAACUCAUUUUCUCUGCAUAUUCCACCAUGACAAGUUAAUUUCAUUACUCCCAUCCCAUCUAACGAGAUCAGAUUGGUUAUUGUUGAUUGGUCACUUUACAAAAGAGAAAGUCUGCUAAUGCAAUACUUUAGUGUCUAUUGAAGUUUCUUGUAAAUAAAAGUCAGAAAUUAAAGUAUGAGCUGAUAUUGAAAACAGAAAAUAUGAUUCGCUGUCAAAAUUGCAUUGCCUUCUCAGCCAUUUAGCAGUCAAGAGAGGAGAAUAAAAUAAUUGGUUUCUGCUGAAAAUGAAAUGAAGAUAACCAAUAUAAUUCCUUACUGCAAAUUAAUGAACAAGAUACCCAUAUAAGUCACCGUCCAAUAGAAGACUUGGAGUUUUACUUUGGAAAAUUCAACCAUCGCCUUAUUUAUAUUUCCCCUGUAAUGAAGGUUUGCUCAUGCAUUCUUCCCUAACUGUUACAUUGAAUUAUAUAUGCUGAUCACAGCUACAGCUCAAGAGCGUGCAAGCAGUGGACAAAAAAAGCGGCGACUUCUUAUAAUCAUUUUGACUACAACAGCUUCAGUUGUUCUCAUAUUAGGCUCCGUCAUGUGUUACUUCCGCAUGAGAAUGUUCAAGUCAAAAGGUAUAUAGCUUUAUUCUUAUUUUUGUUCGGCCUGAAAGUAUUGAAGCAUUAACUAUUCACCUCUUUGAAUAUGUAUUUUGGAUUUUUGUAUUAUCUAUAACUCUUUUUUUGAACGAACGUACUAUCUAUAACUAUGGAGGAAGAAUUGGAUCUUAAAGCUCUUCUGCCAAUUCUUUGGCAAAAGCAGCUAAAGAAUCAGAAUCCAGGGCAAAUUAUAUAGCAGACCCAGCUGGAACUUUUAAUAGCAAUGUACCUAAUCUGCAAGUCUUUGGCAUUGCUGUAAUUGAGGAGGCAACAGAAGGAUUUUCAAUUGAAAAUAAGCUUGGAGAGGGUGGUUAUGGUCCAGUUUAUAAGGUAAACUUUUAUAAUGGGGCAUAUCAUGGCACCAGCUUGUCCUCAUUAAACAUGCUAACCAUGAGUGUCUACAUAACUUGCUAGGGUGUAUUGCCAAAUGGACAAGAAAUAGCUGUGAAAAAACUUUCAAAAGCUUCAACUCAAGGAUUCGAGGAAUUCAAGAACGAGGUCAUGCUUACAGCAAAACUACAACACGUUAAUCUUGUCAGGGUUUUGGGAUUCUGCAUCGAACACCAUGAACAAAUGCUGAUUUAUGAGUACAUGCCAAAGAAAAGCUUGGAUCUCUACCUCUUUGGUAAGUCAAUAUGAGAUUUCGCUGCCUUCAUGCAAAAGAUGACAGUCCACUAGUUCCUGGUGGUUUCACUUCCUUGUGCCACACAGCUUUAAGCUGAACAUAGUGUAAGCUUGUAAGGGAUGUCCUAUGGUGUCUCUACUAUUCCAUGCAUUUUUUAGUAUAUUUCAAUGCAGAACUGAUAGGACAGCAUAUGUUUCAAUGUAGAUCCUAUCAGAAGGUAUCAACUAGAUUGGAGAAAACGUGUUAGCAUUAUUGAAGGGGUUACUCAGGGACUUCUUUAUCUCCAAGAAUACUCAAGAUUGACAAUAAUCCAUCGAGAUCUGAAAGCUAGCAACAUUUUACUUGAUGAGGAGAUGAGGCCUAAGAUCUCAGAUUUUGGCAUGGCUAGAAUUUUCACAAAAGAUGAACAAGAGGCAAACACAAGCCGGAUCGUUGGAACAUAGUAACUCUAUUUCCUAAUAAAGCUAAUUUUUUAAUUGAGCUGUCUAUUAUUGGAUACUUUGGUAAGUAAUCUUCUAAAUCAUUAUGUGCAGUGGCUAUGUACCUCCUGAAUAUGUUAAAAAAGGUCUAUACUCCACGAAAUCAGAUGUUUAUAGCUUUGGAGUUCUCCUUGUACAGAUCAUAAGUGGCAAGAAGAAUGCCGCUUUCUAUGGUCCAAAUGAAGACUUAAACCUUCUAGAAUACGUAAGUUACUUCAAUAAGCACAGUUAGAUCAGAAUUAAUAUUUUCUUCAGCUUUGCUAAGAAUUAAAUCUUCACGUUUCAAUUACAUGGUGGGGAACAUUCAAUAAUUUCAGGCAUAUGAACUUUGGAAAGAAGGCAAAGGGAUGGAGUUUAUGGAUCCUUCACUUGAUGAUACACAUUCAUUAUGUAAAUUGAUGAGAUGCUUGCAGAUUGCUCUCCUAUGUGUUCAAGAAAAGGCAAAUGAUAGGCCUUCCAUGUUGGAAAUUUCUUCGAUGCUACAGAGUGAAAAUGCUGUAAUGGAAAAACCGAAAAUGCCAGCUUUUUCAAAAAGAAAUGAAGACAAAGAAACUAAUCCUGCACCGCGGCUAGAAGUGUGUUCCAUUGAUGAUUCAACAAUCUCAGAGGUUGUAGGCCGAUGAGUGGUGGUAUAUGCUCAGUGCUUUGUAAAACAAAUUUCAAUCAGAUUUUCAAUUCUUUUUCCUUUUACUCUUAGGCAUAACCGCUCUGCCACUAGUCAAACUAUUCUUAGAAUUUAUUAGUCAUGUAUUUCCUAGUAAGUUAUUAGGUGUAUAUUACAUUAAUGCAGUCUACUUACUACAAAGUUGGUAAGGGGAAGAGGUCCCUCGGGUCACACUACAAUGUUGCAGUAGGUUUCUUUAGUUUAGGCAUGAAGUGAACCAAUUAUGAGUUUGGGGUGGUUCUGUUCUGUUCAUCUAUGAGUCUACCAAUGGAAGUUUAUUAUGUGCUGCGAGUUUUACUGAUGUUUCUUUAUCUACCAAUGUAAUUGUUUACUGUAAAUGUAACCUGAUUAUGAAGAAUAAGAUACCCAUAAAACCUGUCACCAUCCAAUACGAAAACUUGAACUUUUGUGUGGAAAAUUCAUUUAUAUUUCCCCUGCACUAGAAGGUUGGCAGCUCAAUGUCAAUACUAGAAAACAAUGAGCUCACUCACACAACUUUAUUAAUUAUUAACAAAAGAAACACACAGACAAACAUCUUACUACAAACUUUACAAAGCGAGAGCUCCAGGCUAGCAGUACAAUGAGUUGACAACUUCCAACAUCUCUAUGGCAUCUCUAUGCAUAUUAUAUUCUCACAGCUUACUGAGCUUUACACGUUUCACCUCUUAAAAAAGAAAUUUUGAUUUUUCUAUUAUCUGUACUAUAUGAAUGCAUGAUGAAGCAUUGCAUCUUAUUAAAGAAUACAAAUCGCCUCCGAUUAGGCUAAAUACAAAUGGCACUACAUCUUGAUCUUCCUAUUGAUAGGAAAAGUAGCUAGUGUAGUGUCCCUAAUAUGCUCCCCAUGCGCAUUAAGCUGCAAACAAAUUUGACAUUCACAUUAGGCAUCAGUAAAGUACAAUUAAUUAACGAUCAACUAUAUAUACAAAUACAAGAACACGAAAGGGGUUGUUCUCAAUGUCAUAUAUACCUGCUUGUGAAAGAGUCCAAUUCACAUCGAUGCCAACAUUCCAUGCAAAGUAGCCAACUAGUCCCUUUUCUUUAGGGUAUGAAACUUCGGUAGUGAUACUCUGCGUAUCAUCAUAACCAAUCCAAGUUUUUCCAGUGUAGGAAUAAUCCAUAACAAGUGUGGAAUUAAACACAGUUGGUGCACCAUUCUCAGUUAUAUAUGCCUUGAUCAGGUUGUAACCGGCUGACCUGUCCGGCGGCACUGCCAUUCCUUCGGCUGGUGCAUAAAUACCAUGCUGAUUUGGGUCUGUUAGGUUCCAUGCAUAGCCAUAAAAUGGAAGGCCAAAUGCAAUUUUUUUUGGAGGCAUACCUGCCUGAAGCCAAGCAGUGAUCCCAGAAUCCCCACUGAUAGGACUGAUUGGGUUGUACAGGGAAGCAGGGGGUCCUGUUACAUUGGGAGACCAACUAGGGGCAAAAAAGCUAUAUGACAUCAUAUUGAUCCAGUCCAAGUUGUUUUUUAUGGACUGAAUGGGGUGCAACAAUGAGUCGUAAGUUGCAGAGUAGUAGACCGCUGCCACUAGAAGCAAUGGGGGCUUGCCAAAUGUCUUGGUCAUUGGUCACCCCGCCUCGCCACUCUGCAAGAAGGGUGCCAAAAUUGGCCGUGGCUGGGAACUCCCAGUCAAUGUCAAGGCCAUGGAAGUUAUAAGACCUGGAAAUGUUUAUGGAGGAAUCGAUGAAUGUUUUGCGGGAGCUUGGUUGGCUAGCCAUUGAAGCAAAAGCUGCCCUACUGGAAGCUGAUGCUCCACCUAUUGAUAAAAGGGUUUUGACAAAAGGGUUUCUUUGUUGGACUGUGCGUGUGAAGUUGGAGAAUUGGGGUUGGUCUUGAGGGGAAAUGAUGACUUGGUUGGUUUUGUACCAGUAACCUGCUUUAAUAACAUUGCCAGCUGCAGCUGCAGAAAUAAUGUGGACAAGUAAAAACAAGGAGGGCCAGAAGCAAAAAAAUAAUGAUUGGGUUUUAGAAUCCAUUGAGACUGAGUUGUAGAAUGAUUUGCUGCAGCAGCUUGAGUGGCAUCCUUUAUAGCUGGAUUCCUCUAGUAUUCUAAUGGCUAGACUCAUAAGUUUGAACUUGAAAUUAAGUUGAUAGUCGUAAGAAAUGAACCCACUAGUUCUAUUAAACUAGACGGUUGAUAUACAAACUAAACUAUAGGCGUUGAAUUUAAAACAUAUAUGCCACUGAUAUCUCAUCUAUCAAGCUGCCGGCCGUUGGUUUAACACAAAAGUAUUUGUGUGGCCUGCCUGCGCGCGGACAUUAGCAAAAUUGCAUGUAUACAGUUUGAGGCUUUGCAACGUCUGCACAGAACUGAUUAGUGAAGAAGACAAGUUAACAUUCUCCUUGACCAAUAUUCUAACUGAGUCUCAGCAGCAGCAUUAGGAUUUCUUUUUGAACCAGGAAUUAAUUUGAAUGGGUCGCUUUAGGCUUUGCAUUAGAAUGAUAAUUUAACAGGAAACAAGCUUUAUAUAUUAGCAACAUGUAAUUAAUAUAAUGACUGCCAACCGCCAAGAAUGUAUUUCAGAGCCCAGAAUACAAAACAAAAAAGACUUUAGACAGAGGCCGCGGUUAAGUAACCAUAAUUAAUAGUGACACUUAACCCAAGUAUGUCCUCAUCUGCAAAAGUACCAACUGGCAAAAACAUCGAGGGUAUUAUUGGGUUUUCACGUUUCAUUUGUGAGCUUAUUUCUUUCUUCUCUUUCUUUAUAGAAACAGAAAGAAACAAAGUGCCUUAUCAAAAACAAAGAAAGAAACAAAGUGGAAAUGAAUAGCAUACACGAUGUGUUUUAAUCUGAACCCUGUAUGAAGUCUAGAAUUGGCAGAAGAAGGGCUCCAGGAAAAUUGUCUCUUGGCUUGCCAUCGCUUUCGUGGCAAGACAAACUUUUCAAAGAAUUUACAUUUCACAAAAAGUUCGGUGGCAAAAGUGUUCCAUUCCAUGCCACGUUCGUCUUCUUCAACUUAAUCCAGAGACUUGCUUGUGGCAUAUGAUUACUCCAUUUCACACACACCCUCCUCAUCCUGCUGAUUUAUUAUAUUUAGAAAAGAAAAAAACAAGAGCUUGAUUGAUUGGUUUGGCUGCAAUGCAAUCUCCAUUAAUCUGUCUAGUCCAAUAUCAUGAUUUUCCUGCAAAUGUAAACAAGGCAGCCAUGCAGAGUUACGGCCAAACUGGGGCCGCCACUGUAAAAUAUCUGCUUAGAUCACGUACGUACACGGAAGGUAAGUGGUCUCAUAUAAAGUAUGUUAAGAAUACACACAGUCCCACAUUGGAUACUUAACAAAAUAUAAAGUCUCAUAUAAUAAAUGGCUCCGCUCCUAAUAACAUCGAGACCCUCCACACCUUCUAAAUAGGUGGUGAAGUUGGAGACAAUAUCGAUGUUGAGUACUGAUUAUCAUCUUCAAUUAUCUUCAAUGUCUUAGCUUUCUUCUCUCUUUUUAAUUAACUAGCUUUAUAUCCAUGGGAUCAAAAAACGUCACCCACCUUUUCCUCUUCAUCUGCCUUAUUUCGUCUCAGUUUUAUUGUUGUUUCUCUGCACAAACUGGGAUCAGAGCUGGUUACUGGUAUGUCGAUAGCGAGUCCCCGAUACCUGACAUAAACUCUGCCUUGUUCACUCAUCUUAUUUGUGCCUAUGCUGAUAUAAAUUCAUCCACCUACCAGCUCUCCAUCCCUUCCUCUCAGGAGCCAUCCUUCUCCAGCUUCACCGGUAUCGUCCAGCGCAAAAACCCAUCAGUUAUAACACUCCUGUCCAUCUGGAAUGGACUAGCUGCAACAAAUCAAUCAAUUUUGGGGGAGAAAGCUAACUCUUCAGUCUUGUCCUCAAUGGCCAGCAAUCCUUCUAACAGAAAGUCUUUCAUUGAAUCUUCAAUCAAAACAGCAAGGCUUUAUGGCUUUCAAGGUAUCGACUUGCUUUGGCUUUGGCCUAGGACAACCUCUGAUAUGAUCAACAUGGGAAAGCUAUUGGAUGAGUGGGGGGCUGCUGUGAAUUCUGAGUCAAGAAACUCUAGUGAUCAGUCACGCUUGAUAUUGACAAUGGCGGUUCGUUAUCUGCCUGCUUUCGAAUCAUUGAGUUACCCGAUUGAAUCUAUGAAAAGGAAUUUGGAUUGGGCACAUGUUGUGGCAUAUGACUAUCAUCUACCUGCUAAGGAGAAUGUUACUGGUGCUCAUGCUGCUUUAUAUGACCCGUCAAGCCAUGUUAACACCAACUACGGUAUAAAGCAAUGGCUAAACAACUCAUUUCCUGCUAGCAAACUGGUUUUGGGUUUGCCUUACCAUGGCUAUGCGUGGACACUUGUGAACCCCAAAGACAAUAAUGGAAUUGGGGCACCUGCAGCCGGAAAAGCUGAGACGAAAGAUGGAUCCAUGAGCUAUAAAUACAUCAAGUGGUACAUUAGAAGCUACGGAGCUCCCAUAAUGUAUAAUGCUACUUAUGUUGUGAAUUAUUGUAUCAUAGGAUCGAAUUGGAUUGGUUUUGAUGAUUUGGAAGCUGUCAGAACUAAGAUUGCAUAUGUGAAGGAGAAGAAGCUACUUGGUACCAAUGUGUUUCGAGUCACCAAUGAUGACAAUUGGGCGCUUUCUCAGGCAGGUUGGCCAAAGUGAUUUUUGAUGCUAUGUUGUUGACAUGUCAUAGAACUCAAUUUUAUAUACUGAAGGAAGUUGAAUUUUGACAGCAGGCUAUCUGCCUAAAUCAACUUAUUUUCUAAUGGAGAUCCCUUUAUUCUACUUCUAACUGGUUUAGUAAAUGACAGUUCAAGAGGAAGAAAAUGAUCAAGAAAACAGGCGGCGGUUAUUGCUUGUAGUUUUGCUUCCAAUUACUUUGAUCAUAAUCCUCAUAGCCUUCGUGGUGUGUUACUUACAAAGAAAAUUGUUGAAGACAAAAGGUGAUUUUUCUCACUGUUGUUGUUUGUUUCGAAUAGCAAUUAGACAAAGAUAAAACCUCUUUUCGAAUUUACAUCAAGAGUUUUGCAUUUGCAUUUUCACUUUUUAUAUUUUUUCCUUCUGGUUUCAGGGAUGAUUAUUCGUGGGAAUUCAAGGUCUACUAGUACAUCAGAUAUUAACAGUGAUCCACCAACUCUGCAAGCAUUCAGUUUUUCGAAUAUCAAAGCAGCAACAAAUAACUUCUCAAGUGAAAACAAGCUUGGAGAGGGAGGGUUUGGUCCUGUUUACAUGGUAAUAUUUGCUACCUUAUCUAACAUAAGUUUACACUGUGGGAACUGGGAUUUAAAACUUGUGGUUGUAUGUGUGCCCUUGUGUAUAAUCUGCUGCUACUUUUAAAACAAUGAGAUGUAUAUCAAUAAAAAACUCUUUCCCUGAACUACCCCAUUCCUACUUUCCUGCUACCAAGAAAAGGGAACAAAAAAAACUUUAGGCUUAAAGCUGUGUCUAUGAUAAUUGGCUACUAAUUCCCCUCAUGCUGAACCAAAAGCUUAUCAACAACUGAAAGCAGAGUCACCUUCACCUCGUGUUAAUUAAGUGGUACAUUCUGGUGAACAGUGAGAGUGAUACCAUUUGUAGAUUCAUCUUUUGAUCAGAUAUAUAUCUGGAUUUUCUUUUUACUAAACCUUGCUAACUUAACUAACCAUGGUUUUCUUCAAUUUUUUCAAGGGUAAAUUGCGAGGAGGACAGGAAAUCGCAGUGAAAAGACUUUCGAAAACGUCAACUCAAGGACUUGAGGAAUUUAGAAAUGAGGUUACACUUACUGCAAGACUACAGCAUGUAAAUCUAGUUCGAGUUCUUGGAUUUUGCACUGAGAAGGAAGAAAAAAUGCUGAUCUACGAGUACAUGCCCAACAAAAGCUUGGACUUCUACCUUUUUGGUCUGUAAUUUUUCAUGCUUCCUGUUAUGGUUGAGAGUGCAGGCUAGCAUAACACAAUACUUUUGCAUUCUGUAAGUUUCAGUGGGUCUUAACAUCUCCUCUAAGAGGUAAAGAUGGGGGGGUUAAACUCAUUGAAACUCUCCAAAUAGUUAGACAAGCGUAUUCUUGAGGAACACUAGUGUAUAUUAAGCUAAAAAAAUCACUUGUUAAGCCAUCUAAGCUUACGGUGCAGAAACCUGUUACUUUUAAUUUGUCUGUCUCUUGCUCCUUCGCCUACCUCAUUGGUCCUGAAUUUGAAAUCUUGCAGAUCCUACCAGACGGUAUCUUCUAGACUGGACAAAGCGUGUGCACAUCAUUGAAGGGGUUACCCAAGGACUCCUAUAUCUUCAAGAAUACUCCAAUUUUACAAUUAUUCACCGAGAUCUGAAAGGUAGCAACAUUUUACUUGACCAUGAAAUGAAUGCUAAGAUAUCAGAUUUUGGAAUGGCUAAACUUUUCAGAAAAGAUGGACUUGUAGCAAACACAAAGCGGAUUGUUGGAACAUAGUAAGUAAACUGCCUCUUUUUGGUUAUUCACACACACAUGAUCAUUUCCUUUAAUACUACUUGUGGUAUGCAAUGCAGUGGCUAUGUUCCUCCUGAAUAUGUAAAAAAAGGUAUAUACUCUACAAAGUACGACGUCUACAGCUUUGGGGUUCUACUUUUGCAAAUGAUUAGUGGAAGGAGGAGCACAUGUUACUAUGGUCCAAACGAAAGCUUGCACCUCUUGCAAUAUGUAAGUUCCAUAGCUGUCUCUGAUUCUAUCACCAGUACUGGAAACUAUUACUUAGAUCUAAACUAUAUAUGAAGUGACAUUCAAACUCUUUCAGGCAUAUCUAUCAUGGAAAGAGGACAAAGGAAGGGAAUUUAUUGAUCCAUCACUGGAUGAUUCUUCUUCUUCUUGCAAAUUAUUGAGAUGCUUGCAAGUGGCUCUAUUAUGUGUCCAGGAAAAUCCAGAGGAUAGGCCUACAAUGUUGGAAGUUUAUUCCAUGCUCAAAACUGACAUUGAACCCGUUCCUACUCCUACGAAGAUGGCUUUCUCAGGACAUGGAAUUGUGGAAAACACAUCAACACCGCAGCAAGGAAGUUGUUCAGUUAAUGAUGCACAAAUUUCCGAAUUGCAACCCCGAUGAAAUUGCAGGCUCAGAAUAGGAGACAUUAGUUUUUCAUUUUCAGUGGUUGAGUUCUUAGGCUCAAGAAUGUGGGUGGUCGUAUAUACUCUAUGAAGUAUACAAGAUUUUAGCAACUUUGGAUUCUUCAUCUGGAGGCCUACAUGUUCUAAACAUUACAAUAUUUGGUUGAAUUAAAAAUUUGCAAUUCCUGUGCAGAGAGAAGGGAGGGAACUGCUGAGGCAAGUCAUUUGAACAUUGAACUAGUGGUUAGGCUUAGACCAAGGGGAGGAUAUGCCAAAUUUUUUGUUUUGUUUGUACGAAAUUCUUUUAUACAACAAUAACAAAAACUGCAGGGAAAAAAAUUCAAAUCCAGCCUGCAUUAUUCCCAGACAAACGCAACUGAACAUGAAAAACAACAGAAUAACAUGUCCACUCAGAGCCCCGUUCCAAAAGAAAACCACCACCAAAUGAGAAGUAUUAGCAUUUUUGUCAGAAGUUAAAGGGGUAAGAAAUGGCCUCUUCUAACAACAACCUUCAUCAUUGAUUCAUUGAUUUCGACAGUUAUAAAAAUUAGUGACAGCAAUUAAGUUAAGACAAGUGGUUUAAAGUAACAAUAUAUGUUAUGUAGUCGUUCUAAGGUUGGUUUUAAAAACCAUUUGCUUGUGAAGCCUGUGUUGUUAUGAUUGGAGCUACUGCUUACUCGUGACUUCCCUGUCCAAGCAUUGAUCAUCUCCACAAGCAUACAUUCUCUUGACCAAUAUUCUAACUGAGUCUCAGCAGCAGCACUGCAGCAGCAUUAGGAUUUCUUUUUUAACCAAGAAUUAAUUUGAAAGGGUCGCUUCUCGCAUUAGACUUUACAUUAGAAUGAUAAUUUAACAGGAAACAAGCUUUUUAUAUUAGCAACAUGGAAUUAAUAUAAUGACUGCCAACCGCCAAGAAUGUAUUUAAAGGCCGGUUUUAAGUAACCAUAAUUAAUUAGUGACACUACCAGAAAAUGGGCACAAGCCACGGUUCGUUUAGCCACAGUGAGCCGACUAUAUUCAUUGGUGUUCUAAUGGGCGCAAUUACUGUAUAUAUUAAAAACGGGAUAUAGAAUAUUAGGUCCAGGAAAUCAACAUUUCACAUCGUCACACUCAUAAAUAUUGGGCGCAUAUCUUUCGUGAGGCAAAGUUUUGUAUGAUUGUCAGAAUAUUAGGUUCCUUAACCGUAAUGCAAUUUGCUUUGACAUUUAAGAAGAGAGAAAAAAGUUUGGUGGCAAAAGUUUUCCAUGUCUCAUCUUCAACUUUAAUCUUUUAUGCCAGAAAAAGAGGAUCACUUUUCCUUGGGAAUUUCUAGAGACUUAUGGUAAAAGUAUAACAAUGUUGAGAAAAUUAGAGUACACGACUCUAAUAUAGAAUGGUUGGAGACAAAAUAAGUAAAUAGAUUACUUGUAUUAGACUCAUAAAAUAUUUCAACAAGACAAGUCUCAAAGGAAAGAUCAACUCUUACAAGCGCUCUUUCUCACUUUCUAAUUUUCUAGAAUUAUCUUGCAAAUUGAUCCAAGUGUUGCUGACUUUACAUAGUCGGUGAAGACUUCUCCACCUUUCUAGAUUUCUCCAAAUGAACAAUAUCAUUUCAGUGAGUUGGGCAUCUAUUUACCUUGGGCUUGGUUAAUGUGUUGGGAUGGUAAUGAUGUUUUAAGAGGAACUCUAGCGAGGAGCCCAAGCCUGGGGUUGGGGGGAGCCCAAGCCAAAAAGUGAGUUCUAGCGGGCCACUUUUGCCCGGGCGGGGGUGGGUCCCACGAAGAUGGGCUGGCCCGAAGGUAGCUCGAGCCUGGGGAGAGCUGAUGUCAACGUGCGGUUCAAAUUUUUUUUUACUGUUGGUGCGUGCAUUGCACGCGCCAACAGUAAAAAAAAAUUUGAACUCAUAUGCACUGACGUCAGCCCUGUGCUCCGCCAACGGCUAGAAGACACGUGUCGUCGUCUGGGCGCUCUGAUCGCCUUCUUUCCUCCAAUCCAACAGUUGGCCUUUUUUUGCUAUAAAAUUAUGAAGAAAAAAAAAAUUCAAAAUUUUUUAAAAAAAUACCAAAAAAUUAUGGAUUUUAUUUUUUUUCUCUAUAAAUACCAACCAAUACUCUUCACUUUUAACACCAAAUCCUCAUACUUUUUCUUCUCCUUCAACUAUUAUUCACUUUCUACUCAAUAUUUUUUUCACUUUUAAGUUUUAUUUUUCUUUAUCAUCUUAUGGCUUCUUCUAUCAAAACCAGAGGGGCAUGGAGCAUCAUGGAAGAUGUUUUGUUAUGUGAGUGGUAUGAGUUGAGCCUCUGGUUUUAUAGAAAAAUUUAGGCAGAUAGAGAUGACAUGUGGGGCGAUUUUAUAGGGUGAAAAUCUUGUCUGAAAUUUGAAAUUUGAAAUUUAUCUGAAAUUUGAAACCGAAAAUCUUAUUCGAAAAUUUUAUCCGAUUAUGAGAUAUGAAUUUUAUAAUAAAUAUUGACACGUACAAAUCCAAAAAUCUUAUCCGAAAAUAUUAUCCAAAUUCAUUGUUUAUAAAAAAAUUUGUGAAAAAAAAAAAAUGAAUAGUAUUUGCCAUUUGUCAUGGCAACGGGUGAAAACACACAUUGCUGUUUGCAAGGGCAGCCACUAUUCACGUUAUUAGUAGCUGCCCUAGCCCCCCCUUUGUCAUGGCAAAGGGCAAAUGGAUGAAGUUGCUCUAAUAAGUGUAGCUUGCGGCAUCCUGAUUUAUGGUUAGAAAGAGAAGGAGGGCUUGAGUUUGAGCGAUUGGUUUGGCUGGUGGAUGGUGCGCUCGCUUAAUCCAAAUAUUACGACAUUAAUUUGUCCAGUAUGUAUCAUGGUCCAUGGUGGGUGCUCAUCGUUCACUUCACAAGAACUUAAUGCAGAGGUUAGGCCGAACCUGCUUAGAUCAAAGCCCUUGCACAAUUACGUAUAAGGAACGGUGGGUAAGUGGUCUCUCACUCUCAUUUAUUAUUGAGGUUUUGCAAAAUGGCACUGAAGAUUUUGUUUCCACUGUCCACAAGACAUGCUGCAAGUCACACUGAAAAAUCUGCCCAUAUCCUGCACUGCACAUGCUGAUGAUGUUGGAAAAAAAAGAAGGUAUAAUUGCUAUAUUUUACAUAGAAAUUUAGAAAUAAUCAUUCAAUUCAUGCUUAGAAAAUUAAUGCAUGUUGUUUUUCUUUUUUCGGCCGGGGCGGUCCACGAAAGGAACUUUUGGUCCUUCUUCUUUGGAGUGUGUGGCGGGCCACCACCAAGCCUCGAAUUUGGGCUCGAAUUGAAUGUGAGUAGAUGGAUGUAUUGCGCUUCUAACUACUGAUCAAACGAUUGAUCGGCCAAGCAAGGAACCUCCUCUUGGCCUAGAUUCUUUCACUUCCUCGGGCUCAAGGAUAGUUAGGUUUCGUACGGAUGAUUUUGUGAUUUUUAGGGUUUUAAGUAAAAAUUAUGCAAUUAAAUCAAAUGUGCGUAUAAACGUAAAGACAAUAAUUGAAAUGCGAUAAAAUAAAUCAAAGAGAUAAAUAAAGCAAGAACGAAAUAAAAGCGAUAAGAACGAUAAAAUAAAAAAUAAACUUGAAAUUAAACUUAAUUGAAGUGCAAUAACAAUGAAAGGUAAAGCAAUCGAAAUAAACUUGAAUUUAAAUGACAAGAAAUAUAAAUUGAACAACAAUUUAAACGACAAGAAAGAUAUAAACUCACACUAGAAAAAGGAAGAACUCACUACACUAGGUGCUUGAAAAGUAAAAUCCUAAGUCCAGGAAAAGAAAAGUGCGAGACGAAAGAUAAGUUUGUUUGUAUGAUGUUGUGUGUCUUCUGCCUUCGUUUGGUGAGGUUUAUAUAGGGCUUCUGUCAGCCCAUGGGCUGGCCAUUGAAUAGCCAAAUGUCAACUCUUUUAAAACUCUUUCCUUGAAUUCGUGGGAUCACAUUGGUGGAAAUAUUAUGAUUGCUUGAUUCUCUCAUGUUUUGGAAUAUGCUGAACUAUCAUCAAUCUCCUUGAUUUGUUUCCUUGUGAGGCCUCCAUUCACAUGCACAUUGACCUCCAGAAAUCUUGUGCGUGAAUCCGUGGCUUGGGCCUUGACCUCCGAGAUUUCAUCUUGGCAUCUGGUGGAACCUCGUGCCCCUUGAGUUUUUAGAAUUCUAGAGUUGGCUGACCAUCCGCCAAGGUGGGUGGUAUGGGAGCUCCAAAUAUUUGGAUGUUGGGCUUAGCCCUACGUUGGACUAUAUUCAAAUAUUUGAAUAUUGGGAACUCAGCGGACAUACCUCCCGCUGAACUUCAACUUCCCUGACCCGACUUUACUUGCCCAAGUGUUGAGAGGAGGGCGCCAAGGUGCUCAAGGAGAAAAUUCGCCCUAGCCCAACUUUUUGUAAGAGGAGUGGCCGACCAAGGUAUUCAAGGAGUGCCCGGCCCAACUUUUUGAGAAGGAAGCAUUCGGCCACUUUUGUAAGAAUAUGCCCGGCUACUUUUGCAAGGAUAUGCCCGACCACUUUUGCAAAGGGAAGCGCCCGACCAUAUUUUUGAAAAGGCACCACGACCUUUGAAGAAAACACAUCGGCCGCAUUUUUGAGAAGGCACCAUAGCCUUUGAAGAAAAGACCUCGACCACCUUUUUGAGAAAGCACUUUGGCCGCUAGGAAUUCUUUGGCCGCUAGGAAUUCUCGGCCGCUAAAAAUUCUUCGGCCUCUAGGAAUUCUUCGGCCGCUAGGAAUUCUUUGGUCGCUAAGAAUUCUCGGCCGCUAGGAAUUCUCGGCCGCUAGGAAUUCUCCGGCCGCUAGGAAUUCUCCGGCUAUUAGGAAUUCUUCUAUCGCUAGGAAUUCUGGGCCGCUAAGAAUUCUUCCUUGGCAAAUUGGGUGAAUUUUGACCACCCCCAAACACAUGCUUACAAACAUACACAAUGAAAAAUCACAUAAUAUGGAUUAGAAGAACCUGAAUAAUUGAGUCGAGGCAAAUGUUGGACACUUUGACCUUAAGACGAAUUACGCCCCACACAGGUGCUUAUGGUUACUAGCACUCACCUCCCAGGAUACAACGACUCAUGUCCUUGUGAAAGAAGCACUACAAUUCACAAAGUACUCUUUGAACUAGAUUAUGUAGGAAACCCUCUCACAAACCAUAAUCAUUGACUAUACAAAGACUCUGAAUUCAAAUGGAUAAACAUUGACUGAAUUAAUUACCUUAUUAAUUUCAGGAAGACUACUCUAUUUAUAGAUACUAAAGAACCCUUUCCAAAAGGGUCGUAUGUCCUGGUAUCUAAAGUUGGUCUCCCUAGCAUGACCAACUCAUGCAUCCAUUGAAUAAACAGGUGCUUUGAUACCUCUUCCUAGAAAUUGACAAAGGACACCAUGGUUAAAUGAACUCUAUUAAUUUCCAUUCAAAUAGAAAAAUUAAUAUUAGUUAAUAUUAAAUUUCCAACAAUGAUGCCAUGUAUAUAUAUAUGUAUUAGUACGUAGUAGUAGAAACUAGUCAUCUUGUAAGAGGAAAAAUCAAACUAGCUUUUUAUGUCCAUGUCCAUGGGAUCAAAAAAUAUCACUCCCCUUAUCCUCUUCAUCAUCUUCCUUAUUUCAUCUCAAUUUUAUUCUUGUUCCUCCGCACAAACUUGGAUCAGAGCUGGUUACUGGUACGCCGGUAGCGAGUCUCCCAUACCUGACAUCAACUCUGCCUUGUUCACUCAUCUUAUUUGUGCUUCUGCUGCUCUGAAUUCCUCCACCUACCAGCUCUCCAUCCCUUUCUCUCAAGAGCCAUCCUUCUCCAUCUUCACAGGUGUCGUCAAGCGCAAAAACCCAUCAGUCAUAACACUCCUAUCCAUCUGGAAUGGACAAGCUGCAACAGCUCAAUCAAUUUUGGGUCAGAAAGUUAACUAUUCAGUCUUGUCCUCAAUGGUCAACAAACCUUCUAACAGAAAGUCUUUCAUUGAGUCUUCAAUCAAAACAGCAAGGCUUUAUGGCUUCCAAGGUAUAGACUUGCUUUGGCUUUGGCCAAACACAGCCUCUGAUAUGAUCAACAUGGCAAAAUUAUUCGAUGAGUGGCGAGCUGCUGUGAAUUCUGAGUCAAGAAACUCCAGUGAUCAGUCACGGUUGAUAUUGACAAUGGCCAUUCGUUAUUUGCCUGCUUUCGAAUCGUUGAGUUACCCGAUUGAAUCUAUGAAGAGGAACUUGGAUUGGGCACAUGUUAUUGCAUAUGACUAUCAUCUGCCUUCUAAGGAGAAUGUCACUGGUGCUCAUGCUGCUUUAUAUGACCCGUCAAGCCAUGUUAACACCGACUAUGGUAUAAAGCAAUGGCUAAACAACUCAUUUCCUGCUAGCAAACUGGUUUUGGGUUUGCCUUACCAUGGCUAUGCGUGGACACUUGUGCACCCCAAAGACAAUAAUGGAGUUGGGGCACCUGCAGCCGGCACAGCUGAGACGAAAGACGGAUCCAUGAGCUAUACGUACAUCAAGCGGUACAUUCGAAGCUACAGAGCUCCCAUGGUGUACAAUGCUACUUAUGUUGUGAACUAUUGCAUCAUAGGGUCGAGUUGGAUUGGUUUUGAUGAUGUGGAAGCUAUCAGAACUAAGAUUGCAUAUGUCAAGGAGAAGAAGCUACUUGGUACCAAUGUGUUUCAAGUCACCAAUGAUGACGAUUGGGCGCUUUCUCGGGCAGGUUGGCCAAAGUGAUUUUUUAUGCUUUGUUUUUGACAUGGCAUAAAACUCAAUUUUAUAUCCUGAAGGAAGUUGAAUUUUGACAGCAGGCUAUCUGCAUAAAUCGACUUAUUUUCUAAUGGAGAUCCAUUUAUUCUACUUCUAACUGGUUUAGUAAAUGACAGUUCAAGAGGAAGAAAAUGAUCAAGAAAAUAAGCGGCGGUUAUUGCUUAUAGUUUUGCUUCCAAUUACUUUGAUCAUAAUCCUCAUAGCCUUCGUGGUGUGUUACGUACAAAGAAAAUUGUUGAAGACAAAAGGUUAUUUUUCUCACUGUUAGUGUUUGUUUCGAAUAGCAAUUAGACAAAGAUAAAUUCUCUUUUCAAAUUUACAUCAAGAGUUUUGCUAUUGCAUUUUCACCUUCUUUUUUUUCCUUCUGGUUUCAGGGAUGAUUAUUUUUGGGAAUUCAAGGUCUACUAGUACAUCCGAUCUUAACAGUGAUCCUCCAACUCUGCAAGCAUUCAGCUUUUCGAAUAUCAAAGCGGCAACAAAUAACUUCUCAAGUGAAAACAAGCUUGGAGAGGGUGGGUUUGGUCCUGUAUACAUGGUAAUAUUUGCUACCUUAUCUAACAUAAGUUUACACUGUGGGAACUGGGAUUUAAAACUUGUGGUUGUAUGUGUGCCCUUGUGUAUAAUCUGCUGCUACUUUUAAAACAAUGAGAUGUAUAUCGAUAAAAAAAAUCUUUCCCUGAACUACCCCAUUCCUACUUUCCUGCUACCAAGAAAAGGGAACAAAAAAACUUUAGGCUUAAAGCUGUGUCUAUGAUAAUUGGCUACUAAUUCCCCUCAUGCUGAACCAAAAGCUUAUCAACAACUGAAAGCAGAGUCACCCUCACCUUGUGUUAAUUAAGUGAUACAUUCUGGUGAACAGUGAGAGUGAUACCAUUUGUAUAGAUUCAUCUUUUGAUCAGAUAUAAAUCUGGAUUUUCUUUUUACUAAACCAUGCUAGCUUAACUAACGGUUUUCUUCAAUUUUUCAAGGGUAAAUUGCGAGGAGGACAGGAAAUCGCAGUGAAAAGACUUUCGAAAACGUCAACUCAAGGACUUGAGGAAUUUAAAAAUGAGGUUACACUUACUGCAAGACUACAACAUGUAAAUCUAGUUCGAGUUCUUGGAUUUUGCACUGAGAAGGAAGAAAAAAUGCUGAUCUACGAGUACAUGCCCAACAAAAGCUUGGACUUCUACCUUUUUGGUCUGUAAUUUUUCAUGCUUCCUGUUACGGUUGAGAGUGCAGGCUAGCAUAACACAAUACUUUUGCAUUCUGUAAGUUUCAGUGGGUCUUAACAUCUCCUCUAAGAGGUAAACAUGGGGGGUGUUAAACUCAUUGAAACUCUCCAAAUAGUUAGACAAGCAUAUUCUUGAGGACUGAACCAACACUAAUGUAUAUUAAGCUAACAAAAAUCACUUGUUAAGCCAUCUAAGCUUAUGGUGCAGAAACCUUGACUUUUAAUUUGUCUCUCUUGCUCCUUUGCCUACCUCAUUGGUCCUGAAUUUGAUAUCUUGCAGAUCCUACCAGACGGUAUCUUCUAGACUGGACAAAGCAUGUGCACAUCAUUGAAGGGGUUACCCAAGGACUCCUAUAUCUUCAAGAAUACUCCAAUUUUACAAUUAUUCACCGAGAUCUGAAAGGUAGCAACAUUUUACUUGACCACGAAAUGAAUGCUAAGAUAUCAGAUUUUGGAAUGGCUAAACUUUUCAGAAAAGAUGAACUUGAAGCAAACACAAGCCGGAUUGUUGGAACAUAGUAAGUAAACUGCCUCUUUUUGGUUAUUCACACACACAUGCUCAUAUCCUCUAAUACUUGUGGUGGUAUGCAAUGCAGUGGCUAUGUUCCUCCUGAAUAUGUAAGAAAAGGUAUAUACUCUACGAAGUAUGACGUCUACAGCUUUGGGGUUCUACUUUUACAAAUGAUUAGUGGAAGGAGGAGCACAUGUUACUAUGGUCCAAACGAAAGCUUACACCUCUUGCAAUAUGUAAGUUCCAUAGCUGUCUAUCAUUCUAUCACCACUAAUGUAAACUAUUACUUAGAUCUAAACUAUAUAUGAAGUAACUUUCAAACUAUUUCAGGCAUAUCUAUCAUGGAAGGAGGACAAAGGAAGAGAAUUUAUUGAUCCAUCACUGGAUGAUUCUUCUUCUUCUUGUAAAUUAUCGAGAUGCUUGCAAGUAGCUCUAUUAUGUGUCCAGGAAAAUCCGGAGGAUAGGCCUACAAUGUUGGAAGUUUAUUCCAUGCUCAAAACUGAUACUGAACCCAUUCCCACUCCUACAAAGAUGGCUUUCUCAGGAAAUAGAAGUAUGGAAAACAUAUCUACAUCGCAGCAAGGAAGUUGUUCAGUUAAUAAUGCAGAAAUUUCCGAGUUGCAACCCCGAUGAAAUUGCAGGCUCAGAAUAGGAGACAUUAGUUUUUCAAUUUCAAUGGUUGAGUUCUUAGGCUCAAGAAUGUGGGUCGUCAUAUACUCUAUGAAGUAUACAAGAUUUUAGCAACUUUGGAUUCUUCAUCUGGAGGCCUACAUGCCGUAAACAUUACAAUAUUUUGUUAAAUUAAAAAUUUGCAAUUCAUUUGCAGAGAGAAGGGAGGGAACUGGUGAUGAGGAAGUCAUUUGAACAUUGAACUAGUGGUUAGGCUUAGACCAAGGGGAGGAUACGCCAAAUUUUUUGUUUUGUUUGUACGAAAUUCUUUUAUACAACAAAAACAAAAACUGCAGGAAAAAAAAUUCAUUGUGAGUUUAUUUAUUUUUAUCUUUCUUUUAAGAAAAGCCUAGAAUACACUAUGUUUCUUUCCGAAUGAAGUCCAGACUUGGCAGGAAAAGUAUCUCUUGGCUUGCCAUCGCUUAAGUGGGCAGACAAACUUUUCCAAGAAUUCACAUUUCACAAAAAGUUUGGUGGAAAAACUGUUCCAUUCCAUGCCACAUCUUCUUCAACUUAAUCUAAUUAUUGAGCUUUUGCAAAAUGAUACUGUCUACAGGACUUCUUUGAAGCUGUCUUUGACCAAAAACAAAGGGUGUGUGGAUUUGAACUCAGCACAAGCUCUACGGGAUUUUAUUACCACACUGUAGGGACGCAAUUAAACGUAGUUUACCUUCUUGACCUGGACAGACAUAAUCAUAUAUUAGCUCCAAAACAUGAUUGGUUUAGUGUCAGUUGUUCUCACAUUUCUAUACUCUAGAAAGAAGAUUUCAAUUUGAAUUUGGAGUCUGCUUUAGCAGAUAACUGAUGUUCAAUAGUCAUCUGCCCGCCCAUAUCCUGCACUGCACAUGAUGCGCCAUGUAUAUGUAUUAGCAGAAGCAAUGAUCGACAAACUGCUAGGCGGUAGGCGGGUGGCAGGACGGGGCCUAGCGCCUAGAGGAAUAAUAGGGCGCCUAGGCGUUUCUUUUUAAAAAAAAAAAAAUUGUAUUAUAAAUUAUAAAUUUAUACCAAAAUCAUGCAAAAUAAAAGGGUAUAUAAAUUAUAAAGUACCAUAAUUGAUACUAGCCUCUCUGCACGCGCUUCCGCGCUUGCGAGAGGUUUUUUUAAAAAAAUAAGUAAAUUUAUUUUAGAAUUAAAAAAGAUAAUGAGUUAGUUGUGUUCCAUAAAAAUAGGAUCCAUUAUCUGCCUUUUCUUUUUCUUUUAAUUUUUUUAAAUAUGAAAAAGUGUGAAUUUACCAUAUUAUCCUCAUUUAAUUAAUAAUUUGAAUUCUUAAUGUUUGCAUUAACCAAGGGCAUUUUCUGGUAUUUUGAAUGUUUCACCAUUCUCUGUCUUUUGCUUUAUAUAUAUAGAUUAGCCCAUUGGCACAUGCUCACGCAUGUGCCAAUUGGUUUUUUUUAUUUAUUUUUAGAAUUAAGAAAAGAUAAUAUGAGUAGUUAUGUUCCAUAAAAAUAGGACAUAUUAUCUGAUUUUGUUUUUAAUUUUAAUUUUAAUUUUUUAAUAUAAAAAAUUUAAAUUUACUAUAUUAUCCUCAUUUAAUUAAUAAUUUUAAUUCUUAAUAUUUGAAUUAACCAAUAGCAUUUUCUGGUAUUUUGAAUGUUUCACCAUUCUCUGUCUUUUGCUUUAUAUAUAUAGAUAAAACAUGGGAAAAACCUAGGAGGCAACGGCUCAAAGGAGAGAGAGGCAGCGUGCUUGAAGUCCGGAAAAAGAAAAUUUUUAUAAUUAAAAAAAAGGACACGACCCGCCUAGGCCUAUUUUCGAACAGGGUCAUCUUGUAGGAGGAAAAUCAAACUAGCUUUAUUUGCAUGGGAUCAAAAAACAUCACCCACCUUUUCCUUUUCCUCUUCAUCUUCCUUAUCGUCUCAAUUUUAUUGUUGUUUCUCUGCACAAACUUGGAUCAGAGCUGGUUACUGGUAUGUCGCUAGCGAGUCCCGAAUACCUGACAUAAACUCUGCCUUGUUCACUCAUCUUAUUUGUGCUUCUGCUGAUCUAAAUUCCUCCACCUACCAGCUCUCCAUCCCUUCCUCUUAGGAGACAUCCUUCUCCAAAUUCACCGGUGUCGUCAUCAAGCGCAAAAACCCAUCAGUCAUAACACUCCCUGCAGCAAAUCGAUCAAUUUUGUGUGAGAAAGCUAACACUCCCAAUCAGUCAUAAUACUCGGUUUUUUCUGCUUUUUUAAAAAUGGUAUAGCCGAUCGGCUAUACCUGUUUGACACGUGGCGACCAACCGCAAUAAGGGUUAUUUUAUACAUAUAAAUAGUAUAGCCGCCCGGCUAUACUGGGUUUUGGGAUUUCUUUGAAAAAUAGUACAGCCGCCCGGCUAUACUGGGUUUUGGGAUUUCUUUAAAAAUAGUACAGCCGCUCGGCUAUACCCGGUCGGCAAUACAGUUUUAGAAACGUGGGCCCCUAAUCGCAAGGCGGGUCUUUUUUUUAUUUAUAUAAAUAGUAUAGCCGAACGGCUAUACUAGGUUUUUCUGAAAUUUUGUUAAAAUCGUAUAGCCGGACGGCUAUACUCUGUUUUAGUAAUGUUUCUUACAAAAUAGUAUAGCCGAGCGGCUAUACCCAUUUGUUCUCUUCUUUUUUUUAUAAAUAGUAUAGCCGCGCGGCUAAAACGAGUACACGUGGUGCCAAAUUUUUUUCAACAAUCCAAACCAUCGAUUUUUCACAUCUUCAUUUAGAGAUCAUCCUUGCAAAAAAUCAUUAAGGCAUCUAAUUGAGACCAACAAAAUCAAUGAACACGGUGUUUCAAGAAAGUACUUAGAUUUCAAUCAUUUAAUUGAGUUGUCAAAUGAUAUCGGAUUCAAGUAAUUUUUUGUAAAGAUAAUCUUUGAAUGGAUAUCUAUAAAAUAGACGGUUUGGAUUAGUGAAAUACAAUGUGGAGUGAGCCCUAUAAGAGUGUCCCUUAAUGGAAGCUAUAUAUAUAUAUAUAUAUCCUUUUUAAAAUAUCUGAGCCGGAUGUUGGCUUAAUGGGAUAGCAUGCAGAUGAAUUUCUGGAAGAAACAUGUCAAUUUUUAUAUUAGUUCAAUUGACUUUUGUAUGGAUUGUGAAUGUCUGGGAAGCUAGAAUUUGUUGCAUCCAGAGGCUGCAGCCUGCAGUUUUCAAUCAGAGAAUUCUUAAUGUUUGAGGAUGUUCUUAAUGUCGCGUCCUCCUAUGCCUAGCCACUCUGUCCUCAGAACGCACUCCAUGGCCUUAUAUGCAGUAUAUUAAUUUAUAUAUAGACAGCUUGUUUCUGGUUUAAUUAGUAUAUUCUACUCUAAAGUCUAAAAUGAACCAUUCUGAUCUGAUCAAAUCCCAAGUGGUGUUAAAUAAAUAAAAAAGAAUGUAAAGUUAACAGAUGUCAGCCGACCAGUCAGCUUAGCCAAUGCACGUUUGCACUUGAUGCAUGUUAUACCUGACAGAUAAGUAUUCACGGAACAAAAUAGAAGAAGAAGAAAAAAAAACUUAUCAAAGUGAAACCAGCCGUUAGAUUAGAAUACAAGAUAAAUCCACCUAUAAGAAUUAAGCAUAUACCAAUGGAUUCUAAAAGCUUCAAUUCAAGCUGCAGAAAAUCAUUGUAGAAGAACUCAAUCAAUGGGUUCUAAAACACAAAUCACUACCUUUCUUCUUGGCCACCCUGUUUUCCCUUGUCCAAGCUGUUGCCCCAAAUGGUACAGUUAAAGCAGGUUACUGGUCUAGUGGCAUCCCAUUUCCGGCUGAUGCCAGAUCAUCAUGGUAUAUUUGCACCAGCCAAUGGAAUGGCAGUACCGUCAGAUGGCGCGCUAGGUAUAUUUGUACAGCUGUGACACCAACUGUGAUCAAUUCCACACUUGUUAUGGACUAUACCUUCUCUGGGAAGACUUGGAUUGGUUAUGAUGAUACGCAGAGUAUCACUACCAAAGUCUCAUAUGCUAAGGGCAAGGGACUAGUUGGCUACUUUGCAUGGAACUUUGGCCUCGAUUUCAAUUGGACUCUUUCACAAGCAGGCAGGUAUAUAUUUAUAUGACACCAACCCUCUUUCAUGUUCUAUUAAUUUUGUGCUAACUCCUCAUGUGAGUGUUAAAUUUGUUUGCAGCUUAAUACGCUUGGGAAGCUUAGGGACGGACAACUUUUCCUGCCAGAAGAUCAUGUGAUUUUACAUCCUCCUCUCCACUGUAAAGACCAAUUAGCUGAUGCUACACUACUCAAAGCAGAAAUGGCAUGCCAUUUGUAUUCCUGAUUUAGGCCAAUUACCUAGAGAGAGAGAGUAAAAUAAAAUAAAAUAAAGACCCGUUCCAACAUUUUGUUUUGUUUUGUUUUUUAAAUUAGCGAUAACGAACACCGAUAAUAACUCCGUUCUCUUUUUAUCUUAUCCAACCCCUGAAAAUCCUCCUCUCCAUAUCCCUCCAAGACUCUCUCGUUAUCGGACUGAAACUCAACAUCCUCUCCAUAUUUCUCUGCAGGUCGCGGCCCGGUGGUGGUCGUCGUGGGUGGAGGCCUGGUGGUGGUGGUCUGUCGUGAGAGAGAGAGAGAGAGAGAGAGAGCGAAGGAGGCGACGGCUCAGAGGAGAGAGAGGCAGUGUGAGGUUCUAUUUAAAGCCUGCAAAAAAAACCUGACUCGCCCAGGCGCCCAGACCCGCCUAAGCCGAUUUUUCGAAGACAGUUUUUGACAAUAAACUAAAACUCAGUUUUUUGGUAUACAAAUAGUAUAGCUGCCCGGCUAUACUUGGUUUUAUUGAUGUUUCAAAAAAAAUAGUAUAGCCGCACGGCUAUACCUAUUUCGACACGUGGCCUUCUAUCCGCUAGGAUGGUUUCUUUUUUUAAAAAAUAGUAUAGCCGGACGGCUAUACUCGGUUUUUCCUUUUUUUGCUUUUAAAAACAGUAUAGCCGUUCGGCUAUACUCUUUAUUCGGUUUUAUUCCAAAAAUAGUAUAGCCGACCGGCUGUACUUGUUUUGACACGUAGGCUCUUUAAAGAUGGGCGGCCCCUUUUUAAAAAAAAAAUAUAGUAUAGCCGUGCGGCUAUACGUAUGUUGAUACGUGGCCCCUCUUCGAUAUGCGGUGGGCUCCUUGCUGCUGGACGGGACCUUUUUUUCUUUUAAAAAAAGUAUAGCCGCGCGGCUAUACGCGUGUUUUUUAUAAAUAGUAUAGCCGCCUGGCUCUACCGGUUUUUCUGUUUUUUUUUAAAAAUAGUAUAGCGUCUCGGCUAUAAGCAUUUUGACACGUUUCGCUAUGCAGGUCCUUUUUGUAUAUGUAAAUAGUAUAGCCGUCCGGCGAUACUCUGCGUUAUUCUGAUUUUUUUAAAAUAGUAUAGCCGGGCGGCCAUACUUAUUUUGACACAUGGCACCUAAUCACUAGGUGGUCAUCGCUUUUUUAUUUAAAAAUAGUAUAGCCGCUCGGCUAUACGCAGAUGAUUCUAAAAAAUAGUAUAGGCACCCGGGAUUCUGGGAUCACUGAUUGGCUUCAGGCAGGUGUGCCUCCAAAAACGAUUGCAUUUUGCACCAGCCAGUGGAAUGGCAGUACCACCGGAUGGAUCAGCGGGUUACAACCUAAUCAAGGCAUAUAUAGCUGAGAAUGGUGCACCAACUGUGUUUAAUUCUACACUUGUUAUGGACUAUUCCUAUACUGGGAAGACUUGGAUUGGUUAUGAUGAUAGGCAGAGUAUCACUACCAAAGUUUUGUAUGCUAAGCGAAAAGGACUACUGGGAUCCAUGUCCAUGUCAAUUGGACUCUUUCAGAUGCAGGUAUGUAUUCAACUAAGCAUUUAAAAGCUUCCCAAUCAUGUUUUUCAUCAUUAUUAAUUGUACUGAUGAUGCCUAAUGUGUGUUAAAUUUGUUUGCAGCUUCAUGCGCAUGGGGAGCAUAGGGCCACUACUUUUCCUACCAGAAGAUGAUGUGAUUUGCUUUCUCCACAAUCAGACCAAAUGCUGAUGCUAAUUAGGCAGAAAGAAGACAUUUCAUUCAUUUGGUAUUCAGCCAAAUCAGGCCAGUUACCUAUUGUUCUCCAUCAACAAACAUAUUAAUGAUAAAGUUGUAAUCCCAUUCGCAUUUGUUUUUCUUUCUUCUUUUCCUUUUUUAUGAUAACGAGUAGUGGAAAAUAGCAGAACAUGGCUGAAAAAUAUCCUCGUGUGAUGAGAAAAUGAUUUGAGAUAGAUCAACAAUUACUUGAAUGAGUUGGUUUUGCACUUGCAUCAACUAGGUUGAUAUAAUUCUGAUUCUGAGCCCAAGAUAGUUUGUUUAAUUUAAUAUUUGAUUUUGAAUUUCCGGUGAAAACACGGCUAGGCUAGCGACAUGCAUUUUUUAAGUUGGAAUCGAAGUCUACAUGACAUUAAUGGAAGAAUAAACAGAAAUUGGAAAUCUUAUUGUUUAUCUGGUCGAUUAGUCUUAUUGCAAGUAACAGCUCUAUCUGGAUACAGAGCGUGGGCUUAUUUUAUGUAAUUAACCAACCCUAAAACGUAGAUGUAUCAUAUCAGCAGUAACUGUAAUCUUUGUGCUCAUCCCCAUGUGCUUGAAGCUGCAAGAAGGAAAAACAAAAAAAAUCAUAUAGUUAAAUCAAUCAACAGUAAUUAGUGCCACUAAACAAAUAGUUAUCGUCUUGUUCAGCCAAAAACUACACAACCACAUAUUGUAUUAUUGAAUUUAGAAGAAUUAAAUUCAUAUAUAUUAUGCAAAUUACUGGUGUUGUUACUAACCUGUUUGAGAAAGAGCCCAAUUACUGUUGUCAGCACCAACAUGCCACGCAAAGUAACCAAGAAGCCCUUUUGUUACCUUGGCAUAUGAAACCUUUGCAGAGAUGCUCUGCGUAUCAUCAUAACCAAUCCAUGUUGUUCCUGAGUAGCAAUAGUUUGUAACAACCGUGGCAUUGUACACUGUUUGUGCCCCAUUCUGGCUUAUGAAAUUUCUUAUUUGGUUGUAGCCUUGAUCCCCGUAUUGCCCUAUAGCCGAUCCAUUAGCAGGAGCAUAAAGGCCAUGGUUAUUCGCGUUCAAUAAACGCCAUGCGUAGCCAUAAAAGGGAAGGCCUAGCACUAUCUUUUUGGCAGCCAAACCUGCUUGAAUCCAGGAUGUGAUACCAGCAUUCCCGCUAACCUGACUGUUGUACAAUGCUGCAGGUGGUCCGGUGUUGUUUGGGGACCAACCAGGGCCGUAGAAGUCAUAAGCCAUGACAUUGAUCCAGUCUAAACUGUUUGAUAUGGCCUGGAAGGGGUAAUUUAUGGUGUAGUAAUCUGCAGAGCGAAAGACAGCGGCGGCUAAAAGCAAAGCAGUCUUGCCAGAGGCCUUGGACUCAUUGGCCACGGCAGCUCGCCACUCGGUGAGAAGGCUGCCCAAGUUGGUCAUCUCAGUGGUGGAGGAUGGAUAUUCCCAGUCGAGGUCCAGGCCGUGGAAGUUGUAAGACCUUGCUAACGUGAUGGAGGAGUUAAUGAAUGAUUUGCGCCGGCUGGCUUGGCUGGCCAUUGCCGCAAAGGUUGCUGGAUUAGCAUUUCCUCCGCCAAUGGAUAAGAGGGUUUUCACUGCAGGGUUGUUUUUUUGUACUGUUUGUGUGAAGCUUGAGAAGGGGGCUGAGUUUGAGGAAGAAACGGUGACUUGGUAAGUGUCGGAAUUAAGAUCAGCAAAUGCGCAAAAUAGAUGAGUGAAAAGGCUGGAAUUUAUGCUGGAGGCUGGGAAGCCACUGUCAGGAAACCAGUAAGCGCCCUUAACCACAGUUUGGCCGGUUGAGAAGCUGAGUUGGGCAAGGAAAAUGAGACCCGAAAGAAGGAUCAAUGGAAGUGUUAACUUGGAAGACAUUGCAGCAAAUGGAUGAAAGAGGAAAUGGUUCUUGCUUGCUGAUUGUUAUGACGAUCUUUUAUGUGUAUAUAUACACACAACACAACACAAGAUGAUGCAAAGUUGCGUGUAAAAUUAUAUAUUGGACUUUGGACUUUGGACUUUGGACUUUGGAGAAAGAAAGUUGCAUUAAGAGACUUUUGUGCGGUGCUAUUGGCGUAGAUUGCCAAACAUAUCAAGUUCUUGAGUUUUGACUAAUUUUUGCCGAUUGGUAAUGACGUAUGUAGUGUAUAAACAUCAAAUACAUUGGUAAGAAACUGAUUCUUAUCCACAAUGUGAACAUCUUUAUUCAUCCAAAAGUAGGAGUUAGAGGGAUCUUAACUUAUAAGAUAUAGUUGACAUCUCCUAAGUUGCUAUUUAUAACCCUUAUAAAUUAUAAUGGCCUACUUGAAAGAUUGGACUUUAGACUGGCAUCCCUUCUGGUUAGGGAGGUCCAAAACCCAAAUGUUGUAGUCCAUGGUGCUAUUAUGUACACAUUUGCUUCUUCUGCAAGGGGUUAUAAUUCAAGUGAUUAGGAUGUACCCCUUCUCCAUUCAAAGUUCUACGUUCCUUCUUCAAUAUUACUUGUAUUAAAAAAAUUAAAAUUAAAAUUAAAUAAUUGCUUUUUCUUUUGUGUUUCUUUAAACAUGUGAAAGUCCACCCCAAAAAAAAAAAGCACGUGAAGUACAUGAUAACGUGCACGUGCAGUAUGUGCUCCUAAUCGGUUGGACCCACAAAUAAAUCCAACGGUUCCAAAAGAUUGCCGCUGCCACGUGAACGAUCGAUCUCACGGAUUCAACAAUUAAGUUGACGUUGGUACACGCGGGAGAGAUAGCGAGACUAGACUCUAGAGAGGUAAUGCUAAGCACGUUGGUACACGCUCCCACCGUGUGUUCUCCCUCCGGUUCGCCUCCCAACCCUUUGUCCAAGCACAUCGCCACACGCGCCUCCAUGGCCACCGCCUCAGCUCGUAGCUCAGCUCGAAUAGCAAUUGUCGGCGACGUCGUAAGGCUCUCUCUUUCUUUCUGUAUGUGUGUGGAUUUUUGAAACCGUGCCCUGGCCUGCUGAUUCUUUUUAUAGACAAAUUCGUUUUGUUUGCUUCUCAAAUUUCACCUUUUUAUUAUUAUUUUGGCUUCUGAAGCAUGAUCAGUGGAAUCUAGAAGAAGAUACGAAGGCACUUGAACUGCUGCAGGUGUGCAUUUCCCUCUAUAUUUUCUUCUACUGUAAAAGAUAUAAUCUUUAGUUAUUUGGGAGAUAAAUAUAUAGAGUAAAUUUCGUGGUUAACUUUAGAAGGAGUUUGAUUUUGAUUUGCCUUGGCUUGGCUAAGGCUGUGCUGGAGUUAUGUUUAGCUAAGCUUUUUAAGAUGUAUUAGCAUUUGUUUGGCCAAGCUCGAGUUUGAGCUGAAAUUUGAGGUUUCAGAGUCUUUUUACAAGUAGAAACUUUGAACUAAAAUUGGACAGGAUUUGUAGGUAUUGAAAGUUUGUAGUUUGGGGCACUAUUAUACACGCCCGUCUGCAAUCACGAGCAGCACUUGUUUGAAUGCUUGAAAUAUAAGUUCUUUUUUGUUAUUGAUUUUGUGUUUCUUGUUGUAGUUAUACACUUUUUUUUUUUACGUUUUUAUCAAAAAGUUGUAUUUCCUACAAAGAAAUCUAAUAUGAGUUUAUAACUUUAUUGAACUGCAGCCCGAUUUGGUUCUUUUUACAGGCAGGUUCCAUUCUCCCUGACUAUUCAUCUACCUAUUGUUUUUCGGUGCUUCUCACUUUCGAUUUUCAGCUCCUUCACUUUCUUUUGUUUCCGCAUUGGUUACUAAGCUACUUUAGCAUAUACAAAAGAGAUCUCGGUUCAUGGUUGACAUCGCACCGGCACACACCACAUUUGUCAUUUGCAUGUUUGAUAAAUUCAUGACAUGCCCUUAAGUGUUGUAAAGGUUAAGAUAAAUAAGUUAUCAGAAAAAAACUAAAUCAAAUUUAGACACUUAGCCAUCUGUGAUCUAAAUUGAUUUCUUGUUUCUGCAUUAGCGUAGUCGGUUAUUUGUUUUAUGUAAACCUAUAGUUGGUCUGUUUUUGUUCAGGUGAUUUUGGUGAAGAGAACGUUGAACUCGUUCAGAGCGUUGCAAAGCUCGGAUUUGCUAAAGCAGUUAUUCUGGGAAACCAUGAUGCCUGGCAUACAAAACAGUUUUCUGGAAAGUAAGUUCUGGAUAGUGUUUCCAUAUGUUUGAAUAGUCUUUAAUUCUUAAUUCAUGUAGUCACACAGCCUAGUAUAGUCAAGCAUGUAACUAUUAAUAUGGUGAGUUUAGAGUGUACCUCAACUGAUCUAUCUAUCCCUUCACUCCCGCCCCACCCCUAUUCUGUCUGCCUCUGCAUCAUCAAGAAUGUUGAUGUAAUUCUAAUUCCGAGUUUAUGAUAAUCUGGUUAAUUUGAUAUUUUAAUUUUGAAUAUCAGGAAAAAAGAUGGCGUUCAACUUCAGCUAGAAUGGUGAGCUUGUCUUAUCUUCAUGAUUGUCAAACAUUCUGAAAUUACCAUUUGUGUUACAUCUUUUUUUAUCAGUUAUUACUUGUCAUUCACAUUAAAAGAUAGUAUUUUUCCUGUUAUACUACAUUUAUAUCAAUUCAAUGAAUUCGCAGUUGCAUACAGAUGUCAUGGUUGCCAAUGAAAUAUUUUAUUGUUUUAAUUGUUUUUCCUUGUUUUGCAAUGCGUUGAAAAUGUUAGAGUGCAGAAUGUAUCCGACACAAGUUUUUCAAUCAUGCUCUUUAUGAUUUUCCUUUUAAAAACCAAAUUCCCCAGAAUUUGAGGAUUCUUUUGCAUACGCUAAUGCCAACUAUAGUAUUCCAGUCCUUUUCAUAGAUUGGUGAAGAUUGUGUCAUAUUGAUUGGCUUUCAAAGUUAAUUUCCAACUGCUUCCAGGGAACCAAAAGAAGCUCAAAUUUGGUCAGAGGAGAGAUUUUAGUUUGACAUGAGAUGAUAUCGCUAGUAAACCAGGCUGAAAUGGACAUUAAUGAACAAAAUCAGGUCAAACAGUUCCAACAGUCCUAAAUGAUGGAACGUUGGGUGACCGAAUUAUUUACAUUUGGAAGGCCACAUGUUAUUCUUACGUUGUUGCAGCUGCAAGUUAAUUGUGUUGUUAAGUGAUAAUACUUGUAAUGCUCAGUCUUGGCGAGGAGCAUGUAGCUUAUCGGCGUUUGGACUUUCCUUUGGUAAAACUGAGCGUUGUUGGUGGGCGACCGUUUUCUUGUGGGGGACAGCAGUUGUUUCGGGCAAAGCUUCUGUCUGCGAGGUGUGUAAUGGUUUUAGCAGCUGUUGAUUAAACAUGAAACUAGAGUUUUAUCAAUUUUCUUGGCCUCUUAUCCAAAAAUUGUAACCAUUUUUCAUGAUACUAUGUAUGGGUCACAUAUAUGAUGGAAAAUUCAUCAGAAAAACAUUGUGUUCUCCUCAAUGAUGGCCUAAAUUAUGUGUUGAAACAACCUUUUAGGUAUGGGGUCCAAGACAUGGAUGGAAGUGCUAAGAGAAUAUGCAAAGCAGCUUUGGGUGCUCCAGAGGACCAUUUAGUCAUACUUCUUGCACAUAAUGGCCCCACAGGUUUAUCAGUCUGCUCUGCUGAAAUAAAUCGUAAUCUGGCAUUUUAGGGAAAUUUUGUUACUUCAUGUAAAUGCAAAUUUCUGAGUUCACUAUUUGUGCAGGUCUUGGUUCUAACUCGGAUGACAUAUGCGGAAAAGAUUGGGUGUAUGGAGGCGGAGACCAUGGUGACCCAGGUAAUAAUUAAGCUAUUGACUCUACAUUGGUGUGCAUCUCUACGUUUAGGUUGCCAACCCCAUAAAGGCAUGAUCCGAACUUCUUCAGUGAAUCACUGAAAGGGUUUGUGUUAUUUUUGUAAACUUAGUUUUACACGUUAAAUUGAUGUCACUUCCUACUGGGUCUUUUGGGUUGCUGCAUGUGACUGGUGACUCGACGAAUCUAAGAGUCUGGUUAUGGAAAGGAGGCGAGUUACGUCCUUCGUGUGAUUUGUUCAUCUAUAUUAAGAUGUAAUAACAUGAACACUUGUUCUUCUGGUGCAGAUCUAGCACAAGCUCUGUCCCUCUUAAAAGAGACGGGAAAAAUCUGUGGCCCAUUGGUAGUGUUUGGUCACAUGCAUAAACAGCUAGCAGAUGGAAAUGGUCUUCGGAAAAUGAUAGUGGUUGGAGCUGACAACACUAUAUACCUGAAUGGGGCCAUUGUUCCGAGGGUUAAGAGACUAAAUGAUGAAUUCGUGAAUAAAGAACCCCAUCUUUCAACACCAGAGUCCUGUGGCACCAUCCGUGCCUUCACUAUAGUGGAGAUUGUGGACGGAGCAGUAGAUAAAAUUGUUGAAAGUUGGGUUUCAGUUGUCGGCGAUAGGAUCACAUUGGAAGAGGAGCACAUGUUAUUCAACAGCGCCCAUUAGAUUUCUCUGGUUUUGAUUUUAGUAUUAUCCAUAUUUGUAUGUAUGGAAGUAGGUUAUCUGUCCACAAUGUCCUGAGUUAAAGGAAAAUAGUUGUUUAACACUGUUGGAUGUAUAUGCUAUUAGGUUUCCAAACAAAACAAAUCAAGUUUGUAUGAACAUGAAACUCAUUUCUAUAAAAUCUUACUUAUGUCUCAAUUUCAUUAAAAAUAAUCAAAGCAAGCACAAGCACAGGAGCAUUGGCAUUCUAUUGCUAUUUAGUUUGCCAAACUUGAUCAAAUUCAAUGUUGGAUGAUGUUGGUUGGCGCUCAAUGACCUUUUCAGUCUGAGAGUUCCUCAACGUGCCAAAACUAGUUGUUCUUCCCAAUGCAAGUAAUGAAAAACUGACCUGUAUGGAUUUUACCUUUUGUGGACCCCUUGUGUUAUAAUUUCAGUAGAUUAUUGAGGGAGGCAAGGCAAAUGUAUGAUGUGGUUGGUAAAGAAUCUCAAGCCGUGCCUUUUGGUUGCCUGAGAUAACCAAUUUUUCGCUGAUUUGAUGGCCACCAUUAGCAAAGGAACCUUUUGUUUCCCCUUUGAUCUGUUAAUCAAACUUAAUUAACUUGAAAACUGAUCAACCAUUUCAUAAAUUUCCUCAAUUUUGCAAUUAUUUCAAGCAAGUGAUGGCACAGAACACAAAUGAUGCUCUUUCUUCUUUAUUUUUUUCGUUUGUUUUCUUAUCAACAUCUUAUUAUUGCAUUUCUCCCUUUUCCCUUUGCUUAGUGCACAUUUUCCAAGCAAUCUUUGCUUUAUUGACCCAAAUUUCUUUUCCUUGGUUAGUGCACAGAAUUAAGACUUACCCUAAACCUUUGGCUGUACUAUUCACUUUACUUAUUGACUGUUAUUGGUCCAAAAUCACUCAAUUACUCAUAAUUUGUCAACUUCAGUCCUAAUCAUAGUCAACUAACCAUAGGGAUUAACUUCAAUGAGAUGAUAAUUAUCAAAUUUGUAAAAGGAGGCCAUAUUAUUGCGAUAUAUAAAUACAUCUUUCAGUUCAUUGAUUUGGUCCCCCAAGCUUAAAGCACAAGGUCCCCUACUCUACUGCUAAAGGCCAGUCAACUCAUUUCUUGAUGACAUCCCCCAGCUGGGCCAUUUCAAUUCAAAGAAACUAUUAUCAUUGUGCAGAGCAGGACCCAGCAAAAAAUAAGAAAUACAUUUAUCUCAUCUCAAACUCACAAUUAAGUUAUUAACCAUUAAUUUUUUUCUCUAAAUGCUUUUAAAAAUUCUGAAAUUUCUAUGUUUGAUCUAAAGGUUUUUACUUUUUUUUUUUUUUUUUUGUUUAUCUGGAAAUACACAGAAGUAGCUAUUAUUGGACCUACUCCAUAAUCACCUAAAGCAAGUUUGCCCUGUGAAUUGAAAAUGGGAAAAUUCCCCCUGACUAGUUUGCCUUGUACCAAUCAUUAGAUUAUAAUAAUUUCAAGAGUCAGUAAUAACAACUACAAUCCUAGCUGAAUACACCCCUAAAUCCCAAAAUUUCCCAACUUUCCACUUGUGAUCUUCCCCUGUUUAGGCAAAUCAAUUUAGACCCCAAAAAAAAAAAAAAGGCUUAACCAAACUGUGAACUGAUUUUCUUUUAGAUUUAUAAUAAAAUGACAGAUGUAACAUAUGCUCCUUUUUAUAUAAUAAUACACAGAAAAAAUUUAGUUGCAAAUUUGCAAUGGGAAUAACACCAUUUUGAUAUUUCCGAUCAAUAAUUCUAUGUUACAUAGAAAUAUUAUUAUAUGUGUCAUAACGUUAUUAGUCGAGAAUAACAAAAGAAUGUUAUUUCCGUUUCAUAAAAGUCUUCCUCGAUUCUGCAUAUAUAGGUUAUAAUUCUAGGAACAUAAUUGAUUUUGGAUCUAAAACUAAUAAUAAGUGAGGAAAAUGGGGGUUAAGUGGGUAAUUUGGGUCAAAGCUUGUGGGGCGGGGCAGUUGUGAAUUGACUGAAUAAGAGAAAGGCAAACCAACCCAAGUGUCAUAUAUUUUUUUGGCAAAACAUUGGCUCAACAAAGCAAGCAAAAUGAGGAAUGUCAGACUCUGACAUUUCUGCUCAACUUCUCCCUUUCUUCGAAGAUCCUCGACAGUCUUUGACCGAAUCUCGCCCGUCCAUCCGUCCACUUCCUUGUGAUCUUCCCCUUCCCUUGUUAUUUCUCGAAGAAAAAACGUUUUUCUUUAAUUAUAAAAUACAUAAAUACAUAACCAAUUUUUGGUCGAAUAAAUACAUAAUUAACCACGGUUUAUAUAUCAUGUAUAUAGAGAUUUUGUUUUACCAAAUAAUUUAACAUGAAACAUUACUGACCUAAGUCAUAAAUAUUUUUGCUUUUAUUUAGGAUUUAUGGUUAAUUCAGAUGUGUUAAUUUAAUAUAUAUUUUUCCUUACGUAAACAGUGAUUAUGAAUAAUCUAGUUUUGCAGCUGAAGGGUGAAUAACUGAAAGUCAUGAAUUAAUGAUAAUUAUUUAAUUUAAUUAUGUGAAAGUAGUGAAUUCAACCGUCUUUAUCAGUUUUUGAAUUCAACCAAUUUUCAUUGAUGUCCACAAUUUAUGUUGAGGGGCAAAUAUGACAUUUGAUAUCUAGUUUUCCUGUCGAGAAGUUGUAACUUGUACAUAACACAUACAUACGAAUCACAUCAUCAACCAACCUCUUGUUUCUUGUUAUUUACAAAAUAACAACAUACCUUUAAGUUAUUCCCUUAGAGAUAAUAAAACUAAACUAAAUUAAAGUAUAUACUUACAAUAAUAAUAAUCCUAAUCAUGAUUCAAAUUAUUAUUAAUUAUUAAUUAUUAAUUAUAAUACGAGAGAGAGAGAGAGAGAGAGAGAGAGAGAGAGAGAGAGAGAGAAGAAGAAGAGAAUACACGAGACAAGAGGAGAUACAAUAAUAAGAUGAAAUGUGCGGAUUCUGUGUUGAGAUUCUCAGAGUGUUUCAUCUUUGUUCCUCUCCAACAACAUCAUUUCCAGCUCACCCGCUUAGAUCGGAUCUAUUUUCUGCCACCCCCCCCUGCCCUCCUCUUUCACCUUUAAUUUCAUCUGACGCCACCUGCUUUGCCUUUCCAUCAUCCCCAGUAAAAAAAUUCACACAAACCAAAACCCCCACCCCACCCCUCAAAAAAUUAAACACCAAAAAGAAACAAGGGAAACCCCAUUAUUGGUUUUGGCUUUUAAUUUCAUAAUGAACAACAACAACACAACCAAGCUCAGAUAAAAAGGAUUAAAAAAACUCAACCCCCCCACCAUUUUAGCCUGAGCUCUGUUUCAUGCCUGAACCACAUAUCCCAAUUGGUGAUCUGUGUUAAUGGGCAAUGUAACGUCGGGUGUGGCUGCAAAGUUUGCAUUUUUCCCUCCAGACCCACCCACCUAUGAUGUGCACAAAGACGACGGUGGUAAGCUUGUGUUCUCGGGAGUUACAGCUGACAAGAACAUGGAAGUGCAUUUGCUUGAUACAAAAGCAGGGAACAAGAUCGUUGCCACGUUUUGGAAGCACCCUUUUGCCAGGUUCACGCUUCUCUACUCGCAUGGUAAUGCUGCUGACUUGGGUCAGAUGCACGAGCUCUUCAUUGAGCUCAGGGCUCACCUGCGUGUCAAUAUUAUGAGGUAUUAAUUAUAUUCUAUUUCUCCUUCAUUUUUCCCUUUUUUUUUCCUUCUUCUUCUUGUGUUGCUUUGCUUUUUGCUUGUUUUGGAAAUCUAUUCUGGAUUUUGAUGGGUCGGCUUGGUUUUUUAUUAAUCUGAAAUGGGCCUUUUGGUUUUGGCCAAUCUGUCAUUUGCAAGGUAGUUUCUCCUUUUUUUGCUUACAAAAAAAUAUUGAUUGAACACCCCUCAUACAGUAUCUUGAAUUUGUUAUUGGUUCCAAAUUUUCAGUUUAUUGAUUAUUUUCCUCGUUUUGUUUGGAUUGAUUUCUGAAUUUGGAUGAAAUAUGAACGGUCAUGUGCUUGUUUCAUUUGUUUCUCUGCAUAUCCGGGGAUCAUUUCAGCUUUUAAAGUUUGAUUAAUGGCAGGCUUAAAGCUGCCGGCAUCAUAAUCUUUUCAUGUUCGUUCCGUUUGGCGUGAGCCUGACUCCUUCAAAAAGAGACCAAACAGAAAAUUAUCUGUAAUCCUAGUAUUCUAUUUGAAAUUUCAACAUGGGUUUUUCUGGUAAACAAUGGAGGCGAGUACAAACUCAUAGAUACUUGUUUAAGCUUUAAAUUUUUGAUUGGUCAUGGAGCUUUAAAUUUUUAAUUUCAUUUUUUGGUGGGGUUUGGGAGUUGGAAUGGAUGCAUAGGAUGAGAAUGUUACUGUGCCAGCAUUUAUUACGUACUUGAGAGUACAUUAUUUAUUUAUUAUUUGUAAAAUAUGGUCAAGCAGCCAAUGAGAAUCUUUGAAUGUAACAUUUAAAAAAAAAGAGAAAAAAAGUCAGGAACUUUGAAUGUAACACGCAGGCAGCUGAUAUGCUAUGAGUUUUCUGAUGCUCUGUGCUGCAGUAGUUAUGAACCCUCCCGUAUUAUUUACGUCAGAUAUUUUUCUUUGUGGCAGCUAUGACUAUUCAGGAUAUGGAGCAUCAGCUGGUAAGGUAAGUGUUAAGUAAUCUAUGAAGUUGGUUUGCACUAAAAGUUUCUCUUUGAUUUGAAAGUUUAGUGCAGGCUCUGAAAUAUGACAUUACAGAACUAUAGGAUUUAUUUUAUUUAAAAUCUCAAAUUUACAUCCGUUUGUCAAUCUAUUGACCUGCAUUGAAUUGCAAACUCUAUGACUGAAAAGUGUUAAUGUUGGUAAAUUUUUAGCCAUCUGAGUUCAACACAUAUUAUGACAUAGAAGCUGUGUACGAUUGUUUAAAGAACGACUACGAAAUAAGACAAGAGGAUUUGAUACUGUAUGGCCAAUCUGUUGGAAGCGGACCAACACUGCACUUGGGUUCUCGCUUACAGAAACUGAGAGCCGUUGUUCUUCAUAGUGCCAUCCUGUCAGGCAUACGAGUCUUGUAUCCCGUCAAGUUGACGUUUUGGUUUGACAUUUUCAAAGUAAGCUCUUCUUUGAAUCUCUUAUUCUGUUACAGAGCUCAGUUUAUUGAACUUGUACUGAAAAUCCCUCUGCAAUAUUUUCAGAAUAUAGACAAAAUACGGCACGUCAACUGUACGGUUUUAGUUAUACAUGUAAGUAGUUAUUCCCUUCACUUAUUUUGUUUGAGUACCAUUCUUUUAGAAUUCAAUGUAUUUGUGUUGUGGUUCUAUUGUUUUCUCCUCCCUCCUCACCUUUUUCUCAACUUCUGUUUGAUGAAAAACAUUAAAGAGUCGUAACUUAAGAAUGAAAAGCUAUUUUGUUAUCAACUAAACUGAACAACAUUUUUCUUUGGAUUUGAAUAAGUAAGUUUCAUCUGUCCAAAAAGAAAGGAAGAAAGGAAGAAAAAAUAAAUAAAUACUAGAGCUGGCUUAAUUCAUAUGCUUUUGUUGCUUGUUUCCUCAACCAGACUAAUGUCAGUUGCCAUUUGGAAAGGACUGGUAAAAGAUUCUUUUCUGGUAGUUCAUAAAGAGGCCAGGAAGCCUGGAAUUGAUCCUACAUGUGAAGUUUCCUUGUUAAAUAAUGGAAAUUUGGAUACAAAAUAGUAAACUCCUACAGGAACUACCAAAUAUUACAAUUAUACGUAUUUCACAUUAAUGGAUACUUUUAUAAAAUGAUUUUAAGAAGUGAAAAACUUAUCAAAAACAUUGUCAUAGAGAAAGUAGAUUUUAUAUCAGUAUCAAGAACCUGUUGUGAUUAGUGAAAGGAAAAAUUACAGUUAGACACCUCCUUUGGAUUUAAUUCCUAACAAAAGGCUGUAACUUUAACAAUUACAACAAUUAAUAUGUGUAAUCCUAAACAUGCAAUUGAAAGAUCUUACACUUGUGGUUUUAUUCAGAUUCCCUUUGUUCUCGUAUGAAUGGUUGCUUCUGAUUUGAUUGAUCGAUAUGCUGCCAUUGGUGAUGCAUGUUUAAACGGACUAUUUUGCAGGGAACAGAUGAUGAAAUUGUUGAUUGGUCCCAUGGAAAGCGUUUAUGGGAACUUUCCAAGGAAAAGUAUGAUCCCUUAUGGGUCAAGGGUGGAGGCCACUGCAAUCUCGAAACAUAUCCCGAGUACAUUAAGCACUUACGCAAAUUCAUAAAUGCAAUGGAGAAACUUUCGCUCGCUAAACAAACGAAGAAACAACUCACUUCUAACCUAAGUAUCACAGAAGUAAAACACAACAAGUGCUUGAGAUUUGGAAAAAAAUAGCUGGUUUUCUUGAUAUCAGUUGAGAAGUAGCGAAUGGAAACAGAUAGUUCCACUGCAUUGUCACCCCGUCUACACGAAUAGCUAUGAUUGCUUUGGCAGCAACGUAGCUAUCCAGCCUGGUAUUUUUCUUGGUAGAGGAACAGAUAGGAGGAAUCAUACCUAGAAUGUUUGAUCCAGAUCUAGUUCAGUUCAGAUGACCAUUUUUUGAGAUGGGGAAUGAACUUACAUGUACAAUUUCUAGAGGUUUGGUUCCUGAUCUGGGGUUUCUUGUACAAUUUAAAAAACUGAGCUCUAUCUCUAUGUAAAGAGACUAUCAUCAAUUUCAGUUGAGAAAAUACAUGGGUUGCUUUGAUUUACAAUCCAAAUCAUCUGUUUUUUAAGUCUACAUUCAUAGAUCAUUCUUGUAAAAAAUUACACAAAUUGGAAACCGUUUCGACAUCUAAUUGUAUCCUACAAAAUAAAUGAACAUGGUGCUUCAAGAAAGUAUUAAAAUUUCAAUAAUUAAAUUGAGUAGUCAAAUGAUAUCAGAUUCAAGUUAUUUUUUUGUAGAGAUGAUCUUUAAAUGAAUAUCUAUAAAAUAGAUGGUUUGAAUUAGUAAAAUACAAUAUGAAAUGGGUCAUACAAGAGUGUCCCUCAAUAGAAGCUCAUUGUAAUAUAUAUAUAUAUAUAUAUAUACAUAGGGAGAUUCUUCAAUAAGUAUUUUAUGUUAAGGAUUUGUAACAUAUUUCUAAUAUUGGCCAUUGCAUUCGUUAAAUGUGUUGGUAGUUUUUUAAAUGCAAUCCAACGCCCAAAAUUAAAAGUAUAUAACUAAUUUUUAACUUAAAUGCUUAUUGGAGAAUGUCCCUAUACAUAUAUAAUUAGUUAGCUUUGAUUUGACUUUUUCUCUUCAAAACAAUUUUAAUAAGCCUGCUGCAUCAGUUGUUGUAGCAUGUUUUAUGCACUCAAGUACUAAUAAGACAUAAAUAAUUACUAUUUAGACUUUGCUAAAGCUGAACCAUGAAGGAAGGGUCAAUCCAAUAGUGGUAGCAUAUGGAAACUAGGAGAGGUGGAAGCAUAUAUGUACUUUAAAUGGCAGACCAUAUUAAAAUAGCAUGUUUCUCAAGUGGUUCUUGCAUUGCACAUCACUGAUAAAAGAAUUUGGGCUGCAUUCUUAGAAAAAAAAAUAUAUAUAUUUAAAAAAUUAAAAAAGGUUGGUAUCAAACAAUUUGGCUAUGUUCAUGACCUCUUGUUCUUUUUUUUAGUCUCGAAUUGGUUAAUCGCUUUAAAUUUAGUACAUCGCAUUGCAUUUACAUGUAGUCGCAGUUGUUGCAGCAGCUGCAUUCUACUGAGAUUGAACAAAUGUUUGAAAUGAAUCAAUUCCACAUUAUGAGGUUAUUCAUUUAGUCAUUAUUGUUAUUAUUAUUAAUAUAACGAAUACUCAUUACUACUGAUUGCUAAUUUCUGAGUGAAUGAUAUGAUAGCCUUUUCCCAAUUUAAACCCUAAAUAAAUAAAGUCAAUGGGAAAUUGAAUAAAUCCACUCCUUGAGCUCAGCUGCUCUGAGGUCACGUGACCUUUAACGCCAGAGGCCCGUAACCAUCAAAUCAACCAUGUGAGCAGCGGAGCCCACAUGAGCUUAUGUAAUUUUGAUUCCUAAUUUAUUUAUUCAUGUACUCUCUCUCUCUCUCUCUCUCAUAUCCUGGGACCGACGUGUCGUAUCUCGUGAAGGCUGCAUUUCUUUCUGGUUCUGGUCUUCAGGGGUCCCUGGAAUCUAAACCGGGUCCCACCGAGGACUCAGUCUCCCAAUGAGAAUCCGAAACGUGGCAUCGUCCUAACACAUACUGAGAUGGCUUCGGUUGUGUGCUAUUUUUUGGCACUUAUUUAGAUCAAAGUCUGAGACUCUCUUUCUGGAAAUGUGAAAUACACGCUCCUCCUAGUAAUAAGUAAUAAAUAAUAAUACCCAAUUAUACGUUAAUUAUACUCCACCCUUUAUUAUGAACACAAAAAUAGUGCCCCCGCGAUACUCAAAGGAGGAAACACAUUGUAAAAUAAGAGCUAUAAUCACGCGCUUUUUAAAAACCAAUUAGGAAUUUUUGCGGGUAGAUACAAUUAAUUUACCAAAAACAGAAAAUUUAAGGAUAAUUUGCAUUAAAUGCCCAAGAAAUUAGGGCACUCGGUAUAGAUGUGUCAAAGUAACCUAUACAGAAUGUCCUCUGACUUACCAUAAUAAUACCCCAAAUCCGACGGACCGUUUUACCCGCCAUUUCCAUUAGAAGCUUACUUAUCAGAGGGGUUGCUGCUGCUAAAACCAGUAAUAACCCUAAGAUGCAUUUCAAAAAUUUCACUUUGACUGAACAAGAUGCCAAAAAAAAACAUUCAUGAAUUGGUGAUUAAAUAUUAAAUGCCAAAAUGAUAGGGUCCAUUGACCUGUUAUGGACAUUAUAUACAUAUAUAUGUUACAAACAGAGAGAUGAGAUAAGAGGAAAGAGUUUAUCUAAUUAAAAAAAAGGGACACAGCUUGAGAGAGAAGACAAGCUUUGUAUUAUAAAAUCCAUUAAAGAUAAAAGCUUGAAGACAAGGACGCAGAAGAGAGAGAAGAACAAACAAUUCUGAAAGAGAGAGAGAGAGACUUUCACUUAAAAUACUAAAAAGAUUUCUGUUUUGUUGGGUUGAACUCUUCACUCUGUUCUUCUGGCCAUCACCAUCAUUGUCCGUUUCUACAGCUUUUACUUCUACCCACAUUCUCUCUCUCUAGCCACUCUCUUAGUUUUUUGUUUUUUAUUUUUAUCCGUCUCCAUUUCUUCUUCUGGUUAAUCUCUGUUUUCUCCUCACGCUCUUUAAAGUUGUUGAUUCACUAUGACUGUGAAGGCCCAGAGGGGAGGUUUGAUUGGUGAGGAUGGGGCUAUGGACCGUUUCCCGGUGGGUAUGCGUGUCCUGGCUGUUGACGACAAUCCAAUUUGUCUCAGAUUAUUGGAGGGGCUCCUUCAGAAUUGCCAGUAUCAAGGUUUGUUUCUUCUCCUCGUAUCGUUUUUCCCUUGGAGGAAUUUGCAUUUAGUUUUCUUCAAGUUCUAGUCAAUUUGUUCUAACAAAUUGUGUGUGUGUGUGUGUGCGCGCGCGACUGUGAAGUAUAAUGUAAAUUCCGUUCUUUAAUUUUGAAUUAGUUUGUUUAUCUAGAUAUAAAAGAAGAAGUAGCUUGUUAAACUCAAACUAUGCAUAGUCUCGGGUAGAAAAACUAUGCGAAGUCUUAAUUUCCUGUUCAUAAACUGUUUAUUCAAGUUUUCGUCAGGCUCUUUCCACUGUUUUACUAAAUGGGCUCUGAAAAUAUCCGCUUAAAUCCAGUAGAGGUUAAAGUUUGGUACUGGAAUCGUUUACGUGAUUUCUGGUUUUUGCAGUUACUACGACCACUCAGGCAGUCGAGGCACUGCUAAUGUUGAGGGAAAGCAGAAAUAGGUUUGACCUGGUGAUCACUGAUGUAAGUAUGCCAGACAUGGAUGGCUUUAAGCUACUUGAGCUCUUAGGGCUGGAAAUGGACCUACCUGUGAUUAGUAAGCAUGAACUUAUCCUGGAUCCUCGGACAUAAAAUACAACUUUUUUACUCUUGUUAGAAUUGGAUUUAAGUGCAAGUGAAAAAAAUAAUUUGAGUUUUCUUUGGUAUCUGUUACACUUCUGGCUUUUAUUUUAAUACUAAAAAACCUGCUUAGGCCCCAUUUCAAGUUGAGCAGUAGAUAGUGAUUGUUGAAGAAGUGGGAGAUGAAUUGGUUACUAACAUCAUUUUUGUGUUGUAAAAUGGUCCCAGUGUUGUCAGGACAUAGUGAUAAAGAGCUUGUAAUGAAGGGAAUCUCCCAUGGUGCUUGUGACUAUCUGUUGAAGCCUGUUCGAAAGGAAGAGCUCACGAAUAUCUGGCAACAUGUAAUCCGAAGAAAGAAGUUCGACUCCAAGGACCAAAACAAGUCGUCCAGUCAAGACAAGGCUUGCCAUGAAACCGAAGGGGGACAGGGGGUUUCACCAGCAGGCAGCUCAGAUCAGAAUGGAAAAUUCAAUAGAAAAAGAAAGGACCAAAAUGAAGAUGAGGAAGAAGAAUAUGAAGAUGAUGAACAUGAGAAUGAGGACCCAUCCACCCAAAAGAAGCCUCGGGUAGUUUGGUCGAAAGAGCUGCACGGAAAGUUUGUUGCAGCUGUACAUCAGUUGGGACUUGAAAGUGAGUCAUCUGCUCCAGAGAAGUGAUGUGUUGCUUUUGUUAUACAGAUUAUCUUCUUGACUAAUGUUUCUUCCCCCUUCUUCCUUAAUCUAUAUGCAGGGGCUGUUCCUAAGAAAAUUCUUGACCUGAUGAAUGUUCAAGGACUCACGAGGGAAAAUGUGGCCAGCCAUCUGCAGGUACAUAUUUCCUUUGCCUUACUUUUAGAAUAACUUUACUACCAUGUAACUUUGCUGCAAGAAUUCUGGAAUUCAAAAUCAAAUAUUUUUUUCGACCCAGGAAUAAUCUGUAUUUUCAUAUACAUGUGAUUUAAUAAUAUAUGUAUAUAAAUGCGAUGUUGUAAUCACCAUCAAACACUUAGCAUGAAAUAUCUGGAAACAACUCAAGGAAUCAUUCUAGUGAGAGAAGUGAUUGCGAUAAUGUUCUAUUCUAGCUAUUCUUUAAUAUUUUAACACUAUGACUUCUUUUGGGCUUGUCAGAAAACUAGGUUUUGCAACCACGCUUAUGCUCUCACUUUGUGUUGCAGAAAUAUAGGCUCUGCCUCAAAAGACUCAGCAGUACUGCAACCCAACAAGCUAGCAUGGUUGCUGCUUUUGGGGGGAAAGAUUCCUCUUACAUCCGCAUGGGUGCACUAGAUGGAUUUGGAGAUCUACGGUCCUUAGCUGGAUCACGAAGACUCUCAAAUGCCACUUUAUCACCAUACGCACCAGGUGGGAUGCUUGGUAGAUUAAACUCCCCGGCUGGUUUGAGCAUACGAGGAAUUACUUCUUCUGGUCUGGUCCAACCUGGUCACUCCCAAAACUUGAGCAACUCUAUUAGUAAUCUUGUAAAGCUCCAGCCAGCUCUGCCUGCAAACCAAAGUCCAAAUUUGUAUGAAUCAAUUCCAACAUCAUUAGAACUCAAUCAAUUGCAGCAGGGCAAACAUACUGCUCACAUUGGAGAGUCCAGUCCCAAUAAUGAUCCAACAAGUUAUUCAGUACCCUCUAGCUUUCCAGACACAAGUGUGUCUGUUAGCUCAAUUCAUUCUGAUUCCAUUACUUCAAGCAAUCCUUUGAUAUUACACAGGAAUCCACAACAAGCAUUUGGUAUGGGAGUAUUUGGAAAUCGGUCUUCUCUUAGUUUGGCUUCAUUGAAUCCAGAAUCUUUUGACAUUGGAAUCUCCUCCAAUUUUCUGGAUGACAAUCGAUGUAGUGAAAGUUGGCAGGUUGCAGUUCAGUUAUCUAAGUUUCCAUCGAAUGAUUUGCCAAUGAGCGAGCCUUUCGAUCAUGGUCAAUUGCAUGCGAAUAACUUGGGUCUUUCUUCUACCAGGCCUCAAAUUGGGAACAGUCCAAAUGAUUUUUCGUCUUUAAGUGUUCUUCCAGGUCCUGCUGAGGAAUUAAGAGGAAAUGUGUGGAACCAAGAAGGCUUGAUUGGAGAUGUUGUGCCAACCAUGGAUUGCACACCAAAGCAAAGGUGGGAAGAACAUAAGCGAGAUUACAAGCACAACUUGAAUCUAACUUUCAGUGCCACAAAUCCCACGGUUUCUGCUAAUGUUAUUGUGAGUCCCCUAAGCCAGAGUUUGGACCAAAGUGAUGCAGUCUGCAGUAAAAAGAUGAAUUCAUCUUUAUUUGACCAGUUAAAUGGGGCCACUCCAACUGUCAUGCAGCUCAGUGAGGUUGAGAAAUCUGCCAUGGGAACAAAGAUGAAGCCCAGUGAGGACUACCUGUGGGAGCAAACAAAGUCGCAUGAUGGUUUAGUUCAAAAUAGUUAUGAAUCGUUGAAUGAUAUCAUGGGUGCGAUAAUGAAAGGGGUAUGAUUAAAAAACUGCUUAUAACAAGGCCGUUCCAUUAUUGAUUUGUUCUCUUAUUUUGGCAAAGUCAUAUUGAAGUGGGUAUUAGAUCUUAUAUCCUUAUUGAUAUAUGCAAUAUCGUUUUUCCUUUGUUGAGAAAGGAUUAAGAUAGGCCAUGUUGGAGUUAAAAAGAAGAUCUCAUUUUUGACAGUAGAAGCUCUAUAAUUUGAUGUUGAAUAUGGUCUAGUCUAUACAUUGCAUUAUGUCUUGCAUCUUGUCUAGAAUUAAUGUAUCUAUUUUGAUUCAUGGAAGUCUGUUAAAUAAGCAGUAAUUUACAUGGCACAAAUUUUGAAAGGCGCAUUUAUUUUAGUAGUAAUAGAUUUGGUCUAUUUUCGUUUAUUUUUUUUCCUCUCUAUGUAUCAUUAUGUGGUAGAGGAAUUGCUGGAGAGUGGAGAAUGUCUAAAUAUGCAGACUGUAUAUAGAGAUAUAACCUAAAUUACGUUUUUGUGCUUGUUUAAGUGUCGUGUCCUAUCCAUAUUAACAUGUUCUGUUUUGUGUUUGCUUUGGGAAGUUGAAUAAUUACUAUUUAUCUCAUUAUAGAAAGAAUACCUGGUUUCUGUUACACCUUAUUUUCAGUGUCUCUUAUCUGUCUUGUAUAUUUGUACUUUUUAUUUCUCCUCCUCUUCAACAGUAUAUAAUAUGAAGACUGUUGUACAGGGACAAAACGAGAAUAUGCUAAUGGAUGGAGAGUUUUGGAUUUGAUGCUUAGUCUCUAGGAUCAUGUAUAUGAUCAGCCUACACUAGUGCUAAUUCCUGCCGGAGAUAAUGGUGGCAGCAUCGCCGCAGUUUACUCCUGCUCUAUGAGAAACUUGUAUCAUUAUGUAAUUUCUUCAUCUCUCUCGUGUAGUUUUUCUUCCCAUCUUCUACUCAUGUUCUGUUGCCAACUUUAAUGUCCUUGCAAGUUGCAAACAGCAAACUCGCAUCUUUUCAGUUCUUUCUUCUGUUUGGAGUAAUGGGCUAAUGGCAUAAUAAGUUGUCAACUUUCUGUAUAUCAUUUUUUCAUAUUUUCUUCCUUGUUUCCUUUUACAAUUAUUUACGAUGAAAUAACGGACUCUUUAGCUUUAUGAUUGUUAAAUAUCUUACUGUUUUUGGGGCCUUUCUUGUUGAUACUUGGUCAAAUCUGCACUUGCCCAUUUAAUAAGGAACCCGAAAAUGAGAUUCUGGUUGCAAUGGAAAGCGACGCUCAAAGGUUCCAUUAUUUUUCUUGUUUUGGCAUAGGAAUGGUGAGGUUUCUAAAAUAUAACAUUUGCCAGGUGGUCCCUGCCUCUACAGUAUCAAAUAACAAGUUCUGGAUGAAGAAGAUAAAAGAACUUGAAAAUUUCCAAAAUAGAAUUAAAUUCCUAAUUUUCAUUCUCUUUUCAGCGUCACUUUUGAAAGCAAAUAGAACAUUAAACAUCUCAAAUCAACAAACACAAAUGAUUUCUGUGAUGGCUGCCGCGGUUGACAUAGGAGAGACCCAACUUAAGCAUUUGAUUCAGUCUAGCUCGGUGAGCUGAGCUCUCCUUUCUGCAGCUCUCUUCCUAAUAAAUAUUCCCCACCUUAAAGCGGCUUUGAGCUUAAGCCAUCCAACUACAGCCUUUCCUGAGCUCUUUGCUUGCUCCUUCCUGAAUGACUGGCCUAUCUGAGGCUCAUACUGUACACUGUAAUUGUAACAAGCUUCAUCAGAAGCACCAAAACCCGCUCCUGCUCCUACACCGACUCCCAUACUAAAUGUCUUGAGCAGUCUUUGCAUGUCAUCACUCUCCAACAUCUCUGAACUCCUGAAACGGAUUUCAUCAGCCACGAAAUCUUCCAAUCCACUCACGUUGUUUGGCCGUGACCAAUCUCCUGAAAAAUGUGAACCUCCAACUGGCAUGUAACCCAUGCUGCCAGAUAAUGCUGCUGGUUCUGGGUUAUUAAAUUUAAUCAAUGCUGUUUGAUCGGACCUCACAAAUGGAAAUUCAAUGUACUGAGGGACUGAUGGGUGGUUAUUUUCUGUUUGGAACUGUUCGCCGAAUUGAGAGGUAUACUGCUGCAUAUUCUGAGUAGCUGCAGAAUGGUUGUCUAUAGCAUAAUUGUUGUGGUCGGCCAGAGUCACAGGUGCAGCUGAGGCUUUCGUAACCUUUUUGUUGCUGACAAGAGAGUGUAAGACUUUUCCAUCAUAUUCUAUGACUUGAUGCCAAUUAUCAUAUGCUCUCUUCACCAGAGAAUCCACUGAAACCUGCAUGUAGAGCUCCAAAUGGGUGAGCUAUGUUUGAAGAGAUAAGUAAUUAUCACAGCAUUUCCCAAUAGUUAAAAACAUCCAACCUUCUGACUCUGGGUAAGCGACUCCAAAGGAAGAAACUGCCCAUCAGCAAUAAGGCCUCUGAGCUCAUAAAUAUGGUUGAAAACAACACCAGUGCUGUGAGUUUGAUCAGUGUAGUAAACAUAGAGCUUCCCACCCAAGACACAAGUUUUUGCAUGCUCCACUGUAUUUUCCCACAUCCUAUUGGACAUCCCACUCCCAAGCAUCUAUAUUUUGAAAUUUAGAAGUAAGAAUACCAGAAAAGCAAGGGAGAAGGGUGUUUAAAUAUAAAUGCAAGAGAUGCUUACGCUUCUUAAUUUCUGUGGGUCCUUGACAAGAAGGCGAAGAAAGUCUUCAACAGUUACAAUCUCAGCCUUAAUCAGUUUUUUGUGCAGAGCUCCAUCCUUUGCUAUUCUAUCCAAUCUCCAAACUUCGUCAUGCAAAGCCGGUGGGUAGUGUUUCUUGUACACUACAAAUGGCAGAAACAGUGACUUCAUUAAGACAAGCUUUAAAGGUAUUUUGUAAUACAUAUAAAGGAAUAACGGCAUAUCAGACUCAAGGUACACUAACCAAAAUGUAUGACACUGCAAGUUAGGAAGAUAUAUGCAAGAAUCCAAAAUGACCAAGAAGUUUAUGUCAUCAAUCCUAAUAAUGACGAGAGGAAUGCAUUCUGAGUCUGAUCAACUAAUACUGGGUUAUGCUCUCUGCCCCAGGCAGACAUAGUGGCUCCUGGACCCCCUAACUUGAUUAGCAUAUGUACUGCAGACUGUUCUAUCAUAAGUAAAUGCUAAAAUGACAAACUUCAGAAAACUCACAUUCUCCCCUGUGAUCUUUAACAGAAAAAGCAUCUGUUUUAGCCUCACAAAUACGAAUGCCCUCACAAUAUCCAGGGGAAAUCUUAACACCAAGCCUGAAUUUCCUGCUCCUUGUCCAGCUAGAAUUGUCAGUGAAGGUAAGAUCUCCAAGAGUACCUACCCCUUCCUUGAGAGUAAUUUGUAGAUCCCCUGUCAAAAGUGGCCUUUUCCCCUCACGUUCCUUUACUUCAUGGUUUUCAAAGUGUUCUUUGGUCCAAAUAUCAUCAGCUUCCUCAUUAAAGUCACCUUCCAACACCACAACAUUCAGUUUUGCAGCUGAUUCAGGCCCUGUUUGCAAAACAGUGCCUGUGCUGUGGUCUAGCAAGACAACAUGAAUUGCUGCUCCUUGCUCUCCUUCAACCUUUGCACCUGUGAACAGAUGAGGAGGCAUUCUUGUUUUGAAUUGUAGUUGCAGAGUUCUUCCUUCUGGGCCCUGUAUUCUUGGUGGUGGAGACCUGCAGUAUUUUGGAAAGUGCAAACAAUGAAUUUGAUACGGCUUCCCACCCCAACCUUCCAACCAACACACCAUUACAGAGAAAGAAAGAAACAAAACAUGAUAAUUUACGAAAAUCUGAAGAAGAAAGCAUAACAUCUGCUUUAAAUAUUUUUAAAUUCUAAUUAGAACCGUAGUCUAGGACUCUCAAAAUGAACCAAGGAGACAAUAUUAUGGUUGAAACAAACCUUCCAGCCAGUUCAGCAUGGUCUAACUUUGUCAAAGCACGCUCCACUUCUUCACUAACCUGUUACUCAAAAAGAAUUUCAGAAUGAUCAAAAGGAUGCUAACUUACUGCAAACAAUGCACGGUUUUACAUAUGACUGAAGGCAAUGUUUUGAAGAAAGUAUAGCCAGGAAAUACUACGUGUCACAGAUUUUUUUCGGCAUUAUCGAUGGCAGGAUACUAACAACUUAAUGUGCUUUCUUUGUUUAAAUUAGUGGGAAAAGUAAAACACACGGAAAGCCAUACUAGGCAGAAAGUGACUUUGCAGGAAAAAUAAAAAUGAAAUGCUAUAAUUCAUUGUUUUGGAAAGGUGGGAAAGGGAAGAAAACAAUGAUUUGCUAUCCCAGAAGGGACUGAUCAUUAUCUGAGUGCAGCUAGUUUCAACGUCAACUCUACUCUAAUAUGCGAAGAGUGACAAUCUGACUCACAAUUCUGCGGAGAAGAGGCUCCAAAGAUGAGCAAAGUCUUUGCAAGCUAUCUACCUUCAAAGAUUCAACAAUUACACUGCAAAUAAUGAACUGUAUAAACAAUAGUCUUUAAAGAAAAUGAUAUUGAACGCUUGCAUAGAGAUUGUUCAACAGGGGAGUGUAAAUGCAAAAUAAGUCAGCCUAAACAUUCUUACAAUUGAAUUAGCACCUACCCUUUAAUUAGCAGAAACAAGUCAUAAAAUCCAAAUAUCAAAGUAGGAAAUAAAAACCUUGCCAAAGCGGGCAAUCUCUGCUUCUUUGGCUCUGGCGAGUGGCCUUCUUCUGCAUCAUCAUCCAAUUCCACGCCCUCUUCAUACCCUCUCUUCUCCACCCUCAUGCUUCCUGAACUUUCCAUUUCAGAAACUUAUCCAACCCUAGCCGCUAUAACUCUUUAAAAAAUACUUCCCAAACUUGGAAACCCAAGAUGGAUCAAAGUAUAUCCACGUAUACAGUCACAGAAGCUUCAUAGACUGAAGAACUCAAUCAAAACCUAUUAAGCGUCAAGUUUUCAGACCCCAAACGACAAUUAUGUUUUUUUUGGUUUUCCUCCCUGAUCUAGGUAUUAAUUGAAAAGAUGUAUUUGUUGAGUUUUUGGUGGAUCUACAUCGUUUUCUUUCCUACUUUUAUAUUAUAUUUGAUCUAAAAAAGAUUAUAAUAAUGGGUUUGCAUGUUAAAAUAUUAUUGCCCCUUAAAAUAAUUCAACGUCAUAGCCUCACAGCUGGGGUUGGAUGUGCCUUGUGAGUGCAUGAACGUUGAAAGUCCGUCCGAACCGCGUCAUUUGGUGCAACUUUUGGAUUUGUGAUAUAUUAUAUAUUAAUAUUUAUAUAUGUAUCAGUCCUUAUAUAUGUAUCAGUCCUUUGACCAUCAUUAUGUUUUGUGUGUGUUGUGUGGAAGGAUAAACAUCAUGCAACAAAUGGCGGUGAGGCAGUGAGAGCCGUUGAUUACUUGAUUUUGCGUAAAGAUGGAUGAGGAAGUCAAUGGCUUGCUGUCAGUGUCACCUGCGCCGACAGAAAAGACCAUUUAUGAGUUCACUGCGAAACACAUGUUCAAGUAAUUUGAGGUUUCCUUUGGUUUUGCUAAUAGCUGUGGAACCCAUGUUCUUGGCAUAUUGUGUCGAGUCCAAAAUUUCUUCACCUUCAAGAUUUUGUUUUGUUUGCUCAAAUAUAAUUGAUGACUUGAGUGGCUUGAGUAGUCAUAACACUUGAUGCUGACAUAUGAUAUGCAAGUAUAUUCUCAAACACCACUUUAUUCAUCAAGAAAGUAUAACUUGGGAUGAGAUUGCUUUUCCAUUCAUUUAUGUGAUGUACAUACAGGAGUAAUCUGUAAUAAGAAUUCAACUCCUUAUUUUGAUUCCCAUUACGAAUUAGUAAACAUUGAUUCCCAUUACGGAUUAGUAAACAUGUUAGCAUAUUCUCAAACAUUAGUUUUCUGUGAUCUAUGGAGGCCACCAAAACCCUUGCAUUAAUUAAUGCACUGGCAGAUUGUAAACAUCAUCUCAUUGUAGUAAAAUGGGAAAAGGGAUCCUUAACAUUUUGUUUAUGAAGUAAAAUCUGAUAUCUAUAUGCCAUUUGUGGGCAAUACAAGUACAACUACAUUUGGAAGAGAGAGAGAGAGAGAGAGAGAAAAGAGGGAUCAUUUUUGCUGUAACAGGGGAAGGAACAAUCCAGGCAAUUUUGCUUGGUUGUAUGUAUAAAUACCGCAGAGAAAGACGAAUCAGUAGUUGAACUGAACCGAACAACUUGCAAUCCGGUUUUACAAACUAUAGCCCUUCCCAACCCAUUUGACGGGCUCGUCUUUCCCACAACAAAGUCACCUUUCUCUCCUUGAUAAACAAUGCCUGAGCACGCUCUCUUGCCUCCUCACAAGUUUCUGUUGCAGCAUUGCACUUUUCUGCUUCUUUCUGGUACUGAGAAGCCACCCUCUUUGCUUCAGCAAAUGUGAUGUUCAUGUGUCGGGUGUGCUCUGCAGCAACAGCCUCUUGCAACUUCAAUUCCUCUGUUAAAAGGUCCACAAACUGCUUCUCCAUUUCCUGCUUGAGAUCUGGGUCAUUACUUCCACAAUCUGUUCAUCAACAAAAAUAAUUACAGACCCAUGUACCUAUACAUAGUUCGCAAUAAACAACUGGGGAAGGCAUUUCCCAGAAGCAGUGGAUGAAAGCUUAUAAUGGCUAUUAAAUAUUUGUUAACAGGUUCUACUGACCUUGUUGCCAAGCUAAUACUAAUGAAUGUAAUAAAGGAAAAGGAUAACACAAUGAGUUGAACGAUAGGAUGCAUUCUAACCUGUGACUGAGAGAUUGGCCAAUCCUGCAAAAGAAUAACAAAAACCAAACCAUGACAUAUGUUAUUAUAGGAGUAAAAAUGAACUCUCAGAUUACAAUAAUUGAAAGAAGAUAGGGAAAUCGAUAGCAAAAUCUCAGAUUUUGCAUGCAGUUUAACAGCAGCAAUAGAUUUUCCCAGAUUCAAUAUACACAAAUCAAUACUCAUUGCUAGCAUAUUUGAGAAUCAUUAUAUGUUGAAACGAGACUUUCCAGCUCCCAGGAGUAAAAUCCGAAACAUGGUUAACAAUGUCUGAGUGCAGAACUGGUUUAUGUUGCCACAAAAUGAGCACAUUGUGGAUUCAUAAACUCAGAUCAGAAAGACUUCAUACACCCCAUAGCAAUUUUAAAGAGUGCACAUAUGAUAUGCAGGUAGUGCUGUAUUUCCUUUCAAGCACCAUAGGAUAACAGAAUAAAGACACAGUAUAACAGUGCACGUAAAGACAAAACAAGGCAAGAUCUCAACUUUACUCAAAACUCAAUCAAACAAGAAUUACCCAACAAAAGAGAACAGCUCGGGAAAAAAACAAUAACACCAGAUCAAUGCCACAAACCCAUCAAAAGGGAAAUUAUAAUUUCACUCUAUUCAGCUUAAAAUCAGACACAAUAAGAAAAAAAAAAAAAAAAAGUAAAUCUAAACCUGAAUUGGGUUCCACUGCCCACAUAUAUUCCCAACACAUAGGCAGCUCCAAAUCAAAAAUUAGCAAUAAGAAGGAUUUAAACCCCAAAUUGAUGACAUGGGUAACCAUAAGUUUCAUUCCAAUCAAGAAAAAAUCACACUUUCAAAAGAACCCAGAAACGAAACAUAAGAAAUCAGAAAUCAAAGCGACAAGAAACCCAUAUUGAGAAAGGAGAGGGAGAGUGAUACCAGGAGCAAUCUUGAGAAGGGACAAAGGAGGAGGGCAAUCACAGUUGCAGGUAGGGCAAGAAGUUUUAGAAUCCCCCAACCUUAUACUCUUCUUGAACCUCCAAUACAAGGCCGGACCACAUACCCCCAAUGCUGAAACUACUGCAAACACCACCAAACAACAUCUCAAACAAGUAGCAGAUCGCCUUGACAUCUCUCUCUCUCUCUCUCUCUCUCUCUAUUUGUUUUUCCUUUGUUAGUGUGUCACUGUAUUUGGGGAAAGCGAGAUCUAACUUGGAAUCUAUGACUGCUAGUUUUGUUAAAGCAAAACUGUAAUUUGAAGAAGUCAGUGGCUCCCCAUUAAUGAGCUGUAAUCAUGAAAAAUAAUGAUACAGUGGCAGAGGUGUUAAGUUUAGUUUGGUAAAGAACCUCUGUUUUUCACUCUAGUCAAAGCAAUUAUUACAAGAUCUAGUGUAACUGUAUGAGUGAACGAAAGCAACACAUAUUCUUUAACUUCUUAAUUCUUAUAAAAAAAAACCUUAGAUUUCGUCCAAAAUUAAAAAAAAAAACUUAGAUAAUGCGGGCCUGUUGUAAGCUUUUCCUUUGUGGGCUUUUAGUCUCUCGGACUUUCAUGAUGAAAGAUUAUUUCACCCAGUCCAGAAACCAAACUUGUGUUGAAUUGCAUGUGUUCAGAACCAGGCCCAUGCGUAAGGUUGAGGUCUUUCCAUCCUCCAUGGAGAAACGGCAGUGAGUAUGGGCCGAUCACUAAUUACAUUUCCUAUCGAUUGAUCUUUUUUUUCUUUCUUUUUUUUUCUUUUUUUGGGAGAUAAUUGAUCACUUGAUCUUAUCAGUUACAAGGAUACAACGCAUGUGUGGUCCAUGAUUUAAGAAGUGACUGGGGCUCGAGAUUUGACGCCCUUUGUGUCAACCCCACUCCUUUGAUUUUGAUAUUUGAUCUACAAUUCUUGGUUUCACAAGGCAAUGACAAUGACAGCUUAAUGCUUCUUAGCAAGAUUGCUUUUCUUUCAAGCUACUACCACAAGUUGCUUUUUCUUCCUCCCCAAGCUUGAUGUUGUCUUCAAAUCAAAACAGAAAUUUCUACCUCCAUAUUUCCGGAAGGGGAAAGGGAAAAACAAAACCCGACCGCAAUGUGUGGCAAGUUCAACCAUUCACGCCCUACACGUGUAAGGCCGAGAAAGCCCCACGUCGCUCAUUUAAGUUUUUGGCCCCAAACAAAAGCCAUUAAGCUGGAGCCACCUCCACACCUUAUCAACAGGCCACAAACAUAAUAAAACCCCCAAAAACUCUCCCAUUCUGGUCACUCCACUUUCUCGAAGCCUAGAAACCAUAAGAAACAAUGGCGAAGAAAACCAUGGAUGUGGUGAAGGGUCUGGAUUUGCAGAGGUACAUGGGGCGCUGGUACGAGAUAGCCUCAUUUCCGUCAAGGUUUCAGCCCAAGAACGGAGAGAACACGAGGGCUACCUACACUCUGAGAGAUGAUGGGACUGUGAACGUGCUCAAUGAGACUUGGUCUGAUGGAAAAAGAAGCUCCAUAGAGGGCACUGCAUACAAGGCCGACCCCUCCAGCGAAGAGGCCAAACUCAAAGUGAAAUUCUACGUUCCUCCAUUUUUGCCCAUCAUCCCUGUUGUUGGUGAUUACUGGGUUUUGUUUAUUGAUGAGGAUUAUCAGUAUGCUUUGAUUGGCCAGCCUAGCAGGAAUUACCUUUGGGUAAUUUUUUUAUUUUAUUAAAAUUACCUUUGGAGAUUUGUUGUGCUUUGUCUGUAUUUGGAUUUAACUUUUCUUCUUUUUGCUUUUUGGGGGUUGGGGAAUUUGAUCAGAUAUUAAGCAGGCAGCCUCGUCUUGAUGAUGAAAUUUACAACCAGCUAGUUCAAAGGGCCAAGGAUGAGGAAUAUGAUGUUAGCAAACUCCACAAGACACCGCAGAGUGAGACUCCACCGGAAGGAGAAGAAGGCCCCAAAGACACCAAGGGCAUCUGGUGGUUCAAAUCCCUCCUGGGAAAGUAGACAGUUUCUGAUAGCAAUAGCAUAUUUGGGGUUUGAGGAUGUGUAGGUAUUUGUAAUAAGAAACACUAAAAACCCAUUUUGGCAACAUCAGUCAAGACUAGGGGGUGUCGUUUGUUAAUUUGUGUAUGUUUUAGUAGUUGUUUGUUGUAGAGUCGAGACUGUUUCUGUGUGUAUGCGAUGAACUCUGAAGAAGCCAAUUAGUAUUGAAAAAAUUCCUUCUGUUUGGUCCUAUGUAAUUUGUACCUGUGGAUUUUGAAUGAUAUUUUGAUGAGAUCACUCUUUACUUAAAAUUUUCUGUCGGUUUGAUUUUUAUGAGCUUCUGCAAGGUAGGAGGACAAAAAGGAAGGUACAUCUCUUGAGAGAGUCGUCUUUUUCCGUUCGUUCUUAUCAACAUUUUAUCCGUAUGGAGGACCAUGUCGACACGUAUCUAUCUCUGGUCACAUGGAUAUUUGUUCGGUGGAGCCGAGGCCGAGGCAAAUCAGGACGAUAUAGAGAUUCUGACAGGAUCUUAAUCACUUGAUCACUUGAAAUGCGACCAGAUCAACAUCAUAACAGCGCCCUCGUCCUGCAAUGGACUUUCAGUCAUCCAAGUAGAACUCAUCAUCCAUAAACAUUCUGGACCUUUCACUUAUGUGCGAUAUAACUCAGAAUUCUUUUCUAUCCUCCAAAAUCUGAAAGCAAUGACAUAUAUAUUUUAUAAAAUUGUAAUGAGAAUAUCACAUACACCCAGGCAGAUGCGCAAACUCGUGUUUCCAAACAGAAACAAUAUUUAAUGCUAUAAUAGCAGGAGACCUCUAUAAAUAUUUGGUUUCCCUUCUUUGAUACCUAGGAAAAUGAGGAAAAUCCACACAAUUCUACCAAGCAAACAAUUGACAAAUGUUAUGAACAUAUUACAAUCAUCAAAUUGUAAUCCAUCAACUUCAGCACCAUAUCAAGGGAUUGUCAUUGCAGGAUUGCUACUCGCCUCAGAAGCUUACAAUAUGGUACAACACUGAUUGGCCUGUUUUGCCUGCUUGUAGAACAUCUGUUUCAAAAACCACCGUCAUCAUCUUCUCACAUUAAAAACAAACUUUAAUUCCAAAUUUCAAGAGGCAAAUAUUGUGGUUUAACAUAUUUUUGUUUGCAUCGGGAAUCACAAAUCCAUAAUCUCUUCCUCACCAAAUAAUUAAAAAGAACAAUGGAAAAAAAAAGGUUGUAAUCAGUCAUGAUAUGUGUGUGUUCCACACCCAAGACAGAUUGGCAAAAACAAAUUAUAGUGUGUGUUCCACACCCAAGACAGAUUGGCAAAAACAAAUUAUAAUACAUGAACCUAAUCUUCAAACUAAGGCAAAAUUAAGUGGGAUCUUCCUAGCAUCAUGUCGUUGGGCAAUAAUGGUAUUUUUCCAAUGUUAAACAACGAUGCCUUCCCAUGAUUGGCAGUGUAUCUCAGUGCUAUUUAACACCAUAAUAUUUGUGGCAGGCAAAAUAACAUAUUGCAUUAUCUCACACCUAGACACACCAAAAAGUUGUGUUCUAUCAACUUAUCUUGAUAUUGAAAGAUCCCAAAGCCCUUGACAUCACAUUUCAAAUUAUAGGUAAUUAACAUGACACGGGCUUACACACAUAUGAAGAUCAAAUGUACUAUGAGAGAGUGUGCAGUGGCAAAUUCAUAGUCGUUCACAAUAAUUGUCUGUACCUGCGAUGCUGCACUAAGAUCUGAACUCUUCUCAACUAAACUGUCAAGUCUCUCACCUCGUGCAAGCACACUAUCAAUGGUCUUAUGCUGAACCAAGGAAAGAAACAACAAAUAAGCCGGGUGAGAAAUGUAGGAGAUGACCAAUAAGCAACGGCAUAUACUGAACAAAGAUAAAUUUAUAACACAAAAGAUAUCUCCAACUCAUUUCAGGAAAAAAAUUUCAGCAGAUAAGGCCCAUGAGGGUAUUCAGUUGAAGAUCUUCUUUUGGCCAUCACUAAACAAAACAAAUAUGCCAAGUUGGAGGUUCCACUUAAAUGCAAAAGAAUAUUUACAACAAACAAACAGACGUACUGAAUCCACCAAUAAAAAGUUUAUAAAAACAGACACGACAAAAAUAUGUUGAACAAAAUGUAACUGAAAUAGUGCACUAUACUCACAAGGAUAAUUUUUGUUUCAUCUAAUUCCCUCUGAAUUUUCAACAACUUAUCAGCCUCUGCAGGGUCCUGAAAAUUGAAAAUAAAGAAAGAAGAAAGCAGCUUCAGUUAUAACUCAUGAAACUUCAUCUGUUUUGUCGAUUCAGAAAACAUAAUCUUGAUUAACCAUAUGUUGCCUUAUGACUCCAGAUAAACAAACGAGGGCAACAACAGAUUAACAGACACACCUGGAACUUGGUCAGGGCCUCACCCAAAUAGGGCCAUGUUUGUGUGCUGUCCUGUUGUGCAGUCCUCCAAGAAUCACCAAAUUUUUUCUGAUAUUCAUCUAGCACCUGCCAAUCGCAGGAAUCAAUCAGAUAUUUGAUGAGACAAACAUGAAACAAGCUUGGAGCACUAUAUUUAAGGUAGUCCAUGAAACCAAUUAUGCAAAAACCUCAGGCACAACUAAUUACAAAUCAAAGCCAAUUGGAUCUCAAUUUCUCACUAGGGUACCACUUAAGCUGAAGCAACUAGCCAUCACAAAAAUAUGGGAAGCAAGGUAUGGCAAAUGAAGGGAUUAUUCAAAGUAUGAAUACACUUAUGCUCCUAGAAAAGGUACAUAUUGUGUUACCUGGUUGAGCAAAGAAAAUGCACUUCGGACAGGAUAGUGGUCAUCCAUGAAGCCCAGCGCACAAAGACCAUUGCUGUUGUAAGCAUGCACCUUAUACUCUAUGAAGAAACAACACAAAGAAAUUCAGAGUUUAUAAAAGCAUACUGAAACUCCGACAAAAGAUAAACAAGAAGAACAAGAACUUAAAUGAGCGUCUAAGAAACACAUUCAAAAUUAUAACAGUAAUAACCCUGAGAGCAAGACAAUCUGUGCCCUAUGUUUUAGUGACCUUAUUUACAGAAAUUUCUAGUAAAAACGUGCCAACAAGCUCCAAUAAACAAUUGCAUCUGAUGCCGAAUGAAAUUGGGGCAAUGCAAAUUCAAGCCUCAAAUUCUAUAAUCACCACAAAAGUCUACAGAAAACCCGAAAUUUGCAAUUGCAACAAAAUUCUGUAACCCUAAAUCCAGGGAAAAAAUAUACAAACAAACAAUAUCACACAAAGACAAGAGAGUUGAAAACUCCGGAAAACCGAGAUCCCAAAUCAAACCAGAUUAAUCAGCUAAGGAUUUAAAACGCAAGUUAGAAUGAUCAGAGCUUUCAUCAAAUUGGGAAAAAUUAUUAAUAUCGUAUAUAGCGCAUAGAACACCUAAAGAGUUGAAAACAAAAGUGACUGCAAGGGGGAUCCGCGAAAAAUAGGGGACCCGAACCGAAAGAAAUAACGGACCUUCAUGCUUGACGGACUGACGUUGUCCGGAUGGGGUCCGUUUGGCAACGGUGCGACCGACGAAGACGAUGAACUCCUUGACGCUGGACCUCUGGAAGUAGCCGAAGUGACUGGUAUCGGAGGCGUUGGCCAGAAUGAUCGGGUCGGAUUCGUCCGGGUUGCACUUGAGGACCAGCAAGGCCGUGAUCUUCAUCUUUCUUCUCUGUUUCUCUGAUUCUCUGUCCCUCUGUUACUCUGUAUAAAAGAUCUAUUGGGGUUCGGAGGCUUCUUGUCACAGAGAGUCUGAAGUCUGGUGUUUGAUUUGGGGAUUCGGAUCGUGGAGAGGUGAAGAAAGGGAAAGUAAAGAAUUGUGUUCUAGCAAGAAACGGGUAGGGAUCCAGUGCAUUUAAAGAAUCUUUGGAUACGGUGCAAUUAGGUCGGCAUCGCCGUGCACUUGUAUGACUUAAUAUAAGCCUUAUCCUUUUCCUCAAACAAACCCCUAAAUUAUUUAUUUUUUUAGAAAAUAUACUUUAUUAAAAAAAAAUAAACACUAUAAGAAUGUAUAAAAAAAAAUUUAAAUUUAAAUUUAUAAUAUGUAUGCCUUAUACUUUUGCUUUGCUCCCCACACCAUGCUCCAUAUAAAAUCCAACUCAUUUGGACCGCCUUUAAAUCAAUUCCUUAUUCCCAUGGCCAACAAUUUUUAAUUCCUUAUGCUUUUUAGAAAUUUAAAUUCCAUAUGCUUUUAUAAAAUUUUGAAUUCCUUAUGCUCAUCUAAAGAUAUAUCUCUUUAUGGUUAACGGGUCUAGUCCAUUAAAAAUUAGCAUUAAUUUGCAGACUAGUGAUCUUAAAUUCAAACCCUUAUAAGACCAUAGUAGUUUGAGCGAGAAUCCAUCUCUCUAACAGCUUAGACUAUUACUUUCUCUUUAUAAGAAAUGCUAAUCUUCGUUACAUUUUACAUUAGAAGUGUAUAUAAUGUAUAUAGUUAUUUACAAGUGUGACCGCUUUAUCUUGAUAGUAAUUAUAGCCAUUUUUAAAAUCAAUUAAGAGGAAUUUAAAUCGCAAACCUAGUACAACAUUGAAAAUAUAAGUAACACUGAUACAAGAUCAGAAGCACAUUGGGCCUAAGAGGGGCACAUGCCUCCUCCCAAACCAAUUCCCUUGUUUUUCAUUUGUUAUUUUAUAUAUAUACUUAAUGGAGUCUAGUUACAAAAUUGCUCUCAAAACAAGAAUCUCAUAUCCCUCUUUAUUCUUUUCUCACUUAUUAUGGAGAAUAAUUUUUUUUUAAACUCUCUUUCAUCCCUUAACACGUGUUCUUCUCUCUAUCUCUCUCUCUCUUCUCUCUCUCUCUCUCUCUCUCUCUCUCUCUCUCUCUCUCUCUCAAAUUUCCUAUAAAUAUUAUAAUGAGUUAUUAUUGAAAUAUGAAAUGAAACAAACUAAUGAAAUAGAGUUUUGUGACAAGUUAGACUCCCAAAAAGAAAAAAGAUACUUGACUUGUCUAAGGUGCCCUACUGUCAACAACUCAUGGUUCGCCUGUAUAUGAAGGUUUAGUACUUGUAGUUAGACAAUGACAGUAAUCCUGUUAGAGGACUCAAAUUUGAAAAAAAAAAUCCCCUUAAUUUUGACUUGUGCUCUUAUAUAUUUGUUAAUUAAAGGUCCAUAUUGUUGUUGCUCGCAUGAUCGAUAACACACUUGCAAGAAAAUGGGAUAACAUUGUUUUGCUAUUUCCAGUCAAUAACGCUAUGAUACGUGUGAUAACUUUUUCACAUGUCAUAUCGUUAUUCGCCAAAAAUAGCAAACUAGUGAUAUCCCGUUACAACCAAGUUUUUUUACACGCGAUUGGAUAAUUGUGAAAGACAGUGUUAGGUGUAACUGGUUAUCCUAUUGAAGAUUACUCCCGUUAGAUCUUAACCAUUAUGGCAUUAUGAAUGAAUGAAUUCAAUUUGGUUUUAUAACAAACUUCUGAAACAAUAGUGAAGCAGCAGUAGAAUAUCUGGAACUGGAAUUCAUGCAAACCGUGUCUGAAACGCCUAAUUAUAGAAAAGCGGGGGUUUCAAAAAACCGUUAAGGCUUUUAAGGUUACAGAUGCCUGGUUUCCCGCGAAAGAAAUACAAAGCCAACUCCAUCAGUCUACAAAAAUAGUAAAUACAGGAAUUGACCCAAAAACUAAAAACGGUUCUCCUUUAAUAGUUAUUCCUGGGCUGCUAUUAAUGCGAGAAAUCUGUGCGGAGUAAAUUGGUAAAAAAGGAAAGAAGAGCCCCUGUUGGGCUUAAGGCUUUUGUUGAUGCCUUUGGGGGUAAAUUAAAUUCAUCAUCUCACACCUUUUUUUUUUCCCUUUGCCCCCCCCCUACCCCCCCUACCACCACUUCUUUUUCUUCUCCAUCACAUUCCCUUGAUAGUUUUCAAGAAACUUGACAGGGAGUGCCUGAUUCCUCCAGAAGUAAGUUCUUUUGGGUUUCUUCUAAUUUUCUCUUCUUUUUUUUCUUCUUUCAAUGUUGUUUAUGUUAAGAAAAGAUCAUCUGUUUGAGGCAGGCAUUCUCUAAACUUUAAUUAAGACAAUAAAUAUUUUUUUGUUCUGUUUGAUGAUAUGAAUUCUCACCUACGAAUUCAAUUAGGAAAAAUGUGAACAUAUAAACACACAUAUUCGACAAUCUCUUUCUCUCUGUUUUGUUUUUCCUAUUAUGUUCUGCAUUUGAUAAACUAACUGUUGGAAUCUGCAACAGAGUCAGAAGAGAUGAUCAGGUGUUUGCUUUUCAUAUCCUUGUUGAUCCACGCAACUUUAGCAGCGAAAGCACCAAAUGCAGCAGCGGAAGCACCAAAUGCAGGACAGAAGGCCCCUGCGGGGUCUCCAACGAAGAAAUGGCUGACUUUAAAUGGUAAUAACACCUUUUUGUUUACUAUUUGGAGCUAACGAAUUGGCCAUUUCAAAACGAAAACGAAAACAAAAUCAAUAAAAGAAUUCUUCAACCAAAAGUUGAUCUACGCUGCAAAAAAGAAAAAAGAAAAAAGAAAAAAAAGGGCAAGAAAUUGGGCUUCUCAGAAGUUUCAUUUGAGUGAAUAAGGCCAAUCUCAAGAAAUAAUUUGAUAACUUGAUAUUAACUGAACCGAAUUAUGAGAGGAAACAACAAGGUUUCUUCAACAUUUGCAGGAAUGUCUAAACGUCUUUGACUUCUAUGUUAACUAUAACUAGUAUCAAGUCAGUGUAAUGACUUUCUGCAACUCAUGAUUUUACCUGCAGGACAAGAGCCCCUCGUUAUAGCUCGUGGCGGGUUUUCGGGACUUUUUCCUGAAUCCAGCACCUAUGCGAUUGACAUGGCAAAGUCUCAAAGUUUGCCAGGGUACGCUUUCUUCUGCAAUCUGCAGUUAACGAAAGAUAGCGUUGGAAUAUGCCUGUCGAACAUUCUGCUUGAUAAUACAACAACUAUAUCUAUGUUCUACCCUAAAGACCAAAAGACUUACAAUGUGAAUGGGAAGGAUAUUCGUGGCUGGUUUGCUUUGGAUUUUACAGCUGAUCAGCUGUUAAACAAUGUAUCACGUAAGUUACUAAUCAAGUAGACAACAACAUUUAUGGGUUAAGGUGACUAGUAAUCAUGCUUCGUUUUCUUGUGUUGUUCAAUUCUUUUACAGUGACUCAAAACAUUUUUUCCCGACCAAGUUACUUCGAUGGUACUCUGCCAAUAGCUACUGUUGAGGAUGCUUUAGGAAUUAAACCAGACAAAUUCUGGCUGAACGUUCCGGUAUCUCCGUAUCCCUUUCUAUACCACCAAUGAGUUAUUUUUGUAGAGUUGUUCUUCAUCAGUCAUAAAUCAUUUUCAUUUUCAUAAUAAAUGGUUUUGGUGUUUGGUUUGCUGUCUGUGGCAUACAGUAUGAUACAUUUUAUAGCCAACACAAAAUCAGUAUGGCAUCAUUUGUUGAAAAGGUAAUCAGAUUUCCGUCUAUGAAUUAUAUCUCAUCUCCUGAGAUUGGUUUCUUGAAAACCGUAAGUGCAAAAGUGAACAAAGGGAGGACAAAGCUCAUCUUCCAGUUCCUAGAUCCUGAAGAAACUGAACCCACAACCAAACAAAAGUACAGCGCACUUGUGAAGAAUCUUGAGAUGAUCAAGUCAGUUGCCGCUGGAAUCCUUGUCCCAAAAGAAUACAUAUGGCCGGUCAAUAAGAACAACUAUUUGGAGGCUGCCACUACACUCGUGACUGAGGCUCACAAACAAGGGCUAGAAGUACAUGCUUCUGGUUUCGCAAAUGACAUCGUGCUCCCUUAUAAUUACAGUUUUGAUCCAACAGCUGAGUACCUGCAGUUUGUAGAUCAGCCAAACUUUUCUGUUGAUGGGGUGCUUACAGAUUUCCCUCCUACCGCAUCCGAAACCAUCGGUGAGAUAUCAGCCUUUACUUAUCUUUCAUUCAAUUUAAUAGCACCUACUUGACAGACAUUCAUUUCACAAAACAAAUGUUGGAUUUCUGCCCCAAUUAACCUGCCAAUGCUUUCCUGGUGCAGCAUGCUUUGCACAGAACAAUAAUAGUACCAAGCCUAAAAAAGGUAAGAAUAUUCUAGUAACUUUUGUACGCCAACAGUUGUGUUGUGAAUCCUGUAAUAUUGUUGUUAGGAAGUUUCUUAUAGAAUUUUUGACUUUGCAGGACUUCCUUUGAUCAUAACAAGAAAUGGAGCAAGUGGGACCUAUCCUGGCUGCACAGACCUUGCUUAUAAGCAAGCAGUAGAUGAUGGGGCUGACAUAAUAGAUUGCUCAGUUCAACUGUCAAGUGAUGGAGUUGCCUUCUGCUUAGAUACCAUAGACCUCAACUCAGGCACUAAUGCAUUAUCUCAGUUCAUGACCAAGAGUGAGACUAUCCCUGAACUUCAAGCAGAAGCUGGAGUCUUCUCAUUCCAGCUCUCAUGGCAUGAGAUUCAGAGCUUGAAACGUAAGCUUCUUUACUUCAAAAUCUGAUAUUGCUAGUAAGUAGCAAGCUUCUGAAAAUCCCACCCCAUCCCGUUAACGGUUCAUCUUGGCUCUUUUUAUUUCAGCUCAAAUACAAAGCCCGUACGGAACUAAGGAAAAAGUAUAUAGAAACCCAGCUAACAAGGACGUGGGUAAACUGGUGACCCUCUCUGACUUCCUGGAGUUUUCUAAGACAAAGGCAGUUACUGGAAUCUUGAUAAACAUUGAGGCAAGACUUUUAAUAGUUUCAGUCAUUUUGAUUCUCAAACUCUUCUUAUUAUAUAUUCAUUUUUGCUGAAAGUUAACGAUGUUGUGGGAUGAAUUGUCAGAAUGCUGCGUACCUAGCAUCAAAGGCAGGUCUGGACAUUGUGAAAACUGUAACCUCUGCCUUGAGCAAUGCCACAUUUGACAAGCAAUCCACUCAGCAAGUGUUGAUCAAAUCAGAUGACACUUCAGUGCUGUCCAAGUUCAAAGAUGUGAAAACAUACAGAAGGGUGCUCAACAUUAAGGAGAAAAUAAGUGAUGCAACCAAGGCAUCCGUGGAUGAGAUCAAGAAGUUUGCAGACGCAGUAACUGUCACCAAAGAUUCCAUUGUCAAAAUCAGUGAUUACUUCAUUUCGGGGAAAACGAACGUUGUCAAGGAAAUGAAGGCCGCAAACAUCUCAGUGUAUGUCCAUUGGCUGAAGAAUGAGUUCGUCAGUCUCAUGUUUGAUUAUUUCUCCGACCCCAUCAUAGAGAUUGCAUCAUAUGUUCUAGACUACCAAGUUGAUGGCAUCGUCACCGAUUUCCCAGCAACUGCUAACAAAUAUAUGAGUAAGUAUUAUUGGUAUAGUAGUGUUAUUUUUCUGUUUAGUUACCUAAUAAAACCACCCUCACAACAAGUUUUGACAUGAACUUGCAGGGUGCCCAUGUAAUGAUAUGGACCCCAAAGCCAAUAUCCCAUAUCCCAUUUUACCAGUGGAACCUGGUUCUUUGCUGGGUUUGGUAGUCCCCGAGGCAUUGUCACCAGCACAAGCCCCAAGCCCAGCUCUUCAAGCUUCCAAUGUCGCUGACCCCCCCCUUCCUGAAGUGGUGAAGAAAAGCGACACCAGCCCACCACCCUCCAGCAGUAGCUCUGAUUCAACUGAUUCCGGCUCCAAAUCGACACCUGCUCCUGGAUCUCCUGAAAAGUCAAGUGCUUUCGCAAAUGCUGCCAAUCUUUGUCUUUCCUUAGUUGCCAUAGUGGUUCUCGCUUUGCUGGCAAAUUAAGUAACCUUGGCCUUGAGCUUCUAAGAUUACGUGAGUCUGUAAUAUACUUGCAUAAUUUAUAUAGUAUAGUAAAUAUCGCAAAUUAGACAGAUUUAUUCUGACUAGUUAAAUUUAUAUCAAUUCAAUUAUGUUGUUUUCAAGAUUCCAUUCAAUUCAUACCUACCAGUCAAUCAACUCAAACCAACAACACUAAUCUGAUUUUUUUCAUUAACCAUAUCCCUUACCCUUAUUAAGAUCAACUUGAUAUCAAGUAAAGGUCAAAAUUUUAUUACAUCAUUGGAUCAGGUUGAGCAUUUAACAUGGUAAAAGGUAUAAACUUCUACCAAGGGUUAUGGGUCGCUCGCUCUUAAUUUUCCAAGCAAAAUUUAAAAAUAAAAAUAAAAACAGGGGAAAAAUAAUAAUAUUCGAUCAAAUAUGGAAAUCAAUGAAGAGACAACGAGGCUCAGAUUCGCCUUUUUUCAGACAAAAGAGGAAGGAAACGCAGCCUUCCAUGGCUGCGACCACGGGCGCCACCUGUGGAUGAAAGGACAGAAUAGUCAUUUUCACCGACAGAUCAACCGGGUCGCCCCGCCAAGGAAACCGGGUCACCAUUUCCACGGUCUGGUUUUACAGAAGCUAUAAAUAUCAUCACCGCCUCUUGACUUUCGGUAACUAUUACAGAGAGAGAGAGAGAGAGUGAGAAAAGAAGAAGAAGAAGAAGAAGAUGAUGAUGAUGAUGAGGAAGAGGGAGAGAGAGAGAGGGCUGUUUGGUUGCAUCGCAUGUAACAUAAGGUUGGGUGAAAAUCAUCGGCUCCGCUGACAUUCAGAGAGGGGGCAACCAACCCUCAGGAACACCCCAAACGGCCUCCCUGAGAGCAAAGCCUCAUUCUUAAACUAAUGAGCCUUAAACCCUAACCCUCUGCUGCCUCAGGCCUAUUUUAUAAUGCUCCGGACUUGAGGGAAGGGUAUUUUGGUCAGUCUGGUAUCAUGAAACUUUCUGAGACACGAGAUAUUUGGACUCAAUUUGUCUUUGGGUUUUCAUAAUUUUAACUUGAGAAGAAGUUGCAAAACAGUGCUAUUUCUGUUAUAUACAAAAUUUUCUCCUUAUUUUACCUACUUAUUUGGCCCCUAUUUUGGAUAAUAUAGAUUAAGUUGGGUAUUUGUUAUUUCUUUUUAAAUUUCAGAUUCGUCCCGUCUUGUAACCGAAAGAAAAAAGUUGGUAACUGGUAUGAGAGUCCAGAAUUUAACAUGCAUAAUAAAUAUGCAAAAACGUUUUGUUACCAUUAACUAUAGAAAUCGGAAGUCCAUAAUUUGCAUUUGGCAAUGGCUUAGAAUCUUCUACUGAACACCACUAACAGGACUUCUCAAUCUCAUAAUCUCAAUGACAAAAUUUUUUCCUUGUCCAUUGAAAUUCAAAAAUCCGAACGAUCAAGCAUAUCUACCAGAGUCAUCCUCCUUGGGAACCUAGGUGGCAGCCUCAAAUACAUGGCAUCUUCAAUCUCAAUUGGCUGAUGUGUUGCCACAAUCACAAUUCCACCUUUCUUCCUAUGCUCUGCAAUGAUAUAUUCAAGCAACUUCAGCCCCUCAGUGUCCAAAGCAACAGAAGGCUCAUCAAGCAACCAGAUUGGCCUAUCCAUUGCCAGCAACCUCGCGAGCUGCAGCCUUUUCCGCUGCCCCAUAGACAGCAUUCUUGCUUUCUCCUUUGCCAGUCUCCCAAGCCCCAUCAGCUCCAAAGCUGGCAUUGAAUUCCCCUGCUUGCCUUCAAGAACUUCAAACCACUGAACAUUGUCCAGAACUGUGAACUUCUCCUUCACAGCAUCUUUAAGGGAGAGCCAGUUAAGUUGAAGCUUGUACUGGUGGAAAACACCUGAAUCUGUGAUGUCAUGGCCGUUCCACAGGACCUGACCAGCUGAAGGACGAGAAAAUCCAGCCAACAUACGCAGGAAGGUAGUCUUGCCUGAGCCAUUAGUGCCCAUCAGUACAAGUGCUCCACCAUCAUGAAUGGAGGCAUUUACAUGUCUCAAGAUUUGUUGGGCAUUCCUCAUGCAAGAGACAUUGUCGAGAAGGAGACGGGGAAGCGGGGGCUUUCUGAGAGACAUCAGGGUCUAUGAAACAGGAAAACUGCAGCUAAUGCUAGACUAUCAAAGAACUUUUGAAGUGUUUAUUAUCUGCAGUUGAUGUUCAAGUGUUUAUUAUAGCUGUAAUCAGAAAAUUUCUCUAAGAAAGUUAAGGAAAAUAAGGAGAGGAGAGUUAUACUUGGAAUCAACGGAUGAAGCAAAAGAACAUGUUGAAAAUCAAAACUCAAGGUUUAAUUUUUCUCUGAACAAAACUAAAAUCAAACUGUAAUUGCAUCAGGAGGAACGGAGCAAAUUUGAAUGCAAUGCAGUAUCGUCAUAGAAAGUUUUAACCCAAAUGAAAAGAAGAAAAUCCAUUGCAAACUUUCCUGAACGAUUUGAUUACUAUAUCGUCUGAAUAAAAUGCAAAAAUCAAGAGAAACGCGAUCCACAUAUGGAUUGGCAUAACAAAACACAAGCAUCUGGGUAUUAUCCAUAAUCAUGCAGACAGAUUCACUGGGAAAACAAAUAAAAACACAUCAGAAUUCUCAUUGAAUCAAACACAAACAGAGGCAAACAAGACAGACUGAAGCACAAUAUGUUAUCUAAUUAAAUAGAAAAGUUAAUUGAAUAAUUAAAUUUCAUAAAGUCACACAAUUUUGCAAAAUUAAACAAAGCGGCGAGGUCAAAAAGGGUUUUUAUUUUUAUUUUAUUUUUAUUUUUAUUUGAAUAAUAAAAACCCCAUUUGGGAUUGAUGUUCAUAUUGGGUAUGACAGUAACGGAUUCAAAAAGUCAAAAGAGCCAAGCAGAUGUGAGGCAGACGCUGAUGAAAAGGAAGAGCAGCUGGUGCAAGCAGAAGGAAAAAUUGAACUCAAAUCAACUCAACCUAUAACUUUCAUUUUGUAAUAUUUUUCACACUUCUUUCUGCCAGAAAGAAAGUAAACAAUUCCAUGAAAAACUAAAGAAACUAAAAAGGAUGACUUACCGGCGAUAGCUCAGUGAGUCAGUGCUGGCGAAACAGUCACAGAUGGGGAUUCAUUUUAUCUAAUUACCAUUUGAACACCAGCCAGAGAUCAUGAAUUCGAAAGAGGAAAAUCAAAGUUACAGAGAAUGUGCAAUACCCAGAAACCAAAACACAUUAAAAUUGCAAAAACUUAUCAAAGAAUAAGACUUUAUACUAUUAAGUGAGAAGUGAAACCUGGUUGCUGGAGCGUCAAGGUAAGCUUCGUCGUGAGUGAGAUCAGAUGCGACGAUAAGUAAUUGUAAAGAAAGAAGGGAGGGAGAGAGCUGAAAACAAAUGGGGUCUGAUUUGAGUUUGGGUUAAUUUGGGUGGUAUGGCUAUCGGGUGGGUCUCUCUAGUUGGGUAAUAUCCAUUUAACUUUUUCACCAAAAAAUACUUCUAUAAUCUUUUGGGCUUUUUUUGUUUAAUUGCACUUUACUUUUUCACAAAAAAAUAAAUACAAUUUAUUUCCUAUUCUCUCGUUGAUAAAUUUAACAAGUUAUGAUUUGAUGUGAUACUGGUCUUGGUCAUAAAUUUUUCAUCUUUUUUUGUUUGUUUAAUAACUAGCGAUUAGCAUUUUUCUCUGUGCUGUGAUUUUUUUAUUUUUUUAUUUUUUUAUAGAAUCUCUGUGCCUACGAUUCAAAAUUAUGAUAUUUUUUUCUGUAAUCGCUAUUUUUUAACAACCUGGGUUUCCAUUAAUCUGCUUAGUACUAAAGCGAGGCGAUAGAGUAUAUGUGAAAAAGCAAAGAAAAAGGAGGAGGAGGCGGCUUAUAGAAAGCAGAAAUUGUAAAGGAGACUUCAAUAGAAUAGUAAUGAAAGGAAAGAAAUUGCAAUUGUCAUUCGGCCUGCCGUUUACAAAAGGCACAUUACAUAUUUAUAGUUGCAAACAAGGAAACCUAGAUGAUUGGUCCUCUUGAACACAAUUUACAUGAUCUCCUUACCCCUCUGAUGGAGUACAGAUUUAUGCACAACUUCCCCACCUGAGCUAACAAAGUAGGUUACCUGCAGCCCAAAAUAAGGAAAGAACAAAUGUAUCAAACAUGAUAAACAAGGGAUACCUUUUUAAUAAAAUAAAGCUGUAAUGAAACAGCACAAGAAAUGAAUACCCACAAUCUCUAGUGUGCUGACUCUAUGAAGAAGAAACCCAUCCUCCAUUUGGCCCGUGUUCCCAAGGUAGCUCAGGCUGUGUCGUCGGACACUGCUAGCACAACCCUGCGCACUUAAGUAUGCAUUCUGGAGAAUAACAUGUAUUGGUGAGGAGAGGACUUGGGAGUCAGAUUUGGCAUUUUAAUUGGAAUCGGUGCAGAAAUAAGGUAUUAGUGAAUACCAAAAAAAAAAAAAUCUUACCACUUCAAAUUUCAUAAAAAUAAGUUGUAGAGACUCAAAAACUUUCUUUGCUCCCAUUCCCUCCUCACCAUCUUCACAAAUAGCCAAUGGGUGGAAUCCAACGACUAUGCGCCUAUAUGGCAAUACAAGCCAGUUAGACAUUGGAAGAUUAGUUAUCACUUUCUGAAAAAAAAAAAUCUCAAGGAGCGAGGCUAAUUGGAAACCCAUUCUUAAAGUCAUAUCUUCUAUACUGCAGAAAUUCCAGUUCAUGUAAGCAUCAGAAUGAAAACCAAAAUUUUAGAGUUGGAUUGCAAAAAUAACAGCUUCAAAACAGAAACAAUAUGAGUCAUGAAAUAUCAAUUAUCAGAAAACACCAAAAUUGAAAGAACAUUUCACAAUUUCUUCAAGCUUUUUUGUGUUUUUAAGAUAUUGCUAGCACAUAAGAUCAGAAAAGCCAAGAACAUAAAUCAACUACAAAUAGCAGGGCCAAACAACUAAUUAAUUUUACCAGUUACUACUGGUUGCUUCUAGUGUCCUUUUCAGCCAAUGUAACUGAUUGUUUCCGAACCCACCUAAUGAUCCGGUGCCCUUCACGUUGAAAAUAAGUUCAAGUAAGAAAGUAGAACAAAAAGCUACAUAUAUACAGCAACCGUGUAUAAAUAUAUAAAUAGAUGAUAAUAUACAUAUAUAUAUAUAUAUAUAUAUCAACCCUUGGAUGAACUGCCAGUCAAGAAAAGAAGGAAAUCUAUACAGGACAUCUUUAUAUGACUUGAAGAAAAAAAUAAAGAUAAAAAAAACUCCUAAGUCAUUAAACAGACAAACAGCUUAGAAAGCUUACACAAAAUAGGAUCGGAUAGAUAAAAUUGAAAAACAAAAUAGUACAUACCUGUAACAAUCCAGUAUCCACCACAAUGACAUCUAAGGUUUUCUCGUAAGGUAAAUUGAUCUUCUUUUGGAAGUAACCUCCUCCGUGUCUUUCUGAAACUCUAGUGGUGUACCUACAAGUGCUACUAUUCAUGCCUUAACCAGGAAAAAAUAAACAACAGUGCAAACAGCAUAGCUGAACCUCAGACUCGGCAAUAAGAACAUUAUAUUAGAUUAAUGUACCCAAUUCAAAGAAUAUUACAUAGAGGAUAGCAUACCAGGGAAGUUUCAGUGAUGAGAAAAGCAGGGUACCCUGUAAAAGAAUAUAUCCACCAUUGUUACCAACAGUUGAAAGGAACAACUUCUAGUCUUCAACAAUUGUAAUCUAUCAACUUUAUCCAUUUUGUUGAAGUACAUAGUGUUAAGAGUAUGUAGAUCUAGGAUUGUGACAAGUGUCACUUAGUCAUUGACUGAUGCAGACUAGAAGUUGGUCCUUUGAAUCAGAAAGAGCCUUAUAAAGCUUAACUCUCUGUAUUGUAUGGUAAUCUGAGAAAUAAUACAUAAAAGUUCAUCUUCUUCUUAAUUGUCUCUCUAUUUCAGUUUCGUUAACAUGGUAUCAAGAGCCAACAGAGAGUUAAGCUUUAUAAGGCUCUAACUGAUUACAACAGCUUACUAACUAAUUCUAACAUCAGUCAAUGACUAAGUAACACUUGUCACAAUCCUAGAUCUACAUACUCUAACACAUAGAAUAUACCUCCAUUUAUGAUUAAUCCCAUCAUAUUAAGAUUCUUAAAAGAUCCUUCUUCCAUGUUGAGAGAUACAUACUUACAAUAAUCAAGCAGAAUGGUGGCUUUGCAGCUCAAAUGUUUUGAGGAAAAAAACAACCUUACAUUCUGCAUGAGCGGAUCAUCUUUCCCAAGAUCACUAAUGUCCACCACGAACUUUGCCUUGUACUUCUUUACCACCUUCUCCAUCUUUAUCAACAAGAAGAACCACAAUUAAUCCAGGGAAAAUAUUGUCAAGGCCCUCACAACUCUGCUCACUUAAAGUAAUCAAAGGAAAAAGUGGAAACAAGAUUCCUCUGCAAACAAUAUCAUAGUACUACUCCCACAGAAACAGAGGUAACUAUCCGGCCAUUCAGCUGAGCCUUUCAUUUAGCACCAAAACAAAACCACACAUGUAUAACGUAGAUUAUUUCCUUCAAGUUUCCCCAUAUUUCCUAACAUUAACAACAAUCAUAUCCGCCAAGAUAGCAUUAGGGGAGAUAAAAAUCUUCGCUUUAUAGAAUAUAGGCCAAAUUCCUUACUUUGAUUAUUCAAGAAGCAUUAUAACUUAAGAAACUGACCUGUUUGAGAAGAUGGGUCUGUUGAUUGAGAGGUCUGAAGCCCCCUCCAACGCUAAUAAAGUAAAGAUCAAGGGGUCUCGUCCCAUUUGUACCAUGGUACAUAGGCUUCUGAGGCUGACCCAGUUGAAAAGCAAGGUAGAGACUAAAGCACAAACAUGCCUGCGCCACCAAAGUAGGAACCCAAGAGGGUUUUUCCAUUCGAUAACAAUCUCACUCACUGCCUCUCUUUCUGCUCGGUAAGAUUAAGCUAGUACAGAUCUGAAUAUUGUUGAUGAACCUGCACUGCACAUGAUGUGCACGCACUUCACUGUGAGUCUCGGGAAAACCACACAAAAUGACUUGAUUUUGAGGGUAUAUAUAUUCCAUUUCCAUUUAUUUUCAGCAUCUAAAGUUUAUCCUAUGCUAUAUUGAUGCUGACAUAUACUCCAUUAUUCAUUAUUGAUGAUGAACACGUCUUAAGAUUCUGUGAAGGUUCCAACCUAAGAAGUUUCGAUGAUGAACACGUCUUAAGAUGAUGUGAGAUUUGAGAAGUUUCGUCUGUGUCUCGGUAUUAUUUAUUAAAGAGCAUCUACAAUCAUGUUAUUUAUUUUUUAGUUAAAAUUUAGCUAAAAAUAUAUAAAAGUUAUUUUAGAAACUUUUUAUAAAAUUUGAACUCUAAUCAUAUUUCCUAGUUUAGAGAGUCAUAAAUACCAUAAUUAUUUUUUAAUUCAAUAUAAUUGGUCCAUCUCUAUACAAAAUAAUAUAAAAAAAUAAUUUACAUUAAUUAAAAGUUUAAAAUAUGCAUAAAACAAAGCAACAUUAAAUUAUAGGGAACCAUCAGGAGUUCUUUUUCUCUCCUUAGAUUUAGGAUCUCUUAGAACAUCAAUAAUCAUGCUCUCUAUUUUUUAGUUAAAAUUUAGCUAAAAACACUAUAAAGCUAUUUUAGGAGCUCUUUAUAAAAUUUCAACUUCAACCAUACUCCCUAGUUUAAAGAGUCAUAAAUAUUUUUAAUAAAUUUUAAUUCAAAUUUUGAAUAAAGUGUAGACACAAAAGCAAUAAUAAAAAAUAGUUGGCAUUAAAUAAAUACUUAAAAUAAUAUUAAAUAUAGAAGCAUUUAAUUAUACGGAGUCAUUAGGAGUACUUUCUCUCUCCUCAGAUUUAGGAGCUCAUAGAGCUCUCCAUAUUUUAGGAGCUGAAUAGGAAGCAUAGUUGGAGGUGGGUUUUUCAAUUCCUCCCUAAAUUUUAGCUAAGGAGGUGGUUUAGAGAGCCCAUUGUGGAUGCUCUUAAGUAUCUCCAGCUGAUAUGUCAAAUUGUCACAUGGACAUAAAAUGACAAAAAUUGAAUGUUAAAAUUCCUCCAAUCGAAUAGUCAAAUCCUACAUGAAUUUGAAGAUUAGAAGAGAUAUAUCAAAAAUAACAUAUCAAAAAGCUUGAUGUCAAAUAUUAUUUUAAUAUUUUUUUAGUCAUGAACCCCACUAUCAUUUACUCUCUUUUAAAACUUUAUGUAUCAUAUGAGCCCCAUUGUUUUUAAAAAUAUAAUAAAAUAAUAUGGUAUUGGUUGGGCAUUGCGGGUGGAGUUCAAUUUUUUUAGAAGUAUCAAAUUGUCAUAUAAGCAAUCAAAUUCAAAUUUGAUAUCUCCAUUAGAAGUUUCCAUAUUUUAAGAGAUGGAUAGGAAGUAUAGUUAAAGUUGUAUUUUUUCAAUUUAUCUAAAAAUGUGAUUUAAAGAACCCAUUGGAGAUGCUCUAUCCAUUAUCAUCCUAAACAAUUUCACAGCGUUCCUAAAAUACUAGGUCGGGUCAUCCUUAGUUGUUAGGGUCCCACGUAAAACCAAUGGGUUUCCAAGCGAGGUUCUUUCUUUUUUGGUCAAUCGUCAAAGUACUUUUGUGAAAGAAAAAAAAUAUUCCCCCUUCUUUUUGGGUGCUAAGGAGGGCUUUUGUGAAGUUUUUAGCCUAGAACUUAGGACACAUGACCCAUUUUGAUUCGAACUCAGAACGACAAAACAGUGAAGGGCAAUCCAAAUCACCAAUUGCAGCAUCAAUUUAACAUUCAAAAACGAUGAACAUAUAAAGAAAAACCAAGCAAAGGAUCCGAAUCCUAUAUGUAUAUAUGGAACAGAUGGUGACACAAAAGGAAGAAUAACAGUGCUCCUUCAUGCAACUAACACAGAAGCACUGGGACACCAUAACACGUACAAGAAGAGAUUUAUGUAAUUUAGAAUAAUACUACUAAUUAUUCCUUUUUCUAUUGUUCAAUUAACUUUCUACUAAUCCGUUGUUCUUAAAACUCACUUGUUCCAAAAAUACAAAUGGGUUUCAAAUGUCGUGUGUUUCAAGCUCACCACCAGUUCUCUGUUUCUUUUAACCAAAAAGAGAAAAAGGGGUAAAAGAAUUUGAUCAGGAUACAGUAUACAGAUAUAAGUUCUAAUUCAUUUCACCAUCACCGAUGAAGUCGUCAUCUCCAAACAUAUUGGAAAAGCUUCUCUCGUGUCAAUUGGCUCCUCACUCAUUUUCUUCUGCCUUGAAGCUUCUCGCCUGUAUCAAGUUCUUGCGUUGCAUCCCAUGGCGCAAGGCUUCUACAUAGAUCCAAUGAACAGCAUUUGCCGGGUCCGAUCGAUGUCCCUCGAAUCAGGCCAAGAUUAUACCUGAGCAACAAAAUUAAGAAUAGUUGCUAAAAGCAGUCCUGCGCCACAUCAGUGGCCAGUUCAAAGUUACUAUCACCAGUAUAUACAAAAGAAAACAUUGAUAAGUAUGCUGUGGCAGCACGGUUACAAGAUUAUAUUACUGCAGUGCAGAGGUACAUGGCCUUCUAGGGAACCCUACAAAAACCAUUUCAAAACAAGCUGAAUGAUUGCACUGCAAAGGGAGUUGGGAUGCAUAACUUCCCUCGUGCCACAGAAAUUCAGCCAACUAACCUAAGUUCCUUAAUGUUGGAUUCAGUUGCUGAUCCACCUUCUUUUCCUAGCUGGCCGCUCUGGUUUAAUCUCAGAUUCCACAGGAGUCUCACUAUUGGUGGUAGGCAGCACUUCACUCUCCAACUUUUUGAUUGUUGCUGCUUCUUUUUCACUUGGCAUUGGAAGCCUGAAACGCUCACUUCUUUUCUUCAACUUCUCAACUGUGUCCAGGUGCCGGUCCUCCAAUGGUUUUGUGUCUGCAUCCACUUGUUUGGUGUCUGCAUCCUUAAUAUCCUGAUCACCGGCAUCUUUCUCCUCAACCAAUGAAUGUUGAUUAUCAACAGCCUCAACUGGUUUGGAAGAUUCUUCUGGAAGUUUACUGGCAUCUGAGGAUCCUCUGUUGUGGCUCCUAUCAAGCUCUUUCAACUUUAACGAUGAUUUACUGUUGAUACUGAAAUCCCUCUCCUUAUGGCUCGUCCAGCGUUCCAAUUUGGAGCGCCCCCUUCUUAAAUCCUGUUGUUCAUCAUCAGAGGAAGCAUCUUCCUUAUGCCUUUUGGAAGAGUGACGGUGCUGUGGGAUUCCCUCACCAGUUCCUUGCACACGGGUACCUUUCAAGCCCUAAAGGGGCAAAAGAAGCAAUAAUGAGAAAAAAGCCCACCCCAGGAGGAAACAUUCUUCAUCAAUAAACUAGGGUCAAGUACAAAGGACAAAAAGUGAUGAUGAAUAACAAGCACAGCUCUGCACGAAAAUUCCUGGAUUAGUCGGUAAGUUGUCAACUAGUAAAUAUAAAUGUUGUUCCAUUUGUUAUUGUUCUAUCCAACUGCAAUAUGCAGGAGCUCACUUCCGUUUUCCCUCACAUAAUGUGGGUCAGUCAUCCCCUUCAGUACGGCCCUACACUGAUUGAACCACAAGUUGAAUGGAGAAAGAUAGCACGAGCAAACUCAAAUGCAGCUAAAGCAUGAUUAUUAGUCUCAGCAAAGUGUACCAAAUCAUUGAAUAUGUGAUCACUGCUGACCCUGCACAUACAUGUUAUUUGGGCGAAAAUUCCAUGAACAGAAGCUACCACUAAUUAGGAUAAGACAAGUAUACAAUCUUCUGAUUUUAGCACUUGUAAAGAAAGGAGGAAAUGAAAAGCUGAACCCACACUCCAGCUGUGAAACAUAAAGAGAAUAGGUCCACACCAGUGAAAGUCUAUUUUGCAGAUGCUCAGUGUGGAGUAUCCAUUUGAUAUCAGAAUUCCAUUGUUAUGACAAAGAAAAAGAAUGGGAUUUUAUUAGAACUGUCAUCCGAAAUCAAGCUUGCAUCCUAUAUACAUUAUUUUUCAAGGAAGAAAAAAUAUACAAGAAUUAAAAGAUAAAAACAACAAACAAAUUAAACAAGAGAACUGAUGUCAAGAAGUGAACAUACCAUCUCCUUACUGUGACCACUUUGAUCUUCUUGAUGUCUCUUGGAAGUAACUGUAGUGCUGUUAUCAGCAAUCUCAGAUUCUUUAUUCUUCCUUGUAUUAUCUUUAGGUCUUCUAUCAUGGAGCUUUUGGUUGUCAGCACGUUCAUUACGAGUACUUGAUCUCUCCUUUCCAGAUCUCUUCUCAUCAUUAUUUAAUUGAUUUCCACGUCCAUAAACAUCCUCACGCCCCCUAUGAUUCGAGCUUUCUUCCUCAACCCUAUCCCUCCUUUUAGAUGGUUCACUGUGUCUCACAGUGUCUUUAUAUUGGUGCUCCUUAUCAGAGCCUUUGCUUUCAUCCUUUGCCCUAGUAUGGCCCACCCAUGCUUUGUCUUCUGCACCACGCCCACCCCUUAUAGAAGCUCGUCCUUCAUCUCUUUCCCGCUUGGGUAUAUUUUCCUCAUGGGAUUGUUUAACCCUAUGCCACUCCUCCCUUUCUCUUUGCCUAUCACCUCUCUCCCUCUGCAACCAGCUUUCAUCUUUGUGCCUGACAGAGUGUGGAUCAUCAAGAUUAUCUCUAACUCUCUGCUGGUCAUCUCUCUUACGCUGAUCCAAAAUUUCAUCCCUUUCACGCUUUCGGCGACUGGCACUUUCUCUGUGGCCAUGCACAAAAUCUUCUUUAUCUAUAUGGUCUCUCCUCAUAUAUUCCUCAUCUUUCCUUCUCUUGCCGUGGUAAUCAUCUAUACCCUUCAAACUACCUUCUCUUUCCCUGGGUCGUGAGCCAACAUCCUUAUCAUGAUAAACCCUAUAGCUGCCAUUAUCUAACUGUUUUCUUGACUGAAGAUGUUCAUCUUUGUCACUCCGCUCACUUUCUCGAGCCUUACUCCUGUGCCUGGAUCCCAUUUCAUCACCACGCUCUCUCUUCCUUGUUUCUUCAGUUCUAAUCCUUCUGCCAUAAGGUUCAUCAUCUCUCCGUUGCCAUGGCCCGUCAAGAUUGUCCCUUUCCUUUCGCCUAUGAAGCCCAUCAUUUUUCAAUUGCAAUGGAUGAGCCGAGCUAGUAUCCCAGUCCCUAUAAGGAUAAGAGCCCUCCCGCCCUUUUACUACCGUGUGACUUCUAUCUGGUUCCUGUCUACCAUCACGGUUUUUCCUUUGGAACCCUUGUUCAUUUUCAUUAAGGUGCCUCUUGAUGCCCCCCAUGUGUGUUGAACGUCCUUGAAUGACUUCCUCCUCAACCCCAUCCCUCCACUUCUGAUAAUCCUUGCUGCUUCCAGAUCUAGCUUUGCUGUUGUCACUACUUCUUGCAGCCUUUGAGUCCUCGCCAUCAUCAAGUUCUUCAUCAGCAGAUUGUUCAACUCUUGAACUUAAUUUUUUAUGCUUUGGAGGCCCAUCUUGCAGUUCAUCAUUUACAGUAACCGUAGCCAUUUCCUCCUUUUCCAUUCCAGAGCUUCCAUCAGCCAGCACAGGCUCAUCUUGGUCACUAUCUCUACACUCAACACUUGACUCGUGGGCACCCCUAUUUGUGACAGGAGAUGAUAUCUGCGGACUACGUUUACCAUCCAUGCUUUCCACUGAUUCUUCCUUCUGGUUGUCAAGAAAUUUUUUAUCCCUUGUAUUCCGGCUAGGAGUCACACGAGGAGAUCUGUCCCGUGCUCUUCCCUGUGUUCCCCUGUAUUAAUAAUGAGAGAGUUAAAAGGCAUUCAUGAAGUUUGUACUCUAAUCUAUUUAAGUUCAUAUUUAUAAAUGCACCAUAAAAUCAAGCAAACAAACUAUGCUCCCGCACUCUGUACUGAAAACGAGUUUCUCAUUAUUAACCCUGUCCUGGAGUUCUCAAUAUGGGUGGCAAUUUUCAACAUAACAAUCCCAGUACCUUUCCUCAAAAGUGGAACCAAAACUUCCACCAGGAUAACUAGGAGUCUCUCCCCCCGAACCCGUGUAUGGGACUGGCGCUUCUGGAGGGAAGGGCAAGAUUCCUUCUUCUUCUGGUAUGCUAUCAUGGAAUGGAAUUUUUCUUCCAACCGGCUCCCUCUUUCGGUCGUUAUAAGAGGCGGGAAAACCAUCAAAAUACACACUAUCAACCUGCGCGAGGUCUCCUUCACCAACAGCACUUCUACCAAAAUCCUCUCUUGGGCGAUCAUUUUCAGUUUUCUCUGGGAUACCAUUUCCUGCAGAGGAAUCAUCAUCUAAAGAAUCCUGCAAGACAAUCUGUUUACAGAACAGCCAGCAGUUAACUUAUAUUGCCUAGCCAAAAAUAAGAAAUGAACACACAAUGAUGGGUUCAAUACACUAACAGAUUACUACCUCAAUAAUUGCAUCUGAAUCACGAAUUCGAGGUGGUCGGGUAUCAAUGGAGGGGAGACGCUCACCAUAACCACCUUCGACCUGUAUUGCUCUUCCAGUUGGCUGUCAAGAAAUUUAUUCAACCAUGGAGUUAGGAAACGAGCAUGAGCUCCAAAACUAACAUAACCAUUCAUCAGGUCAACAAGAGAUAGCAUUAUCAAUGCAAUUGUACAAGAUGCGCAGAUCAAGAAUAUAGAUAACAGGAAAUACAAGAUCUGUGAGAUAGCAAAACUUAGGGCAAGAUACUGUCUUUAUAGAAAGAAAAGAAGUUCAAAAAUGAAACCACCUAUACAUACUAUAGGUGGAUACAUACUAUAGGUGGACGCAGACGAGCAGAUCCUUUCACUAAAUCACUUUGCCCAACAUCUGACUUUCCAGGAUUUGCAUUUUCAGCAGGAAAAUCAUGAAUGCCAGUUGCUGCUGCUAAUUCUGGGGGUAGAUCUGGAUCAUACUCCUGUGAUGAACACAGGAAAAGGCAAACUUUCCUUUUUCACAUUUCACCAACAUAUGGUUGCAAAGAAUAAAUACUUAAAAACUCAAAUAGCCAAUACAUUUUCUUGAGGUCCAUAAUCACCUCAUUACCUGUUCUGUUCGUCCACUUUCGUAAACACGAAUUUUGCUUUGCAUAGUGGACUCCAAGCGAAGCUGUUCCUGCAAAUUUAAAAUAUAGGGGCAGUUACAGCAUUCCCUUAUACAAAGACAAUAUGCUAUAGGGUUUGAUUGUUACCAGCUGUUUGCAAUAAUCCUUCCAGCUUUCUUCAUUUAAGCCAAAGUUGAAGAAGUCUGAUGUAUCAACGCCAGGAUAUUUCCAAGGUUUUUCCUCAAAACCAUCAAUGUCAACAUCAAAUAUGGUUCUGGAAAACACAAGCAAAUUCAAGAAACAAUAAUGAGAAAAACCAACUUUCAACUACCAAAUGAUUACACGACACUUAAAAUAAUAGAAGACUGAUGUCAGCUCCAGAGAGCGCGCACACACAAACUCCAUCACCCAUUGCACUUUAGCAAUUUAUAAAUAAAGAAGAACAUGUAAUCACUUCAGCAUGAUUUUUCACAUAUCAUAUGCAGUAGUAAAAACUAAACAAUAUCUUCUAACCCAAAAAAAAAAAAGAGAAGAAAACAUGACAGUACGGCACUAUCACGAGUGCCAGUAAAAAAAUAAACAAUCCAGUUCCCCAUGCAUCUUGAUAUCUUAAAAUCAUGAAUAUUACUUGUGCGAAGGAAGCGUGAACUCCAGUCCACCGCCGAAACCGCGACCGCCCAUAUUGUUGCCCCAGCCAGGCAUACCAAAGCCUGAAUGAAAAUUCUUCUGCAGUGGAGUAGCAUUUUUUAAUCCGGUUGGUCUCCAGUCACCUCUACCUCGACCAGCUACAGGACCCACAUUUACAAGCGGACGAACUUGACCUGGGACUCCUCCAGGGCUAGAAGUAGCUGGUCCAGUCAUUGGCACAGCACCUGGUCUUACAUACUGCAUAAGAAGAAACAGUUUUUAGGUAUAGAAGUAGAGCAUUCAAAAAAAUUACCAAAUAACAAAAUAAUAACAUCCAAACUGUUCCUUAAGUUGCUUACGAGAAACAAAAUCAGAAAUGAGAUAUGGUAGAAGAGUGAAUCAACAGCCAGCCACGUGUAGCCUUGGCUCUUUGGAAAAAUAGGGGCUGAGGGUAGUGAAGACCUAUUAUAAAACUACUUUUUAGGAAAGGGGGAACACCCAUGCUGGGGUUCUCCAAAUGAGAGCAGAACGCAACAUAAACAAUGGGACCUGUACUAAAGCUAACAGUUUCCCAACUGGGAAGAUUCACCACAAUUGACUGUUAAGGCAUUUAGAACAAAAGAAUCAUGAAGAUUCAUUAGCACUAAGCGAUGCACUCAAAAGAUAACUUUACAAAGAUAUGAAUCGCAGAAAAUGAUGAAAACUCGCAUGCAGUAAAACUGGUGACUUAACCUGUGAAGCAAUUUAAGCUAAGCUCAGAAAGUUGUAGCUAGUUUGCAUCCUUCAAAAUUGUAUAGGUUAAGUACAGACAAUGAUUUCUCAGUUAUUUUAAGGGCAAAAUAUAACAUGCAUUGACAAUCCAGUGCCACCUAUCUAGUACGGUCUCAACAACUUGCACAAUUACUAGGCUACUAGCAUUUUCCAGAGUUUCAAGCAAUAUGCUUUAUUCGGAAAUGAAGUGUUUCAGUAUGUACUUGUCCAUAGAAUAAUAAUGUGCAAAAUAGCUUAAUAACUGCACCUUCUACUGCAGCAAGAUUGGAAAGGACAUAGGCUAGAGUGCAAUGAAGCCAUGCUACAUAAAAAUUUAUUGUGGUAUAUCAAUUGCAACAACUUUGGAAGUGAGAGUAAUUGUUCUUAUGGAGAUUCAGAGCCCGUUAACAAUAUGUCAGCCUAGUUAAUUCUAAUCCUCAAUUAUAAAGCUCUGUAGUAAAUGUGCCUCAGGCCUCUCUGUAGUUAAUGUGACUCAGAGAGGCAACGCCGAUUAAUCCACCGAGUAGAAUCUAAAUUCUUCAUAUCAUCAUUACAAUGUAAUACAAAUGAUAAUCAAAGAUUUAUGACGGUGAACAAAUCUGAGGAUUGGAAAUUGUGAAGGUUUGUCAAAUAUUUAGGUGUGUUCUCAAACACAUCAUCAUUGCUCAAUAAAUUGCCUGUUGUAGCAAUAUUACUCGAGAAGAGUACAUAAAUAGCACGUUUACUACUGUUCCUCAAUAAGUAUCACCUAAGCCUAGGUAGAAAGAAAUGUAGUUACUGUCUGGAGUAAGGAAAAAUCAAUUUCAUAGCAUUUAAUAUAUAUGUGUCUCCCCCUUUUCUAUUUCGAUCAGUGAAGAUCUUCUGCACACUCCAAACUCCAAAACCCUUCUAUCAGAGGACAAUCUAGACAGCUGAAAGGCAAAGGCAUCUACUUGGUAUUGGGGGAAAAAAUCUUAACACAGUGCACUUCAUCAAGAAGGUAAUGCCCAGCUUAUUUAAAUUAAAUUACUCAAUAGACACAAUCGGAGAAAAAAUAACAUAUAUGAUUCUGUAUUUUGAGCAAUUCCACUCUCUGUAGUGACUUCCAUUCAAAUUUUCAGGUACCAUCGAUUCAAGUAAAUCCCACAAUUCUGAAACAUAUUCAAAUUAUUAAUUUUCACUUCACUGAUAAUCAACUACAUACUCACAUUGUACAAUCAUUACAAAGCAUAAUUUACAAUUCUAAUCUCUCAUCAAAGAAGGGGACAUCACAAGACCCCAGAUACAAAAAGUUCCCUACAUUAAUCAACAUAUUAACAAAACUAAACUAACCUUAAACUGAGAAUGAAAUGGAUGAUACCCAUGAUUGCUAUACCCAACUUUGGGGGGUGCAACCACGCUGCCACCGCCAACAGCCUUCCCGGCUUCACCCAUCUCCUUUCUCUCACCUUCAGCCGCCUGUGCGCCGUCUUCACCCCACUCUUGCUCUUCCAUCGGUUGGUUCAGCUCACCAUCAGCCACAAUAACGAGCCCGUCUUCAUCGUCGUCGUCGUCGCCGCCUUCAGCGUUGCCACCUAUUCCGCCUCUCUCCAUAGCCAUAGGCCCGUGGUCGUUAUCAUUCAACACUAUCUGCAAAUCGUCCUCGCUGUCGUCACUGUCCCAAUCAUCUUCGCCUCUCUCGCCUUCCUUUCUAGAAACUUCCGGGUUUCCUAUAUUGACCGCGGAAUCAUUCACCGGCAAGGUUUCCGAUAGCCCUGGAAUCACCGGGUCCAAACCCAUAUCAUCAGUUUCAUUGUUAUCCUCCUCGAUGUCGAAAUUGACAUCCUUGUCCAUCAAAUCCACAGUUUUACCACCGAUAUUAGAAUCCACGGAAUCGACUUUUGGUAAUUCAACACCCUUAUCCUCCAAACCCCUAGACCCAACUGCUGAAUCCGCAUCUUUAGUCGAAUUGGCGGGGACAGAGUCGGCGGGAGCUAGGGUUUGGGUAUUUGGUGGGUGGGGAAGAGAAGGAUUAGAGUGAGGAGCUGCAUAUAGGAUCUCGUCCUCUUCGUUACGGAGGUUGAGAUCGAUCGGACGGUGAGGUUGGGGUGCAGUGGAGGGUUGGUGGGGCUGCGGCGCAGAAGAUGAUUGGGACGAUUCAAAGGGUCUAAGAACGUCUGUGUAGAGAUCUCCGAAUUCGUCAUCGUCUUCCAUCUAAAGGACGGAGCUUGAGAGAGAGAGAGAGAGGGAGAGAGAGAGGAAGUGUGUGUGUGUGUGUGUGUGUGUGUGUGUGUGAGAGAGAGAGAGAGAGAGAGAGAGAGAGAGAGAGAGAGGGUUUUGAGGUCUGCAAGACUGCAAGAGCCAAAGAGUGAAGCAAUGGCCAAUGUGUAAAACUUAAAAUGGUGCUUCUUAUGUGUUUUCCCCAGUUUACAUUCCAAAUUUCUUUCUUAAAUUCCAAUAUCCAAAAUGUAUUUAUUAAUUAUUAUUAUUAUUAUUUAGGUGAUAUAAAAUUAUAAGCUCCUAAUUUUGGGUUUCUCUUUCCACUUUUGCUUACGGGAAUGGGUAAAACAUGACAUGGGCUGCCAAUUGAGAUGUCCUCUGUUGUUGAUGGGUUAAAAGACUUGACUUGAGAGCGCUGUUGUUGUGCCACUUUUGGGUUGGCUACUUGGGUUGAACAAGCUUUCGUUGGUGUGUGUUGUAACUUGUAACUUGUGUUGGGUUAAUAACCAACGCUUUUCCUUUUUCUUUUCUUGUCUUCUUUUCCUUUUUUUUUUGCCUGAACAAAAGAUCCUCCCUUGGCCUAUUGUUGAAAAGGCAUUGAAUUUUCACCAAAAGAAAGAGGCAUUGUAAAUUGUAAAACAAUACUAUAAAAAAUAAAUAAAUAAAAACUAACUUAUUCCAUCAUUGCAUUCGGGAUUUGAUUUUUAUGCAACAUUUUUAAUUUUAAAAAAACCAUUAAAGCUUGAGCAUGCCUUCUCAUUUUCACCAUUUAAUACUGAAUAUCCAAUUCCAAAAAAUAAAAUCCAAAUUUAAGACAAACCAGCUAGGCCUCAAACUUUUCUGGCAUAAGUUUCAUGGUACUUAUUUUUAUUCUACACAUUCUUUUGUCACCAAUAGCUAGUCUGAUAUUAUAUUGUUUGGUUUUUUCCCCCAUAUAGCAAUAUAUAUAUAACAAUGUCCCCAUAGAUGAAAAAUAAUAACAAUGUCCUUGUUUGGUAGGUAAGAUAAGGAGUAUGAUUGGAUUAGCGUAAUUCAAUUUCAUGUUUGGUGUUAAAAACGAAAGUGAAUGGGAUAACUAAUAAUUUUAUUAUGUGUUUUUUUAAAGAUAAUUGUCUUAUCAAUAAGGUGGGAUACAUAAUCUAGCUAUUCAAAUCCCUUGAUAUCGGACUCAAGUUUUGAGAGUCUACAAACACUCAUGACACUAGUGCCAAUAAAUGAUAUAUAUAUAUAUAUAUAUAUAUAUGUAGUCAGUCCCUUUAUAUUGAGGGACACCAUUUAGGGUAGCGUACAAAUUUUUUUCCAACAAUUGAAACUAUCUAUUUAUACAUCCAAUGGUGUCCUACAAAAAUCAAUGAACAAGAUGUUUCAAUAAAGUACUAAAAUUUCAAUAAUUUAAUUCAGUGGUCAAAUGAUAUUGUAUUAAAGUGAUUUUUUGAAGAGAUGAACUUCGAAUGAAUAUAUACAAAAUAGACGGUUUGGAUUAAUGAAAUACAAUGUAUGAUCAGUCAUACAAGGAUGUCCCUCAAUCGAAGCUCAUUAUAUAUAUAUAUAUAUAUACUAUUGAUACAAGCGAUAUCAUAAACCACAAUGGGAGGAUAUCAUACUCGCAUACACACACUACCAAGGUGUCAUGGAGGUUUAAACCUAAGACCAAUAAAAAAUACAAAUUCUAUCCAAUCCAAUAUAAUACAAUUCAAUCAUAGUCACCAAACAAUAAGGAAAAACAAAUAACACUCAUAAAAAUAAUAUCGGAGAAUAUUAAAAAGUAAAUAAUGUUGAGACACAUAAAAAUUAGAGAUAUUUAGUCAUAUACUCAUUCUUAGCAUUAUGUUAUGAGUUUUUGUAAAUGAAUUUUUGAUGUGUUUCUAAAGUACAUUUUAUAUAAGAUUUUUAUAUAAUUUGGACUUCUAUAUUUGGUAUAACAGUGAAUCUCCCUAAAAAAUUAAAAUUUUAAAAAAACUGCCGGUCCAGACCGGCACAAAGAGGAGCGAGUCGAGUGAAAAUACUGAAUACAGAAGUGAGUUGCAGUGUGUAAAAGUUGUGCUUCCGAAAUCGGAUCUGCAUCACCACCACCAUCUCUGUAUUCUUCGAAAUUCUUGAAAUAGAAGAAGAAAAAGGAAGAGGUGGAUAAGAAUGAUUGGGGUUGGGAAGAUCAAGCAGUACUCUAAUGUCCUCGACAAACCCCUCAGCAAGGGCAAACAAGAGGUCCUCUCUCUCUAUCUCUAGUUUAUUCAGUUUUCAUUAUUUCAUGCAUUUUAUCUGGAACCAAACUGGGUUUCACAUCCUUAUUGCAUCGCUAUGACAUGCUUGAUCAGAUUACCUUAAUCCUCACUAAAUGGCUGCAUUUUGUGGGAUCUCUGUAUGUUGGUACUGGGAUUUAGGAAAGAAAAGUUAUAAUCCUUAAUUAAAUGUUUAAAUUUCAUUCAUUUCGAACUGUUAUGCUGCAAAUUUAUACUCAACUGACCUUUAUCCGAGUUCUGAGCACCUGGGUCUUUUCCUUUAUCGAAUUUUAGGAUAGAUUGUGAUUUGGGCAAUUUGAUCCGGGUUAAAUAUUUACUUGGUUGCCCAUUUUUGCUUUUGAUUUUUGUUCCAGGUCAGUUUGAGUGCGUUUGCAUUCUUGUUUUCGGAGCUUGUGCAGUACAACCAGACACAGGUUGACAACAUUGCCGAGUUAGAACGAAGGUGAUUCAAAUUACUAUCAUAAGUACAUGUACAUUCGAAUUUGGUUAUUAUAAGGCUUCUGUUAGGUUCCUUAAGUUAUAAAUGGUUCUACGACAUGUUCUAAGCUGUGGGCUUACACUUUCAUCUGAAAUGAACUUCUGAGUUUGAUUAGGUUAGCUGGUUAUGCAACUCUUGGCUGGUAAUUGAGUAAUGAAAAGAUUAUUGCUCAGAAUCGUUUGGUUUACUAGUAUUGCCAGUUUCUUCUGCAACCUAAAAAAAAGGGGCCAGAGAUGGAAUUGGAAAAUGGAAGUGAAACAGUAUGAAAAAGAAGAUCUUGAGAUUUGGUGUGAUAGAAACAAUUAGCAAAGACAAUUUCUUUCCUUUUAGCUCUUCAUCGACUUCUCUUGAAAUUCUAAUAUAUGUUUGGAACCAUAGUUCAAUAAUGCUUUAUGUAAAUUGAGCAGGCUGGAGGAUGCAGGAUAUGCUGUUGGGGCUCGAGUUCUGGAGCUUCUUUGCCAUAGGGAUAAGGUAGGAAUUGUUAUUGAACAGAAAUAUCCCUAGAUUUAAGUUUUUAUAAUCACAAUAUCAAGAGACCCUUACUUCAUUUUGGGAGUAAGUAGGGAUGGCAAUUGGGUACCCAUCUAUUCUGGCUAUAACUCUAAUAAGGUUUUCACCACCACCACCACCACCAUCACCUCCACAGGGUUAUAGCCAAAAUAAAUAGGUACCCAAUUGCCAUCCCCAGUAAGUGAGAAAUAAGAGGCAGAUAUCAGUGUUUCUGGUUUAUGGGAUAUUCUCUAUCUAUAAGUUUCUCAGUGAAUAUCAUGCUGGUUAUUUCACAAUCAAUACUCAGUACCAAGAAUAGGUAUCUUCUCCAUUUGUCUAUGUUGUUUCAGCCUGGAUGCAUGAACAUGUGAGGCAUCCAUCUCUUCGUUUAAGUUGGCAAGUUCCCACUUAUUGAGUGUUUGGAGCUAACGAUUACUGGAUAUGUUGUUUUAGUCUCUGUACACUUUGGAUAC